UCCCAUGCCAGCGUCGCCGGGCCCGCCGGACCCUCGCCUACCUCGCGCUGGUGGUCACCGUCCUCUUCCAUUGCUUGUUCGCCAGCGCCGUCUGGGUCUUCCUCACCGCCGACCCAGGAUACAUCUUCGGCAGGAUCUACUUCACCGCGGGCUUCUGCUUCUUCGUGGUGGGCGACCUCCUCAGCUUCCGGGCCCUUCUGGGAGGUGAUGGGUGGGGCAUGAAGUACGUAGCCUAUUUCUUCUGAUCAUGUUCGUGGAUCAGCUCAUGAGGUACUACUGAUGAGAGCGUAGUUCUAGGGCGUACUCUAGAGUAUGCAUUGAUUCUGCUGUGACGACUGAUAUGGAGUAGUGCCAUAUUUGCGAAUCUAGUAACUGGUGUAGUGUUAAUUAGUAUCCAGAUCGACUCUAGUAGUAGUUACUCCAUUUGGGCAAUGCUUUGCUGGCUAGUAUAUAAUUAGACUGGAUGGAUUGGUAGAUUGCGGUUAUCUUUGCUGUAUUAUUCAACCCUCUAUGUAUGCAUGUGAUCGUCAGACAUGAGUUAUAUCUUAUAUAGGUCCAGCUUCGCUAUAAUUUGAUGUUUCUGAAAUUGCUGCUGCAGUGUAUAUCUAUGCACACAUUGUUGUUUCUGAUGUUAAAUUUUGUUUUUAUUCAUUCCGGCAACCGCUGGCUUGUCCUCUCGGCUGGGCUGCGUGGGGUGCUCUCAGCUGAGAUUGAGUGACCCCCGUCCCGACCAUGCUUGUGACCAUGCAAUCACAAUUUGAUGUAUGGGACACCAUGGUUUGAAAUGCCCUCCUGCCGAUUGAGGUUCUUUUUUUAUGCUUUUACCUAUGGAGAUCCACACGCCGACACUUGACUUGUGGGAGCGCGCGGUUUCACCACAACGCCGCGCGUGUAGCCACAUAUGGCGGAUGUAAUACAAAAAUAAAGAACGCAAUGGUCCUCCUUGAACCUUCAAAAAAUAAGUAUCUUCUGAUCGUGGAGUCGAUAUUUGGGUCACGAGUUAUCAAUCAUCCAAAGAGUUGUGAAAUUGUUUCACAACUUACACAUCCCGGUACGCCUCAAACUAAUGGGGUAUCCGAAAGGCAUAAUUGAACUUUGUUGGAUGUGGUUCAACUAAGAGAGAAAUACAUAUUUCAACCUUCUCAACUUCUAGUUUAAUUUAGAACCCCAACUCCAAAUACGGUUAGGACACCGUUUGAUUAGCCGCAUAGGACGAUUGGAGGGUGGUUCUACAUGAUGUAGCAUCUAGGCUAACUAGUCAACGUUGAUGGCAGCUAGGUCAUAAAAGUAAAAGAUAUAUUGAUUGUCCCGCAUAUCAUACCAUAAUNNNNNNNNNNNNNNNNNNNNNNNNNNNNNNNNNNNNNNNNNNNNNNNNNNNNNNNNNNNNNNNNNNNNNNNNNNNNNNNNNNNNNNNNNNNNNNNNNNNNNNNNNNNNNNNNNNNNNNNNNNNNNNNNNNNNNNNNNNNNNNNNNNNNNNNNNNNNNNNNNNNNNNNNNNNNNNNNNNNNNNNNNNNNNNNNNNNNNNNNNNNNNNNNNNNNNNNNNNNNNNNNNNNNNNNNNNNNNNNNNNNNNNNNNNNNNNNNNNNNNNNNNNNNNNNNNNNNNNNNNNNNNNNNNNNNNNNNNNNNNNNNNNNNNNNNNNNNNNNNNNNNNNNNNNNNNNNNNNNNNNNNNNNNNNNNNNNNNNNNNNNNNNNNNNNNNNNNNNNNNNNNNNNNNNNNNNNNNNNNNNNNNNNNNNNNNNNNNNNNNNNNNNNNNNNNNNNNNNNNNNNNNNNNNNNNNNNNNNNNNNNNNNNNNNNNNNNNNNNNNNNNNNNNNNNNNNNNNNNNNNNNNNNNNNNNNNNNNNNNNNNNNNNNNNNNNNNNNNNNNNNNNNNNNNNNNNNNNNNNNNNNNNNNNNNNNNNNNNNNNNNUGGGAGUGUUGGGGCUUUGUGCCGAAGAAGACAUGGAUAACGACUCGCUAGCGUGGCCCGGCAUGCCCCGGUUCUCUAGGGCCACUUUGGCCUCGUGUCAUGCUAGCUCAUGCAUAGUAUCACUAGUAGAGAAAUAGUUACUCACAAUAAAAAGUGGUGACACACCAGUUUCAAUCCAGGCCAUCACUGAUUUUUUAAAAUAGCAGUGGUGUUGGCAUAUUUCGCACACCCUAUGUAAUGCAUUAUUGGUGGCGUGGAAACAAAUUGGUACACCAUCAGUAUGUGGGACCCAGUAGUCUGGGCGGGUUGCAAGAUUAAUGGUGGCGUGUCAAAUUUUACCAUGCAACCACUAUUGUAAGGGGAAACCUUGUUUUUGCCCACUUUGCAUAUGCCACUCUAGAAUUUGCCAUUUCAUUUUCGCCACUUUUAGCUUUUUACAAUACAUCACAAUUGCAAUUAUGUGGCAAAAGCAAAAAUUUCAGGAGUGACAAUUGAGAUACGGUGUCAAAAGCCAAGACUGUAAAAGUGAAACCGUUUUUUUUUUGCUUUUGCCAAAAAAAAUGACAUUUGUGAUACAUUGUCAAAAGGUAAGAGUGGCCAAAUUGAGUUGUCAAAUUCUAGAGUGGCAUAAACAAAGUGGAAACAAAAUUAGAGUGGCAAUUUUUCCCCUAUUUUAAAUAGGUAUGUUGUGUUACUUUUUGUUACGCCGCCAAUAUAUUAAGGGUCCGAAUAACUGCCACACGUGUGGCGUCGAUAGGAACCCGCCCGCACGCCUCGUGCGGCAUAGACGGGGAUCGGCCCGCACGACCACGUCCGAGCGCACAAAAGCACGGCCCGCACGUCCGGUGUGUGGCAACCCCUCCCGCACUGCCCCGUCCGGGCCAGAAGACCGGCUGCCCGCACGACCCAGUCGAUCCACGCCUCUGAUCCAUCCCCUCUCUCGUACGCCGCCAUCGUCCCCCACCUCUCGAACCCCGACAUCCGUCGCCGGCCAUCCCUGGUUGCCAUGGCAACCAGGGCAGAUCCGUAGGGCGCUCCGACCCCAAACCACACCCUAACCCUUCCCAUCCCCAGCCGCCCACUCCAAUCCAGCCCUCCAGACACGAUCAACUAAAACCAGGUGAAAAAUCUCGAUCUCGUCCUUCCCUCUCAUCCUUAAGGCUGAAAAUCUCCCAAUCUUGUACUGGGUCCAUACUAUAGGGGUAGAACACUGCAUGGUUCGGUGUAUAUUCGCAAUUGCCAGGCAGAAUACACCAGAUUUGCCAUGUACUACGUUUGAGGUUAACUUAGGUGCCUAGUUUAGGCACUUAAGUAGUUGGGUAUGAAAUGGAUGAGUAGGAAUCCCUAAAAAAGGGCAGGAAGGACGAUUUUUUGAAUGAAGAGGGUGGGAAAAAAUAAUUGCCACUUGUGUGUAACGACAGUUGCCGCUUGUGUAUGAUGACAAUUGCCACCUAUUUUGACCUGUUGCUUGCCAUCCCUAUCUUCCAUGUGCAAGCAGCAGAAGAAUACAAUUCUUGUGGAUUAUUGAUGCCUUUUUGAUCAUCCAGUGAUUGAGAACAUGUCGGAAAAGAAUCGAGACGCGGAAAGGAUGAAUCGCGAAGGUGGCGCUGAUGCUUGGGGUUCUAAAAGGCCAGAAACACCGCCUUGGGAUGCAGCAGAGUAUAGUCAACUCAUCUCUGCAGGGCCGUUGCUGCCACUACUAGAAUAGUAUGCAGGCGUAGGUAUGAUGCGUGGUAACAAAAAGAAGAGAGCAGUUGCCAACUUCGCAACGAUGAAGAUGACAUUCUACUUAUGUCCUACACUCCCAUUUUUUUGCAGGUUCUUAUGACCAAAACACUCUCAGGGGGGCCCCAUGGCAAGUUCAGUCACAAGGCGCUAACACUGACAUAUUUACGGGCAACCAACCUCAACUAGCUAGUAUGGCUAAUCAAGGUAAUGCAAAAACCAAAAAAAACACAUACUGCUGUGGACGUGAAAAAUGGACAUGCAAAAAAACUGGCAAGAGGACUCAUGAGUUAUCACGGGUGAAAAUGCAGGGCCUUCAUGCAGCACGUGGCAUCAGCCAACACCCAUGUACCUGCCAUCCACGUCAUACAUAGGUCAGUCCAUAAAAAAAGUGAAGUUGCGGAUGUUCAAUUAGUAGAAGGGGCAUAGUUGGCAGCUCCAAAUUGCCAUGACUGGACUUCUACAAUUGCCAUGAAUUUAAAACUAUAUUUGCCAUCCCUGGACAACUGUUGUUGCCAUCAGUGGACACUUGCAGUUGCCAUGGAGAAACAACUGCAGUUGCCAUGCCAGAGCAACUACAGUUGCCAUGUCAUCGCAACUGCAGUUGCCAUGGAGGAACAACUGCGGUUGCCAUGCCGAUGCAACUAUAGUUGCCAUGCCAGUAAAACUGCAGUUGCCACAUCAGGGGCGACUGCAGUUGCCGUGCUAGCACAAACUGCAAAUUGCCAUGAAUUGACCAACCACUACUAUGCUUACAGCGUAUUACGCUGGUGGUGACACGGCAAUCGUCCCGUGGCAAGCUUCACAAAUUGCAGGUGGAGCACGACAUUUUGGUGUCACAGACCACACAAGAUGGCCAAAUGCAACACAACAAGGUAAGGAAAAAAAAUGAACCACAAAAAACAUCACUACAUUUGUUGUUUGUAGUUUUUUGUAGGAAAAACAAUAGUUGCCAUGUUUGUUGAACAGUACCUGCCAUGACUGGACAGCUACAGCUGCCACACAUGUCCACACGCAGUCUCACGGCUUGCUGUUUGAAAAUAUGUCGUGCCAAAUCAAUCGAAGAUGGUGUGAUCCGUUGUGAUACACAUCUUAUUCAACCAAAAAAUCUUACUCUCGUGCUUGUUUUUUCUAUUACAGAACCUACAACUACAGUGAACAGCGGUGCGGGGACAUCUACUGCGGGGAGCUCUGAGCGCACGGAAGACGCGUUCCACCAGCCAGCAGACUGUCAUGCCGCAAACAAUUUCGAGUAAGAGUCGGGAAUGGCAAUCAUUCCAGCAAUGCCGACGAGCACCCCUUUGAACACAAGCACUAGCAACACUCGAGUAGAUGGAACUGCCGCCGAUACUGAAGCGAAUGAUGAAACUGACGAUGAUGCACAAGAGGAUGAAGAUGGUGGGCAAUCCGAGAUCGUGGUACCUCAGCCACCAUACAUUGGGCAGAGAUUUGGAUCGUUCGCAGAAGCAAAGGAAUACUACCAGGCAUACGCAAAGUUCCAUGGAUUUGCGGUCAACACCGAGUACCAUAGGAAAAUUAAGAAAACUAAUGAGUACAGCAGAGGUGAGAUGAGGUGCCACAAGGCACGGAGGAACAAGAAGGGGAAAGGUGUUGCGCCUGUCGUUCCGGAACGAAAGAGAGGCAUCAUUCUCAAGACGGGGUGCCCUGUCCGGUGUAAGCUAAACGUAGAUGGAGCAACAUGGGUGGUCAAUGAGUAUUAUGACGAGCACAACCACAAACUUAUAAAGAAGUUCGACCUGGUGAAAUUUCGGACCGCCCACAGAGGGUUCACCCCCGUCGAAAGGAAAUUCGUAAAGCUGCUACAUGAUUGUAACGUCGGUCCAUCAAGAAUGGUACAGAUACUAUCUCUCAUCCACAGCAAAAAGGGGACUCUGAGUAGCAUGCCGUACAUACCAGCUGACGUCACAAACCUACAGGCCAAGUACCAUAGAGAGAGCAAGUUGGCAGACAUAGAGGCCACAAUAGCCUACUUCGAUGCGAAAGCAAAGGAAGAUCCAGAUUUCUUCUACAGGAUAAGGUUGGACGAUGAGGACCGUGUCAGGAACAUGUAUUGGGUGGAUGGUGCUGCAAGGAGAGCCUACAAACAUUUCCGAGAUUGCAUUUCAUUCGACGCGACGUACCUCACCAAUAUGUACAAGAUGCCAUGCGCUCCGUUCAUAGGAAUAAAUAACCACAAUCAGUCGUUGCAGUUCGGAUGCGGCCUCGUCCGGAACGAAGACACAGAUGGGUACGUUUGGCUGUUCAAGACCUUCUUGGAGUGCAUGGAUGGACUUGCUCCGAUGAACAUAAUAACGGACCAAGAUUUCAGCAUGCGUGCAGGCAUAGAGGAGGUCUUUCCGUUGGCAGUGCACAUGCACUGCAGGUGGCACAUUAUAAAGAAGGCUAAGGAGACGCUAGGACCGUUCUUUGCCGACCGUCCAGAGCUGCACAAGGCAUUCGAGUUGUGCAUGGACCACAGCUUGACGGUGGAGGAGUUUGAAAGGAGCUAGAUGGCCAUGACUGAAACACAUCAAGUCCAGGACAACGAGACUCUUGUUAGCCUGUGGGAGAAGCGAAUGUACUGGGUGCCGGCCUACUUCAUGCAGUGCUUCUUCCCCUUUCUGCAGACUACACAGCGCAGCGAGGGGUUCAAUGCUGUUUUAAAGCGGUACGUCAGCCCUGGCAACUCAUUGCUACAGUUUGCCAAGCAGUACACAGCUUUGCAACAAAAAAUUCUGGGAUCUGAGCUACAGCAAGAAGCGACCACAGCCCUAAAGCAGCCAAAAUUGCUAACGUAUUUACCGAUGGAGAGGCAAAUGAGCAAGAUAUACACCAACAAGAUCUUUAACAAGUAAGUCAGUUGCAUUACAGUCUUAUUUGCAUAAAAAGCACCAAGUCAGUAGGGGCCUUAUAGAGUGCAAUGCAGUUGCCAUGACAUGCAGCUGCCAUGUUUAAUGAAAUACUGUUUGCCAUGCUUACUCAGAUGCAGUUGCCAUGUUAAAAUGAAAAUUUUGUUUUGGCAUACUUGCUCGGGUGCAUUUCCCUUGUUGAAUGAAGUGCAGUUGCCAUGUUUUAUGCGCUGUGCUUCCAUUGGAGCAUGUUGGCAUGCAAAUGCCAAUGUCAAAAAAUGCUAAAAAAAUGUUAUAUUGGCGACACAUAUGCUGAAAUGCAGUUGCUAUGUUUAAUGAAAUGCAUCUGCCCUUUUUUUUGAAAUGCAAUUGACAUGUUUACUCAGCUGUAGAUGCCAUGUUUAAUAAAAAUGCAGUUGCCAUGUUUUAUGCAAUGUGCUUCCAUUGGGGAAUGUUGGUGUGGAAAUGACGAUAUCCAGUUGAAAAUGUACUGCAAUUGUCAUGUCUGUUGUACUGCAAUUGCCAUGUAUGUUGUAAUGCAUUUGCCAUGUGUAGUGUACUGCAUUUGCCAUGUUCAACGUAAUAUAUUUGCCAUGUUCAAUGAACUAUGUUUUCCAUGUUCAAACAAAAUGUAUUUCUAUUUCCAUGACAACAUAAGGGUGUACAAGAAAAAGAUCGCACGAAAGUUUAACAGAAAACACACAAAACUUGCAGAUUCCAGGAAGAAAUAAAGCGUGCCAGCAUGUUCACGGCUUUCCGGGUGGAUGAACAUACGUUCAAGGUGUGUUCUAUUUUGGGCAUGUCAGAUUCAGAACCUGAAGACGCGGACAAAGGAAGGAACUACUUCGUCAGAGCCUCGAUAGGCGAAGGCGAGUACUACUGCCAAUGCUGCAAAUUCGAACGGGACGGCAUUGUGUGCUGUCACAUACUAAAAGUCAUGGACAUGAACGCUGUGACACGCAUGCCCCGCCAUUUCAUAAGGAGGCGAUGGACUUGGGACGCUGACGACGCGUUGGCGCCGCAGACAACACACGCAGUUCUAGCUGUGCAUGACGAGAGACCUGAGUCAACCAUGGAAGCCGUGAGGCACGUUGUGCUGACAAAGAACUAUGCUGAGCUAAUUGAUGAAGCGUGCAAGAGUGAUGACACAGCGAGAGUCGCAGAAAAACACAGGAAGGCACUGAAAAGAGAGCUUGAUGAGAUCAAAAAAAGGAAAGCCGAGGAAGCCUUACACCGGUUCCCCCGCACAUCAAGUGUGCCUUCAUCCACGGGGCCAUCGUCUGAAAACUCGGAGAUAGGAUCUGGAACAGCAAGCACACAAACCCAGGUCAGGAACCCACCCCGUUCCAUCACAAAGGGUCGUCCGAGAGAGAUAAGGUACAAGUCGGGACUGGAGAUUCAAGCAAAACACAAGAAAACGAAGAAAGGGGCGGGCAAUCCAUGAGCAAAAAUUGGGGCGCUGUGACAUGGUUCAUGUGGACAUUUUGUUUUGUACCCCUAUACGAUGGGAUUUUUUUUAAUUGGGAGAAUGACUCUUGAGGGGGGACAGAAGUAGAAGGAAAAUUCAUUGAAUGGAUAAAUGCAUUUGCCAUGUUAUGGGUACUUAAUCUGCCAUGUUAUGUGUAGUUAAUCUGCCAUGCUAUUUUAUACCAAAUAUGCCAUGCUAUUUUAUACUAGAUAAGCCAUGCUAUUUUAUACUAAAUAUUCCAUGCUACUUUAUACUAAAUAUGCCAUGUUAGUUGUACUGGAUCUGCCAUGUUAGUUGUACUGGAUUUGCCAUGUAAGUUGUACUGGAUCUGCCAUGUUAUUUAUGAUGUAUCUGCCAUGUUAGCUGUACUGAAAAUUUCCGGAUGCUUUUUGUAAUGACUCUGCAUGGCAUAUAUCCCCAUGACAAAUACGAUGCGGUUUAGAAGCACGUAGUGUGUUGUAUGCAAUGUAUGGGAAAACAAGUUGGAAAAAAAGCGUAAACGUGCAUAAACCGCAGCAAACGUUAUGGCUACAUGAUAAACCUACCCAAUGCUAGCCGGUGCAAUUAGCGAUGAAAAAGAACAAGCAAAACAGCCAAAAAUGAAAAAGUGACGAUGACUUUCACUAACCAUGUCUGUUGAACUACAUUUGCCAUCUUGUUUUUGAAAACAUCGCAGACGCAUUCGAAACAGCAAAAAACAAUGCUAGAAACGACGAAACCACUGUUGUAAUGAUAAACAUAAAAACAUAUCUGAUGUAACGCCUAAAAUAGGUUCACGUCCACACAUGUAUUACAGAAAACACUAAAAAUGUCGCUAACACGCCACCAUUACAUAGUAGGCUACACGAGGUUGCAGUCAUAACGUAGCACACAAAACAUAGUUUUCGACAAAGAACAGAGAGAUAGUACCUUACAUUCCUCAACAACAGAAUGUAAGGUGUGUGUCUGGUGUGUAACGCCACGUGAUCACUUGUACUUCUUGAUGACUUGCUUGACAGCUUCCUCCACGAACUCGCGUGCUCCGGACCGCUUGUUGAAAUCUUCAUUCGUCAGCCAGUUCCAUGUGCAGAUUUUUCGGAGCUCAACGACCGUUGCAUCUGUGAUAGCGGGGACAAUUCUGCCUUCCCACUUUGCAAAGUAUUCCAGCGCGUGAAAGCCACAGUCCGUCCUGCACGAGGAAAAAGAGUUUAGGUGAACACGCAAAAUGGACAGCUGCAGCAAAGAUGGACUUCAGUUCAGAUGUGUCAACAAAAAGAGGGGGUGGAUUGAUGUAAAAAUGGCACAUGAAGGAGCGGGUUAAAAGAAAUUAUGUGUUCCCUUGCUUCACAGUCGCCACAUACUCAGUCGGGAAAUGCCUGAUCUGGACCUUUGAAUGUUCGUAGUGACGGUUCCAAGUCUCUUUGAGGUUCUUGAUGAAGAGUUCAGCAUGCGUAGUAAGGUCUGCAUCAGCUUCCGAACGGAUUGAAUCAAGCACCUCGAUACGUUGGUUCUUCAGCUCAAGACAGACCGCAUAGUGGUGACCACACUUGUCGUGUCGGUCGUGUGGUGCAAGCUCCUGGAACAUGGGGAACAUGACCUGCAUUUAAAAAAGUGAAGAAAUGAGAUACAAAGUUCACAUGAAAGAACAACAGAGGGACAAAAAAUUAGAAUCACGUAGAAAUGUUUGAUUAUGGGUGGGAAUAGUUGAAAGAAAGUUGCCGUCCAUUGUAUGAACAAAAUGAGCCAUGUAUUUUACUAUCAAGUUGCCACAUAGUUUGCAUGGGGAUACAAAAAAUCAAGAAGUCAGUGUGCACGGCAACUGUUGCCACAUGAAAACUUCUGCCACACAAACACAAGUACAGGUUCUGGCAAAAAACCACGCCAUGUGAAAAAACGGUGCAGACAGGAAAGGAGUACUCACAUAUUUCUUCAGUGUGAGCUUGAAGUCACCGUGUUGUGCAAAAUUGUUCCUCAGGAUUUUGUGGUGGAAGUCACCAUCCCAUAUUUUGCAGGUCACACUGUAAUGCAUGAUUAUCUUGUCGGCGCAUACAUCGGUGUGAUUGUUGAUGUAGUCGAUCCCGCAUGCAACUACAUUCGUCGACAUUUUUCCGUUUGGCCUCAUGGACUCGGCAAGAUCACCCAGGUCGACGUACGUCGCUCCGCACUGAAUGACUUUCGUUCUGUCCAAACAUGAGCUGUAUGAAAAUGAUAUAGCAUGGAAGAAUCAUGCCUACUAAGUAAAAAAAAUAUAUGAAAGAACUAAAACGUAAGCGGAUCAUUUAUAAAAAGUACGAAGUAGAUAAAUGGUAAAAAAGAGCAAGCAACAUGAGAGAUUAUGGGGUAUGGUAAUUUACGCUUUCAGCUCCUUCAUGUGCUUGCUGUUGGUCCUUGCAUUUCCAAAAUGCUUGACGAUAUCGUACAGCUGGGUCUGUUCCUUAGUGGCCCUGAAUUCGGGCUCGUAGUCUUCCGCGGGGGGUGGGUGAACUACCCUCUGCUGCCUCACAGGACCAGGGGUGACACUCCUAAUGGUAUCCUCAGAUACCGUAUCUGCAGGCGCAUUGGAACUUGAUUGCCCUUGCCCUCGUGAGGAACUCCUCUGCAAUGUUGUCUCCUCGAUCAUGCGGUAAACUUCAUCAAGUGACGGUGAAAUCUCCUCAGGGGUGGCUGCAAUGAAUAUAAAAAAAGUGGGUUAGGAUACAUAUAAAAUCCAAAAACAGAUGGAUUGUGAGGAGGUAAAGGUCCAUGAUGUGAUAUGUAGGUAGAAAAAGUGGGGCAGUUGCCAUGGGUGGUCCAACUACAGUCGCUAUGACAUAGCAAAUACAAUUGCCAUGUAGUUGCACUGUAGUUGCCACCUAGUUGUACUGUAGGUACCAUGCCACAGCAACUGCAGUUGCCAUGUUGUGUCGGCUCCACUUGCCAUGUGAAUGCCGUAUGAAAAAAUGCAGCAUGGUAGAAAAAAUGCAGGUGGCAUGAUGUGGCAAAUCCAGUUGCCAUGUGUACUGAACUGUAUUUGCCAUGUGACAGUAACUACAGUUGCCAUGUUGAAAUAACUUCAGUUGCCACGUGCUUGCCCAAAUGUCAAACGCAGCAUGGCAGCAAGAAAAAAACGUAGGUGACAUGGUGCAUCAAAUCCAGUUGCCAUGUCGUCACAUGGCAGUUGCCGUCACAAGUGAGGACCCCCAAAGAAUGUGAUUGGGACAAAAGUCAAACUACAAACAUGUAUACAAGAAAAUCGUAAGUGCGUGAUGAGUGUACCUUGCACAAUUGGCUCUGCGAACUUGACAGCCUUCCUGCCCUCGACCAUUGGCUGCGCCAUCAUUGCGGGCAUGCCUCCUGGGAAAGCAAAGGCAACUGGUAGAGGAUCGUGCACCACCGGUUGAUCUUGACUGACGCCGAGGCUGAAGCUCGGUGGGGUAAAGGCCAUUGGGUGCCUCUCAUUCCUACUGGCCGGACCACGAACGACUUUCGGGGCAGAAUCCAAGGGUGAAAGAUCGACAAGCAUAUCUGAAUCGGCCGCUACAAAAUGAUCGGCCUUAUUUGCAGGGCGGGGCGUGUUGUCAGCGGUCUCAGCCGCAGCUUUCAUGACAAUCUUCUUGUUUGGACUGUAGGGGACACCGACAUUGACUGGGAGCCUGGAAGUGCGCAGAUUUAUGCUGGGGAUUUCCGCUGCGGGUGAAGGCGCAGUCUGCUCCGGGCGUUCCUCUGCGUCACUCGUGCCCGGCUUGACACCUGCAUCAGUUGUGCUCCGGUCUUGCGGUUUCUCCAUCACAUUGAUUUUUGUAGAUGGCGGGAACAGUGUGGACGCAGGAACAUAACCAGAUUCGUCUCUCCUGCUCCUAGCUACAGCCGGAGCGUUGGGUGUGUCUAUUGAUUGCUUGCGGGGGCUACGACGCCUAGGUGGAAGACCAGCACGCGGAACGAUCGCCUUAGCAGUAUCUCCACCGACAGGAGCUGGAGCUGUUGUGCCAGGAUUCUCAUCUGCAGAUGGCAUAUCCUUGUGAAGUGCCGCCUCAGCCGCUUCUGUCAUGGACACAGGUGAGACACCAGGCACGCGCUUGGAAUCAGUGUCAGAUGAGCAGGAAUCUUCCUUGCCUAGGUUGGUCUCGGGAGCAUCCACUUCGACGCUUGCUGAUGGGGUGGCAUGGCUCACAGCAGUAUCCUUCAUUGCCAGAAGAGUUGGCAAUAUUUCAGUUGUCCUGGCGGAUACCGACUCGUCACUCCCCGAUGUACGGAUGCCUGUUGUUCUAGCCUGCACAUCUGCAGCUGGCAGAGAUGGUCGGCCACUUGCAUCAGAGUUAGUGGGAGCAGUUGACGGUGCAGCAGCAGUAUUGUCGCCUGGCGCCUCAUGUACAUCUGAGUUGCCACCUGUUGACAACUUUGAAUGCAGGCGUUCGAGUGGGUCUCUACUGAUAUGCUUGGCCCCGCGCGUAGUAGUCUUCUUCACCCUGCAAAGGAAAAAAGCACGUGAAAAAUGGUAUGAAAAAAAUGGACAAAAAAAUAUGUUUGCAAUGAUAGAAGCAUUAAAAAACUAAAAAACAAGUGGAAAAAGCUGGUAGUUGCCAUGUAAGGGGGUCAUGAGUUGCCAUGUGCCAUAGUUAGCAGUUGCCAUACAGCAGCAGUUAUCAAAGUUAGGCAAAUUGAAAGGAAUGAUAGAAAAUGUCUGAUCUGUGAGGAAUGCAGUUUCAAAAUUAGGUGGGGGAUGAACUCUCAGAAGAAAAUGGUAAAAAAAAGAUGACAGUUGCCAUUAGGUACAGAAAUAGUUGCCAUUUGGCCUAGAUGCCAGUUGCCAUGUAAAGAUAAUAGGAGUUGCCAUACAUUUAAAAAAUGAAGGAAGAAAUCAUUUGGAAAAACAGCAGUUGCCUCGUGGGGGAUGAUAACAGAAGAACAUGUGACAAAGCAGACCAGUUGCAUUGAAAAAUCAAGAAAAAAACCGCUAUCUCAAAUGAAAAGCACAUGGAGAAACCUACUUCUUGACUGCCUUCCUCAGGUCAGGCAACACGACAGGAUCCCCGGUGUUGGUCGUCGUCAUACGAGCAGAAGACCUGGUGGAAGGGAUGUCACCGGCAAUGGGGGCACCUUUGUUCAAGCGAGCAGAAACACGGGUUGGCGUUGGCGCCUGUUUCUUCAUAGCUGCUCGUCCACCAGCGAUCGGCUCACUGCACGCAACAGAUGGAAGGAAAAAAGAAGGUGGCAAUUGUCAGACAACAAACUAAUUGCCGCGCUUGACAAAAAACAAGUGCAAAAGAAAUGGAUGAGAUUGUUCCAAAGAAAAGAUACACAGCAGAAAACUAAAAUUGAGAGUCGAACCUCUUCCUGGCAGCUACGGGGUCGAUCCUAGACCUCUUGCCAGCAGAACCCUGCCCAACAUCCUCUGGAGCCCUCCCCCUCCUUGAUGGCAAAACCCCCUCGCCUCUCGCAGCCGUAUGUUCUUUCACUUUCUCCGGUGGGUGGGCACCUGUUGCAUCCUUGCCCUUGUUGCCGCAUGUGCGAACUUCAGCGUGUUCAUCGUCAUCGGUGUCAUCGUCGUCGUCCUUGCUGAGGCCAGCGUCUCCAUCCACAUCAUCCUAUGUGUCACCGGGCUCUUGGGAGCUGUUGUAGUCAUACCGGCCACGGCAACCGGUUGGCCGAUGUGUAUGUUUUGGGACAAAUGAAGUGAACUGCCUCGCAACCGCGUCGCUGUCAGAGGCACUGAGGGACGUCCACCCCUCAACCAACUUCCUGAGCAGGCCGAUCAUUCCGGAUGCGAACUGCCCAAUUAGAUGCUCCACUGGUGCCCUCGCCUGUGCACGAAAACAAGAAGCAUCAACAAAACAACACCCGUACUGCAUUCGCUUCCGCGACAUCAACAUGUAAUCCAUGGCAAACCGUAGAUGUGGACAUUUUGAUUACCUCAGAAGGGCAAGACGGAGCUGAGUGCACGUCCAUCCACUUUUCAAAUUUUUGAGGCCCCCCAAACACGCUGUAGUCUAUAGCAUGCUUGGCCAUCAGCUAUGAAAAAACAAAAAAAGAAAUUGUAAGCAUGCCUUAUAAACCACGGACGGUUGCGUCAUGUCAAAUUUGUAAGCAUGCCGUGUGAAAAAGACAUAAACAAAAACUAACCUGUAGUUUUCCAUAUGUGCCAUCAGUUGCCCUGUCUGCGGCAAGCACAGCCUUGACAGCGCUGAUGGUCCACGCAGAAACAGCAAACUUGUGAGUAGGCGGCGGGCCUCCUAUCCCGGUGAAAUCCACGGUGGACAGAUCAAGAGCGUCGACAUACAUGAGCUGAUUUAAAACAAUUUUGCAAAGAAAAGAAAAUAUCAGUUGCCAUCGUGGUUAAUUUGUAGUUCAGAAAAAAAAGAGCAGGAUAAUGUAUGAUCCAACGAUAAUAUGUAUGUGUUAGUUGCCAUCAAAGUGUGAUGGCAGUUGUCAUCCUACUGUGAUAGCAGUUGCCAUGCUAAUAUGAAGGUAGUUGCCACAUUGUCAGUAUGACAGUUGCCACGUUGUCAUUAUGGCAGUUGCCACAUUGUCACUAUGGCAGUUGCCAUCUUGUUAUGACCAGAUUGUCAUGCAUGAAAUAAAAGUACGUUAUAAACAAAGAGUUCACACAGAGAUCUGGUGAAAAUAAAUACCAUUAAGUGCAUACGACAACCCUUCUGGUACACCUUGUUUUUGAAAGCAUCGUGGAGAAAGUCGGCAAUAAACUUACACCAGUUCAUACUCUUCACGUUUUUCAGAUUCGCCUGCACCACACAAAAUUUCAGGGCAAAAAAGUUUGCCGCGUCAAAAAAUCAAAACGGAAGAAACGCAACGAAAACACUGGCAGUAGCAAGCAUGGAUCAUUCACCAGGAUGGGGAAACAUUUGUUGCUUGGGCGAAGAGAAGUGGUCGGCGCGAAAACAGCUGAGAUGAGGUACAUGAGUAGCUUCAUCUUGAAAACUUCUCCGUGCGUCGUCAUGUCCUGCAGAGAAUCUGCCAGUACAGACGUGUUCGGCAUUGCCUCCAACCCAGGAAACAAACGGGCGAACAGCUCUUCCUCGAUCUCAUUAUUAACCUCGUACGGGACUUUGAUAUGUCCCCGAGGCACACCCGAAGUGCAGAACACGGAUUCCUCAUUCAAUGGAAGUCUUCCCCGUCCCGGGAUCACGAAUUCCCUGGAGGCGGGAUCGUAUAUCUCACCAAGCCAGUCGCAUACCGGGUUGACAAGGUUCGUACACCGGACAUCCAUCAGAACCUGCAUACCCAUCUCAGCAGCAGCUCCCUUUUGAUCGUCAGUGAAUUUGUCAAUCAACACGGUCAGACGUUCCUGGGAGGCUCUGUUGCGAAUACGUUUCUUCUUCUGCAAAAAACAAACACAAAAGUGUUGAGCUGUUGCCAUGUUUUUGCAAUGUUAUGAAAAUUUAGUUCAUGAUGGACGACUAUAAAAAAGAUCUAGCUGCCAACAAAUAACAUAAAUCGGGAGGAGGGGGGCGGGUGUGCGGACAGUUACCUCAUCGCCCUCUUUUCUCCGUCCAGUUGCCUGGUUACGUUGAGGUGGAUCCAUGAAAUCGUCAUCAUCACUUUGAUGAUCGCCACGAGCCAUUCUGCUGAUGUAGGAACAGACCAAAUUGUUAAUGGCGAAAAUGUAAAAUGCAAUGGGUAAGCAGUUGCCACCUAACAGAAAAAUAUUAACUAUUUGAAUGCAAAUGUGGUUGCCAUACUAUGCAGCCAGUUUGCCACACUGUCAUAUCUGUAUUGUGGCAACAGACAUUUUGUUCACAUACUGUAUUGCAACAUGAUUAUACAAAAUCCAAAGUGGCAAACACGCCAACUCGAUGUGCACAUUAGUUCCGUCCAGUUCUACCGAUUGUGGCAACUAUCAAAGUUUGGAAACUGUCACAAAUAAUUCAGAAAAAAAAACAAGUCUCACAAAUGAAAAAGAAUGUUUGAGGUUACUAUUAUGUAAAUUCAGUAAAAAAAUCAGUUUGCCUCGUUCAAGAGCGUGUAUGUGGCAACUAUCUCAUUCAUUCAGUAAAAUUUAGUUGCCCCCCUUGUGUGUGAGCUUGAACACAUUUGUGGCAACUAUGACAGUCAGUUUCAGAAAAUAUGUUGCCGCAGAAGAGAACACAUUUGUGGCAACUGCCACAUUUGUUCAUGUAGUUUAGUUGCCACACACCUGUUCACGUUCGGUCAUACUGCCAUAGUUGCCACAUUCAGAAAGCAUAUUUUUUCUGGUUACUUAUCGUACAAGUUCAGCAGAAUUAAAUUUGCCACAUGGGAAGAGCAUGCGUGUGGCAACUGCCACAGGAGUUCAAAUGAAAUUAGUUGCCACCUCGUUUUGGGGUGGCAACUAUGACAGUCAUUUUCGGAAAUCUGUUGCCACAUGGGAGAACACGUUUGUGGCAACUACCACGUUUCUUCAGGUAGUUUAGUUGCCGCACAUUUGUUCACGUUCAAUCAUACUGCCAAUUUCGCCACAGUCUGCAGUUUCAACCCCAAAACUAGACUAGGUCUAGGUUUCAAUGGCAACUGCUUCAACCUCAAAAUCACCCUUACAAUUCUCGCGCGAAAUGGCUGCAACCCCAAAUUUCGAACCAAUCCACACCAAAACAACCCGGCGGACAACUCUCAAAAUCCAAAUGCAAGACUAAUGCGUUGCCUACGAGUAGGCAUAGCCUCACCGACGAUGUCGCCGCAGCGGCGGCGACGAAACUGCCCACUCCCACGAAGCAACGGCAGGCACACAACUAUGGCGCACCGCCGCAGUGGCGGGAACGCCGGCGCACCGCCGAAUCGCCGAAAUUUCUAGGAAUGGAUCUAGAAAUCGAACAGGGAGGAAAGAGGGGAACAAAAUCAGGGAGGGUAUGCGAUAGAUGAAGCGAGCAUUACCUUCGACCCGCACGCGUUCCGGCGACGCCGCUCCGCUCCGACGAGCACCACCAACACCCGCGAACACCGUCGACUGUCCCGCCUCCGCCGUCGCCUUCUCCCCUCGCCUUCUCCUCCAGUGUACUGUAAUGCGAGUGGGUUGUGCCAGUAAAUGCGACGCGGGGGAGAGUGAAUGGAACCGUGAGGGAGAGGGUGUAGGGGUGUGCGACGUGUUUGACGUCAACUGCGGUCGGACCGUGGCGUGCAGGCGCAUGGCAGUUCCACCACACGCCUCUCAGUGGCAACCGCUGACCGCGGGAUGGCAACUACCGUGCGGGCGAACCCACUCGCACACCGCACACUAGAAUCGUCCAACGUGGCGCCGAAAACCAGCCCUUUUGCUCCAAGAAUCGUGCAAAACGAAACCAACGGCGAUGCUUGCGUGUGGACGGAGUGGUGAACGCCCACACGUGUGGGCGUUAACAUUUCCGUAUAUUAAGUGGGCUCCACUAUUGGGGCCCUAAGUCAGGCCCAUCUGAUAGUAGCAUGGAAGUAAUUUGUGUGGCAUGUUCGGCGCGCCUCUAACACUAUUGGGAAAAGUCUUAUAAGUGGGCUCAAAUUAGUGGUGGGUAAAAUCUAUCGCUGGACAACAGCGGCGGGCAAAAAAAGCCAGCCGACAAUCAUAAAUUUGUACAAAUUUAGUCAUGGCAUAAAAGAAGCAGUGGAGGGCGACAAACUUUAGCCCGCCACUGGUUUGUCAUCCACCAAUGGCGGGCGAAAAGUUUGCCCACCACAGCAAUAUUUUUGUUAGCCUGCGCCAAAUUUUCCAAAUUUAGCAGUGGUGGGCGCCCAACCAUAGAUAUAGUAAGUAAGAAAUAUGGUUGAAACAAAUCAUAUUUACUAAACACGGAAUAGUUGAAAUGAUGUAGAAAAACCGAGUUGUCUUUGAAAGGCGGUGGUUUCCAUGCGAAACUCUAAUACUUCAUUCAAGAGCGUUCAGUUUGUACACAAAGUGCAUUAAGUUUUUCCCGUAAUGCUCUCAAAUUUUAUGACACCUUACAAGGGUCCUAUGAAGACACCAUGCCAACACCCUACAAGGGUCAUACGAAGACACCUUUGUAGAACUCUUGUGCACGUUAUGUUGAAUGGAAAUGCGUACUGCCCUUUUUAGGGGCCGGAAAAUCAAUUAAUGCUUCAAAAAAAAAACCAACUCAAAAGGUUCUAAAUUUUGAGAAUGGAACUCCCAAUGGUGUGUUUUAAACAUAGUAAAACUUUGAAGUUGAAAUGAUGUGGAAAAUUGAGAUGUGUGUGAAAGACGACGAUUUCCGUUCGAAACCAUAAUACUUCACGGGAGAGUGUUUAGUUUGUACAUGAAAGACAUCAAUUUUUUGUCAUAACACUCUUAAAUUUUUACCACACCCUUCAGGUGUCCUAUGAAGACACUCUAUGCCAAGUUUCAUCCAUUUUCGAGCUCGUUUGCACAUUAUGUCGAACGAAAAUGUGUUUAGUCCUUUUUAGUGGCGAGAAAAUCAAUUAAUGCUUCAAAAAUAGCAAACCAACUCAUAAAAGUUCUAAAAUUUGAGCACAGGACUUCCAAUGAUGUGCAUUAAACAUAGUAAAAGAAUUAAGUCAAAAUGAUGUAGAAAAAUUGAGUUGUAUGUGGAAGGCGGUGGUAUUCAUUUGAAACUCUGAUACUUCGUAGGAGAGUGUUGAGUUCGCCACGAAGUGCAUCAAGCUUUUGCCCUAUCACUCUCAAAGUUUAUCACACACCCUACAUGGGUCCUAUAAAACACUGUGCCAAGUUUCAUCCAUUUGCGAGCUCGUUUGUAUGUUAUGUUGAACGGAAAUGCACUCACCCUUUUUAGUGCCUGAAAAAGAGUUAAUGCUUCAAAAAUAGCAAACCAACUCAAAAGGUUUUAAAUUUAAGCAUGAGACUUCCAAUGGUGUGUAUUAAACAUAGUGAAGGUUUGAAAAAGUGGCCAAAUUUAAGCAUGUUAUUUUGAACUGAACAAUUAAAUUACUCACAUAUGCAAAAUAAAUAACAGUGUCGGGCGAUGCGCAGGGCCCGCCACAACUAAGACUUAGCAGUGGCGGGCUUAACCCACUGCCUACCACAUGGAAUUUCACCGAAAACAAAUCGACCGUGCCCCUUCGCCGCUCGACACUAUCUCCAUUUCCCACAAAUCCAACCCCCUCGAAAAUCGAUAUUUCCGCAACCGCGGACCGCGCCGCCUCCUCCGCCGCAUUGCCGCCGUGCCCAUCCCCGCCGCUUCCUUCACUGAGCUGCCGUGGAAGUGCGCUUCUAGCGCCGUCAUUCCUGCCCGCGUCGCCGCCUCCACCGCGCCGUUGUCGUGCCCGUGAGCCCCUUCUCUCUAGUGAGAAGAGCACCCUCUCCCUCUCCCUAUUCACUUCAGUAAUCAGUAGCAAGCUAUCAGCUAGGGUUCCACACCACCAUACCAACUAGAUCGGGAUCGCGCCUUGGCGCGAGAGGGCUGGUGUCAACGUUUUGGUCAAGCAGAUAAUGCUAAGUCAGUAGUAAUCCAGGCUAAGCAUAUGGGGAAAGCUUAUCAUGUUUAGUAAUACAAUAAUUUCAUUUACAUGCCCAAAACAGAAGUAUUUUAGCCUGUUCAAGAGCAACAUGACAUAAAGUUCAUUGUUAAAGAGUAGCAAAAGCAGCAAGUGGCAGUGACAUUACAGGUGCAUAGCAAGUCACAUGUCAUAGGACACAUAGUUUUACAUGACAAACACAAAUAGUUAAUCCAUUGAAACAUGACUAACACAAAAGUUAAUCCAUCGAAAUACAUACUAUUGGGCAAAAGAAAGCAUCAAUUACAUCUUAGAUAAGAUAGUAACUUAGAUAGCCAGCUCGAUGUACCAUUAUCUUUGACUCAGUCAGACCCCUACUUCUAUAGAUUUGAAAGUUGUGGAUCAGAAAUAGAAUUGGUGAUGGCUACUACACGUGGGACAUAGAUAUAUUGCAAAAUGAUUUAGUCGACUGAUGUAUCCUUUCUUCUGCCUGGGCAUGAUGACAGUUUCCAAAUAAAUCUUUAGGUGCAGUGUAUGCAAAUUCUCUCCUAGUGUGUUCGCUGUCAAAUUGUUUAGACAACAAAUAAAUGUGGUAUCCUUCUUGAGUAAUCACCACCCAAAAUCCAUACACAAAUUUUAGAAUAUACCCUGUCUCUCUGGAGGAGUGUGCUCGUCUGCCGCAGUUUGCAUUUCCUGGAAACAUAACCGUCAGGGGGCGAUAUACAUGGGAUUUAUUAAUGGGCUCAUGAAGAACGGAGAGCACCUGUGGAACAGAGCAAGCAUUUAUAUUGUUUUUUAGUCUUUGGGUUUAGUGUCUUUAUUAUAAUCCUUUCAAUUUGGCUGGUUAGAAUGGAUAACUUCUUUUAAUCACUUGCAUGGCUUUCAAUAAUCAUUGCCCAUGAGGAAGCUGUCAGUAGCUUUGUCUGACAGGCCCUUAGCUCAGAUAGGUUUGCAUCAUCUACAUAUAUCAUCCACGUGUUCUUUAAAUCAGUCAAAGUGGCCGAGCUAGCCGAUUCUAUAGGAUCUUCUUAUGAGCUAGCAUAAUAUCCAUGGAUUUUUUCUGUUUCUGACAAGGGUUGCUCCUAUCAACAGAAAAAUGCAGAGAGAUCCAUUAUUACAUCUCAGUAAGGUGGUCCCAUUUUUGGAUUUUCCUUACUUCGAUGCAUUACUUUGAGCUCCUAUCAAUCAUGCACCGAAAAUCUCACAAUGAACGAAAUAAAACAAUCCAAGGAAGUGCCACACAUCGACAAUUUGUCGAGUGACUUGGAUCCAGCAGUGGUGGAGAGAGAGAGAGAGAGAGAGAGAGCACACCUGGCAAAGGCCUUAAUCUUCCACAUCUGGUGCCGCGACCUGGUCCAAGCCCGCAUGGUCCUGCUUCCACCACUGCUCAUGCUCCUCCUACUGAGUCAAUCACAAUUCUUAUCACCUGAAAUAAAGACCAUGAACCACAACGCGAAUCAAGACUUGAAAGGUAAACAAACAUUCACAUUUACUUAGAUAAUAGAAAAGGGUGAACAGACACCUUAGGAUACUUAGAAAUAGAUUUCUUCGUGCACUGAUUGAUAGAGUCGUCAGUUGCUUUCAAAUAACAAAAAACUACAUCAAAAAAAGAUGAAUUUAGUUAAAGGAUGCAUGUCCUGCAUACAAUAAAAUGCAUUGCUGCAAAAUAAUGUCAUGAAAGCUUUAAUUCAUGCACAUGUAGCCAUUUGAGCUAUUUCUUUUCAAUUCAAUAAAUGCACUAACUUUGAUGAUAAACAAAGGGAUUAGCUUUGUCGAUCAAUANNNNNNNNNNNNNNNNNNNNNNNNNNNNNNNNNNNNNNNNNNNNNNNNNNNNNNNNNNNNNNNNNNNNNNNNNNNNNNNNNNNNNNNNNNNNNNNNNNNNNNNNNNNNNNNNNNNNNNNNNNNNNNNNNNNNNNNNNNNNNNNNNNNNNNNNNNNNNNNNNNNNNNNNNNNNNNNNNNNNNNNNNNNNNNNNNNNNNNNNNNNNNNNNNNNNNNNNNNNNNNNNNNNNNNNNNNNNNNNNNNNNNNNNNNNNNNNNNNNNNNNNNNNNNNNNNNNNNNNNNNNNNNNNNNNNNNNNNNNNNNNNNNNNNNNNNNNNNNNNNNNNNNNNNNNNNNNNNNNNNNNNNNGCAAGCUCUAUAUGCAGUAUGUUACUAUUAAACAUAAGAUAAGUGAUGCCAAUGUAAGAUAAAAUCACGUGUAGCAGCCUUGACAAAUUAACCAAUUGGAGCUAGAUAUAUGCACUAAAAAGGCCAUAUUACCUACACCACAAUCAAAAGUAUUAUAUACUUUUGUAGAUCUGCAUACAACUUAGUGUCUUAUCAACACUAUCAUACAUAAAAUCAACCAAUGGAAUAAGGCUGGGAGCUAGCAGCAGGAGCAGGAUUCAGCUGGUGAAUGGAACAAGCAGGGGGGUCCAUCCAUUAACAGGCAGCUGGUGAACAGGCAGGAUUGUAGCCCACCUUCUUCAAGUAGUAGCUAACUUCAUUGACAAUUUCAAAGUAGCGAGCCCUGGAGUACUUUGGGGUAGUAGCAUCUAUCUGCACCAAACAAACACAAUAUUCAUUAGAGCAUACACACCUCAAACCAUUCAAAACAAUUGCAUAUUGGAUAUUAAACAAAUAGAAGUACUUAGAGCAGAGUAUAGGCAUGCAAAUUCAGACAAAUACAGAGAAAAAUGGUCAGAUCAAAGCCAACUAUAGAGAGCAAUAGACAGAUCUAUCAAGGAGACAAUAUCAUUAACCUCCACAUUUAAAAAAAUGUAAGAAGCGAUACUGGCAGCACCAUAUGUCAUUUCAAAUUCAAAUAGUAUAAAUGCAGGAACCAAAUAUAUUUGCAACAAGAUAUUUCAAGUAACAUAGUUUAAUUUGUUUGGGGGCAGUAGUGCAAAUUAGAGAACUCUAUUCGCAAAAAAGAUAGAGAACUCUAUCUACAAGCAGAAGCACAUCAUUCAAUAAGUAUAAACACCAACACUGAGUUAAAUGGAUCAAUUAACAAGCAAGCAACAAUAACUACCAUUGAAAUAUUACCUUGUUGCAGCAGCAGAUCAUCUGCCUGACGCCAAGAGUGAAAGCAAGGAGAGCAUGCUCACGGGUCUGGACAUCAUUGGAGAUACCAGCCUCAAAACCACCAGUGGUGGAUUCAAUGAUAAGCACCGCAAAAUCAGCCCGGGAGGUCCCAGUGAUCAUGUUCUUGAUGAAAUCACGGUGUCCAGGAGCAUCAAUGACAGUGCAGGAGCAAUGUGCAUCUGUCUUGCAUGAAGCUCGCUCCUUGAAACAACAACCAAGUCAAGAGUGUCUGUUCUUAUAGCCGAGGCCAUCAGUAGUAGAACCUGGCACGCCGAUUAUCAAUAACUUACGCUGAUGCGAUAAGGACAGGUACAUACAUCAUGUAUAUGCUUAUGUGUCUAAGCAAACAGCAACACGUGCCUUGAUGUAAUAACAGGAUAUUCAGUACCACCCUGAAGUAUGGACUUACAGUAGGGCAUGUUCUUUUCCCUUCAGCUCCAGCUCUGAAGAAGUGUCCAGCUGCUGAUGUCAAUUCAGGUACCUGCAGUCAUGAUCCAUGUCGGAGAUACAAGGUUAACAAAGCCACAAAGCACACAAUGCGCACGGUAUAAUUCAGGAUAGGGGUGCAGUUUAGAGCAUGAACCUCAGAUACCACCGUCAAACGCAGUCUGUUCGAGAUUUCCGACACUUCAUCCUUAACCAGUGCAAAGGGGUCUAGCAUCUCCUCUUAUGCAGAAAAAGAAGAGGUUUCUGUUAGGAGAACAGAGCUUUGUGCAAAUACACAUGAAGUGCCUUCACAAUAAUGCUCAUAGGAUAAAAAUCCUUCAACUUUCAAGCCAAGAGUUCAUCUCUACCUUAUUUGUUGACCCUACUCCUCCAUAAGUCUGAUGCCUAGUGCUGUCAAAACAACACAAAAAAUCACUGAAGGAUUCUAAUACCAUAUAUUCUUCUAUUGAUUCGAUCGAUGGGGUGCACUUGACUGUAGGUAAAUUAGAUUAGAUGAUAUGCCUAGCAAAUAACUUAAAGGUUUGAAGAAAAAUUGAAACCAGAGAGGCACUAAGCAUAAUUGUUGGUGGCAACAAAGGCUAGCAGCAGCUGCUGUUCUACACGCAUCAUGAUCACAGAGGGAACCAAGCCUACUAAAUCGAAACACAUCAGGGAUUAAGAGAGAUAGAGAAGGAGAAGAAGAAGAAUAGGGGGCGGGGGAGGAGACCUUGAUAUGGUGCAUCCAUGGCUGUGGCGGUGUGGUCCGAGGUCGAUGGUCGCGUCCAGCUCGACGGCGGCGCGGAUCCAGAAGCCCCUGCCGUGGUCGUGGUCGUGGCAAAACAGGUCGUCGCCUAGGGAGAGGCCGUAGCAGGAGGAGGGAGAGGGCGCGGUGGUUGGCCCUGGCCGUGGCAGAUCUGGCCGCCGCCUAGGGAGAGGUUGGCGGCAGGAGGAGUGAGAGGGCGCGGUGGUUGGGCGCCGGCCAGGAGGUGGAAGGAGGAGGAGGGCGCGGUGGCGUCAAGCGGCUGUAGGGNNNNNNNNNNNNNNNNNNNNNNNNNNNNNNNNNNNNNNNNNNNNNNNNNNNNNNNNNNNNNNNNNNNNNNNNNNNNNNNNNNNNNNNNNNNNNNNNNNNNNNNNNNNNNNNNNNNNNNNNNNNNNNNNNNNNNNNNNNNNNNNNNNNNNNNNNNNNNNNNNNNNNNNNNNNNNNNNNNNNNNNNNNNNNNNNNNNNNNNNNNNNNNNNNNNNNNNNNNNNNNNNNNNNNNNNNNNNNNNNNNNNNNNNNNNNNNNNNNNNNNNNNNNNNNNNNNNNNNNNNNNNNNNNNNNNNNNNNNNNNNNNNNNNNNNNNNNNNNNNNNNNNNNNNNNNNNNNNNNNNNNNNNNNNNNNNNNNNNNNNNNNNNNNNNNNNNNNNNNNNNNNNNNNNNNNNNNNNNNNNNNNNNNNNNNNNNNNNNNNNNNNNNNNNNNNNNGUCUCACCCGGAUCGCUAUUGGGGACUUUUUCAACCGCGUGAAGUGACGAAAAUGCCCUCGCAGGCUCUGGGAAUUACAGGCGGUGGCAUCCCAGUUCUAAUACUAUUCAUUGCAAUAUUGUUUCAAUCUAAUCCGACGGAUGAGGUGAUUUCUGAGGAAGAUCCAACGGCCCAGAUCUCAUCAAGCCACCCGAUCCGACGGCCAGGGAUCCAAACGGCUGAGGAGCCGGGAGGAUGACUGUCAUCCUUAUUUCUCGAUUUGUGGUCCUCUACUAGUUCAAUUUGUAGAUGGUUUGAUUUGACAUGUUUAGAUGGUUUUGUGGAUUAUAAGACUAGCUAGAUGAGCAUGUUCUAGGCAAACACUAAUUGACCCUUUUAAAUAAAUAGCGUAGGUAUGGUACAUUAUACAUUGCUUACUCACAUUCUCCGUUCUAGGAAUACACUAAGUGAGUUAAGUUCAUUAAACAAUAGACACAAGUAAAAGUUGAUUAAAAUGAGUGCUUGUGUUGCUCGCAAUGGAUUCACGCUUUUUCUUUUCAAAUUUGCUGGUAUGAGGAUGAGUGCCAAUGUUUUGGCGAAACAUCGAUUAAGUUAUGUUUCGCCAAACUUUUAGCACUCGCUAUGUCCGACUUUUUGCAAAGGUCAUGUCCAAUUUUUUCGUCGGUAUUUUGCUUAGGGUUAACUGGAGUAAUGUUGGUUUCUAUUUGCAGGGAUCAAAAUGAGUGACAAUGUUUUGGCGAAACAUUGAUUAUUUUUAUUGCGGCAAAUUUCUAGCUCUCGAUAUGUUUAAGUUUUUAGAAACGGUAAUGCCCGACUUUUCCAUCGAUAUUUUGCGUACGGUCAAUUGGAGUACUAUAGGUGUACUUGGGAAAAGACAGAGAACCUUUCUACUAUCCAAACUGAAUAUUAAAGGGCAUUAGGAGCUGUUUUUUUAAGGGCGGGCUACCCUUAGCCUCUGCAUCAAGAGAUGCACGCGACGAUUUAUUUAACUGAGUGAAGUAUCAAAGUACGAGUAACAUCUCAAGUAUGUGAACAAAUUAAGAAUGUAAAUAGCCAUAAUAUGAAAAAAUAGGACACAACCCCUAUCCUAUUAUUGGACCGUCAUCCAAACCGAUUGUAUAUAGCCCAUGCUAUUGUCUCCCAUCAAUUGCACCCAAAGGCCAUAUGCUCCAUCUCCUCAGCAUGGCGUAGCAAUAAUGACCAUGCACGGAUCCAUCCAGAUGCCAGAUAGAUAAUCUGCAAAAAGUUUGUGAUAUUUGUCUUGUUAAAUACAACAUCAUUCCUGCAGUUUCAAGUAGCGCAAAAUAAUGCACAAACUCCCACAUGAAUUCAUGAUGCUGUGUUAAGCUCAAUCCCACCUAACCAAUCUCUGAACAAAUGAAAGAUACUAGUGAGUGAAGAAACAUUAAGGCCUUGUUUGGUGGAGGAGGUUUGGGGAGGUUUGGAGAGGAAUAUCCCCGUAGGGCUCAAAAUCCCCCAGAAAUCCUCGUCAGCCUAUUUGACAUGCAGGGAUUGGGCAGGCCAACCCCCUCUGAUCCCCACGAAUCCCUCCCAAUCCAUGUGGUACGAAAAACCCCCAGAACCAUCCAGGGAACAGAGAAGAGUUGAAUGCUUGCUAUGCUGCUGUUGUUGUAGGAAGUUUAACCAAACAGAGGGAUUUCUAAAGGGAGAGGGAUUAGUGGGGAAUGGGUGGAGGAGAGGGAUUCACCCAAUCCACUGAAAUCCCCCUCUCCACAAACCUCCCCAAUCCCCUUGUAUCAAACGAGGCCUAAAGGACACAUGUAUUGUUCGCAACAGUAACAUGACUAGUGGACAUGUAAGAAACAAAUGUUCAAUAUCGUUUCCUGGUGAUCACAAAAGCAACACCGUUUGCUCACGCUUUGCCAAAUUAGUCUUAGUCAGAAUCACUCCCUUAUGCACAAACCACAUACUUCUUAUUUGAAGGCCACCUUUAUUUUCCAAAUAUCAAUAGAUAUGGGGAUUGGUCCAGUAUUAGUCAAGUCCACAUACAUAGAUUUUAGUGAGAACACACCCGAAAAUGAGAGUUUCCAUCGGAAUAGAUCUAACUCAUUAGAUAGAUUGACCUCCAUCAAUAUAUGCACCAAAUGUUAUCAUCUAUCCCAUCGUCCCCCAAUUAAAGCCCAUCUGACCUAAAUAUUGAAGGGAACAUAACCUAGUAUUGUACUUACAAGUCCGUUUUUAUACAAUAUUUUAAAGAGUUGGAUACUACAAAACUAGAGGCGUCUCCCUCAGUCAAGUGUCCUUCUAGAAUCUAGUUGUGUGUCCAUUCUCCAAUGAUAAAUUUACUUCUGUUAAAGAAAGCGACCUUAGACUAGCCACAGUGGGAGUAACUUCAGCAGUAACACCGAGUCCAACUCAGCAAUUUUGCUUAUGUGGCAAUGAGUUAAUGAGGAGAGAUGUAGUUUGAGUAACUUAGCUAGUUACUGUAACAUCACAUAUCCCAAUGCAAUAUGAGUCUAUAGCCUAAUUGAUGAUGAGCGAACCUCGAGGCGAGGGUCGAUCUGUUGUUGGCCCGAUCUUUCACUGCACAAAACUCCAUCGCAACAAGAACUAGAUGUGGGUUUAUAAAGAUGUUCACAAACCUUGCAAAAACAUCACGCCAACCCCUCAAUUUGAAGGAAUAACAUGGACGAACCGUAUAGGCUCAGCUUGUAAUCCCCUAUGCGUCGCGUCGCAGGAACUCACACGCCAGUAGAGAUUUUGGACAAGAAUUCUCUAAACUCGAUAAUGGCCGACGGCAGGAACACACACGGUGUCUAAUUCAUAAUAACAUAACCUAACUUUUACAUGACAUAUUGACUUGCCUUAUAUUGUGGCCGGACAUGCUAAGCUAACUUGGAAAUCAAGUAAUGGAAAUAAGCUACUCUGGACUCUGUGUAGAUAUUGCCUUUUACAUCUCGGCAAAUACUUGAACUACCAAAACAACUCAAACUAUAGAUAUGAUGGAUUCUGUGCGUGACCACCUCUUUUGCUGUAACUUUGCCUUGUCCGGUGGCCCCCAACCUAACGCACAUAAAUAAACCAAGAUAAUUCCAUGAUCCGGCCAGCCUAUUUACAUCAUUAAUAUUUUUCUUAGGAGGCAAGAACAAGAAUAGGAAAUCAAUAUGCAUCGUUUCGUCUUUAAACCAGCCCAUACUGUUCAUAUCCUGAUUAUCUCUUGUAUUUUCUGAGUCAAACGUGCUUGUGUGCAAGUCGUUUCUUGCAUGCACGCACAUGCCCAUCACCCUGGGUAAUACAUGCACGUUCAACUGCCUCCCCUCAUCUUCCUUACGUGAGUGCACCUCUAUCCAUGCCAUAGUAUGCAUGCAUGUAACUUCUAUAUUGGAAACAUCAUUGACCACUUGAACGUCUACUACUGGAUUAACAGUGUUAGUUAUCACCAUGGUCAUAUCACUAAUAAAUGAAGCUUUGUGUUACUACCCACUAUGGAGGUAGUAGCAUAGUCUAGGGACAUGUAUAUGUUACUCUUCAUUGUGGCUAGUAUUAGUUCUCAUCAACCAAUUUCAAAAGGGAAAUCAUUUGACUGCGCCGUAGCUUGUGGUAAGCUCAACUCCAGCGCGCGACCCCAUCCUGUCCGGGUGCGUUCCUUUGGGGUAGAACGGACGAAUAGCGUGGCCCAAUGUGCGGCCCCAAACGGUCAAAUGUCCGGAUUCCGUCCGUUUUUGACCCAUCCCCGACACAAACUGGCGCCAAGUUUGGGGUGAAAUGGACAUUGCGCGGACAGGCUCGACGCACGCCCUUGUCCCCCCCGUGGCCCGCCUGUGGGGGACACUAGCAGUCCCUUCGCUUCCAACGCGUCCACCCCCUCUCCCCGGCCCACCCCGCCGGCGUCGCCGCCACUAUUCUCCUGUCGCAUCCUCACUGCGCACCCCCCGGACGUCCAUACCAAACCACGUUUCGACAUGGCCGCCACCACGCCCGCGCUUUCGCCGUAGUUUUGGCCGUCGAAUGGAGGAGAUUUGGCCGUCGCCGUCGUAGCCAGUGGCAAAGGGGAUACGACCGCCGGCGACGUACCAUAGUGGCCACGGCAGCUUCCGACGAGUGCUCCAGAGCGGCCAGUAGCCGGCCGCCAGCCACCCCUGCUGCGUCGAGGUGAUCAUCGUGGCCUCUUUUCCACCACGACCGCAAGGUGUUCGACACUUUGCCCACAAAGGUAUGGACAGUGGAGAUGAAUUUUUCUUCCACCACUUCAUUUAUUCAUUGGACGAUUCGUCUUCGGAUGAUGAAGAUCUUGUGGUGGUUGCACUGGUCGUUCAUGAUCACAUUGAACGGCAGCUUCCUCGGUACAGGGGGUCACUUCCUCGUCGUGCUUCCAACCUGAACCGCAACAGGGAGAGAGGCCACGCCCUACUCUAUGCUGAUUACUUCGCGAACACCCCGCUCUUCAAGCCAGAUAAAUUCCGUCGUUGUUUUCGUAUGGCAAGGCAUGUGUUCAAUCGUAUGAGAGAGGGAGUGGUGACCCGUACUUCGAGUGCAAGACGGAUGCCCUUGGCAAGCUUGGAUUCUCCUCUUACUAGAAUUGCACCGCGGCCAUCCGCAUCCUUGCAUAUGGAAUUCCAGACGAUCUGGUGGAUGAGUAUGUGCGAAUCAGUGAGUCCACAUGUCUGGUAUCAUUGUACAACUUCUGCAAGGCCGUGGUGGCAGUGUUUGGCCCUGAGUACCUGAGGCAGCCAACUGCCGCUGAUACAGAGAGAUUGUUGGCGACCAACGCUGCUAGAGGUUUUCCAGGCAUGCUUGGCAGCAUAGAUGGUAUGCACUGGGAGUGGAAGAACUGCCAUUUUCUUGGCAGGGACAGGACAAGGGGCAUGUUAAAGCGUGCACUGUCAUAUUAGAAGUGGUGGCUUCGCAGGAUCUUUGGAUAUGGCAUUCAUUCUUCGGCAUGGCAGGUUCUCAUAAUGAUAUCAACGUGCUGCAACGUUCUCCAGUCUUCGCAAGGCUUGCAGAAGGCCACUCCCCACCUGUCAACUUUGAGAUCAAGGGCCACCAGUACAACAAGGGAUACUACCUAGCUGAUGGUAUAUAUCCCUCAGUGAUCAACUUUUGUGAAGACAAUCUCGAACCCCCAAGAUGAGAAGAGAAACAGGAUUUCCCCAAAUGCAAGAGAGUGCUAGAAAGGAUGUGGAACAUGAUUUUGGUGCGCUUCAAUCCCGAUGGGGUAUCGUUCGAAACCGUGCGCUGACAUGGGGUGAAGGGAAGCUUUGGAAGGUGAUGACUGCUUGUAUGAUCAUGCACAACAUGAUCGUCGAGGACGAGCGUGAUGACAACAUCUUCGACCAAGGAUUUGAUUAUCAAGGUGAAAAUGUUGAGCCCCUGUAACCAAGAACCGGCCACGUUUGAACAGUUUGCCUAUUUCAUCGUGAAAUGCGUGAUUGGCACACUCAUUUGGAUCUUCAAAAUGACUUGGUUGAGCAUGUGUGGGCUCACAUUGACAACCAAUAGAUGUAUUGGUUCAUUCAAGACAAUUUCGAUAUGGUUGUAAAACUAUUUUAUUGGAGACAAUUUCAAUUGGGUUGUAAAACUAUUUUUAUUUUGAGACAAUUACUAUUUGGACGUGCAAACUUGUUUUGAACAUUGAAAUAUGAAUAUAUGGGCAUUUCUGGCCGCAGCGGACAGGAUGGGGCCAAAGGAUGCGUCCGCGCGCUGGGCGCACGGCGCCCGCAUCCGAGGACAGGCCCGAACACGAGCCCAUUGCCCUACCCAAACGGACAUAAUCCACACAAAACGGACGUCCGUUUAAUGUCCUGCGCUGGAGUUGGCCUAAAGCUUUGAAUUACCGAUACUUGUUGCACAAUAAAUAAAUCCACACCCCUUCCUCCUCUAAGGAUAGCCGAUAUAACUAUUUGCUAAGAAGACAUUUAUUCUUUACUUCGAGAUUUUCAAUUCCCAAACCCCCUGUGUAGAGGCUAGGGGUAAUCUUCCUUUAAAAAGACGAUUUACAAAGAUCUUUUGCUUCAUCGUGUGCCAGUAAUAGAAAAUUUUCGUUGGUCCAUGAACAAUUGAAUCUCACCAACAAUGUAGUUGUACCAGUUGAAACUGAUCGUGCAACUACUGAAAAAUAGCUGGCUAGGUAGGUAGCCUUUUACUGCCAUCUACGCAUGUGCAUGUGUGCGCAUGCUGAGACCGUCCACUGCAAAGAAACUAGGUCUCCCACAGCAUUGCCAAAGAGGGUAUGGGUGCUUUAUGCCUUGGUAAAUGCAUAUCGCCAAUGGUGUUUUUCCUUGUUUUGACAAUGGAUGGAGUGUGUAGUGUGUAGACCUUUGGUGGAGCUUCACCUCCCAUUCUUGACAAAGGUAAAUAAGCUUUUAUUUUUGCGAGAAAACAAAGGUAAAUAAGUUGAUGAGUGGGCUCCUCAUAAACCUAAUCGGUGACGUCAACAAUGUAACUCAUCCAAGGGUCGGAAAAGAUUAAGGGGGUGUUUGGUUCAGGGACUUUUUAGUCCCAGAGACUAGAAAAAGUCCCUAAAAAAACCCUAGGAACCAAACAGGAGGGACUUUUUCUACAGGGACUAGAAAAAAACUCUACUAGAGAGUCUUUUUUGAUUAGUCCCUGAGACUAGAAAAAGUCCUAAGACUCCUAAACCAAACACCCCCUAACUAAACCAGACAAUUCAGUCAAAUCGUUGUACUAGCUAGCUGAUCCGAAUGUGGAUGAGCCACCGCCAGUCAUCGGAGUGGUACGGUGUGGAUGGUGCACCGUGCAGGAAGCCGGGGUUAUUAUUACGAGUACAUGCGUAGAAAUCACACUAGCUAUAGUUUGAAACUUAAACUGGCCGUGCAGCUAAUUAGAACGAGCAGGCUAGCAAGCUUUUCACUGCCCCGUAUGCAUGUGCGCGUGCUACGUUUUCACGUUUUUGUCAACCUGCAAAGAAACUGAGUGUGCCACCUCGUUGCCAAAGAGGGUAUGGGUGCUUCGCGGACGCAACUUCGCGGUAGUUUCCUUUCUCACUGCCAUUGCCAUGAGAUGAACCGGACUCUCCUCCCUGUGUGUGUGUGUGUGUGUGUGUCUGUGUGUGUGUGCGCGCUGCGGCUGGUCGACACGUAGGGUUUUGGAGCGGCCCCACGUCGCUGCUGCGGUGCCCUCGGCCACUUAAACUCCCCCCUCCACCACUAGCUAGCGUCGUCGUUGCCCUCUGUGGUUGUAGCUCGAGCCCUUUCAGAAGGAAGCACGCCAAGCUAGCAAGCUAGGAAGAACCUCCCUCCCGUGCAUCUGACCAGCGAGUGACGGUGAGUCCCCUCCAUCUCCGGCCAUCUUGCUAAUGUGCUUUUCCUCUUCUUCUUUCUCCUCCUCUUCUUCUUUUAUGUCGAAUGGGGACAUGAAAUUAGAGAAGAGGAACUAACCAUACGUUGUUGCUGAUCUCGUGAACUCAUCCUACUCCUACCUAGCUUGGAUCUCCAUGGACGGCAAGGCGCCUCAUCUGCUGCCUCUGAGUCUGAGCGAGGCCAAAAAGAAGAUCCGGGAUGACGUCCCACUGGUCUGCGGAUGGGCGCUCCUCAACGCCUUCGCCACGCUCUGCGGCGUAGCAAGCGGCUACAUAGCUGACUACAUCCAUGUGUCGUGCAGCCAGGUAACCACCUACCCGUCACCCUUCGGAUGUUUCACAUCGCAACCGAUCCAUCAUGCCCCAAGCUGCUAUGGUGUUCCUCUGCAGUCCUCCUUCAUUCUGCCGUGCAUCGAGCUGACGGACGCGGAGGCCGCCAGGCUAAUCGCCCUCUGCGUCGGGCUGCUGUGCUGCGCCCCAUUCCAGGCGGCCGCGGCGGCGCUGGCGCUGCUGCUCCCAUGCCGCCGUCGCCGGGCCCGCCGGGCCCUCGCCUACCUCGCGCUGGCGGUCACCAUCCUCUUCCAUUGCAUGUACGCCAGCGCCGUCUGGGUCUUCCUCGCCGCCGACCUAGGAUACAUCUUCGGCAGGAUCUACUUCACCACGGGCCUCUGCUUCUUCGUGGUGGGCGACCUCCUCAGCUUCCGGGUCCUCCUGGGUGGUGAGGGGUGGGGCAUGAAGUACGUAGCCUAUUUCUUCUGAUCAUGUUCGUGGAUCAGCUCACUGCGUACUGAUGAGAGCGUGGAGUAUGCAUUAAGUAUGCUGUGACGAUUGAUGGAGUAGUGCCAUAUUUGCGAAUCUAGUAGCUGGUGUAGUGUUAAUUAGUAUCCAGAUCGACUCUAUUAGUAGUUACUCCAUUUGGGCAAUGCUUUGCUGGCUAGUAUAUAAUUAGACUGGAUGGAUUGGUAGAUUGCGGUUAUCUUUGCUGUAUUAUUCAACCCUCUAUGUAUGCAUGUGAUCAUCAGACAUGAGUUAUAUGCUUACAUAGGUCCAGCUUCGCUAUAAUUUGAUGUCUCUGAAAUUGCUGCUGCAGUGUAUAUCUAUGCACACAUGUUGUUUCUGAUGUUAAAUUUUGUUUUUCAUUCAUUCCGGCAACCGCUGGCUUGUCCUCUCGGCUGGGCUGCGUGGGGUGCUCUCAGCUGAGAUUGAGUGACCCCCGUCCCGACCAUGCUUGUGACCAUGCAAUCACAAUUUGAUGUAUGGGACAACAUGAUUUGGAAUGCCCUCCUGCCGAUUGAGGUUCUUUUUUAUGCCUUUUCCUAUAUGGGGAUCCACACGCCGUCACUUGACUUGUGGGAGCGGUUUCACCACAACGCCGUGCAUGUAGCCACAUAUGGCGGAUGUAAUACAAAAAUAAAGAACACAAUGAUCCUCCUUGAACCUUCAAAAAUUAAGUUUCUUCUGAUCGUGGAGUCAAUAUUUAGCUCAUGAGUUAUCAAUCAUCCAAAGAGUUGUGAAAUUGUUCCACAACUUACACAUCCCGGAACGCCUCAAACUAAUGGGGUAUCCGAAAGGCGUAAUUGAACUUUGUUGGACAUGGUCGACUGAGAGAAAUACAUAUUUCAACCUUAUCAACUUCUAGUUUAAUUUACAACCCCAACUCCAAAUAUGAUUAGGACAACGUUCAAUUAACGGCAUAGGACGAUUGGAUGGUGGUUCUGCAUGAUGUAGCAUCUAGGCUAACUAGUCAAGGUUGAUGGCAGCUAGGUCAUAAAAGUAAAAGAUAUUUUGUUUGCCCCACAUAUCAAUACCAUAAUCAUAUAAUCAUAUCGUUCCAUCCUCUAUCCCGCUUCUAUACCCAUAUUUCUCUUCAACUUUAGUGCAAUGUCGUCUCCUUCAUGUUGCCCAUCCCGCUGCAUCGACCUCAUCCGCACAAGUCCUUGGACACGUGUUGCCACGAGUACCUCCCCGCCCCGCCUAUAUGGGGUCCCAUCUCCCCUGCAACGCCACAAACUCCUCCCUGGACCAGAGCUCCUCCACUUGGGAAUGUUGGGGGUUUGCGCGGCUCAGGUGCCGGGCCGGAAGUUGUACGUCGAGAAAUGGCCCGCGGAUAAGUUCAUCCUGUGAUUUGACUACAUCUACGACAUGUUCCACAUGACCAAGCUGGAUUUUUAGUUCAUACACAUGUAUGCGUUGUAUCUCAACUACAUCAUCAGGCGCGAGAACAUGCACUAUAUAUGCGUCGCGGACCCGUACUAUUUGCACGAGAGCUUCUUGGCAGUCUGCAAAGAGCACCAUGACUAUGCGAGCAAGUACAUCGGCGAGUUCAUGAUCGCUAAUAAGGACAAGGAAACGAUUCUCCUGCCUUAUCAUCCCACGUAAGUCAUCCGCGGAUAUCCUUUCGUAAGUUUUAAUCAUUCCUUUGCAAGCAGGGAGGCUANNNNNNNNNNNNNNNNNNNNNNNNNNNNNNNNNNNNNNNNNNNNNNNNNNNNNNNNNNNNNNNNNNNNNNNNNNNNNNNNNNNNNNNNNNNNNNNNNNNNNNNNNNNNNNNNNNNNNNNNNNNNNNNNNNNNNNNNNNNNNNNNNNNNNNNNNNNNNNNNNNNNNNNNNNNNNNNNNNNNNNNNNNNNNNNNNNNNNNNNNNNNNNNNNNNNNNNNNNNNNNNNNNNNNNNNNNNNNNNNNNNNNNNNNNNNNNNNNNNNNNNNNUUUGCACAGCCGGGGGAGGGGGGGGGGGGCAUUCUCAUCUAUCUUUACCCACAAUACUCCCAUGCUCUGUACUUGGACACAUCGAAGAACAUCAAGAAAAAGGAUUACACACACAUAAAGAGUGUUCUCGAUAGUUCCCUGUUAACCUUCAGCCUGUUUGGUGGAUAUAUCAAGGUGAAGAAGUACAGGAAGAACUGGUUUCGGCCAUAAGACCGACUUCUGCUGCAUCCAGCAACAAAACAAUAGUAAGGCUGAUGGAUUCUACCUCAUGCAUCACCUGAUCGAGUACAGAAGGGAUAAUCAACGCCUUCGCAUGUUAGCUACUUCCAACGAUGCCGAGAUUGUCAACUGGGCCACAAGAAUAGGAAGGACACCGGAUCAUCUAAUUUGAGAUGAGUUUUAUCACGUACAGUGUGAACUUGCUCAAGUGAUCAUGACGGAGGUCCUCGAACAAACAUGGAUGUUCUACCAUGGGCCAAUGACGCGGGACGAUGUCCGAGCACUGCUAGUCGCUCAGCGUCUGGACUUGAAGCCUUUCACGAAGCUCAGGUGCUUCCUCCCUGAGUAUGAAGAUUGGUUCGCCGACAUGGAGGAAUGAUUGAUGAUGACACUGUGUCACUACUGUCUUUCUAUGACAAAACUUUGAAUUUAUACACGGCGAAACUCCGUGAUAUAAUUAAACCAUCCUCCUAAACUAGCAUAGAUCGCUCUAGUUAAUUAGUUUGGGUACGAGGAACUUCGUUAUUUAUGUUUACUAUAGGUUUCUUGUAUUUUGCUAAUUAUGCCUCUUUGUGUUUCUCAAGUACAUUAUGUUGCAUAUUACCGUUGAAUUCAUCAACUGACGAUGCAGGUACAUAGAUCAGAGUGAAGGAAAUAUGCCCUAGAUGCAAUAAUAAAGUUGUUAUUUAUAUUUCCUUAUAUCAUGAUAAAUGUUUAUUAUUCAUGCUAGCACGGGAAGCCUCUCGACAGACCCGAGCAGCUCCCGUUCUACCAACCAUGAUGUGAAGAUUACAUGACUAGUACUUGGAAGCCCCAAAGCAAGGGGGCGACUGAUACGUCUCCAACAUAUCUAUAAUUUUUGAUUGUUCCAUGCUAUUAUAUUAUUUGUUUUGGAUGUUUUAUAUGCAUUUAUAUGCUAUUUUAUAUUAUUUGUGGGACUAACCUAUUAACCUAGAGCCCAGUGCCAAUUUAUGUUUUUUUUCUUGUUUUUGAGUUUUCAGAAAAGGAAUAUCAAACGGAGUCCAAACAAUAAAACUUUCAUGGUGAUUUUUCUUGGACCAGAAGACACCCGUAGGACUUGAAGAGGGGGCCAGAAGGUUCGCGAGGCGACCACAAGCCCGCUAGGCGCACCCUAGGGGGGCGCGCCUUGAGGGCUUGUGGGUCCCCCGGAGGUCCUCUAACCCUAACUCCGCCUCUUUAAAUGCCCAAAUAUUCCCAAACCACCAGAAGCGUCCACCAAAAUACUUUUUCAUCUCCGCAAGCCUCUGUUCCCGUGAGAUCCCAUCUUGGGGCCUUUUCCGACGAUCAGGCCGAGGGGGGUUUGAUCACGGAGGGCAUCUACAUCAACCUUGCCGCCCUUCCAAUGAAGCGUCAGUAGUUUACCACAGAUCUACGGGUCCAGAGCUAGUAGCUAGAUGGCUUCUUCUCUCUCUUUGAUCUUCAAUAUAAUGUUCUCCUCGAUGUUCUUGGAGAUCUAUUCAAUGUAAUACUUUUUUGCGGUGCGUUCGUUGAGAUAUGAUGAAGUGUGGAUUUACGAUCAGAUUAUCUAUGAAUAUUAUUUGAGUCUUCUUUGAAAUCUUUUAUGCAUGAUUAAGAUAUCUUUGUAUUUCUAUUCGAACUAUCUAUUUGGUUUGGCCAACUAUAUUGGUGUUUCUUGCAACGAGAGAGGUGCUUAGUUUUGGGUUCAAUCCUGAAGUGUCCUCACCCGGUGACAUAGUAGGGGUAGCGAGGCACGUAUUGUGUUGUUGCCAUCGAGGAUAAAAAGAUGGGGUUUUCAUCAUAUUGCUUGAGUUUAUCCCUCUACAUCAUGUCAUCUUGCUUAAGGCGUUACUCCGUUCUUAUGAAACUAAUACUCUAGAUGCAUGUUGGAUAGUGGUCGAUGUGUGGAGUAAUAGUAGUAGAUGCAGGCAAGAGUCGGUCUACUAUCACAGACGUGAUGCCUAUAUUCAUGAACAUUGCCUUAGAUAUCGCCAUAACUUUGCGCUUUUCUAUCAAUUGUUCAACAAUAAUUUGUUCACCCAUCGUAUGCUGUCUUUAAGAGAGAAGGCUCUAGUGAAACCUAUGGCCCCCGGGUCUAUUUUCCAUCAUAUAUUUUCAGAUGUAUAAACCAAAAACCCAAAAAUACCUUGCUGCAAUUUAUUUAGAUUUACUUUAGUUUGAUCUUUUAUUUAUCUUUUAUACCUAUCUCUAUUAGAUCUCACUCUUGUUCGAGACCGUGAAGGGAUUGACAACCCCUUUUUCGCAUUGAGUGUAAGUGUUUAUUAGUUUGUGCAGGUGAAUAGAUUGGAGACUUGCUUGUGCCUCCUACUAGAUUAAUCCCUUGGUUCUCAACUGAGGUAAAUACUUAUCUCUACUUUGCUGCAUCACCCUUUCCUCUUCAAGGGAAAAAUAACCGCAAGCUCAGGAAGUAGCAGGAAGUAUUUCUGGCGCCGUUGCAGGGGAGGUUCUACAUCAAGCCUACAAAGUACCCAUCAUAAACUCUCAUCUCUUGCACUUACAUUAUUUUUCAUUUGCGUCUCGUUUUCCUCUCCCCCACUUCUAAAACAUUUUCAUAAAAACACAAAAAUAUUUGCCGUUUUAUUUGCCAUCUUUCAGUUUGCCUUUAUGUCUUACUUGGUUUGUUUGCUCGUUCGCUUGGCAUAAUUGUGUGUUUAUUGAAAAUCAGAAACAAAAAGCUUAUGGAUCCUCAUCCACUUGCUAAUAUUUUUAAAAGAUCCAAUUAUUAUGAACCAAUUUCUAGUGAGUUGAGUGCACUAGAUUAUCUUUAUGAAAUUUUGCUUGAGAUUCGUGAAUUUGAAAAUUGUGACGAAGUAUUAAAAGAAGAAAUUUAUAAAGUGAUUCACGAUAGCUGCUUGAAUGAAAAGCAUGAUUGCAAUGAUGUUAUUAUAAAUCCUAUUAAUGUCAAUUGUGUUAAUAUUAAGCAAAACCCUAAUCUUGGGGAUGCUAAUUUUUCUAUGCCCGCUACUUAUUGUACUGAUCAUGAUUGGGGUGAUUCUUCUUAUGAUCUUGAAAAUUUAUUUAAGGCUCAUGACAAAUAUGUUUGCAAUAAUAUUGAAAGUGGGUUUGGAAGAGUGCCAACUCUAGGUAAUGAUGAUCCCACUACUUUGGAGAAUGAUCAAUCUUAUGAAUUUUUUGAUAAAAGUGGGCUUGGAGAGGUCAUGCCUUUAUUUGGUGAUAAUCCCACUAUUUUGGAAGAGUGUCAACUUUCCAUGCAUGCGAUCAUGUAGACAAAUUUUUACGUGAUAGCUAUAUUGUUGAAUUUGAUUAUGAUCCAACAGGUAAUUAUUAUGAGAGAGGAAAAUAUGGUUGUAGAAAUUUUCAUGUCACUAAAUUACCUCUCGUUAUGUUGAGAUUGCUAUUGUUUCCUUCUUCUUCCUUGCAUAUGCUAGUUUUUGCUUGUCUUGAUAAUUUGUUUGCUUAUAAAAUGCCUAUGCAUAGGAAGUAUGUUAGACAUAAACUUGUUUUUCACAUGCUACAUGAUGUUCUCUUUGUGUUUCAAGUGCUAUCUUUCAUGUGAGCAUCAUUAAAAUUAUCAACGCCUAGCUAAGAGGCUUUAAAGAAAAGCGAUUGUUGGGAGAUAACCCAAUAUAUUUAUUUUAUGUUUUUAUGAAAAUACACAUUAUUACCUAUGUAGUAAUUGUGUUUUGGUGUUUUAAUUAGUGUUUGAGCCAAGUAAGACCUUUGGGAUGGUCUACGGUGAUAAUUGAUUUGAUCUUGCUGAAAAACAGAAACUUUUGCGCUCAUUGCCAGAAUUUUAAAAAAUCUCAGAAAAGUUAUUUUGAUAUGAAUUCUUUAAACAAGAUUUAUAUACAAAUUUCCCAGGUUUUCCUAAUUUUUAAGAAGUUGUGGAGUAACAGAAGUAUACGAAAUUUCCAGAUUACUACAGACUGUUCUGUUUUUGAUAAAUUCUGUUUUCUAUGUGUUGUUUGCUUAUUUUGAUGAAUCUAUGGGUAGUAUCGGGGGGUAUAAACCAUGGAGAAGUUGGAAUAAAUUAGAUAUAACACCAAUAUAAAUUAAUAAUGAGUUCAUAACAGUACCUAAGUGGUGAUUUAUUUUAUUAUACUAACGGAUCUGAUGAGUUUUCUGUUGAGUUUUGUGUUGUGAAGUUUUCAAGUUUUGGGUAAAGAUUUGAUGGACAACGGAAUAAGGAGUGGCAAGAGCCUAAGCUUGGGGAUGCACAUGGCACCCUAAGGUAAUAUUCAAGGACAACCAAGCAUCUAAGCUUGGGGAUGCCCCGGAUGGCAUCCCCUCAUUUGUCUUGAAUCCAUCGAUAUGUGUUUUGCUUGGAGCGUCUUGUAUGAUAUGAGUCUUUGCUUUUUAGUUAUCCACAAGCAUCCUUGUUGUACAAACCUUUUGAUAGGGACACACAUUCAUCGUGAAUUUGUUAAAAUACCCUAUGUGCUUCACUUAUAUCUUUUGAGCUAGGCGGUUUGCUCUAGUACUUCACUUAUGUCUUUUUAGAGCACGGCGGUGGCUUUAUUUUAUAGAAAUUGUUGAACUCUCAUGAUUCACUUAUAUUAUGUUGAGAGUCUUAAAUAGCAUAGUAAUUUGCUUAGGCUAUGAAUUUAGUCCUAAUAUGAUGGGCAUCCAAGAGGGAUAUAAUAAAACCUUUCAUGUAAAGAGCAUUGAAUAGAUGAGAAGUUUGAUUCCUUGCAUUUGUUUUGAGAUAUAAAUAUGGUGAUAUUAGAGUCAUGCUAGUGAGUAAUUCUGGAUUGGUAUAAAUACUUGUGUUAAAGUUUGUGAUUCCCGUAGCAUGCACGUAUGAUGAACCGUUAUGUGAUGAAGUCGGAGCAUGAUAUUUUUUUUGAUUGUCUUCCUUAUGAGUGGCGGUCGGGAACGGGCGAUGGUCUUUUCCUACCAAUCUAUCCCCCUAGGAGCAUGAGUGCAGUACUUUGUUCCAAUAGCUAAUAACUUUUUGCAAUAAGUUUGUGAGUUCUUUAUGACUAAUGUUGAGUCCAUGGAUUAUACGCACUCUCACCCUUCCACCAUUGCUAGCCUCUCUAGUACCACGCAACUUUCGCUGGUGCAUUAAACCCACUAUAUACCUUCCUCAAAACAGCCACCAUACCUACCUACUAUGGCAUUUCCAUAGCCAUUCCGAGAUAUAUUUCCAUGCAACUUCCACUGUUCCGUUUUACUAUGACACGCACCAUCAUUGUCAUAUUGCUUUGCAUGAUCAUGUAGUUGGCAUAGUAUUUGUGGCAAGGCCACCGUCCAUAUUUAUUAUACAUGUCACUCUUGAUCAUAGCACAUUCCGGUACACCGUUAGAGGCAUUCAUAUACAGUCAUAUCUUGUUCUAAGUAUUGAGUUGUAAUUUUUGAGUUGUAAGUAAAUAAAAGUGUGACGAUCAUAAUUAUUAGAGCAUUGUCCCAUGUGAGGAAAGAAGGAUGGAAACUUCCCUCACAAGUUGGGAUGAGUCUUUGGACUUUAUAAAAAAUAAAAGAGGCUAAAGAAGCCCAAACAAAAAAAGAGAGAAAGAAAAAAUGAGAGAAAAGAGAGAAGGGACAAUGUUACUAUCCUUUUUCCACACUUGUGCUUCAAAGUAGCACCAUGAUCUUCAUGAUAGAGAGUCUCCUAUUUUGUCACUUUCAUAUACUAGUGGGAAUUUUUCAUUAUAGAACUUGGCUUCUAUAUGCCAAUGAUGGGCUUCCACAAAUUGCCCUAGGUCUUCGUGAGCACUUAGUUUUUUUUAUUGAGCUUUCAUACACUUAUAGCUCUAGUGCAUCCAUUGCAUGGCAAUCCCUACUCACUCGCAUCGAUAUUAAUUGAUGGGCAUCUCCAUAGCCCAAUAAUUUGCCUAGCUGAUGUGAGACUUUCUCCUUUUUUGUCUUCUCCACAACCAUCAUAUUCUAUUCCACCUAUAGUGCUAUAUCCAUGACUCACGCUCAUAUAUUGCGUGAAAGUUGAAAAAGUUUGAGAACACCAAAAGUAUGAAACAAUUGAUUGGCUUGUCAUCGGGGUUGUGCAUGAUGAAAUACUUUAUGUGAUGAAGAUGGAGCAUAGCCAGACUAUAUGAUUUUAUAGGGAUAACUUUCUUUGGCCAUGUUAUUUUGAGAAGACAUGAUUGCUUUAUUAGUAUGCUUGAAGUAUUAUUUUUAUGUAAAUAUUAAAGUUUUGUUUUGAAUCUAAUGGAUUUGAAUAUCCAUGCCACAAUAAAGAAGAGUACAUUGAUGAAUAUGUUAGGUAGCAUUACACAUCAAAAAUUCUGUUUUUAUCAUUUACCUACUCGAGGAAGAGCAGGAAUUAAGCUUGGGGAUGCUUGAAACGUCUCCAACAUAUUUAUAAUUUUUUAUUGUUCCCUGCUAUUAUAUUAUCUGUUUUGGAUGUUUUAUACGCAUUCAUAUGUUAUUUUAUAUUAUUUUUUAGACUAACCUAUUAACCUAGAGACCAGUGCUAGUUUUUGUUUUUUCCUUGUUUUUGAGUUUUACAGAAAAGGAAUAUCAAACGGAGUCCAAACGGAAUAAAACUUUCGUGAUGGUUUUUCCUGGACCAGAAGAUAGUCGUAGGACUUGGAGAGGGGGGCACAAGGUCCGCGAGCCGAGCAAAAGCCAGCUAGGCGCGCUCUAGGGGCGCCCUGAGGGCUUGUGGGUCCCUCUGGGGUCCUCUAACCCUAACUCCGCCUCUAUAAAUUUUCAAAUAUUCCCAAACCACCAGAAGCAUCCACCAAAAUACUUUUCCGCCGCAGCAAGCCUCUGUUCCUGUGAGAUCCCAUCUUGGGUUCUUUUCCGAUGAUAUGCCGGAGGGGGAUUCGAUCACGGAGGGCAUCUACAUCAACCUUGCGUCCCUUCCGAUGAAGCCUGAGUAGUAUACCACGGACCUACGGGUCCAUAGCUAGUAGCUAGAUGUCUUCUUCUCUCUCUUUGAUCUUCAAUAUAAUGUUCUCCUCGAUGUUCUUGGAGAUCUAUUCAAUGUAAUACUUUCUUGCAGUGUAUUUAUUGAGAUCCGGUGAGUUGUGGAUUUAUGAUCAGAUUAUCUAUGAAUAUUAUUUGAGUCUUUCUGAACUCUUUUAUGCAUGAUUAAGAUAUCUUUGUAUUUCUUUUCGAACUAUCGAUUUGGUUUGGUCAACUAGAUUGGUUUUUUCUUGCAAUGGGAGAGGUGCUUAGGUUUGGGUUUAAUCUUGUUGUGUCCUCACCUAGUGGCAUAGUAGGGGUAGAGAGGCACGUAUUGUACUGUUGCCAUCGAUGAUAAAAAUAUGGGGUUUUCAUCAUAUUGCUUGAGUUUAUCCCUCUACAUCAUGUCAUCUUCCUUAAGGCGUUACUCCGUUCUUAUGAACUUAAUACUCUAGAUGCAUGCUGGAUAGCGGUCGAUGUGUGGAGCAAUAGUAGUAGAUGCAGGCAGGAGUCGGUCUACUUGUCACAGACGUGAUGCCUAUAUCCAUGAUCAUUGCCUUAGAUAUCGUCAUAACUUUGCGCUUUUCUAUCAAUUGCUCAACAGUAAUUUGUUCACCCACCGUAUGCUAUCUUCAAGAGUGAAGCCUCUAGUGAAACCUAUGGCCCCCAGGUCUAUUUUCCAUCAUAUAUUUUCAGAUCUAUCAACCAAAAAAUCCAAAAAUACCUUGCUGCAAUUUAUUUGGAUUUACUUUAGUUUACUCUUUUAUUUAUGCUUUAUACCUAUCUCUAUUAGAUCUCACUAUUGUUCGAGACCGUGAAGGGAUUGACAAGCCCUUUUUCGCGUUGAGUGCAAGUGUUUGUUAGUUUGUACAGGUUCAUUGAUUGGAGACUUGCUUGUGCCUCCUACUGGAUUGAUACCUUGGUUCUUAACUGAGGGAAAUACUUAUCUCUACUUUGCUGCAUCACCCUUUCCUCUUCAAGGGAAAAAUCAACGCAAGCUCAAGAAUUAGCACAGACUAUAUUAUGGCGGGGGUUAAAGAAGAGCAUUACUUCAGCAGAGACGAGGAGAUUUACGCUCAAUUUGAAGAAUUAUUCUAGUUAUACAAUAAAGAAGAGCAUUAUUUUAGUUAUGCCAAAGAUGUCAUAUGCAAUUUUUUCAUGUAACUUGCUUUGAAAUAUCUUAGAUAUAGUAUAUGAAUAUAUUUAAAAUGAUAAAGUAGUAUAUAUAGUACCACAUGAUAGUAUAUGAGACAUGUGGGUUAACUAUCCCCGGGUGGUAGGAUGAAUUUUCCCUAUAUAUAUAUAUAUCGAAUGUCUCGCACCACCAUUCACACAUAAACAUGUAUAUAUACAAUUUGGUAUAUACAAUUUCUCCUACAAUUUGUAGAUCAUUACAUGGAGACAUUACUGCGAUAUCGGGUAAUGGAAUUCUCCUUUGGGAUCUAUGAACUGGUUGAACAAAAAUCCCGUUAUUUCAUGUUGAAGUGCUCCUACGCGAGCCUCCAAUAGGAGUCGAUCCCGCAUCUCCUUCAUCUUUAAAGAAGAAAUCAAAAUACACAUGUAUUAUUAGUUGUGUGUAUAUUUGAUAAUGAUGUACAAAAUUGUGAAUAGUGUUCUGGCAAACGUACCCAUUGGUCUCUAUCAGUUCUGGUCCUUUUGGUAGUCAUCAUGCGAAUGUUCUCGCAAAUGUAGAAUGAACAUAAAUCAGUCCCCGACGCCUGCUUCAGGGCCUUUAUGAGAAUAGAAUUCAAUCAGAUAAUAAUUAGUCAAGCAUGAUAGUUAAUGGUAUUGAAACUAGAAUUAAAGAGAUGGUAGCUAGCUGGUACUAGCUACUUAAUUAAUUACCUUGGGUCGGAUCCAUUUCAUCUCUUUUUUCCAUGAGCCAUCAACCUAUUUGAUGAGCUUUUGCCAAGACGUGCCCGCCGGCAAAUAAAAUGAAUAAAGGAGUUAUUAGUUAUUGAUAUCAGGAAAUGACAAACUAAAGAGGCCGACAUGUAGUUCGAUAAUGAUUGAAAUUAUCUGUUGACCAUCCCCUUCACGAUUUCGUAGUCACUAGCUUUUUUAAAUAGUGAGUCCAGUACUUGAACUUUUCCCUCGUCAACUUCAAUGAUUAACAAGAUCCAGUGGAAACUGCAUGCACAUACAUUUGCAUGUAUAAUUAAGCGGGUAUGUGCAUAACUCAUCAACUACCCUAAACCCUAUACACUUAUUAACAUCAAGCUAGUAAGCAAAAACACAAUUUGUAGUACAAGACAGUGUGACUCACCCGAAGUUGUAAGGAAGUAGAAUUUUUGGACAGGCAUUUAGGUGCUUCAAGAACUCUAGCAAGAUUUUCUCUGUGUAUGGUCGAUCAUAUUCUUGUGACCAUGUCUUUUCAUUAAUGAUAUUUGGGUCAAUGAACCCAAUGCCAUAGCGUCCAACUUUUUUCAUUUCAAACAUCUUCAUUCUGCAUAAUACCACAGAAGAGAAUAUAGUGAGGAUAAUUACAGGUAAUGAAUAGAACAAGCACUACAGCUAGCUAGAGAACUAAAUUAAUUACAAAAAGAAACCACUUACAAACUAUAGCAACUGACGACAGAUUUGUCGAGUGCGUCUUGAUUGAAUAACUGAAAUAUUUCUUGAAACUCAACCCACAGAUCUUUUCCAUGGUAGUAGUACUCUUCGGCGACUUUCACCAUGAGGGACUCUUGAUCGGUAGUCUUGGCUUCUUUCAUGUACCAUUCAUGCAAUUGAUACAUUCUCGUUAAUAGAGGCUUGACCUCCUUGGGCUUCACCAGAGGCUGGCCAUGGGCAUAUUUCCAUUUUAUGUCCUCCUCAUUAAGCAUAUCCAUGGGCUCGAUCUCUAGUAGUUGAUAAAUAGUGACACCGGCCUCUUCAGCCAUCCUUCUAUGAGCGUCGGUUAUUACCAACUGAUCAGCGCCGGUACUCACAUGUGUUGGUACAAUGAGCGGGGGGGGGGGGGUCGAUUGCACCGCCUAUUCUCCAAACUGGGGAACAACUUUCCCGCUUUUUUAGCAGCUGCUUUGCUGGAGCUCGAGCUCGACUCCUUCUUUUUUCAUGCUUGAUAUGCCUUCCUAAUUUGGUGCUCAUAGUCUGAGUCAACAUGCUUGCGAGCUGGUGGUUGAGCCAUACGAAUAAAGUGGUCAAUGACAUGCUCGCACUUUCUCCUUUGGCGGCGGUGGCAGUUUUGGUCCAAAAUGGGUGUCCAACUAGGCCCUGCAUUCGGCUUCGUUUUCCUUGUCAGUCAUGUCGUAAGGCCUCUUCGAAAGAGGCGUGAGGCUUGGACCAAAUUGGUAUCUCUUGCCUCCUAUAAUUGUACCGCUAGCCGCCAUAGCUGCGGCGGCUCUCUUCUGUUGUUGCUUAGGCAGGGGAGCCCGGUGACGCGGCAAAGAUGGCUGAUGCGGUGCCUGACUUGGAGGAGGAGGAGGAAUGGGCUGACGUGUUGCCGGACUUGGAGGAGGAGGAGUGGGCUGACGCGAUGCCGGACUUGGAGGAGGAGGAGUGGCCUAACGCGUUGGCGGACUUGAAGGAGCAGGACUCUGCUGAGGCGGUGGCUGAUGGCUUGCAGGAGCAGGAGUCUGUUGACGCGGUGGUGGACUUCGAGGAGGAGUCAGCUGACGCGGUGUCGGUGGCCUUGGAAAGAUGAUGCAAGCCUUUCUCCAUAGAAUGAUAUGAUGUAUGACCUCUCCCAAUGUGUGCUCGUCAUCACCUCCAGGAAUGUCAAGCUCUAGCCCCGAAUAUUGUGACACCACUUCAUCAACCACGACACGAGCAUAGCCAGCUGGUUGGGUUGCAAUGGAAGGUUGCUUCAAGGGGAUUUGUAUAAGCAACGGCGUCUGCCACCUUCAUGGAUAUGUUCUUCAUUUUGAAGUGAAGCUCACAAUUAGUGUUAUCCAUGAUGUCAUCCAUAGGGUACCUAUCCUGCAGUACCUCAUCGCCCCGGGCGGAACCCACGCUUCUUCUCGGCAUGGAUGGGAUGGUGCUAUCAGAUGCUGGAUCUGCUAGCUGCUGGUAGAGACCCCUUUUCCUGGCUAAGUGAGUCGAUCUGCUGUUGCUGCCACUGGAAUUGGAGUGCCAACUCUGCGUGCCUUGAUUCUAGGCCUUGAAGGCAUUCUGCUUCCUGCUUCCUUUGCUCCUCCUCCAGCUUCCUCUUCUUCUUCUCCUCCAUCUUCUUUCUCGCACAACUUCUGUAGUCGGCAUUCCAGUCGUCAAACCCCUCAUACCACGGAACAAUGCCUUUGCCUCGUGUUCUUCUCGGGUGUUUAGGAUUUCCUAGGGCACGCGUAAGCUCGUCGUUCUCACUGUUGGGCGUGAACACCCCCGUUCGAGCCUCUUCUAUUGCAUUGCAACAAGUAAUUUCAGGUCGGCUCCUUUAAGACUUGCCUUCUCCAAAACCUAGCAUGUCUUUGGGUCCAAUGUCCCCCCAUGCGCAUAGAGCCAAGUCCUGCACCUGGGGGCCAGCUCAAUGUAACUUGAAUGAUCCCUGCAUCAACCACCUAUUACUCAUCCUUAUCCCACUUAGGCCGGGCCACCGCGUAGCCACCUGGCCCCAGCUUAUGGUAAUGCUCCUUUUUCGCGGCAUUGAUCUUGUUUAUUCUCGACCGUUCCUUAGCUAUUUCCGAUUACUUGAAUUUCACGAAAGCGGGCCAGUCAUCUCUUUGCUUCUCUAGUGUUCCUGUGAAUUCUGCAGUCUUCUUUCCUCCUUCAACGUACUUGGCCCAUAUAAUUUUCUUGUGGUUGUUGAAUGCAACUGCCAUCUUCCUAAGAGCAGCGUCCUUGACUUUCUGCACAUCUGCAUCUGUGAAAUGAUCUGGUAGGGUGAAAUGUGACGUGAGAGAUUCCCAAAGCAGAUCUUUUGCUCUUUGGUCAACAAAAGUAAGAUCUGGACGUUUCUUUGCUGGCUUUUUCCAUUCUUGAAUGGAGAUCGGGAUUUGAUCCUUCACAAGAACUCCGCACUGACGAAUGAACUUGCCCACAUUCUUCUUAGGCUCACUUGGUUCGCUAUUAGGUUUGAUGGCAUCGAUUGUGUACUUUACGCCAUACUUCAACUUUUUGGCCGGGCCUCACACUGCCCUGCUGCAUGUAGAAGAUUUGCUCGAUCCGGAGGGCUGAAUGAAGAAAGAUCGAUUCGUUAAUAUAUAUACAAAUCAUUUAAAACAUGUGAUGAUCACCAGAUGCCCGCUUAUAUAAAUAUACCUCGUCGGUCUUUGUUAUUUCAAGAUCAACAUCUUCUUCGUCAUCAUAAUCAUAGUUCUGGACUUCAUCUAUUUGUUUGUCUUCAUAAAAUAUCAUACCCUCACCGGUAGGGUUCAGAUAUUGCGAGCCGUCAUCUUCUUCAAACUCAUCUGGGCGAGGGCAUGAGCGUAUGAUGUUGAACAGGGCCUCCUCUCCUUCUCUGCCGGUAUUGUCCAUAAUUUUUAUUUAACUAAUCUAGAAGAAAUAUAAAACAAUUUAGUAUUCAAAUUACAAUGCAUGCAUGCAAUCAAUAAGGAAAAACUGAACCAUAGUACAUAAUAUGCAUCAUCGAAUAUAAUCUCGAAUACAUCGUCUUGAAUAUUAUUGAAUAAUAUAUAUAAUAUCGAAUACAUCGUCUUGAUUAUUAUAGAAUAAUAUAUAUAAUCUCGAAUACAUCGUCUCAAAUAUUAUCGAAUAAUAUAUAUAAUCUCUAAUACAUCGUCUCGAAUAUUAUCGAAUACAUCACUAGCUAGCUAAUAUAGAUCGAAUACUAUCGAAUAAUCUAGUUCACUCGUGGUUCCUGAGGCGCGGGCGGUGGACACCCAAAGAGAAGAAACCAUCACAUGAUCAUAACUCGGGUGAGAUCCCCAAAGAACCUGCCAGUAUUGGAGAACCUGACGUCCAACACAACCAUGUAGCGAUGGACGUGCUCGUCCUCCUCCCUAACACAGUGACGUACCACCUCCGGCGGGGCCAGCUCCCUCCACACCGAAAGUGGCUCAUGCGAACGCCACCAAAGGAGCUCUGGGUCUAAGACGGGACCCGGGGCCGGGUACGUCACCAAGCGGUGCGCCCCUAAAGGUAGCACCUCCCAGUGCCAGCCCGGCGGAGCCCAGUCCCGGACAUGGCUCCUCUGAAGCAGGACGUCGUCGCGAACGGGUCGACGGCGAGGAUGUGGGCCGGGCAUCGUUGACAUCGAGAACAAAUUCUAUAUGCAAAUGUAACAUUUUUAAAUGAUUGGAUUAUUGUGAUUUAUUAUAUAGAAAUUCUGUAUGCAAAUUCUAUAUGAUCAAAUGUUGCAUAUGUCAAAAUUCAAACUUUGACAUAUGAUAUCUAGCUAGCUAGCUAGCUAAUUCAUCUAACAUUAAUAUAUCUAGCUAAUUCAUCUAACAUUUGACAAAAAGUAUAAGAAACUAAUUCAUCUAACACUAAUAUAUCUAGUUCAUCUAUAAGUAAAAAUAUAAAAAACUAAUUCAUCUAACAUUGCUAUCUAAUUCUUCUAACAUUUGACAUUAAUCUAAUUCAUCUAAAACUUGACAUUAAUCUAACAUAUAUAUAUAUAUAUAUAUAUAUAUAAUUCAUCUAACAUUUCUAUAACUAAAAGUAUAAAAAACAGAAAAACAAAAAAUAAUUAAGAAAGUGUGUGUGUGUGUGUGUGUGUGUGUGUGUGAGGCGGCAGGGGACGGGCCGGGGCGGCGCGCGACAGGGAUGGGCGCGGAGAUGGGACGGCGACGGGGACGGGCGCGGCGAUGGGAUGGCGACGGCGCACGACGGGGGCGGCGACAGGCCGGGGUGGCGACGGGGACGACGACGAGGACGGGCGCGGCAAAGGGGCAGAGGUUAAAGCAGUGGAAUAAGAGAAGAAAAAUGAUAUUUUUUGAAGUGCUGCUUAUAUAGGAUGGACCUUUAGUACCGGUUGGAGCCACCAACCGGUACUAAAGUUCUAUUUUGGCCAGGCCAAGCAGUGGGAAGCGACCACCUUUAGUACCGGUUGGUGGCUCCAACCAGUACUAAAGACCCCCCCUUUAGUACUGGUUGGAGCUACCACCCGGUACUAAAGGGGUGAGCUGGUACAGGUGCGGUGCGGACAAGUUUAGUCCCACAUCGCUUGUCGAGGGGCGCCUGCACCAGCUUAUAAGCCCCGCCGCGGCUGCUGUCUCGAGCUCCUCUCUAAUGCAGGCCCUCUAGGCCUACUCUGUUGCGAUGCCCUGUUGGGCCUACUGGGCCUGCAUCCUGGCCCAACUACAGGUUGGGUUUCUAGUCAUAUGCAGGCCGUUGUGGCCCAGUAGGCGAGCUUUUUUUAUUUUUUUUUCAUUUUUUUCUUUUCUGCUUUAUUUAUUUUCUUUUAUUUAUUUCUAAGUCAUUUUUGUUGUAUUUUGAGUUUCUUUGUGAAUAUUUUUCCUUAAGGUACAAAAAAUUACAAACUUUCCGUUAGUGCUGGUAGUUUUCAAAUGUGAAUAGUUUAAAUUUGAAUUAAUUAAAAUUUGUGUGAAUCACUAGUUUGUGAAUAACUUUACUUUUAAAAUAGAUUUUUUCAGUGAUUAUUUUUAUUAUGUUUAAUAUUAGUGUGUUUUAUCAUUAUAUUCAAUUUGGUAAUACUUAGGUUAUUGAAAUGCCUUUGCAACAGAUGAGUUUUCGUCCGAAACCCUGAUACUUCGAAAGAGAUUGUCCAUUUUAUACACGAAGUGCAUCCAGUUUUUUCCGUAACCCUCUCAAAUUUUUUACACAUGCUAUGUGGGUGAAAUGAUGAUACCAUGCCAACUUUCAACCUUUUCAGAGUUCAUUUGUAGUGCUUUUCAAUUUCAUGGUCAUUUAGCUCAAAAAAUCAGUAAAUGCAUGAAAAAUAGCAAAUGAAGUCAAAAAGGGUUGAAAGUUGAUGACGUGGCUUUCAAUGGUCCAUACUGAAUGCACAAAAGUCUGGGGUUGAAGUAAGUUAAAAAAUGAAAUGCCUUUGUAACAGAUGAGUUUUCAUCCAAAACCCUGAUACUUCGAAAGAGAUUGUCUAUUUUGUACACGAAGUGCAUCCAGUUUUUGCCGUAACCCUCUCAAAUGUUUUGCACAUGCUAUAUGGGUGAUGAUACCAGGACAACUUUCAACCUUUUCAGAGUUCAUUUGUAGUGCUUUUUAAUUUUAGGGUCAUUUAGCUCAAAAAUCAGUAAAUGCAUGAAAAAUAGCAAACGAAGUCAGAAAGGGUUGAAAAUUGAUGAUGUGGCUUUGAAUGGUGCAUAUUGAACGCACAAAAAGUCUAUAGUUGAAGUAAGUUUAAAAAAAUGAAAUGCCUUUGUAACAGAUGAGUUUUCGUCCGAAACCCGGAUACUUCGAAAGAGUGUCGGAUUUCGGGUUCCUGCAGACCCUAAAGGUUCGAACUCUGGGGUGCACGCGGUGAUCACACCUCCUGCCUACCUACGUCUCGUCGCCUCGCAAGGAUCUAAACUACACGAAGAACAACAUAAGGGACACGAGGUUUAUACUAGUUCAAGCCACCAUUGUGGUGUAAUACCCUACGUCUAGUUUGUGGUGUGGUGGAUUGCCUCAGGGGCUGAUGAUGAACAAUACAAGGGAAGAACAGCCUCGCGAUGGGCUGUUCUUAGGAUGGUGCGAUGAACUGCUUGGGUGAGUUUAGUCGCUUCUCUCGCUCUCUAGCCUGCCCAAAAUCUCGAUCCCUCACUCUGCGGUGGCUAGCUCUAUUUAUAGAGGGAGGCCCUGGGCCUCUUCCCAAAUAUUGAGCGGGAAGGGCGCCAAGAAUUGGCCAUUUUGAAGGGGAACAUCUAGUACACUUAUCCUGACUAAAGUUGGUCCUCGCCUGCCAAAGACUCUGACGAUGACGCCUUCCUGGGCUCCACGAUGACCUCCAUCCUGCAGUUCUACCGGUCUUGAUCUUGUUGCACCGAAAUGGUUGCCCUUGCUUGAUAAUCUUGCCUGCGCUUGCCCCCUUUGCACCAAAGAGGAAACAAGGACUCUGCGUAGGCCGGCGCCCGCCUGGCGCCCGCCUGGCCUCGGUCAUCAUGGCUUGCGUCAUGGGCACCUCGUGAGGUACCCUGCCUUGAUCUCUCCGCCUCCUCGCGAGCCAGCCUGACGAGGCUGUGCCCGAGGAAGCUUCCUGUCACUCGCCCCGCGAGGCUUGGCCCCUCGCGAGGGUCUUGAGUAUGUGUCGAUGAAGAUGGACCGUACUGGGCCACUCCCUCGGCCACGCCGUAGGCCGCAGGCAGGCAAGCCUAGGUACCCCCUUUCCCAGAACGCCGACAGUAGCCCCCGGGCCCAAGGCACGCCUGGACUUGGCUUAGCAGAGAAGCGAAGGGGAAAGUGCGAAGCGCCGCGGGCCCCAUCAGCCUGCGGCCUUGGGUGCCACGUGGCGGUUUAUUGGACGUGUGCGUCCCCGCUUCCGCACGAUGCCUCGGCAGCUGCACGAAUUGACAAGAGAUCAUUACCCGUCCAGGCUUACCUUCUUUGCCUCUUCUAGUCAUUGCCCAGAUCCCCUUUCUCGCUCCUAUCCUUCUUGCUUCCGAAAUCCCCAGAUCUACUCCAACCCUGCAUCUUAGCAAGGCAUGGCGCCUCGGCAGACCCCGGCUGGAGCUUGGUACUCGCCCGCUCUGGAUCCUCCAAAUGUGUCGGAGAAGAAUCUUGCCCGGACGUGCCAGAUGAUGGCGGUGCAAGGCAAUGAUGGAGCGGCCGUGCUCAAGGUUGGUUCCGCCCUUCCCGAGGACAAAGGGAGCACCUUCUACCCGCUCUUCGUGAGCGCCAUCGCCGCCGGUCUGGUGCCCCCCUUCUUCGAGUUCUUCCUUUCUGUUCUCCGCCAUUACAACCUGCAAGCUCUGCAUCUCCAUCCCAACUUUGUUCUUCUCUUGGUGAUUUUCGCCUACUACUGCGAGGCUCAUGUUGGGGUAAGGCCCUCGGUGGCCUUGCUGCGCCAUUACUUUUACCUCCGGGUUUCUCGCGGCCCCAUCACCACGUGCACGAGCUUUGUUGCAUAAAUGCCAGCUCCAAUGCUAUCUCGAAGCCCGGGAAGAGGAUUGAAGGCUUUAGGAGCAAGUGGGUCAUGGUGGAUGCUGGGCGCAUCCAUCUCCGGCUGAUCCUGCCCACGAGGCAGCCCGAGGUCGCCGACGCUUGGUCCCGCGCGGAACUCGUCGAUCCCCGCGCGAAGCCGGUGCUGGAGAAGAUGGACGCGGACCUGUAGCCGGGAAACAUGGCGACGGCGAGGCUGCCCGGGGCGUCGCUCCUGAGGGAGUUCCUGGAGCACCGAGUGGCUCCGCUCUGGGAACACCCGCUCCCGCUGUGGAGGCUCGGGGGGACCGAUGCCGCCCUUCGCCUGAGCUCCGUAGUCCUGGCCGACGAAGAUCUGGCCGCGGUCCUCCAAUCCUUGGUUGGGGGAGACGUGGCGAGAUUGGAGGGUGCUCAUGUACCCCUGUUCCUUCGGGAUGAUUGGGAGCGGGUGGUGAACUCCAUGCCCGCUUUCAACGGGGACGGGCCUGUGCCCGCGGAGGUUCCUGAGGACCUGGCGGCCCUGGCGAUGGUGAACGUGUCCUCCGGCGACUCCGGCAGAGAGGAGGAAGAAGAGGAGUAGGAAGAGGAGCCCGAUUCCGAGGCGACCGACAAGGAGUCGAGAGCGCCCCUCCCUCGACGCAGGUCCCGCGCCCUUCACCUCUUGCCGGAUGACGAUGAGGAUGGCGAUGAGCGAGGCGGCGAGAGCUCGCCCCUGAUCCCGAAGAAGGACAGGAUGGGGCUGGUUCCCCGCGGGCCUGCUCCGGCUCUGAGGCAAUCUGCAGACGUGCCUCCUGCUCCCGAGUCUCCUGAGGUUGAUCCCAGCAGCCGGCUCUCGGGCUUCAAGUUCGGCCGGAGGUUGCUUGAGCCCGCGGGCGAUGACCAGUAAGUGCUUGAUUCUCGUUUUGCUUCUUGUUUUGUUGCUGAGGCUUAACGUCCAUACUCCUUGGCUAGUCCGGUGCCUGCGGCGAAAAAGCUGAAGGGGGCCCCUAAGGCUUUGUCUGGGGCAGCACUUCCAUCCGCGGGAGAAGGGGGCGGCAAGGCCCGGGCCUCUCCUGCUCGGCCAUCCUCACGAGGCCAGGCAGGGCGUGCCAGGGCGAGCUCAGCCCCCGUGGCCCAAGCGACUCCCGAGGUGUCCUCGCCUGACGCCACUGCCGCAGUCAUCGGGGCGCAAAAAGUCCCAACUCACGGCGCUGUGAUCACGCUGCCGUCUUCUCGUCCUACUCCGCCAACUGCCAUUUCUCCGACUCCUUCUACUGUCCUGGAUCGUGCUGCUGCUGAGCUGGACCGGCUGCGAGAAGAUCUUCGGGGCGCCGACCCUUGCUUUGUGGCCGGGCGCCUGGAGCUGGCCUCCGGCUGGGUCCGCUCUGAUGCUUCAGUUCGAGCAGCACUGGUUCAGGCUGCGACGGCUUGCGACGAGGAGAAGCAGGCCACCCUUCAGGCCAAGGCCGCUCGCGACACUGCCUUGGGUGAGGUUGCGGAUGUCCGAGGUCGCUGCAAGGCGCUGGAGAGCGAGCUGCAAGGCCUGCGACCAGCUCGCCAAGGAGGUCCGUGACCGCCAGGAGAGGGAGGAAGAGAUGAGGGCUCGCGAGACUACCGCCAAGGACCGGGAUGCCUAGCUUGAUGAACUCCAUGGCCGCUUAGACACACUAGAGCAGGCAUUGGAGGCGAAGAAGAUCGAGUUGGACGGCAAGGUGCGGGUCCUGGCCGAGGACCGCGUGGCCUUCGCGAAGCUGGAAGAGAAGGCUCGCACCUUGCUGAAGACGCUUUAUGAUAGCGGCCUGGAGAGCCUGCUGGCCGGCGCCAAGGACGGCCCCGCCAAGUUGCUUCCCUUCCUAGUCUGCGCCCUUGAAGAUGUCGCCCUCGGCCUUGGCCCCACAGCUGAGGCUGAGGCGCGUGUCCUUUCUUCUGUAGCGCUGACGCGCAUCUUCACCCAGAUCUACCUUCGCGACCCCGAUGUUGACCUUGACAACCCACUGCCUGUGAGCGGCGAGCUUGCCGCUGUCGCUGCUGAGGCCGUGAAGGGUCGAGUGGAGGCUCUGCUGGCGAAGUUCCGUGCUUUCAGCACCAAGCCAAGGCGAGGUGCUGCCAAAAGUGAGGCUCCACGAUGCGAAGUCGCCCAACGCAGCUCCGUCACCAGCGAUGGUACUGCCAGAAAGUGACCCCUUCGCGGCUCCUGUCCUAUUGUUAGCUCUGGUAACAUGCAUCAUGCCUCGUGGAGGCGUUUAAACUUGUGUUUGGUGUUGUGAAAGCACUCUAUGGACUGUAAUAUUUGCUUUUGAAUUCCUUGAUAUUUGCGCUUUUCCUUCCUACUUGCUUGUGUUCUACGUCGGCAGAGCCCGGCCCCGCGCAUACCUCAGCCGCCGUUAGCCCCGACCAGAAACCAGGACGGGACCAAGGAGUGAGGGGCUACGUGACCAGUUAGGCUCCUGAGUCGCGAUGCUCAGGAGUCCCCCUGGACGCGCGAAUAACAAGUAGAGAGGGAGAUGUAUGAGUAAAUCCACCAUUCUACGUCGGCAGAGCCCGGCCCCGCGCAUACCUCAACCGUCGUUAGCCUUUUGGAACUAAGGGGUGAGGGGCUACAUGACCAGUUAGGCUCCUGAGUCGCGAUGCUCAGGAGUCCCCCUUGACAUUCAAACGGCCUUCGUACCUUGGCUCCACUCGGGGAGAGACGUGCGACGAACCAGGCCCGAGGGGCCUGGCUGGGUGGCGUGCGUCUGGGCAUAACCCAGGCGUAGCCCACGUGCCCAACCCCCUCGCGUGGCACUCCCGAGGGGAGGCGUUAUGAUGGGGCCGGGCACUAAGCUCUGGGCUCCCUGAGGUUGAUGCGGCCGGGGGCCACCCUCAGUUGUUUAUCACCAGCACGGAGCAUAGCGCUUCCGUAUAUGUACGGGCAAAGCCGCUCCUCGGCAGUGUCGUGAGCCAGGGCGGAGCAUGGUGCUUCCACUGGUGUGUGGGAGGGGGCUCCCAUCCGGGAGGAGCCCCCGGGGUGUGGUGACAUAUGGCUAGCACGGUAGGGCCUGACGAGGUGUAUCUGGGCACCCGUGAGCCAGCGCGGGACUCACGGGGCCCUACCUCAAGGCGGGUUGCGCCUGGCUCUGGGCCUUUACUUGUAAUGUGUUCCUGCAAAUUUGGUUAGAUGCCGAUGCUCUACGUCCUCAGGUCCCGGCCCUCGAGCAAGCUCAACCGUCGCUGGUAUGCCAGGUCGCGAUGCCGUGGACAAGGCCAGGAGGUGAGGGCUGGAGAGCCAGUAAGACUCCAUGAGUCACGAUGCUCAGGUACCCCCCCUUUAACGUGCAAGCGGCCGACAUGACAGAAGAAGGGUGCCGCCACAGGCAUCAAGUAAUGAUCAUGAUGGGUCAAACGCACGACCCGAAUAAGCGCGAGAGGGAUAAACGCCACUAGGUCUGGCCCGAGUGGCUUGUGGAUAAUGCAGCCCGAGGGGCGCCCCCAGUAAGCUAAAAACAUGAACUAAAGGGAUACAUGCCGCAGGGACGGACCCACGCGGCCUGGGAAUGAUGCAGCCCUGGGGGUGCUCCCAGCUGAAAAUGAAACUCGAAGGAUGUCACCUUAUGAUGUUGAAGAUGAAGGGAUGCUGAAGUAGCGGACGGCGAGCGCUGCGUUAGGCGAUCUUUACGAGCCCCCAGGCCCAGGAGCCUCGGGAGGCUCCGGAGGCGCUGGCGGCUCCUCGAGGACCAUCUCCAUCUCUGCCAGGACUGUGGAAUGCCUGGCCGCUUGAGCCUCCAGGAUGCUCCUCAUGAGGCGUUACCGCACAGCAGCCACGUUCGGCAGGCCGAGAGGCAUGCGAAUGUAGCUGUGAGGUGGACCCUCACAACACCCCACGCAUGAAGGCCAGAGGCGCUCCUGAGAGGCGGCUCGGUUGAGCCCUGGUAUGUCAAUGCAGACGCGCAGGAGAGAGCCCCCGAGCCUUGCUCGAGGAGGGCACCGGGCGCGCCUUCCUAUGCGACAGAGGGAGGCGCCCCCUGAACGGGUGCGGACCCUGAGGGGCCUGCCUCCCGAGGGUUCGGACCGGGCGAUGUCUUCUUCUUCUCAGGGGCAACCUCGGGAAGCCUACCGCUCCCGCGAUCUAGCUCUUCAAUUGACGCGGCUUGAAAAGCACACUCCAGAGAACACACCGCAUCCCUCUCUUCACAAGGCACCGUGAUGACUCCACCGCUUCCUGGCAUCUUGAGGACAUUGUAGCCGUGGUGAGUUACGGCCAUGAACUUGGCCAGGGCUGGGUACCCGAGGAUGGCAUUGUACGACAGACGAAUGUGCACGACGUUGAAGUCAAUGAGCUCAGUGCGGUAGUUGUCGCGCUUCCCAAAGGUAACAGGAAGGCGGACCUGCCCUAUCGGAACCGUGGAGCCAUCAGUGACUCCUGAGAAAGACUUGGUUGACUGAAGCUGAUUGUAUGGCACUUGGAGAUUGUUGAAUGUCUCGACGGAUAGGACGUUGAGCCUUGCUCCGCCGUCGAUGAGGGUCCUGGUGACUUGUGCAUUGCUGAUGAUUGGGGAACAAAGCAUCGGGAGGACUUCGGCUGUUGCCGCGCACUUGAGCUGAUCCGCUGAGCUGAACGUGAUGGUGCACGCUGACCACCUGAGAGGGCGUGUGGCCUCGAGCUUGGGGAGGACUGCAUUCACUUCGCGAGCAAACUGCUUGAAGAUGCGCUGAGAGGCCAGGGCCUGAGCGCCGCCCAAGAUGCAAGCAAUUGCGUGCGGCUCCUCGAAGCCUCUAGCCCCCUCGUCCUAAUGAUGGUCUUCAUUCCUCCUCGGCUGUGGUGACAGAGGAGGGAGGCCCGCGUUGCCUUGUGGGCGAUCCUCGCGAGGCUGAUCCCUCCAUGCUCCCUCGCGAGGCUGGUCCUGCCAGCUGUCCUCGCGAGGCCGGUCACGCCACCCUUGGCGAGGGCCACGGUCUUCCCAUCGUCCUCCACCUCUUCCUCCUCCUCGGCCAUAGCCCCGGUCGUUGCGCUCGGGGCGUCAGCCGGCACGCACGUCCCGCACGGCCCUGAGCUCUUGGCAUUCGUUGGUGUUGUGGGUGUGGAGGUCGUGGUACACGCAGUACCGGCUGCCCUUGGAUGACUCAGGCUGAUCCCUGCCUCGCUUGGUGUCCGGCUCUGCUGCAAGCAUAGUAGCCCCCUUGCGCUUCACGUCCUUGACCUUGGGCUUCUUCUCUUCUGGGUCGGCAGCCGGCAGCUCUAGGAGGGAAAGGCGUCCUUCCUCAGCCCUGGCACACUUGGUCGCCAAAUUGAACAGCUCCAGGGAGGUGCACAAGUCUUCAUGGAUCGCAAGCUCCUCCUUCAUCUUGAUGUCACGCACGCCGUCGGAGAAGGCUGAGAUGAUGGCCUCCUCAGACACCCUGGGGAUCUUAAGGCGAGUGUUGUUGAAACACUAGAUGAACUUCUGUAGGGUCUCUCUCGGCUGCUGCUUGAUGCGGCGCAAGUCGCUCAUGGCCGGGGCCGGUCGCGAGUGCCUUGGAAGUUGGCGAUGAAUCGGGUGCGCAUCUCGUCCCAGGAGGAGAUCGUGCCUGGAGCCAGGUUCAGGAGCCAGGUGCGGGCACCAUCCUUGAGCGCCAUGGGGAACCAGUUCGCCAUGACCUUCUCGUCCCCGUUGGCGGCUUCAAUGCCCAACUCAUAGAGCUGGAGGAACUCCGCAGGGUCAGCCGUGCCAUCGUAGCGCGGGGGCAGAUCUGGCUUGAACUUGCCCGGCCAGGCCACGCUGCACAGCUCGGUGGUGAAGGCACGGCAGCCUGUAGUGGCCGCGGGAGGCCUUUGGUAACGGAGAGCUUGAUCUUGGGAGUCUUUGUGCGCUGCCGCCAGGAGCAGCGCGGGGUCUUCACACGCUGGAGCAGGAGCGCGUUCGUGCCGGGCCGGUGCGGGGAGCACACAGGCAGCUUCUUGGGGACGAGGGAUCUCUUGGGAGCUCUUCUCUUGUUGUGCUGGCGUCGGACGGAAUGAGUUCCGUCCAGGGGCCACACGCCUUGGGGCCAAGGCGCCUUCUUGAGGGGGAGGUGGCUGGGGCGCCCCCGGAGCUUCAUCGCCCGCGCAGGGAGGGGCGCGGUGCAGCGAGAGGGAUGGCGCAGGGGAGCCCCAAGCGGCGCUGACGAGCUUGGUGACGCGGGCGAGCCACUCAUCGUAGAGGUCGUCGACGGGACGGUGGUGCAGGAGCUCUCGCGCCAGGAGCAGCGCGGCGUGCGCGUCCGCAGGAGCGCGACGGGCGUGGGACGAGGAACCGGCUGGAGUCAGCGACGGGGUGGCAGUGCGGCCUUCUCGCCGCACCGAAGGAUGCAGGGACGACACCUGCUGCUCGUUCCCCGCCGGGACGGUGGCAGCGUUGAUGGCAGGCGACGGGGAACGGCGGGGGCGUCCGCUAACGGGGGCCGUCUGGGCGACGCGAGUGGCAAGAGCGGCCCGGCGCUCGGCGCGGGCUGGGCAAGCGUCUGACAUGGACGCGACGGGUGGCGAAGCACAGGGCGGCGGAAAGCAGAUUCUAGUGCACCCCUACCUGGCACGCCAAAUGUCGGAUUUCGGGUUCUGGCAGACCCUAAAGGUUCGAACUCUGGGGUGCACGCGGUGAUCACACCUCCUGCCUACCUACGUCUCGUCGCCUCGCAAAGGAUCUAAACUACACGAAGAACAACACAAGGGACACGAGGUUUAUACUAGUUUAGGCCAACAUUGUGGUGUAAUACCCUACGUCUAGUUUGUGGUGUGGCGGAUUGCCUCAGGGGCUGAUGAUGAACAAUACAAGGGAAGAACAUCCUCGCGAGGGGCUGUUCUUGGGCUGGUGCGAUGAACUGCUUGGGUGAGUUCAGUCGCCUCUCUCGCUCUCUAGCCUGCCCAAAAUCUCGAUCCCUCACUCUGUGGUGGCUAGCUCUAUUUAUAGAGGGAGGCCCUGGGCCUCUUCCCAAAUAUUGAGAGGGAAGGGCGCCAAUAAUUGGCCAUUUUGAAGGGGAACAUCUAGUACACUUAUCCUGACUAAAGUUGGUCCUCGCCUGCCAAAGACUCUGACGAUGACGCCUUCCUGGGCUCCACGAUGACCUCCAUCCUGCCGUUCUGCCGGUCUUGGUCUUGUUGCACCGAAAUGGUUGCCUUUUCUUGAUACUCUUGCCUGCGCUUGCCCCCUUUGCACCAAAGAGGAAACAAGGACUCUGCGCAGGCGGCGCCCGCCUGGCCUCGGUCGUCAUGGCUUGCGUCAUGGGCACCUCGUGAGGUACCCUGCCUUGAUCUCUCUGCCUCCUCGCGAGUCAGCCUGACGAGGUUGUGCCCGAGGAAGCUUCUUGUCGUCCGCCCCGUGAGGCUUGGCCCCUCGCGAGGGUCUUGAGUAUGUGUCGAUGAAGAUUGGCCGUACUGGGCCACUCCCUAGGCUACGCUGCAGGCCGCAGGCGGGCAAGCCUGGGAACUCCCGUUCCCAAAACGCCGACAAAGAGAUUGUCCAUUUUGUACAUGAAGUGCAUCAAGUUUUUGCCAUAACCCUCGCAACUUUUUUGCACACAUUUAUAUACAUGGGGAGGGCAUCCCUAGAACACACAUCGAUUGUUCCUAACCGUAUGUGGCGCCCCCCUCCACAGUGAACACCUUGGUCAUAUCAUAGUAGUUCUUAGGCGAAGCCCUGCGCCAGUAACUUUGUCAUCACCGUCACCACGCCAUCGUGCUGACGAAACUCUCCUUCGGGCUCAACUGGAUCAAGAGUACGAGGGACGUCAUCGAGCUGAACAUGUGCUGAACACGGAGGUGUCGUACGUUCGGUGCUAGGAUCGGUCGGAUCGUGAAGACGUACGACUACAUCAACCGCGUUGAUAAAACACUUCCGCUUUUGGUCUACGAGGGUACGUGGACACACUCUCCCCUCUCAUUGCUAUGCAUCUCCUAGGUAGAUCUUGCUUGAAGUAGGAAAUUUUUUGAAAUUACUGCAUUCCCCAACAGUGUUACUAUCUACAAAGGUCGACUUGUCAUGAAAGGUUUUCGACAAGUUCAAGAAGUUGACUACGAUGAGAUUUUCUCACUUGUAGCGAUGCUUAAGUCUGUCCGAAUCAUGUUAGCAAUUGCCGCAUUUUAUGAAAUCUGGCAAAUGGAUAAAAAAAUUGCAUUCCUUAAUGGAUUUAUUAAAUAAGAGUUGUAUAUGAUGCAACCAGAAGGUUUUGUCAAUCCUAAAGGUUAGCUCCAGCGAUCCAUCUAUGGGCUGGUGCAAGCAUCUCGGGUUGGAAUAUACGCUUAGAUGAGCUGAUCAAAACAUAUAGUUUUAUACAGACUUGUGGUGAAGCCUAUAUUUACAAGAAAGUGAGUGGGAGCACUACCGCCUUUCUGAUAAGUAUAUGUGAAUGACAUAUUGUUGAUCGGAAAUGAUGUAGAAUUUUCUGGAAUGCAUAAAGGAGUAUUUGAAUGGAGUUUUUUUUUCAAAGAAUGACCUUAGUGAAGUUGCUUACAUAUUGGGCACCAAGAUCUAUAGAGAUACAUCAAGACGCUUGAUAAGAUUUUUCAAUAAGUACAUACCUUGACAAGAUUUUGAAGUAGUUCAAAAUGGAACAGUCAAAGUAGGAGUUCUUGCCUGUAUUGCAAGGUGUAAAGUUGAGUAAGACUUAAAACCCGACCACGGCAGAAAAUAGAAAAAGAGAAUGAAAAGCAUUCCCUAUGCCUCAACCAUAGGUUCUAUGAAGCAUGCUAUGCUGUAUACCAGACCUAUUGUGUACCUUGCCAUGAGUUUGGCAAGGGAGUAUGAUAGUGAUCCAGGAGUGGAUCACUGGACAACGAUCAAAGUUAUCCUUAUUACCUAAGGGACUAAGGAAAUAUUUCUCGGUUAUGGAGGUGAUAAAGAGUUUGUCAUAAAAAGUUACGUCGAUGCAAGCUUUUACACCGAUCCGGAUGACUCUGAGUCACAAUCUGGUUACAUAUUGAAAGUGGGAGCAAUAGCUAGAGUAGCUUGCUACGUCUUGAGCUUGCGUUGGUUUUCCUUGAAGAGGAAAGGGUGAUGCAGCAAUAGUAGCGUAAGUAUUUCCCUUAGUUUUUUAGAACCAAGGUAUCAAUCCAGUAGGAGGCUCCUCAAAAGUCCCACGCACCUACACAAACAAACCAAGAACUCGCAACCAACGCAAUAAAGGGGUUGUCAAUCCCUUCACGGCCACUUGAGAAAGUGAGAUCUAAUAGAGAUAGUAAGAUUAGAUAAAUAUAUUUUUGGUAUUUUAUAAUAUAGAUGCAAAAAGUAAAGAUGCAAAUAAAAGUAGAUUGAAAGCAAAUAUGAUAAGAGAUAGACCCGGGGGCCAUAGGUUUCACUAGUGGCUUCUCUCAAGAUAGAAUAAGUAUUACGGUGGGUGAACAAAUUAAUGUUGAUCAAUUGAUAGAAAAGCGAAUAAUUAUGAGAUUAUCUAGGCAUGAUCAUGUAUAUAGGCAUCAUGUCCGCAACAAGUAGACCGACUCCUGCCUGCAUCUACUACUAUUACUCCACACAUCGACGGACUCCUACCUGCAUCUAGAGUACUAAGUUCAUAAGAACAGAGUAACGCCUUAAGCAAGAUGACAUGAUGUAGAGGGAUAAAUUCAUGCAAUAUGAUAUAAACCCCAUCUUUUUAUCCUCGAUGGCAACAAUACAAUACGUGCCUUGCAACCCUUUCUAUCACUAGGUAAGGACACCGCAAGAUUGAACCCAAAGCUAAGCACUUCUCCCAUUGCAAGAAAGAACAAUCUAGUAGGCCAAACCAAACUUAUAUUUCGAAGAGACUUGCAAAGAUAACUCAAUCAUACAUAAAAGAAUUCAGAGGAGAUUCAAAUAUUUCUCAUAGAUAAACUUGAUCAUGAACCCACAAUUCAUCGGAUCUCGACAAACACACCGCAAAAAGAGUUUACAUCGAAUAGAUCUCCACAAGAGAGGGGGAGACCAUUGUAUUGAGAUCCAAAAAGAGAGAAGAAGCCAUCUAGCUAAUAACUAUGGACCCGAAUGUCUGUGGUAAACUACUCACAACUCAUUGGAGGGGCUAUGGUGUUGAUGUAGAAGAACUUCCGUGGUCGAUUCCCCCUCCGGCAGAGCGCCGGCGAAGGCUCCAAGAUGGGAUCUCGCAGAUACAGAAGGUUACGGCGGUGGAAAUUGUGUUUCGUUGGUUCUCUGGAUGUUUUUGGGGUACGUAGGCUUAUAUAGGAGGAAGAAGUACGUUGGUGGCCACCUGAGGGGCCCAUGAGACAUGGGGGCGCGCCAUAUAGGUGGGGGCGCUCUACCCUCUCGUGGCCUCCUCGGCUGCUUCUUGACUUGCACUCCAAGUCCUCUGGAUCACGUUCGUUCCAAAAAUCACGCUCCCGAUGGUUUCAUUCCGUUUGGACUCCAUUUGAUAUUCCUUUUCUUCGAAAUACUGAAAUAGGCAAAAACGAAUAGCAAUACGGGCCGGGCCUCCGGUUAGUAGGUUAGUCCCAAAAAUGAUAUAAAUGUGUAAAAUAAAGCCCAUAAACAUCCAAAAGGGGUAAUAUAAUAGCAUGGAACAAUCAAAAAUUAUAGAUACGUUGGAGACGUAUCAAGCAUCCCCCAAGCUUAAUUCCUGCUUGUCCUCGAGUAGGUAAAUGAUAAAAAUAGAAUUUUUGGUGUGGAAUUCUACCUAGCAUAAUUCUCAAGGUAAUUUUCUUUAUUGUGGCAUGAAUGUUCAGAUCCAAAUGAUUCAAAAUAAAAGUUCAUAUUGACAUAAGAAAUAGUGAUACUUCAAGCAUACUAAUCAAAGUAAUUAUGUCUUCUCAAAAUAACAUGGCCAAAGAAAGUUAUCCCUACAAAAUCAUAUAGUCUGGCUGUUGCUCUAUCUUCAUCACACAAAGUAUUUAAUCAUGCACAACCCCGAUGACAAGCCAAGCAAUUGUUUCAUACUUUAAUAAUCUCAAACUUUUUCAACUUUCACGCAAUACAUGAGCGUGAGCCAUGGACAUAGCACUAUAUGUGGAAUAGAAUGGUGGUUGUGGAGAAGACAAAAAAGGAGAAGAUAGUCUCACAUCAACUAGGCAUAUCAACGGGCUAUGGAGAUGCCCAUUAAUAGAUAUCAAUGUGAGUGAGUAGGGAUUGCCAUGCAACAGAUGCACUAGAGCUAUAAAUAUAUGAAAGCUCAACAAAAGAAACUAUGUGGGUGUGCAUCCAACUUGCUUGCUCACGAAGACCUAGGGCAUUUUGAGGAAGCCCAUCAUUGGAAUAUACAAGCCUAGUUCUAUAAUGAAAAAUUCCCACUAGUAUAUGAAAGUGACAACAUAGGAGACUCUCUAUCAUGAAGAUCAUGGUGCUAAUUUAAAGCACAAGUCUGGAAAAAGAGAUAGUAGGAUUGUCCCUUCUCUCUUUUUCUCUCAUUUUAUUUUUUUCUUUUCUUCUUUUUUUCUCUUUUUUUUUCUUCGGCCUUUCUUUUUUUGGACUUUUUUUUGUAAAGUCCGAAGUCUCAUCCCGACUUGUGGGGGAAUCAUAGCCUUCAUCAUCCUUUCCUCACUGGGACAAUGCUCUAAUAAUGAAGAUCAUCACACUUUUUUGGAUUUACAACUCAAGAAUUACAACUCAAAGCUAGAACAAGAUAUGACUCUAUAUGAAUGCCUCCGGCGGUGUACCGGGAUAUGCAAUGAAUCAAGAGCGACAUGUAUGAAAAUUAUGAAGGUGGCCUUGCCACAAAUACGAUGUCAACUACAUGAUCAUGCAAAGAGCAAUAUGACAAAAGUAAUGCAUGUCAUAUGAACGGAACGAUGCAAAGUUGCAUGGCAAUAUAUCUCGAAAUGGCUAUGGAAAUGCCAUAAUAGGUAGGUAUGGUGGCUGUUUUGAGGAAGGUAUAUGGUGGGUGUAUGGUACCGGCAAAAGUUGCGCGACACAAGAGAGGCUAGCAAUGGUGUAAGGGUGAGGGUGCGUAUAAUCCAUGGACUCAACAUUAGUCAAAAGAACUCAUAUACUUAUUGCAAAAAUCUAGAAGUUAUCAAAAACAAAGUACUACGCGCAUGCUCCUAGGGGAAUAGAUUGGUAGGAAAAGACCAUCGCUUGUCCCCGACCGCCACUCAUAAGGAAGACAAUCAAUAAAUAAAAUUGUGCUCCAACUUCAUCACAAAGCGGUUCACCAUAUGUGCAUGCUACGGGAAUCACAAACUUCAACACAAGCAUUCUUUAAAUUCAUAAUCACCCAACUAGCAUGACUUUAAUAUCAAUACCUCCAUAUCUCAAAACAAUUAUCAAGUAUCAAAUUGAUCAUAGCAUCCAUUUCACUUUCUAUGAUAGUUUUUAUUAUACCCAGCUUGGAUGCUCAUCAUUCUAGGACCAAAUUUGUAACCAUAGAAAAUACCAUGCUGUUAUAAAAGACUCUCAAAAUAAUAUAAGUGAAGCCUGUGAGACUAGCAAUUUCUUCAAAAUUAGGUCACCACCGUGCUCUAAAAGAUAUAAGUGAAGCACUAGAACAAAAACUAUCAAGCUCAAAAGAUAUAAGUGAAGCACAUAGAGUAUUCUAGCAAAUUCUAAUCAAGUAGGCUUCUCCCAAAAGGUGUGUACAUCAAGGAUGAUUGUGGUAAACUAAAAAGCAAAUACUAAUAUAAUACACGACGCUACAAGCAAAACACAUAUCAUAUGGCGAAUAAAAAUAUAGCUCCAAGUAAAGUUACCAAUGAACGAAGACGAAAGAGGGGAUGCCUUCCCAGGGCAUCCCCAAGCUUAGGAUUUUGGCUAUCCUUGAAUAUAUUGGGGUGCCAUGGGCAUCCCCAAGCUUAGGCUCUUGCCACUCCUUAUUCCAUAGUCAAUAAAAGCUUUACCCAAAACUUGAAAACUUCACAAUAAAAAACUCAACAGGAAAUCUUAUAAGCUCCGUUAGUGAAAGAAAACCAAACCACCACAUAAGGUACUGUAAUGAACUCAUUCUUUAUUUAUUUUGGUGUUAAACCUACUGUAUUCAAACUUCUCUAUGGUUUAUAAACUAUUUUACUAGCCAUAGAUGCAUCAAAAUAAGCAAACAACACACGAAAAACAGAAUCUGUGAAAAACAGAACAGUAUGUAGAAAUCUGUAACUAACGCAAACUUCUGGAACUCUAAAAAUUCUACCAAAGUAGGAAGUCCUGGAAAAUUUGUCUACUGAUCAGCAGCAAAAAGAAUCAACGCAAAACCACAUUUAUGUGAUUUAACAAAACUAAAUGCAUGCGCGCAAAGUUUCUGUUUUUCAGCAGAAUCAAAUCAACUAUCAUCAUAGGUUAUCCUAUAGGUUCUACUUGGCACAAACACUAAUUAAAAGAUAAAAACACAUCUAAACAGAAGGUAGAUACAAGAUUUAUUACUAAACAGGAACAAAAACAAAAAAUACAAAGAAAUUUGGGUUGCCUCCCAACUAGCGCUAUCGUUUAACCCCCCCUAGCUAGGCAUAAAAGCGAAGAUAGAUCUAAGUAGUGUCAUCUUUGGCACUAAAUUCAUAAGUAGCUCGCAGGAUAGAUUCAUAAGGUAAUUUGACUUUCUUUCUUGGAAACUGCUCCAUGCCUUUCUUUAAUAAAAAAUGGAAUCUAAUAUUCCCUUCCUUCAUAUCAAUAAUCGCGCCAAUCGUUCUAAGGAAAGGUCUACCAAUAAUAAUAGGGCAAGAAAGAUUGCGAUCUAUAUCAAGAACGAUAAAAUCUACGGGCACCAAAUUUCUAUUUGCAACAAUGAGAACAUCAUUGAUUCUUCCCAUUGGCUUUUUAAUGGGGGAAUCCGCAAGGUGCAAAUUUAAAGAGCAAUCAUCAAGAUCAUGUAAACCUAUAAUAUCACAUAAAGUUUUUGGAAUCGUGGAAACACUAGCACCCAAAUCACACAAAGCAAAACACUCAUGAUCUUUAAUUCUAAUCUUUAUAGUAGGUUCCCACUCAUCUUUAAGUUUUCUAGGUAUAAAAACUUCCAAAUUAAGUUUUUCAUCAUAAGAUUGCAUCAAGGCAUCAAUGAUAUGUUCGGUAAAAGCUUUAUUUUGACUAUAAGCAUGAGGAGAAUUAACAACGGAUUGCAACAAGGAAAUACAACCUUCUAAAGAACAAUUAUCAUAAUCAAAUUCCCUGAAAUCUGAGAUAGUGGGUUCAAUACUAUUUAAAGUCAUGACCUCUCCAAUCCCACUUUUACCAAAUUUAGCAUCAAGAUCUAAAAAUUCUGAAUUCUUGGGAUGCCUUCUAGGUAAAGUUGACUCAUCUUCAAUCCCAUAAUUAUCAAGAUUCAUAUUGCAAAACAAAGAUCUAAUAGGAGAUGUGUCAAUAACUUUAAGAUCUUCAUCAUUAUUUUCAUCUAACUUUUCUGGUUUGGCGGCCAUCUUAUUGACUAAGGUGGCUUGCUUAUCAGAAAUAUGGGCUAUAGCAUUUUCAAGCCGAGUAAUUUGAGAGUUCACAGCAUAAAAUUCUUUAUUCAUAUCAUCAAGCUCUUUGUUCAUAAACCCCAAAAAAUCUUUUUGUUCCUUAAGCUCUUUUCUGAAGAAAUUAUUAUGCUCAAAUUGCAAAUUCAUAAAGCUUCUAAUAUUUGAUUCAAUCUCUUCCAACCUUCUAAGAAGGUGGUCGGUACUCUUAGGAAAAGCCAUAAGGACAAACUAGCACACAAGCAAACAGAAAAAGGGCAAGCGAAAAGAGAGGGAGAGAUUGGGAAAGAGAGGGCGAAUAAAACGGCAAGGGUGAAGUGGGGGAGAGAAAAACGAGAGGCAAAUGGCGAGUAAUGUAAAUGCGAGGGAGAUGGGUUUGUGAUGGGUACUUGGUAUGUCUUGACUUGAGCGAAGACCUCCCCGGCAACGGCGCCAGAAAUCCUUCUUGCUACGUCUUGAGCUUGCGUUGGUUUUCCUUGAAGAGGAAAGGGUGAUGCAGCAACAGUAGCGUAAGUAUUUCCCUCAGUUUUUGAGAGCCAAGGUAUCAAUCCAGUAGGAGGCUCCUCAAAAGUCCCACGCACCUACACAAACAAACCAAGAACUCGCAACCAACGCAAUAAAGGGGUUGUCAAUCCCUUCACGGCCACUUGCGAAAGUGAGAUCUAAUAGAGAUAGUAAGAUAAGAUAAAUAUAUUCUUGGUAUUUUAUAAUAUAGAUGCAAAAAGUAAAGAUGCAAAUAAAAGUAGAUUGAAAGCAAAUAUGAUAGGAGAUAGACCCGGGGGCCAUAGGUUUCACUAGUGGCUUCUCUCAAGAUAGCAUAAGUAUUACGGUGGGUGAACAAAUUACUGUCGAGCAAUUGAUAGAAAAGCAAAUAAUUAUGAGAUUAUGUAGGCAUGAUCAUGUAUAUAGGCAUCACGUCCGCAAGAAGUGGAUCGACUCCUGCCUGCAUCUACCACUAUUACUCCACACAUUGACCGACUUCUGCCUGCAUCUAGAGUAUUAAGUUCAUAAGAACAGAGUAACGCCUUAAGCAAGAUGACAUGAUGUAGAGGGAUAAAUUCAUGCAACAUGAUAUAAACCCCAUCUUUUUAUCCUCGAUGGCAACAAUACAAUACGUGCCUUGCAAUCCUUUCUGUCACUGGGUAAGGACACCGCAAGAUUGAACCCAAAGCUAAGCACUUCUCCCAUUGCAAGAAAGAUCAAUCUAGUAGGCGAAACCAAACUUAUAUUUCGAAGAGACUUGCAAAGAUAACUCAAUCAUACAUAAAAGAAUUCAAAGGAGAUUCAAAUAUUUCUCAUAGAUAAACUUGAUCAUAAACCCACAAUUCAUCGAAUCUUGACAAAACACACCGCAAAAAGAGUUUACAUCGAAUAGAUCUCCACAAGAGAGGGGGGAACAUUGUAUUGAGAUCCAAAAAGAGAGAAGAAGCCAUCUAGCUAAUAACUAUAGACCCGAAGGUCUGUGGUAAAUUACUCACAACUCAUCGGAGGGGCUAUGGUGUUGAUGUAGAAGCCCACCAUGGUCGAUUCCCCCUCCAGCAGAGCGCUGGCGAAGGCUCCAAGAUGGGAUCUCGUGGAUACAGAAGGUUACGGCGGUGGAAAUUGUGUUUCGUUGGCUCCCUGGAUGUUUUUGGGGUAUGUAGGCUUAUAUAGGAGGAAGAAGUACGUCGGUGGCCACCCAAGGGGCCCACGAGAUAGUGGGACGCGCCCUAUAAGGGGGGGGCGCCCUACCCUCUCGCGGCCGCCUCGGCUGCUUCUUGACUUGCACUCCAAGUCCUCUGGAUCACGUUCGUUCCAAAAAUCACGCUCCCGAAGAUUUCAUUCCGUUUGGACUCCGUUUGAUAUUCCUUUUCUUUGAAAUACUGAAAUAGGCAAAAAAAAACAAUGAUACGUCCAUUUUGCAUCAUGCUUUUAUACCAAUAUUUAUUGCAUUAUGGGCUGUUAUUACACAUUAUAUCUCAAUACUUAUGGCUGUUCUCUCUUAUUUUACAAGGUUUACCAUGAAGAGGGGGAAUGCCGGCACCUGGAAUUCUGGCUGGAAAAGGGGCAAACAUUGGAAACCUAUUCUGCACAACUCCAAAAGUCCUGAAACUCCACAAAGCAACUUUUUGGAUUUAAUAAGAAUUUAUGAGCGAAAGAAAUAGGCUAGGGGGCCCACACCCUGUCCAGGUGACAGGAGGGCGCCCCCCUGUAGGGCGCGGCCCCCUAUCUCCUGGGCCCCCUGGUGGGCCUUUGGCAUCCAUCUUCUGCUAUAUCAUCACUUUUACCCUGGAAAAAAUCAUCGGCAAGCUUACGGGAUGAAACUUCACCGCCACGAGGCGGAACCUUGGCGGAAUCAAUCUAGGGCUCUGGCGGAGCUGUUCUGCCGGGGACACCUCCCUCCGGGAGGGGGAAAUAAUCACCAACGUCAUCACCAACGAUCCUCUCAUCGGGAGGGGGUCAAUCUCCAUCAACAUCUUCACCAGCACCAUCUCCUCUCAAAACCCUAGUUCAUCUCUUGUAUCCAAUCUUGUAUCAAAACCACAAAUUGGUACCUGUGGGUUGCUAGUAGUGUUGAUUACUCCUUGUAGUUGAUGCUAUUUGGUUUACUUGGUGGAAGAUCAUAUAUUCAGAUCCUUUAUGCAUAUUAAUACCCCUCUGAUUAUGAACAUGAAUAUGCUUUGUGAGUAGUUACAUUUGUUCCUGAGGACAUGGGUGAAGUCUUGCUAUUAGUAGUCAUGUGAAUUUGGUAUUCGUUCGAUAUUUUGAUGAGAUGUAUGUUGUCUUUCCUCUAGUGGUGUUAUGUGAACGUCGACUACAUGACACUUCACCAUUAUUUGGGCCUAGAGGAAGGCAUAGGGAAGUAAUAAGUAGAUGAUGGGUUGCUAAAGUGACAGAAGCUGAAACCCUAGUUUAUGCGUUGCUUCGUUAGGGGUUGUUAUGGACCCAUAUGUUUAAUGAUGUGGGUAGGUUUACCUUAAUACUCCUUUUUGUAUUUGCGGACGCUUGCAAUAGGGGUUAAUCAUAUGUGGGAUGCUUGUCCAUGUUAGGGCAGUACCCAAGUGCCGUUCCACCCACAUAUCAAAUUAUCAAAGUAGCGAACGCGAAUCUUAUGAACGUGAUGAAAACUAGCUUGACGAUAAUUCCCAAUGUGUUCUCGGGAGCUCCUUCUUCAUUAUUAGAAUUUUUCCAGGCUUAUCCUUUGCUACAUAAAGGAUUGGGCCACCUUGCUGCACUUUAUUUACUUUAUUUACUUUUUGCUCGUUACUAUUUAUCUUAUCACAAAACUAUCUAUCACCUACUAUUUUAGUGCUUGCAGAGAAAACCUUACUGAAAACCGCGUAUCAUUUCCUUCUGCUCCUUGUUGGGUUCGACACUAUUACUUAUCGAAAGGACUACGAUAGAUCCCCUAUACUUGUGGGUCAUCAAGACUCUUUUCUGGCGCCGUUGCUGGGGAGCGUAGCGUUUUUGGUGAGUUGAACUUGGUAAGGAAACAUUUAUAUAGUGUGCUGAAAUUUUCUGUUACUUGUCACCAUGGAAACUAAUCCCUUGAGGGGAUUGUUUGGGGUAUCUUCACCCCAACCAGAAGAGCAAAGAGAUGCUCCUCAACCUACUGAACUUUAUGAAAAUAUUCACUUUGAGAUUCCUUCGGGUAUGAUAGAAAAACUGCUAGCUAAUCCUUUUGCAGGAGACGGAACAUUGCAUCCCGAUUUACACCUUAUCUUUGUGGAUGAAGUUUGUGGAAUAUUUAAGCUUGCAGGUAUUCCCGGUGAUGUUGUCAAAAGGAAGGUCUUCCCUUUAUCUUUGAAGGGAGAUGCAAUGACAUGGUAUAGGCUAUGUGAUGAUACGAGAUAUUGGAAUUAUAAGCGAUUGAAGUUGGAAUUUCACCAGAAGUUCUAUCAUAUGCAUCUUGUUCAUCGUGAUCGUAAUUACAUAUAUAAUUUCUGGCCUCGCGAAGGAGAAAGCAUCGCUCAAGCUUGGGGGAGGCUUAAGUCAAUGUUAUAUUCAUGCCUCAAUCAUGAGCUCUCUCGGGAAAUGAUUAUUCAGAAUUUUUAUGCUCGGCUUUCUCUUGAUAAUCGCAACCUGCUCAAUACUUCCUGUGCUGGUUCUUAUAUGCUGAAGACUAUUGAUUUCAAAUGGGACUUAUUGGAAAGAAUUAAACGCAACUCUGAAGAUUGGGGUUCCAACGAUGGUAAGGAGUCAGGUAUGACACCUAAGUUUGAUUGUGUUAAAUCUUUUAUGGAUACCGAUGCUUUCCGUGGAUUUAGCUCUAAGUAUGGACUUGACUCUGAGAUAGUAGCUACUUUUUGUGAAACUUUUGCUACUCAUGUUGAUCUCCCUAAAGAGAAGUGGUUCAAAUAUAAUCCUCCUCUUGAAGUGAAAGUAGUUGCACCUAUUACAGUCGAAGAAAAGAUUAUUACAUAUAGUGAUCCCAUUGUUCCUACUGCUUAUGUUGAAAAACCUCCUUUUCCUGUUAGGAUAAAAGAUCAUGCCAAAGCUUCGACUGUUGUUCAUAAGAGUAAUACUAGGACCUAUACACCUCCUAAACAAAUUAAUGUUGAACCUAGUAUUGCUAUGGUUAAAGAUCUCUUGGACAAGGAUUUAGAUGGGCAUGUUAUUUCUUUCUUGGGUGAGACUGCUAAUAUUCCUAGACCUGAUACUAAGACACCUAGACCUAUUAUAGGCACGCCUGUUAUUUCUGUUAAAAUAGGAGAUCAUUGUUAUCAUGGCUUAUGUGCUAUGGGUGCUAGUGCUAGUGCAAUACCUUAUGAUCUUUAUAAAGAAAUUAUUCACGAUAUUGCACCUGUUGAAUUAGAAGACAUUGACGUUACUAUUAAGCUUGCCAAUAGGGAUACCAUCAAACCUAUUGGGAUUGUUAGAGAUGUUGAAGUUUUGUGCGGGAAGGUUAAAUACCCUGCUGAUUUUCUUGUUCUUGCUUCCCCACAAGAUGAUUUUUGUCCCAUUAUUUUUGGUAGACCCUUCUUGAAUACUGCUAGUGCUAAGAUUAAUUGUAAAAGGAAGGUCGUCACUAUUGGCAUAGAUGGUAUGUCUCAUGAGUUUAUUUUUUCUAAGUUUAGUAGACAACCUCGUGAAAGGGAACCACCUAGUAAGGAUGAAAAUAUUGGUCUUGCCUCCAUUGUUGUUCCUCCAACUGAUCCGUUAGAACAAUAUUUGCUAGACCAUGAAAACGAUAUGUUUAUGAAGGAACGGGAAGAAAUAGAUGAAGUGUUCCUUAAACAAGAACCUAUGCUGAAACAUAACCUUCCCGUUGAAAUUCUUGGGGAUCCCCGUCCACCCAAGGGUGAUCCCAUUUUUGAACUCAAACCAUUACCUGAUAAUCUUAAGUAUGCUUAUCUUGAUGAAAAAGAAAUAUAUCCUAUUAUUAUUAGUGCUAACCUUUCAGAGAAAGAAGAAGAAAGAUUAUUGAAAACUAUGAAGAAGCACCGAGCUGCUAUUGGAUAUACCCUGGAUGAUCUUAAGGGCAUUAGUCCCACAUUAUGUCAACACAAAAUUUCAGUGGAGAAAGAUGCCAAACCAGUUAGAGAUCCUCAAAGAUGAUUAAAUCCCAAAAUGAAGGAAGUGGUAAGAAAGGAGAUUCUAAAACUCCUUGAGGCAGGUAUUAUUUAUCUCGUUGCUGAUAGUGAAUGGGUAAGCCCUAUCCAUUGUGUCCCUAAAAAGGGAGGUAUUACCGUUGUUCCUAAUGAUAAAGAUGAAUUGAUCCCGCAAAGAAUAAUUACAGGUUAUAGCAUGGUGAUUGAUUUUCGUAAGUUAAAUAAAGCUACUAAGAAAGAUCAUUACCCUUUACCUUUUAUUGAUCAAACUAGACCAUGAUGACGCGUGUUGCUGCGCCCGCCAAUUUUAAUGAUCCAAAUAGGAGUUUGUGUAAAUUUUAUGAAGGUAAAAGAGAUUUCAACUCCAUAUAUCAUUCAUGCAAGCUUAUGAUGUCCAUCUUCGGCUUACAAAGCUUACACCCACACCAUCAUUUGUUGAAAUUCAUUCUGCUAGGCGGAACAAUUUUUCGUAAUAGCUAAAUGGCCAUAUUGUGAGGCAUGUAACUGGAAUAUGCUACAUGCUUAUUCAUAAUCUACUAAUGGUGUAAAUGAAAUAAUCAUUUUUAUCUCAGUUUCAUAUAGUAUAAAAGGCUACACCUGUAUAGACCGAUGCUUUUUUAUAGGCACCUGCAUGGCCGCUGUCGAGAAGUUUGUUAUUUAAGAAUUAUGCAAAAGUAGCUUAUCAAUUUAGCGCAACCUGGGAGCAAGGUGCCAACAGUAUAUCGUGGACCUUUAAUAUUUUAUAAUGUGCCAGUAUAACCUGGGAGCAGGGUGUCAACAUAAUCUCUUAAUGUCCAGAAGUUUAUUAAGUAAACCCACAUCUUUUAACAAAAACUGAGAAGUAAAGGAACAAACGUUUGUGCACUCGAGGACAACAGAUGAGUUUAAUCAAUCAUGUCCGCGGUGUGGUUAUUAUCCCAUCUCAUAAUAGAGAUAUGGGAGAACGCGUAGAGCAAGGUCAGGAAGGAAGAGAAGAUUCAAGACCAUAGGGAAAAGGGAAAUGAAGGUGGCAGCAUGGGGCAAGGAAAAUGAAGGAAAUUAAGACUGCUAGCAAGAUCCGGGAGCUUCGUAGCCAGGCUUGUGCCAUCAGAUCGACCGGUUGAUUUAGUAACACACCUUUAUAAUCAUAUUAUUAACGGGAACUCCAAGGGACGCACCGAUGAAAUCCGGAGGCAGUACGGCGACAGCAUGCGCCGCUGCGUCUUGGAUUUCUUUUGAGGGGACGCUGCGUCGUGGAUGAAUAGUCGUUUUUUGAGGAGGAUUCGAGGGGAGCAGCGACGGAGAUACAGUAAAUGGGCCAAAGUUUUACUUUGCUGGGCCUGUACUUGCACAACCCGAUUAAGGAGAUGACGACCAGGUCCACCUGUGGAGCAGCGGCCCGAUAAUGUUGGCCGAGCGGGGUACACAGGUGACGGGGAAAAGUAAGUCAGAAUCUACCCGAGGGCGACCGUUGAUGAGCAUAAUCGGACGGUUAGCACACUUAAAUCGCUGUGGGGGGCCGUAGGUAGCCCCGUUUUACUGUUCAGUAAUGCUAGAAAGGCUAUCCAAACACACACAUUUUUGCUUUCUAGAUGGUUAUUCUGGUUUUUCUCAAAUACAUGUGUCCGCGAAGGAUCAAUCUAAAACUAAUUUUACUUGCCCUUUUGGUACUUUUGCUUAUACACGUAUGCCUUUCAGUUUAUGUAAUGCACCUACUACCUUUCAAAGAUGCAUGAUGGCUAUAUUUUCUGAUUUUUGUGAAAAGAUUUGUGAGGUAUUUAUGGAUGACUUCUCCGUCUAUGAAUCCUCUUUUGAUGAUUGUUUGAGCAACCUUGAUCGAGUUUUGCAGAGAUGCGAAGACACUAGUCUCGUCCUGAAUUGGGAAAAGUGUCACUUUAUGGUUAAUGAAGGCAUUGUCUUGGGGCACAAGAUCUCCGAGAGAGGUAUUGAAGUUGAUAAAGCCAAAGUUGAUGCUAUUGAAAAGAUGCCAUUCCCAAGGACAUAAAAGGUAUAAGAAGUUUCCUUGGUCAUGCCGGCUUUUAUAGGAGGUUCAUUAAGGACUUUUCUAAAAUCUCUAGGCCUCUGCCUAAUUUAUUGCAAAAAGAUAUUCCUUUUGUCUUUGAUGAUGAUUGUGUAGAAGCAUUUGAAACACUUAAGAAAGCUUUGAUCACUGCACCUAUUGUUCAGCCACCUGAUUGGAAUUUACCUUUUGAAAUUAUGUGCGAUGCUAGUGAUUAUGCUAUAGGUGUUGUUUUAGGGAAAAGAGUUGAUAAGAAAUUGAAUGUUAUCCAGUAUGCUAGUAAGACUCUUGAUACUGCCCAGAGAAAUUAUGCUACUACUGAAAAAGAGUUCUUAGCAGUUGUGUUUGCAUGUGAUAAGUUUAGACCUUAUAUUGUUGAUUCCAAAGUUACUAUUCACACUGAUCAUGCUGCUAUUAAAUAUCUUAUGGAAAAGAAAGAUGCUAAGCCUAGACUCAUUAGAUGGGUUCUCUUGCUCCAAGAAUUUGACUUGCAUAUUAUUGAUAGAAAGGGAGCUGAGAACCCUGUUGCAGACAACUUAUCUAGGCUAGAGAAUGUUCUUGAUGACCCACUGCCUAUUAAUGAUUGUUUUCCUGAUGAACAAUUAGCGGUUGUCAAUGCUUCUCGUACUGCUCCUUGUUAUGCUGAUUAUGCUAAUUACAUUGUUGCUAAAUAUAUACCGCCUAGUUUCACAUACCAGCAAAAGAAAAAGUUCUUUUAUGGUUUAAGACAUUACUUCUAGGAUGAUCCUCACCUUUAUAAAGAAGGAGUAGAUGGUAUUAUUAGAAGUUGUGUGCCUGAGCAUGAACAAGAACAAAUCCUACGCAAGUGUCACUCUGAAUCUUAUGGAGGACACCACGCUGGAGAUAGAACUACACACAAGGUACUACAAUCUGGUUUUUAUUGGCCUACUCUCUUCAAAGAUGCUCGUAAGUUUGUCUUAUCUUGUAAUGAAUGUCAAAGAAUAGGUAACAUUAGUAGACGUCAAGAAAUUCGUAUGAAUUAUUCUCUUGUUAUUGACCCGUUUGAUGUUUGGGGCUUUGAUUAUAUGGGACCUUUUCCUGCCUCCAAUGGUUAUACACAUAUUUUAGUUGAUGUUGAUUACAUUACUAAGUGGGUAGAAGCUAUUCCAACUAGUAGUGCUGAUCAUAACACUUCUAUUAAAAUGCUUAAAGAAGUUAUUUUUCCAAGGUUUGGAGUCCCUAGAUAUCUUAUGACUGAUGGUGGUUCACACUUUAUUCAUGGUGCUUUUCGUAAGAUGCUUGCUAAGUAUGAUGUCAAUCAUAGAAUCGCAUCUCCUUAUAACCCGCAGUCUAGUGGUCAAGUAGAGUUGAGCAAUAGAGAGCUCAAAUUAAUUUUGCAAAAGACUAUGAAUAGAUCUAGAAAGAAUUGGUCCAACAAACUUGAUGAUGCAUUAUGGGCCUAUAGAACUGCAUACAAAAAUCCUAUGGGUAUGUCUCCAUAUAAGAUGGUUUAUGGAAAAGCAUGUCAUUUACCUCUUGAACUUGAACAUAAAGCAUAUUGGGCUAUUAAAGAGCUCAAUUAUGACUUCAAACUUGCCGGUGAGAAAAGGUUAUUUCAUAUUAGCUCACUUGAUGAACGGAGAACCCAAGCAUAUGAGAAUGCCAAGCUUUUCAAAGAAAAAGUCAAACACUGGCAUGAUAAGAGGAUACAAAAGCGUGAGUUUAACGUAGGAGAUUAUGUGUUAUUAUUCAACUCUCGUUUAAGAUUUUUUGCAGGAAAACUUCUCUCAAAAUGGGAAGGUCCCUACGUUAUCGAGGAGGUCUAUCGAUCUGGUGCUAUAAAAAUCAACAACUUCGAAGGUACAAAUCUGAGGGUGGUAAAUGGUCAAAGAAUUAAACAUUAUAUUUCAGGUAAUCCUAUCAAUGUUGAAACUAAUAUUAUUGAAACCAUAACCCCUGAGGAAUACAUAAGAGACACUUUCUAGAACGUUCGAGACUCCGAAAAGGCAUAGGUACGUGGUACGGUAAGUAAACCGACUCCAAAACAACUCUAAUGGCAAUUUUCAUCAGUUUUCGAUUAUUUAAGAAUUUUAGGAAGAAAGAAGUUGUCCGAAAGGGACACGAGGCUCCCACGAGAGAGGAGGUCGCGCCCCCCUGUAGGGCGCGCCCCCUGUCUCGUGGGCACCUGGUGUGCCUCCCGGACUCCGUUUUCUUGUAUGUUACGUAUUUUGGUCGAUAAAAAUUCAUUAUAUAUACUCUCGAAGGUUUUGACCACCCUAUCACACAAAUAUCCUCUGUUUUUGUUUCGAGCUGUUCCUGUUGCAGAAUAAAGCAAGAUGUCUUCUCAGGAGUCAGUUGGGGAGAGCCGGGUGUCUCACCCAAUGCCAGGUCCAGGAGCAAAUAGCGACGCCUAUCAUUUUGGACCAUCAACGGAGGAUGAGAUGGAGGCUGGUUUGAAAAUAAUAGAUGCCAUGGAGGAGGAUCAAGAAGUUACCUCUCGUCUUCGAGCAGAAUUCACUAUGGGGGAACUACCUAGCCUGGCUGUCCCUACUUAGGUCACUCCUUCCAACUCUAGAUUUCUUUCUUAUGAAAAUAUGAAAAAGAGUUUCACUUGUUCUCCAGAAGCUAUGCAACAUCCUUGGGUAAAAGGAGCCUUGACCGUUACGGGCAAGCUCCGUAAGGAAAAUAUGGACCUCAAACAACAAGUCAAUAAGCUCGAGGAGGAGAACCGUAUCCUGAAGGGCAUAAUCGCCAAGAAGAUCAUAACACCAACCGUGAAGAAGAAGAAAUAAUCACAUGGGUAUUGGCACUCCCUUUGGCGACUGCCAAGCUUGGGGGAGGUGCCCCGGUAUCGUAUCACCAUCACACUCCUAUUUUUACCGCUUUAUUUAGUUCGAUCCUUUUAGUAGUAUCUUGAUCUAGUAGUUUGAAGUUUUUGAUAUCAAGUAGCUUUGAGUUUUGCAUUGUGAUCUCUUUAUGUAAUCGAGUCCAUGUGCUAUCUAUAAUAAAGAUUAGUGUUGAGUCAAGGGCUUUGCUAUGUUGCUAUGAUAUUGAGAAAGUAGAAAGAAUAAAAGAGUUCAUAUUCACACAUAGAAAGUAUGAGGCAUAAAAAUUGUUGAGAGUUGAUGAACGCAGUGUUGGUCAUCCUUGCAAUUAAUAGGAAGUGAUAAGGAAAGAGGGGUUCACAUAUAAAUAUAUUAUCGUGGACAUUUUCUAUAAUUGGGAGCACUCAUUAGGUAUGACAUGCUAAAAGAGUUGACGUUGGACAAGGAAGACAACGUAAUGGUUUAUGUUUUCCGACAUCUCAGUUAAAGUAUAUUGUCAUUGACCUUCCAAACAUGUUGAGCUUGCCUUUCCCCCUCAUGCUAUCCAAAUUCCUUGCACCAAGUAGAAAUACUACUUGUGCUUCCAAAUAUCCUUAAACCCAGUUUUGCCAUGAGAGUCCACCAUACCUACCUAUGGAUUGCGUAAGAUCCUUCAAGUAUGUUGUCAUCGGUGCAAGCAAUAAAAAUUGCUCUCUAAAUAUGCAUGACUUAUUAGUGCAGAGAAAAUAAGCUUUGUAUGAACUUGUUGUGGAAGUAAUAAAAGCGACGGAUUGCAUAAUAAAGGUCCACAUACAAGGGGCAACAUAAAGUGACGUUCUUUUCCAUUAAGAUUUUUUAUAUCCAACCCUAAAAGCGCAUGACAACCUCUGCUUCCCUCUGCGAAGGGCCUAUCUUUUAUUUUAUGUUUUUACUUUAUGCUUGAGUCAAGGUGAUCCUCACCUUUCCCUUUUUCAAUUUUAUCCUUUGGCAAGCUCUUCGUGUUUGAAAGAUCAUGAUAUAUAUAUCCAAUUGGAUGUAAGUUGGCAUAGGCUAUUAUUGUUGACAUCACCUAAAGGUGAAUACGUUGCGAGGCAACACAAGAAGCCCCUAUCUUUCUCAGUGUCCGGCUGAAACUCUAUAACCACAAGUAUUGCGUGAGUGUUAACAAUUAUGGGGGACUACGAGAUAGUUGAGUAUGCGAGCUUGUUGAAAAACUCUAUUAUUGACUCUUUCUGAUGUUACGAUAAAUUGCAAUUGCUUCAAUGACUGAGAUUAUAGUUUGUUAGUUCCCAAUGAAGUUUUUGAACCAUACUUGACAUUGUGAAUUCUUAUUACUUGAGCAUAGGAAAUCAUAUGACAAAAUCUAUAUAUGUUGCUUUUAUUAGAAUGAUCAUGAUGCCCUCAUGUCCGUAUUUUAUUUUUAUCGACACCUCAUCUCUAAACAUGUGGACAUAUUUUUCGAUUUAGGCUUCCGGUUGAGGACAAGCGAGGUCUAAGCUUGGGGGAGUUGAUACGUCCAUUUUGCAUCAUUCUUUUAUAUCAAUAUUUAUUUAUGGGCUGUUAUUACACAUUAUAUCUCAAUACUUAUGGCUAUUCUCUCUUAUUUUACAAGGUUUACCAUGAAGAGGGGGAAUGCCGACAGCUGGAAUUCUGGCUGGAAAAGAGCAAACGUUGGAAACCUAUUCUGCACAACUCCAAAAGUCCUAAAACUCCACGAAACAACUUUUGGGAUUUAAUAAGAAUUUAUGAGCGAAAGAAAUAGGCCAGGGGGCCCACACGCUGUCCAGGAGACAGGAGGGCGCCCCCCUGUAGGGCGCGACCCCCUAUCUCCUGGGCCCACUACUAGAAAAACCGCUACUAAUGGCGCACCUAAUUUGGCCAUUAAUGGCGCAUCACUGGUGCGCCAUUACUAGCACGCCAUUAGUAAUUUUUACUAAUGGCGCACCAGUGGUGCGCCAUUAGUAUCUGGUAUACUAAUGGCGCACCACUGGUGCGCCAUUAGUAUAGGCCACGGUGCACCAUUAGUAUGCCUCCCAGGGGCCAUGUAUACCCAGGUGCUUUGGCAUACUAAUGGCGCAUGACCAUGGGAUGCGCCAUUAGUAACCGCGGCAUACUACUAAUGGCGCACUGUCAUGUGAUGCGCCAUUAGUAUGAAUAUUAGUUUUUUUUUAUUAUUUUCUGUUUUUUGCACAGGUUACAAAAUGUAUAAUUUGACAAAAUAUAGACAUCACACAUAAACAACAGAUUCAUCGAAUACAAUAGAAGAUUAGUCUGUGAAUACAACUAGAUGACCAGUUGCGCCAAUGGCGCAAAGGCCGAGAGUAAGCCAUGUAUUGAAAGAGUAACAUUAAUAUUAUUCAGACACAUAUUGAAACAUAUGAAAAUAAGUACUUAUUGCUGGUAGAUAGAUACUUAGUAAUGAUACAUAGUGUUCUAAGAAGCUUAUGAUUAAUUAUUUACAAUGUUAUUAGCAAACAAAGUAGAUAGUCACAUAUAGGCGCUAUGAAGUGAUAAACAUUAGAUAGAGUCAUCGUUGCACCCUUGACCAUGGCACAAAAAGCGAGAGCGAGCCAAGCAUUCAAAGUAUGUGUAUGAGAUUGAUUUAGAAUCAACUUAUAAAGAUACUUAUAUUCCAUUACAUGAAAGCUAUGCUUGAAAGAAAAUAUUCCGAUCAAUUGGUGAUAGCAUACAUUGGCUUUAAAAGACAUGCUAUAUUAGCAUAGAUGAAUGGUGUAUAUAGUGCUUGCCCAUUAACCAUUGCUCGAGUCUUGUACCUGCCAUCAACAGGAAGGAAAGAACCUAUGACCCAGGCGGACGAACAACCUAGCCGUACACUGCAGACAGGACCAGAGGCCUAUAGAGGAACAAAAAUAAUCAAGCGACUGUAUGUAAAACAAUAAGCAGAUGGUACGCCACUGGGAGAGACUGUAUUUGAUACAUAUAACAAUUGAGCAUAUUUUUGGAACACCAACUGGACCAUGAAACAAACAUAUAUAGCAAGCCAAGAAAAGGAGGAAUCAUGAUGCCACAAUGAAAAGAGUAAGUCCAAUGGACACAACUACAGAAGUACAUGUCAUAGGACAAGAUGCAAAAUCUAUAUAUCAAUUAGAUAUAGAAACAAAAACAGGAAAGAGUAAUCAUAAUGAUCUGAGUAUGUUGUAGAUUUCCUACUGAAAUUAUAAUUUAAUAAAUUUAAUGUCAAGAGAAAUGCAAUGAGGAAAGGGCCUGUAACAUGGAGUUGGUCCAACCCAGCCUCUCUAAUUCAUGAAACAGUAAGUUAAUUGUCACAGUCUUCUAGUUAUUAAUGGUCCUGCGUCACUAAUCUCAACCAACGCCAAAAGUUUGUGAUCCCAUGAAUGUACUAAGCGAUUUCCAUCAAGCCUGGACCAGCUCUCUUAGAUACCCCUGCCAAAAAUAGGAAAAUGGAACUUUGAAUACUCUCAGCUUACACAAAAUAAAAAACUAUGCAGGACAUGAUAGACACUUAAAAUUGCAAAGUUCAUUCGAUGUCAUAAAGCAAAAGACUAAGAACCAUUAUGUACCAACCUGGACGUUGCCUCUUACUCCCUUAGAUAUCAUGGUUCAACAAAUAAACCUCUUACUCCCUAGAAAUAGUAAAUCCCGCCUUCAUCAAUUACAGGGAGGAGCUUCCAACUGGAUUUGAAGUACCAUUUGUAUUAUACCCUCCCUAUACCAGUAUAAAAAACAACAAUCUUUUCACCAUCAAUAGUUAUCCUGCAACAUCAUUUAACUCUCACAUGAUUUAGAGAGAGUAGUAAUGAAGCACAGAUAAUAACAUUUGUCAGAAAAGAGUAGGAGAGAAACAAACAGAGUACAAUUUGAAUGCUCAGAACAAUCAAAUUAAACACUACAGGGAAAACUAAGAACAAUCAACCUUAACUACUGUAGGGAAGAUAAAAGUCGUCUCAAAUUAACUGCUAUUGGCUUUACUAAUCUACUAUUGUUCAGACUGAUUAUCAACUACUACAGGAAAAACCAAGAACAAUUGACCGCAACUAUUGCAUGAAAGAUAAAGCAUUCUCAAAUUCUUUUUUCUUUCCGAGUUGAAUGACUCCAUCCAGACCAAAUGACCAAGCUGGUCAUAAAAAGGGACAUAAAAAAAUGUCGAUAGAAGUGAAUCAGUAAAAACAAAAACCAAAAACUGUAUGCGAAUAAUCAAGAUGGGAUGAGUGCUUUUAAGCACCAUGUCAAGAACCAGAGCCAUGGCGAAAAUUCUGGUGAUUUCAUAUGCAGAUAAAUGUGCAAAAGUAGCAAGAUGACUCAGACUGACAAACAAAUCUCUUGACAGUGCUCUUUGGCAAGUGCUGCAGAGAUGGAUAAUACUCAAUCAGUCUCUAUACCAAUGUCUCCUGUAGGCUGGGUGUAGUACACAGCUUUUGGGAGCUAUAGAGUGUGUUCAGCAUAGCAUCCAAAAUAACCCUUGGUGGAAUGUGUACAGGAUCCAUUAGGAAAUCCUAAGAUGAUUUUAUAAAUGUUAGAUUAUCGCUCAUAAAAAAGGCCAUAUAAGGAUUAUUGCCAUUGAUCAGUACUAUGCAUAUGUAGUAUGGUCAAAGAAGAUAGAUAUGAACAAUUGGUGUUAGCUACCAUGUCAGACUAAAACUAAAAGAACUUGUUGAGUAAUCAUAGAUAGCAGGAAAGUCUAUGUUGGUUGCAUUUAAUUAUUCAGUUUUAGUACAGGUGCUGUUCAAGAAUGGCAGAACCAUUUUCUACCAAAGCUCACUAUACUAAAGGCUUAUCCAAUGCCAUAGCAGAGCCGAUCAAAGAGGCACUAACGGACAGGGGUCUCGCAAAGUACAUCAUGAAUUUCCAUGUCUCAAUCUGGCAGUGUAAAACUGUAGGUUCCAUGGCUCAAAAAUAGCUAAGUGAUUUGAAUCUAAAAUAAACCUAGGUUUAUUACCUAUAAGGCCAUCCCCAGGAAUAUCAAUCUCUACACCAGCAAGCACAUGACCAUUCCCGUCGAUCUCACACAAGUAAAAAGGCGGAAGCAAUGCACAUUGUGCUGCCACAGUUCCAAAAUUGGAAGAACAAAGGACACCAGAGCACACAUUCUAGGUAAACGAAGUAAUUACACAAUACGAAGCAGGAAAGAAUAUAUGUAAGCACACAAAUAAAUAGUAUAAGGUGAGAGGAUAAAACAUUCCAUGCACAAUAAAACCGUUCUACCAAGAACGCUAAAGACACUAUGUUAGAGGAACAAAAUGUAUUGAAACAGUAAACAAUUAGCAGGGAAAGUACUAAUAAUAAUCACCUUCACAAGAUGAAAGAAAGCAGAUGAGGCCCUUGACGAGAUCAACAGCACUAGAAUCCCAAGAACAGACCUAGAAGAAAACAGUUCAUAAAUCAGGACACAACCAAGCUUUCUACCCACAAGGAAACUCUUCUACCAAGAAUGCUAAAAACAGUAUAUACAACAGCACGAGCAGAAGGGAAUAGGACAGAUCUUAACCCCAAACAGAAAAAGGAUUCUAAGCACGACCGCAUUUCAUCGAACAGGUAGAAAGCAAGCGGGGAAAAAGUGGCUUACCUCUGACGAAACAUAAAUCGCACAGUUCAGACCGACACAAGAAUCAAGAAUUAGAUCCUGCAAAGAAGAGAGAGGAAUCAGUUACACUUGGGUUGUUUUUUCUCUUAAAGAGGAUUGAAUCCUAACCCUAGAGCGAGAGGAAAAAAGAGAGAAGGAGAGGCAGGGGCGAAGAGGCAUAGCAGAGGAGGAGCAUGAGGAGCAGGCCUCCACAGCCAGAGCGCCGCCGACCGCCAUGGGAGAGAUUAGAUCCUGCAAAGAAGAGAGAGGAAUUAGUUACACUUGGGCGGGCGCGUCGCCGCCUGGUCGUCCUCCUUCUCAUGCAUCUGCCCCCUCCCUCUUCUCAUGCGACGGUGGUGUCGGGGCGGCGCUGGGGCGGCGGGGCGACGGUGGCGUCGAGGGCGGCGGGGUGACGGUGGUGUCGGGACGGGGCGACGGUGGCGUCGAGAGCGGUGGGGCGAUGGUGGUGUCGGGGCGGGGCGACGGUGGCGUCGGGAGAGGAGAUCGGGGAAGGGGAUCGCGGGCGAGGGCGAGGGAGAGAGAGGGGAUCAGUACGAAGUAGGGGCGCCACAAUACUAAUGGCGCACCACCCCUCGGUGCGCCAUAAGUACAUACAUGCUAAUGGCGCACCGCGGGUGAGUGCGCCAUUAGUAGUUUUGUAGAAAAAGGAAUAAAAAAUAAUAAAAAAACAACAUUAGUGGCGCACUUUCUGACUGGUGCGCCAUUACUAGUUACCACUAGUAAUGGCGCACUUCCUAUGGAUGCGCCAUUAGUAUGUUUGGACAGGCGCACUAGUUAAAAAAAAUUUGAUACUAAUGGCGCACCAUGGGCCAGGUGCGCCAUUAGUAGUUUCAACACUAAUGGCGCAUCAGAAGGUGGUGCGCCAUUAGUAUAUACUAAUGGCGAACCACUUGUCUGGUGCGCCAUUAGUGCCAAUCCCAUCUAUAGCCCUUUUUCUAGUAGUGGCCCCAUGGUGGGCCUCCGGCGUCCAUCUUCUGCUAUAUCAUCACUUUUACCCUGGAAAAAUCGUGGGCAAGCUUACGGGAUGAAACUCUGCCGCCACGAGGCGAAAUCUUGGCGAAAUCAAUCUAGGGCUCUGGCAGAGCUGUUCUGUCAGGGACACUUCCCUCUGGGAGGGGGAAAUCAUCACCAACGUCAUCACCAAUGAUCCUCUCAUCGGGAGGGGGUCAAUCUCCAUCAACAUCUUCACCAGCACCAUCUCCUCUCAAAACCCUAGUUCGUCUCUUGUAUCCAAUCUUGUAUCAAAACCACAAAUUGGUACCUGUGGGUUGCUAGUAGUGUUGAUUACUCCUUGUAGUUGAUGCUAUUUGGUUUACUUGGUGGAAGAUCAUAUGUUCAGAUCCUUUAUGCAUAUUAAUACCCCUCUGAUUAUGAACAUGAAUAUGCUUUGUGAGUAGUUACGUUUGUUCCUGAGGACAUGGGUGAAGUCUUGCUAUUAGUAGUCAUGUGAAUUUGGUAUUCGUUCGAUAUUUUGAUGAGAUGUAUGUUGUCUUUCCUCUAGUGGUGUUAUGUGAACGUCGACUACAUGACACUUCACCAUUAUUUGGGACUAGAGGAAGGCAUAGGGAAGUAAUAAGUAGAUGAUGGGUUGCUAGAGUGACAGAAGCUUAAACCCUAGUUUAUGUGUUGCUUCGUUAGGGGUUGUUAUGGACCCAUAUGUUUAAUGUUGUGGUUAGGUUUACCUUAAUACUCCUUUUUGUAGUUGCGAAUGCUUGCAAUAGGGGUUAAUCAUAAGUGGGAUGCUUGUCCAUGUUAGGGCAGUACCCAAGUGCCGGUCCACCCACAUAUCAAAUUAUCAAAGUACUGAACGCGAAUAUUAUGAACGUGGUGAAAACUAGCUUGACGAUAAUUUCCAAUGUGUCCUCAGGAGCUCCUUCUUCAUUAUUAGAAUUUGUCGAGGCUUAUCCUUUGAUACAUAAAGGAAUGGGCCACCUUGCUGCACUUUAUUUACUUUAUUUACUUUUUGCUUGUUACUAUUUAUCUUAUCACAAAACUAUCUAUCACGUACUAUUUCAGUGCUUGCAGAGAAAACCUUAUUGAAAACCGCUUAUUAUUUCCUUCUGCUCCUCGUUGGGUUCGACACUCUUACUUAUCGAAAGGACUAUGAUAGAUCCCCUAUACUUGUGGGUCAUCAAACAGUAAUACGGGAUGGGCCUUCGGUUAGUAGGUUAGUCCCAAAAAUGAUAUAAAUGUGUAAAAUAAAGCCCAUAAACAUCCAAAAGGGGUAAUAUAAUAGCAUGGAACAAUAAAAAAUUAUAGAUACGUUGGAGACGUAUCAUAGCUCCAUGCAGAGCAUUGUAGACAUAGAAAAUUUCCAAAAUACAUAAGGCUCUGAAUGUGACAGACCCGUUGACUAAACUUAUCUCACAAAUAAAACAUGAUCACACAUUAGUACUCUUUGGGUGUUAAUCACAUAGCGAUGUGAAUAAGAUUAUUGACUCUAGUAAACCCUUUUGGUGUUAGUCACAUGCCGAUGUGAACUAAUCACAUAAAGAUGUGAACUAUUGGUGUUAAAUCACAUGACGAUGUGAACUAGAUUAUUGACUCCAGUGCAAGUGGGAGACUGGAGGAAAUAUGCCCUAGAGGAAAUAAUAAAGUUGUUAUUUAUAUUUUCUUAUAUCAUGAUAAAUGUUUAUUAUUCAUGCUAGAAUUGUAUUAACUGGAAACUUAGUACAUGUGUGAAUACAUAGACAAAACAGAGUGUCCCUAGUAUGCAUCUACUUUACUAGCUCGUUGAUCAAAGAUGGUUAUGUUUCCUGACCAUAGACAUGUGUUGUGAUUUGAUGAACGACAUCACAUCAUUAGAGGAUGACGUGAUGGACAAGACCCAUCCAUUAGCUUAGCAUAAUGAUCAUUUAGUUUUAUUGCUAUUGCUUUCUUCAUGACUUAUACAUGUUCCUCUGACUAUGAGAUUAUGCAACUCCCGAAUACGGGAGGAACACCUUGUGUGCUAUCAAACAUCACAACGUAACUGGGUGAUUAUAAAGAUGCUCUACAUGUGUCUACAAAGGUGUUUGUUGAGUUGGCAUAGAUCAAGAUUAGGAUUUGUCACUCCGUGUAUUGAAGAGGUAUCUCUGGGCCCUCUCGGUAAUGCACAUCACUAUAAGCCUUGCAAGCAAUGUGACUAAUGAGUUAGUUGCUGGAUGAUGCAUUACGGAACGAGUAAAGAGACUUUCCGGUAACGAGAUUGAACUAAGUAUGAUGAUACCAACGAUUGAAUCUCGGGCAAGUAACAUACCGAUGACAAUGGGAAUAACAUAUGUUGUUAUGCGGUUUGACCGAUAAAGAUCUUCGCAGAAUAUGUAGGAGCCAAUAUGAGCAUCCAGGUUCCGCUAUUGGUUAUUGACCGGGAAUGUGUCUCGGUCAUGUCUACAUAGUUCUUGAACCCGUAGGGUCCGCACGCUUAACGUUCAAUGACGAUUUGUAUUAUGAGUUAUGUGUUUUGAUGACCGAAGUUUGUUCGGAGUCCCGGAUGAGAUCACGGACAUGACAAGGAGUCUUGAAAUGGUCGAGAGGUAAAGAUUCAUAUAUUGGAAGGUUAUAUACGGACAUCGGAAUGGUUCCGAUAAGGUUCGGGGAUUUAUCGGAGUACUGGGAGGCUAUCGGAACCCCCCGGGAAGUUAAUGGGACUUAUUGGGCUUUAGUGCACAGAGGGAAGAAGGGCCACAAGGUGGCGCGUGCCUCCCCCUGCCCAAACGAAAUUGGACAAGGGGUGGGGGCGCGGGCCCCCCUUUUUCCUUGUCCCUCUCCCUUUUUUCCCCUUUCCCCUCUCCGUAAGAUGGAAGGAGGGGGGCCGAAUCCCACUAGGUUUGGAGUCCUAGUAGGACUCCCUCCAUGGUGUGCCCCCCUUGGUCGGCCUCCUCCUCCCCCUCCUUUAUAUACAUUGGCAGGGGGCAGCCCAAAGGACAACAGAAAAUCUCUUAGCCAUGUGAUGUGCCCCCCUCCACAGUUUAACACCUCGUUCAUAUCGUCGUAGUGCUUAGGCGAAGCCCUACGCCGGUAACUUCAUCAUCAGUGUCGCCACGCUGUCUGAUACGUCUCCAACGUAUCUAUAAUUUAUGAAGUAUUCAUGCUAUUAUAUUAUCCAUCUAUGAUGUUUUAUAUGCAUUUAUAUGUCAUUUUAUAUGAUUUUUGGGACUAACCUAUUAACCUAGAGCCCAGUGCCAGUUUGUGUUUUCUCCUUGUUUUUGUGUUUUACAGAAAAGGGAUACCAAACGGAGUCCAAUUGACGUGCCAAUUUUUGAGGAUUUUUUAUGGACCAAAAGAAGACCACAGAGCAUCGGAGUUGGGCCAGAGGAGUCCCGGGCUGCCCACGAGAGUGGGGGCCACGCCCUCCCCCCUGGGGCGCGCCCCCUAUCUCGUGGACAGCCCGGAGACCUUCCUGACGUGAAACCAAUGCCAAAAAUUCCUAUAAAUACAGAAACCUUUGGGAAUUAACCUAGAUCGGAAGUUCCGCCGCCGCAAGCCUCUGUAGCCACGAGAAAUCAAUCUAGGCCCUCUCUGGCACCCUGCCGGAGGGGGCCAUCAUCACCGGAGGCCAUGGAGGAGGAUCUCGGAGGGGCCAUCAUCUCCAUGAAGGCCAAGGACCAGAGGGGGAAAGCAUGGAGGAGGAAGCACAAGGGGGAGAAACUCUCCUCCUCUCUCUUGGUGGCACCGGAGUGCCAUCGGGAGGGGAAUCAUUGUCGCGGUGAUCGUCUUCAUCAACAUCACCAUCAUCAUCACCAUCUUCAUCUCUUUUACGCGGUCCACUCUUCCGCACUCCGCUGUAAUCCCUACUUGAACAUGGUGCUUUAUGCCACAUAUUAUGAUCCAAUGAUGUGUUGCCAUCCUAUGAUGUUUUGAGUAGAUAUCUUUUGUCUUUGGGUUGAUUGAUGAUCUAGAUUGGUAUGAGUUGUAUGUUUUAUUUUGGUGCCGUCCUAUGGUGCCCUCCGUGUCACGCAGGCAUGAGGGAUUCCCGCUGUAGGGUGUUGCAAUACGUUCAUGAUUCUCUUAUAGUGGGUUGGUGAGUGACUGAAACACAAACCCGAGUAAGAGGGGUUGUUGCGUAUGGGAAUAAAGAGGACUUGAUGCUUUAAUGCUAUGGUUGGGUUUUACCUUAAUGAUCUUUAGUAUCUGCGGAAGCUUGCUAGAGUUCCAAUCAUAAGUGCAUAUGAUCCAAGUAGAGAAAGUAUGUUAGCUUUUGCGUCUCCCUCAUAUGAAAUUGCAAUAGUGAUUACCGAUCUUGUUAACAAUUGCCUAGGACAAUUCCGCACAUCGAUCCACCAUUAUUCCACACUCGCUAUUUAUAUUAUUUAGUAUUAUAUUCUAACUCUAUGAUAACAGCACCUACUUUUAUAUUUUAGCUCUCCUAUAUCAUACAAAGUUAUCCUCUUUAUACCCACAACACAUUUUUAUUUCUUGUUUCUAGUUGGAAGCAAAUGUUCGGUGCACGUAGAGUCGUAUUAGUGGCAGAUAGGGCUUGAGAGAAUAUUGAUCUUACCUUUAGCUCCUUGUGGGUUUGACACUCCAUAUUUAUCACUUCCACCUUUGGAAAUUGCUAUGAUGAUUCCCUGCACUUGGGGAUUAUCAAGCUCUUUUCUGGCGCCGCUGCCGGGGAGGAAUAGCGUGGGGUUGAUAUUCUCGUGUGUGCUUGUUUGCUUUCUUUACUUAGUAGAUUUUGUUUUUCCUUUUUGUUUCUGUUUAGUUGUGGGUGAAACAUACAAUUUUUUUAAAAAAGAAUGAAAAUACCAAAAAUUAUUUACUUGCCUCUCAUGCCUAAAAAAAGGUUUUUCAAAAAGAGAAGUGAUUGGAAAGUUAUGCAUUGAAGAAGUGAGGGUCGACCUUGAGCACUUGUGUUCAUGCUCACGGAAACAAUGUAGAAUAUUUCAUGGAAGUUUCUCUGUAAAUAAUUAUCCCCUCGUAUAUAUCCUUUGUAUUAUAAAAAUAAUGUGCCAAUCUUUGGUUCUAGUAUGAUAAGAUCGCUUGCUUACUAUGUGCAGAACAAAAACAGAAACUUUGGCUGUAGUGCAUGAAUUUACAUUUUUUUACUGGAAAGUCAAAUGGGUCUGAGACAUUUUGCACAUUACUUCUGUAUAAAUGUUUCAAAUUUUAAAAUUUAUUUCAUAAUUUUAGGAGUUACAGAAGUUUACUAAACUUCCAGAUUACUACAGACUGUCCUGUUCUUGACAGAUUCUGUUUUUCGUGUGUUGUUUGCUUAUUUUGAUGCAUCUAUGGCUAGUAUGUGGAGGUAUGAACCAUAGAGAAGUUGGAAUACAGUAGGUUUAACACCAAUAUAAACAAAGUAUGAGUUAAUUACAGUACCUUAAAGUGGUAGUUUGCUUUAUUACACUAACGGAUCUCACAAAGUUUUUGUUUAAGUUUUUGUGAAUGAAGUAUUUGAAGAACGAGGAGUUACCGAUGUGAGAAGAAUAAAGAGAGACAAGAGUUCAAGCUUGGGGAUGCCCAAGGCACCCCAAGUAAAUAUUUCAAAGGAUACUCAAGCAUCUAAGCUUGGGGAUGCCCCGGUUGGCAUCCCAUCUUUCUUCUUCAACAAAUAUCGGUAUACCUCGGUUUUUGUUUUGUUCACAUGAUUCGUGUCCUUUGCGUUUUUGUUUUUCUUUAAGAAUCAUGCUAGUAUAAGAUAGCUCUUCAUUGAUUUAUAGAAUACUUCAUGUGCUUCACUUAUAUCUUUUAAGUAUGGUCUUAUAGAAUUGCUCUUUGUGCUUCACUUAAAUCGUUUGAGUAUGGUUCUAUAGAAUGCUUCGUGCGCUUCACUUAUAUAUUUUGAGCUUGGAUAUUGGCUAUUCUAUAUUAAUUGUAGAAUGCUCCAGGAAAUUCACUUAUAUCUUUUGGAGUUUGAAUAAUACUAUAAUUAAAAGUGGGUUUGGAAGAGUGUCAACUUUAGGAAUUAGUGAUCCCACUAUCUUGGAGGGUGUUGAAUCUUUGUACGAUAUUUAUGAAAGUGGAAUUGGAAUAGUGUCAACUUUAGUUAGUAUUCCACUACUUCGGAAGAGGUUCCAAUUGAGUAUGAGAACAAGUUGCUAUCUAGGAUUCUACUGAAAAUUAUUAUGAGGGAGGAAUAUGUGCUUGUAGGAGUUGCAAUAAUAUCAAGCUUCCUCUCUAUGUGCUUAAAGUUUUGUAGUUAUACUUGUUUUGCCUUCCUAUGCUAGUUGACUUUUGUUCCUAUAAUUUGUGUGCUCACAAAAUCCCUAGGCAUAGGAAGUGAGUUAGAUUUAAAUGUGCUAGUCAUAUUCUUCAUGAUGCUCUCUUUGUGUUUCAACUCUUUUCUUUUAUGCGAGCAUCAUUGAAACCAUCAUGCCUAGCCAAAAGGCAUUAAAGAAAAGCGCUUGUUGGGAGACAACCCAAUAUUUACCCUUACUGUUUUUGUGUGUCUACAUGAUUAAGCUACUGUAGUAAUCAUGUUUUAUGCUUUUUGUUUCAAUAAAGUGCCAAGUAAGACCUUUGGGAAGACUUGGGUGGAAGUUAAUGUGAUCUUGCUGUAAUAAAUAGAAAUUUUGCGCUCACGAGAUUAGCUAUAAUUUUUUAAAUAAGAGUGAUUUUGAGUUGAUUCUUUUUGCAGAAGAUUAAUAGACAAAUUUCUCACGUCCACCAAUUUAUUUAAUAAUUGUUGGAGUAGCAGAAGUAUGGUUAUUGUUCAGAUCAUUACAGACUGUUAUGUUUCUGACAGAUUCUGUUUUCAUUGCAUAGUUUGCUUGUUUCCUAGUUUCUAUGGCUUAUAUUUCCCAAUAUAAAUUGUAGAAAUGAUAUGUUACAGUAGGCAUUAUGUGAAAACAAAUAUGAACCUUGUCUUUUACAGUACCAAAGUGCAUGGUUUACUCUUUAUCAUACUAACCUAUCUCACGAAGUUCCAUUAAGUUUUGUGUGAUUGAAGUUUUCAAGUUUUGAGUGAGAUAUCGAUAUGAGGAGAAUAAGGAGUGGGAAGACCCUAAGCUUGGGGAUGCCCAAGGCACCCCAAGGUAAUAUUCAAGGAAGAAUCAAGUGCCUAAGGUUAGGGAUGCCCCGGAAGGUAUCCCCUCUUUCGUCUUCAAAACUAUCGGUAUACCUUACUCGAAGCUAUAUUUUUAUUCGUCACAUGAUAUGUGUUUUGCUUGGAGCGUCAUUUUCUUUUUGCUUGCUGUUAUUUAGAUAGUGUUUUGCAUCUUUAGUUUCAAUAAAAAUAUCAAGGAUAGCUGAGGGAGUCUUGGAUUAGGGGUUGUCCAGAUGGCCGGACUAUGACCUUUGGCCGGACUCCCGGACUAUGAAGAUACAAGAUUGAAGACUCCGUCCCGUGUCCGGAUGGGACUUUCCUUGGCGUGGAAGGCAAGCUUGGCGAUACGAUAUGAAGAUCUCCUCCCAUUGUAACCGACUCUGUGUAACCCUAGCCCUCUCCAGUGUCUAUAUAAACCGGAGAGUUUUAGUCCGUAGCACGAACAACAAUCAUACCAUAGGCUAGCUUCUAGGGUUUAGCCUCUCUGAUCUCGUGGUAGAUCAACUCUUGUAAUACCCAUACCAUCAAUAUUAAUCAAGCAGGAGUAGGGUUUUACCUCCACCGAGAGGGCCCGAACCUGGGUAAAAACAUCGUGUCCCUUGUCUCCUGUUACUAUCUGCCUAGACGCACAGUUCGGGACCCCCUACCCGAGAUCCGCCGGUUUUGACACCGACAUUGGUGCUUUCAUUGAGAGUUCCUCUAUGUCGUCGCCUUUAGGCCCGAUGGCUUCUUUGAUCUUCAACCAAGACGCGGUCCAGGGUGAGACUUUUCUCCCCGGACAGAUCUUCGUGUUCGGCGGCUUCGCACUGCGGGCCAACUCGCUUGGCCAUCUGGAGCAGAUCGAAAUCUACGCCCCUGGCCAUCAGGUCAGGUUUGGAAGUUUAAACUACACGGCCGACAUUCGCGGGGACUUGAUCUUCGAUGGAUUCAAGCCACGGCCGAGCGCGCCGCACUGUCUCGAUGGGCAUGAUCUAGCUCUGCCGCCGGACAGUGCCCAGAGUGCCGCUCAGGAUUCCGCUCCGACCAUUAGUUCGGAGCUGACUGCGCUAACCAGGGACGGACGGUUGGACGCCGCCCCAGGAGCCGCAAUCUCUACGGCGAUAGAGCCGAAUACCAGCCUAGUCCUUUGCAAGGCCCGUGACUCCAAGGUGUCGGACUCCGUUCCGGACUCCGAAUCUUCAGCACCCCUUCCGAUCGAACCCGAUUGGGCUCCGAUCAUGGAGUUCACCGCCACGGACGUCUUUCAGCACUCGCCCUUUGGAGAUAUCCUGAAUUCACUAAAGUCUCUCUCUUUGUCAGGAGUGCCCUGGCCGAACUACGGUCAGCAUGGUUGGGAUACGAACGACGAAGAAAUUCGAGGCCCACCCACCACCCACUUCGUAGCCACUGUCGACGAUUUAACCGACAUGCUCGACUUCGACUCUGAAGACAUCGACGGUAUGGACGCCGAUGAAGGAGACGACCAAGAACCAGCACCUAUAGGGAACUGGAAAGCCAUCUCGUCAUAUGACAUAUACAUGGUGGACACCCCCAAAGCAGGGGAUGGCGAGGAAAAAACGGAGGAUGACCCCUCCAAGAAGCAACCCAAGCGCCAACGUCAGCGGCGCCGCUCUAAAUCCCGCCAAAGCAAGAACGGCGAAUCCGGCACCGGAGAUAACAACACACCAGACAGCGCCGAAGAUAACCCCCUCCAGCAGGAUUCAGUGCAGGAGGACGAAAAAGCCAGCCCUCAUGAGAGAGCGGCGGACAGAGAGGUUGAGGACGACAACUAUAUGCCUCCCUCCGAAGACAAGGCAAGCCUCGACGAUGACGAAUUCGUUGUGCCAGAGGAUCCCGUCGAACAAGAGCGUUUCAAACACAGGCUUAUGGCCACGGCACGAAGCCUCAAGAAAAAACAUCAGCAGCUUAGAGAUGACCAAGACUUGCUAGCCGACAGAUGGACCGAAGUCCUGGCGGCUGAAGAGUAUAAACUCGAGCGCCCCUCCAAGAGCUACCCAAAGCGCAGGCUGCUACCCCAACUUGAAGAGGAAGCAACUAAACCUACAUCACCAGCGUACGAUGUGCCCGAUCGGCCACCCCGGGGCCGCGACAGAGAGGCCUUCAGGCCCUCGGCCCAAGACGCACCCCGACACCGCUCAAAACAUGCCAGAGUAUGGGGAGAUGCAACAGACCUAUGAGACAUAUUGGAGAACAAGGCAAGGCAAGAAGAUCGAUCUACGGAUCGCAUGGGCGCCCCGCAUCACGUGAUGAUAACCGUCACACCGGAUAUGAUAAAUACGGCCAGGCCGAAUACAACAGACCAAGCUCAUCCGAGCUCCGCCGCGAUAUAGCCCAGUACAGGGGAGCCGCACACCCACUAUGCUUCACAGAUGAAGUAAUGGAUCAUCAAAUCCCCGAGGGUUUUAAGCCCGUAAACAUUGAAUCAUACGACGGCACAACUGAUCCCGCGGUAUGGAUCGAGGAUUAUCUCCUUCAUAUCCACAUGGCCCGCGGUGAUGAUCUACACGCCAUCAAAUACCUCCCGCUCAAGCUUAAAGGACCAGCACGACAUUGGCUUAACAACCUGCCAGUAGAGUCAAUUAGUUGCUGGGAGGACCUGGAAUCCGCAUUCCUUGACAACUUCCAGGGCACUUAUGUGCGACCACUAGACGCUGAUGACCUAAGCCACAUAAUCCAGCAGCCAGAAGAAUCGGCCAGACAAUUCUGGACACGGUUCCUAACCAAGAAAAAUCAAAUGGUCGACUGUCCGGACGCCGAGGCCCUUGCAGCCUUCAGGCACAAUAUCUGAGACGAAUGUCUUGCCCGGCACCUAGGACAGGAAAAGCCGAAAUCUAUGGCAGCCCUUACGACACUCAUGACCCGCUUCUGCUCGGGCAAAGACAGCUGGCUAGCUCAUAGCAAUAACAUAACAAAGAGCCCUGGUAAUUCGGAUACCAAGGACAACAAUGGCAGGUCACGUCGCAACAAGCACAAGCGCCGCAUUAACGGUGAUAAUAUCGAGGAUACAUCAGUCAACGCCGGAUUCAGAGGCUCUAAACCCGGUCAGCGGAAGAAGCCAUUCAAAAGAAACCCUCUGGGCCCAUCCAACAUAGACCGGAUACUCGACCGCUCGUGCCAGAUACACGGCACCCCCGAACAACCAGCCAACCACACCAACAGGGAUUGUUGGGUGUUCAAGCAGGCAGGCAAGUUAAGUGCCGAAACCAGAGACAAGGGGCUGCGUAGCGAUGUCGAGGAGGAGCCCCGGCCGCCGAACAACAGAGGACAGAAGGGAUUCCCCCCGCAAGUGCGGACGGUGAACAUGAUAUACGCAACCCACAUCUCCAAGAGGGAGCGGAAGCAUGCUCUCAAGGACGUCUAUGCAUUGGAGCCAGUUGCCCCAAAGUUCAACCCAUGGUCCUCCUGCCCGAUCACAUUUGAUCGAAGAGACCACCCCACUAGCAUCCGUCACGGCGGAUUCGCCGCAUUGGUCCUAGACCCAAUCACUGACGGAUUUCACCUCACCAGAGUCCUCAUGGACGGCGGCAGCAGCCUGAACCUGCUUUAUCAGGAUAAGUGCGAAAAAUGGGUAUAGACCCCUCAAGGAUCAAACCCACAAAGACAACCUUUAAAGGUGUCAUACCGGGUGUAGAAGCCAGCUGUACAGGCUCAGUUACACUCGAAGUGGUCUUCAGAUCCCCGGAUAAUUUCUGAAGCGAAGAGUUAAUCUUCGACAUAGUCCCAUCCUGCAGUGGCUAUCACGCCCUGCUUGGACGAACCGCAUUUGCAAAGUUCAAUGCGGUGUCGCACUACGCAUAUCUCAAGCUCAAGAUGCCAGGCCCUCGCGGAGUAAUCACGGUAAAUGGAAACACCGAACGCUCUCUCCGAACGGAGGAGCACACAACGGCCCUGGCGGGGAAGUACAGAGCAGCCUCUCAAGGCAGCUCUCCAAUCCGGGUAUCAAACGUCCGGACAACGUCAAGCGCGCCUGAAGCAACCUACAACAGAGCUGGCUGGCACGAUCCAAGCAAGCAUAGCAGUGCGGCCCCAGCCCCAGCCCUCGUCAGAUGGUGCUAUCGGUACCACGCGUACAUAAUUACGCUUUGAAAAUACCAUGGGCAUAAGGGGAGGGGCACAAUUACGGCACGCCCAGAAUGCGGCUCAACCGCACUUAGGGCCUCCCUAUUUAGCCGUUUUCCUUUUUUAUAUAUACUUUCAGGACCCAACUACUCAGAAGGCCUGUCCGGCAAUACACUCGCCGAACACACGAUGCAACAGCCAGGGUGAGGACAAGCCGCGUCGAAUGUCCAGGUGGCCUCUAUAAUGAGUUAAAUACCUAUUUUUACUUACAAAACCCGCAGCUUGCCCCUGGAGGGGGACAUGUCAAAUAAUCCCAUCUCUUGCUUAUCGCACUAUUUGUAUCGUUCUGAUUUCAUAGCAGCCCCCUAAUAAUAAACAAUACAUAGCUUCUAUCUAUUAUUGUAUUCCUUUUUUAUAUAUAUGUUCAAUCAUGACAUUAUGCAGUCGUACACUUUGGUACAGCCAAUACACCAGGGGCUUAAGCACCCCAUUACAUGGUGUGAGAAGACCGAACACUCUCAUGCGUGCGGCACCCCGAACUUAUAGCACUAUAUGCAUCGGCUCCGAAUCAUGUCUUUGGUCAAUAGUUGGGUUUGCCCGGCUCCCAUGUUUUGGUACCUUACGUUCCGCAUUAUUGGCUAAGGUAGCGUUGGGAGAACUACUGCGAUUGUGCCCCAGUUGAGCUGGGUUAACACCUCAGUAGAGAAAGCUAAAACUGACUGUCAUGAUAGUGCGAGAGACCGGUCACUGUUCGCGAGGUUUUUCGAGUCCUUAAAGACUUAUGCCGCUUAGAGCGAGGAACCGGACUUAUCCGGCCUAGGCGUGGAUAGCGCCCCGAACUCGGUCUUCCGAAUACUAGGGGCUUCGCCGAAAUUUAAAAUUAUAGAAUUCUAUGGCUAAGUGAGAGUGAUUGUCACAUCCCUAGUUCUGGUAUGCUCAAGGCUAGCUAGUCAUUUGUGCAUCAUGUUUAAAUUCCAUUUAAUUUGAAAUGAGGAUUUGUGAAACCCUCAGAAUCAUUUUUGGAAAUGACCUAAAUAAAAAUUGCUCCAAAAAGGUCCAAGAAAAUGUUCAUGUUGCUCUCUGAAAAUAUUGGUCAGAGGUAAAAUUCAAACAAAUAUUUUAGGAGCUCAUGGAUAUUUAUUUUGGCCAUUUGGACUAAUCCGAUAAUUAUUUGCAUUGGAUAUAUGUAUGUCAUAUUUAUAAUAUAUGUCCAAAAAUUAUGCCAUUUGCUGAGGAGCUUUGGAAUAAUAUAGUUAGCUCCUGCAAAAAUUGGCAUAAGGUAAUAAAAUGAUUUAAUAUUUUAAUUAAAUCAAAACAAAUGUCAGAAAAAUAGAAAAGAAAACAAAAAUGUAAAAUGCUUACCUGUGCAGCCCGGCAGCAGCCAGCGCCGGCCCAGCCCACUGGCCCCUCCUCUGUCGUCUUCGUCCUCGACAGGAGGAUGGGCGCGUGCCCGACGCGCGCGCGUGCCGCCGCGCCACGCCACCAGCCUCCCUGCCUGCCUGCCCUCUCCCCUCCUCGUCUGGAUGCCCCGGGAGACGCCACGCGGCCCCUCGACCCUCUCCCACUCUCCCGUGUCUCUCCCUCGUCUGCUCUCUCCCUCCCGAGCACCACCGAGCGGAGCUCGUCGACGCCGCUCAUCGCCUACGUAGCCACAGCCUCCCCCUCGCCUCUCCGACACGCACAGAAGCUCCGCCACGACUUCCUCGUCUCCUCCGUCGAGCCACAAGACGCCGGACGCCCUGUGGAGCCGCCGUCGCCAUCGUCUUCCUCCUCGGACGCCGCCGACCGUCGACUCCGAUUCGCCGUCUCCAGUGCGUCCCCGAGCCCGCUUCGACGCCCGCUGCAACCGCUGUGAGCUCCGCCGCACUUUACCCCUAAUCUCGCCCUUGAUUUUGCCCUCUAACCCGUCGGGCCAUCAUGCCUGAGAGCUCGCCACCGCCGGCUAUGUCGCCGUCGCGGCUAGAGCGCACACGCGUCAUGCCUGAGCGCGUCACCGAGCUCAGCGCGGAUCCAAGAGCACGUAUCACCCAUCCGUUCAUCCAGAGGCGCUCUAUAGCGAGUCGCCGAUCCUGGCCGAGCUCCGGCCACCACCAAGGUCGACGCCGUGCCCAAGUCCGGCCACCUCGUGCCCUCCCCCUGCCACCGUUGGAUGCGCACGAGCCCCAGCUCCUCGUAGAUGGGCUCGGCCAUCGAUUUGAUCGCCGGAGCCGCUGUUCCGAUCAGCGCCGCCGCGUCUGUGUGCUCGCCGGCGUUGAACUCCGGUGAGAUGACGUGGCCCGCCAUUAGCAGCUAACAGCCCGCUUAAUUAACCCCCUGAGGCUGACAUGUGGGCCCCAGUGCCCCCUAAUCUUUUAAUUAAGCUAAUCUAACCCUCUGUUUACCCUGUGUCACUGACGUGUGGACCCCACACGUCAGAUUUGACCUGUUCAGCACCGUUGACCUGCUGACGCAGGCAUGACGUCAUGCUGACGCAAUUAUUUAUUUUCUGGUUUAAAUUUAAAUCAGGAAAUUCCAGAAAUUAGCAAAACUUCUAAAAUUCAUAGAAAUUCAACCGUAGCUCAGAUUGAAAUAAUUUAUAUAUGAAAAAUUAUGAGAAAAAUGCAAUCUUUCCAUCUGUACUAGUUUCAUGCAUGACAAACCAACUUAUACAUGUUGUAUAAGUGAAACACUAUAAUGGCUUAUAUAAAGAGCUUAUUUUGGAGAUGCAUUUGAACCUUUGGUUCAAAUGGACUUCAUCCAAAUAUAAUGCUAGCUGCAUUAGCACAAUCAGCAUCACAUCUUCAUGCCAUGUUCAUGCAUCAUUGUGUUGCAUAUGCUUGUGUUUUGAUUGUUGGCACUGUUCCUUCUCGAUAGGUCCUACUCCGGAGACGUUCCAGAGUACCUGUCUGUGAAGCAGUGCCUCCCUUGUUGAUUUACCAGGCAAGCAAACCCCCUUGUUCAUUCCGAUAUAAUCCUACUCUCUCGCUCCUGCUCUUUGUUAUUCCAUUAGGACAACAACGAUUCAUCUGCUACUUUGUGCUGCGGUAGUUGAACCCAUUCCUCUGCAUGACCUGUCAUUGCCAUAGUAAAUAGUUGAAACCCACUAGCAUGUGUAGGAGUUGAUUGAAGCCACUGAUGUGUUCCUACCAUGCUAUGCCUGCUAUUGCUUAGAGUUGUGUCAGGUCUGAUUCAUUGGGAAUGAAUUGGAGUGUUACGAUAUGUUCUGGUGCUAAGAGUUAAGUGUGUGAACACGAUUUGGUAAAGGUAGCGGUGAGAGGCCAUUUAGGAGUACAUGGUGGGUUGUCUCACUGGAACCGUCCUUAAGCACUGAGUUCUAUGUAUGUUGUCCAAUGACUCGAUACUACCACACAUUGGGCUCCGGGCGCUCCAAGCCCUCUCGACUUAUUAACCAACUUGAUCUCUGUCCAGGAGUCGCAACUAGUUUCUGGUGUUUGUAGGUAGUGCUAUUUUUCUACCAAGUGGCACCCGGCAGGGUGGGCUUGGGACAGACUAGGCACACGUGGCCUGGUGUACCGAGUGGCACCCGGAUGGUGGGCUCGGGAACCCUGCACACAUUGUUUGGGGCCGUGAGCGAAACCCCGGCCGGAUCUCCUUGCGGAUGGAACCCGAAUAGGCGAUAAACCUGGACUAGAGUCUUGUGUGGUUAGUCAGGUCGUGGCCGACACCCUCGCCAGGCUUCCGCUUGAAGGUUGCCGAGAUACAUGACGUGUACAUGGCGGUAAGUGGCGAGAGCGUGUGUGAAGAAGUACACCCCUGCAGGGUUAACAUGAUCUAUUCGAAUAGCCGGGUCCGCAGUUAUGGACUUCUUGGAUGCUUACAUGGUACAUAGACAACUUGAAGUGUAUACUCUAAAAAGCUCAAGACAAGUGUGAGUGCUAUGGAUGGCCUUCUCGUAGGGAGACGGGGAUGAAUCCAUAGUAGUGUAUUGUGUGGUGAUUAGUGGACUCGUGUGCGCCAUAUCACCUCAAGAGUUUCUGGUAGUCGUAGAAUAAGAUAGCCACUGAGUCAAAGCUGGCUUGCUGCAACUAAACCCCACAUUACCUUCUUGAUACACAUGCAUGUAUGAUAGGAUCUGAUGUAAGUCUUGCUGAGUACCUUUGUACUCAUGUUGCUUUAUUUAUGCUUUUGCAGCGGAGACUUCGGUCUUACUAGUGUUCCCGUGGACUUCGAUGAGUAGUUUGUACCUCAGCUACGAUCUUGAUCGGAUGUUGUAGAUAGUCAGGCUCUUCAGCCUUUUUCAUUUGUAGAUGUCUGUACCCAGACAUGUAAUGCUUCCGCUUGUUGCUUGUAUGCUCUGUAUGAUGGGUCUUGUGACCCCUGUUUGAAAUAAAGGCUAUGAUGGCUCUUUGAGCUUUAUCUAUGUGAGUUAUUGAGUUAUGCUGUGAUGCCAUGUUGUACAACACAUACUUGCAUGUUAUGCGUACGUGUAACGUGUAUUGCUAUGUGUGGGAUCUGACUAUCUAGUUGUUUAUCCUUAGUAGCCUCUCUUACCGGGAAAUGUCUCCUAGUGUUUCCACUGAGCCAUGGUAGCGUGCUACUGCUCCGGAACACUUAGGCUGGCCGGCAUGUGUCCUUCGUUCCUGUGUCUGUCCCUUCGAGGAAAUGUCACGCGAUGAAUACCGGAGUCCUGUUAGCCCGCUACAGCCCGGUUUACCGGAGUCCUGUUAGCCCAGUUGCUACAGCCCGAAUUCACUCGCUGAUGACCGACACGUUCGAUGCUGGGUCAUGUAUGCCUGUCCCUGUAAGUUAGUGCCACUUUGGGUUCACGACUAGCCAUGUCAGCCCGGGUUCUCUGUCAUAUGGAUGCUAGCGACACUAUCGUAUACGUGUUCAAAAAGGCGCAAACGGUCCCGGGCAUGGUAAGGCGACACCCAUGGGAAUACCGUGCGUGAGGCCGCAAAGUGAUAUGAGGUGUUACAUGCUAGAUCGAUGUGACUUAGGAUCGGGGUCCUGACAGCCUUGGUAUCAGAGCCUGACUGCCUGUAGGAUUACCAAGCCAAACUGGUCGAAGUUGAGUCUAGAAAUUCUUUAGUUAUGUAAGGGAAUUGAUUGUGGGAAGGAACGUAAGGCUCCUUUUACUCCGUUACCUCAUGGCCUUCUGAUCUGAGUCGUCCUAUCUUUCCUAUGGGGUUAAGGAACUAGGCUUUCUCUUCCGUCUAUUAGGAUCACGUGUUACUACUCUGUAGUCCCAUAGGAUUGGUUGAUCAGAGUCAUACCCCAGUUUUGAGUAUUUCCGGUGUAGUCUGUUUAGUAUGAUCUCAGAACCUUGAGUAAUGCUGAUGAGUAUGUUACCACCCCAUUUUUAGUAGGAUGUCUCAUUCUGAGCAUUUUACUACCGUUAUGCUGCCGGAAUUUCCCUAGGAGUUCGAGAGAUACUAAUUCCUUGUCCUACAUUCUACAGUCUAUAGUUGAUGCUGACUCCGUCCCUGGUUUCAUUUCUCAGGAUGUCAUCAAGUUCUAUUGUUCGUAGCCAGAACCAUGGAGAUGGUAGGGAUGAGGAUCCUCCCGACCCGCCUUCGUUGACACAGUUCAUGUUAGAAAUGGAGAGGAACAAGCGUGAGUCUAACCGUUUGUUGGCACGUAUCGAGGAGAACACCGCACAUCAGUCCAAUAAGUCUGCGACCAUUCAUGACUUCAUUCGCUUGCACCCACCUACCUUUCAUCAUUCCAUCGAGCCACUCGAUGCAGAUGACUGGCUCCGUAGCAUCACUCAUAAGCUGUGUUCCGCGAGCGUAGCUGAAGAUGACAAGGUCACUUAUGCCACAUACCACCUGGAAGGUCCUGCUAGUCUUUGGUGGCAGAACUAUGAGGCUAUGCUUCCAGCUGGCCAGAAUCCUACCUGGAGAGAUUUCGCUGAGGCUUUUCGCGAGCAUCACAUUCCUGAAGCCCUCAUCGAUCGCAAGAGAGAAGAGUUCUGUAGUUUCACCCAGAGUAAGAUGGCUGUUGAUGCUUAUAGUAGAGAGUUUGAGAACCUCGCUCGCUAUGCCACAGAAGAAGUGUCCACGGACGCCAAGAAGCAGGCUAGGUUCCGGAAGGGUCUCAACCCCAAGUUGCGUCGUGAUCUCCACCUGCAUCAUUGUGAUACAUUCCAAGCUCUUGUGAACAAGGCCAUCAAUGCAGAGACAGCUCAGCUCACUUACGAGGAGUCUCGUAAGCACACCCGUGAUUUGGGAUCCUCCUCUGGCUCUAGUUCCCAGAAGCGCCAGAUUUGGGUUCCAAACUCCGCUCUUCCUUCCGGAUAUGCACUGAGGCCAUCCCAUGUGGUGCCUCCCCCAGCUCAGCCAUAUGUUCCACCCAGGCCUACUGGUAGACCGCUUGUCAGUGCGGGUCCCCGUCCAACCUCAGGGACUUGCUUCACAUGCGGGAAGCCAGGACACUAUGCACGUGACUGCUCUCAGACUAGUUAUGCUCCACCCCAGCCCGAGAAGACUGUUGGCUGUGUUAAGCCAUCACGCAAGAUGAUCAGUGUCAAGUCAGCCCCCACUGAACGUGGACGUAUGCAUCACGUCUCAGCUAAAGACGCUCAUGAUGAUCCGGAUGUCGUCCUUGGUACACUCCUUGUCAAUUGUCACCCAGCAUCAGUUCUCUUCGAUACUGGAGCAUCUCACUCCUUCAUUUCUGAAGGCUAUGCUCGUUUGCACGACAUGUCAUUUUGUGAUAUGCCAACUCCGCUUGAAAUCCAAACCCAGGGUCUAGAUGGCAGACCACCAGAAUUAGCCAUGGAAAUGAAAUCCUUGUUGACAGACUUGUAUUCCUUGCAUCAUUUGUAGCCCUCAAGUCCUCAGAUAUUAAUAUCAUCUUGGGUAUGGACUGGAUGACAGCUCAUCAUGCCAAGAUUGAUUGUUACACAAGAUCUGUUCAGCUUACACACCCAUCUGGCAAGAUAGUCACUGUCUCCACUAGAGUUGCAAAGCGUCAGCUCUAUUCUCUUAAUGCCAGCCCUCUUCCAGACCUUGAAGAUAUCCCGGUAGUCCGUGACUUUCCGGAUGUCUUUCCAGAGGAACUGCCAGGUGUUCCACCUGACAGAGAUGUAGAGUUCGUCAUAGAUCUUAUCCCAGGAACUGCUCCAAUCUCUAGGAGACCCUACAAGAUGGCACCCUUAGAACUAGCCGAGCUUAAGAAACAACUUGAUGAGUCCUUGCAAAAGGGUUUCAUCCGUCCUAGUUCUUCUCCUUGGGCUUGCCCCGUCCUCUUUAUUAAGAAGGAUGGUACGGACCAGAUGUUUGUAGAUUAUCGUCCCGUUAAUUUGGUAACGAUAAAGAACAAGUAUCCGCUCCCCAGGAUCAACGACCUGUAUGAUCAGCUCGCUGGAUCCUUAGUAUUCUCCAAGAUGUAUUUGAGGUUAGGAUACCACCAAAUUAAGAUCAAAAAUGGGGACAUUCCCAAGACAACUUUUGUCACUCGUUAUGGCCAGUACGAGUACACCGUCAUGUCCUUUGGCCUAACCAAGGCCCCAGCCACAUUCUCCUGCUUGAUGAACUCGAUCUUCAUGGAGUACUUAGAUAAGUUCGUCGUGGUUUACCUCGAUGAUAUUCUUAUUUACUCGAAGAACGAGGAAGAGCAUGCCGAACAUCUUAGACUUGUGCUAGAAAAACUCAGAGAGCACCGCCUUUAUGCCAAGUUCUCCAAGUGUGAAUUUUGGUUGCCAGAAGUGACCUACCUAGGCCACGUAAUUUCUGGUAAGGGCAUUGCUGUCAAUCCCGAGAGAGUCAAGGCCGUUCUCGAUUGGACUCCACCUGAGACCGUUAAACAAGUUAGGAGUUUCCUUGGUCUAGCCAGCUAUUGUCGCCGCUUUGUUGAAAUUUUCUCCAAAGUAGCCAAACCCCUCACGGAACUUCUCAAGAAAGAUAAAAAGUUCGAGUGGUCCCCACAGUGUGAGUACAGUUUUCAGGAACUGAAAAGACGCCUGACUUCUGCUCCCGUACUUGUGCCACCGGAUUUCACAAAGGACUUUGUUAUCUAUUGUGACGCCUCACGACAGGGACUAGGUUGCAUUCUUAUGCAGGAUCGUCAUGUGAUUGCCUAUGCAUCUCGACAGUUUCAUCCACAUGAGGAUAAUUAUCCUACACAUGAUCUAGAGCUUGCAGCCGUAGUCUAUGCACUCAAGACCUAGCGACAUUACCUUCUUGGUAAACGUUGCGAGAUCUACACCGAUCACCAGAGUCUCAAGUAUAUCUUCACCCAACCGGAUCUGAACCUUAGGCAAAGACGUUGGUUGGAGUUGAUCACAGAUUAUGAUCUAGGGAUUACCUACACCCCAGGCAAAGCCAAUGUCAUGGCUGAUGCUCUAAGCCGUAAAUCCUAUUGCAACAAUCUCAUGUUGCAGCAAGGCCAACCACUUCUCCAUGAGGAAUUCUGUAAGCUUAAUCUUCACAUUGCUCCUCACGGAUUCCUUUGUACCUUGGUGGCGAAACCUGAUCUUGAAGAUCGGAUUGUCGCUGCUCAAAAGCAAGACACAGGAAUUUCUCGGAUCAAGAGAAACAUUAAGAAGGGAGUUGGUGGAUGUUUCUCUAUGGAUGAUCGUGGUGUUGUUUUCUUUGGGAAUCGCUUGGUGGUUCCCAAGAAUCAACAUCUGCGACAAUUGAUUCUUAAGGAGGCGCAUGAAUCUCCUCUCACGAUUCAUCCCGGUAGCACUAAGAUGUAUCAGGACCUACGCCAGAGGUUCUGGUGGACUAGGAUGAAGAGUGAAAUCGCCGACUUCGUUGCUAAUUGUGACGUAUGUCGUCGUGUUAAGGCAGAGCAUCAAAGGCCUGCUGGCACCCUUCAGCCUUUAGCUAUUCCUGAAUGGAAAUGGGAUAAAGUUGGUAUGGACUUCAUCACCAGCUUUCCCAGGACCAAGAGAGGGAAUAACGCUAUCUUCGUAGUCAUUGAUCGUCUUUCCAAAGUGGCUCACUUCCUUCCUGUUCGAGAGAGUAUCACUGCUAGUCAGCUUGCUGACUUAUACAUUUCUCGAAUAGUGUCACUUCAUGGUGUUCCACUAGAGAUCAAUUCAGACCGUGGCAGUCUUUUCACUUCUCAUUUCUGGGAGAGUUUCCAAACUGCCAUGGGAACCCAUCUUUCCUUCGGUACCGCUUUCCACCCUCAGUCGAGUGGUCAGGUGGAACGGGUCAACCAAAUUCUCGAAGACAUGCUUAGAGCUUGCGUUAUCUCAUUCGGUAUGGAUUGGGAGAAAUGUCUUCCUUUUGCCGAGUUUGCUUAUAACAAUAGCUAUCAAUCCAGCCUCAAGAAAGCUCCUUUUGAGGUUCUCUAUGGACGAAGAUGUCGAACACCUUUGAACUGGUCAGAAACCGGUGAAAGACAAUUCUUUGGACCGGACAUGAUCCAGGAGGCAGAAGAGCAAGUUCGCAUCAUUCGUGAGAACUUGAAAACAGCCCAGUCUCGUCAAAAGAGUCAGUAUGAUCGUCAUCAUAAGGAUAUGACUUAUGAAGUUGGCGAAAAAGCUUACCUUCGGGUUACUCCCUUGAAGGGUACCCAUCAUUUCGGUAUCAAGGGCAAGUUGGCUCCUUGUUACAUUGGUCCCUUUCGCAUUCUCGCUAAACAAGGAGAGGUUGCCUACCAGUUGGAACUACCCCCACAUCUUUCUCGAGUUCAUGAUGUCUUCCACGUCUCUCAACUCAGGCGUUGCUUCUCGGAUCCCAUCCGCGGAGUGGACCACGAAACGCUUGUUCUCCAAGAUAACCUCACAUACCGAGAGUACCCAGUUCGCAUUCUCGAUCAAGCAGAGUGUGUCACUCGACGUCAGAACAUCAAGUUUCUCAAGGUUCAGUGGUCUCAUCAUUCCGAGAGAGAAGCUACUUGGGAGCGAGAAGAUCGUCUUCGACUGGAGUACCCCGCUUUCUUUCCGUCGACCCCUGAAUCUCGGGACGAGAUUCUUUCAAGUGGGGGCGAGUUGUCACAUCCCUAGUUCUGGUAUGCUCAAGGCUAGCUAGUCAUUUGUGCAUCAUGUUUAAAUUCCAUUUAAUUUGAAAUGAGGAUUUGUGAAACCCUCAGAAUCAUUUUUGGAAAUGACCUAAAUAAAAAUUGCUCCAAAAAGGUCCAAGAAAAUGUUCAUGUUGCUCUCUGAAAAUAUUGGUCAGAGGUAAAAUUCAAACAAAUAUUUUAGGAGCUCAUGGAUAUUUAUUUUGGCCAUUUGGAUUAAUCCGAUAAUUAUUUGCAUUGGAUAUAUAUAUGUCAUAUUUAUAAUAUAUGUCCAAAAAUUAUGCCAUUUGCUGAGGAGCUUUGGAAUAAUAUAGUUAGCUCCUGCAAAAAUUGGCAUAAGGUAAUAAAAUGAUUUAAUAUUUUAAUUAAAUCAAAACAAAUGUCAGAAAAAUAGAAAAGAAAACAAAAAUGUAAAAUGCUUACCUGUGCAGCCCAGCAGCAGCCAGCGCCGGCCCAGCCCACUGGCCCCUCCUCUGUCGUCUUCGUCCUCGACAGGAGGAUGGGCGCGUGCCCGACGCGCGCGCGUGCCGCCACGCCACGCCACCAGCCUCCCUGCCUGCCUACCCUCUCCCCUCCUCGUCUGGAUGCCCCGGGAGACGCCACGCGGCCCCUCGACCCUCUCCCUCCCUCGUCUGCUCUCUCCCUCCCGAGCACCACCAAGCGGAGCUCGUCGCCGCCGCUCAUCGCCUACGUAGCCACAGCCUCCCCCUCGCCUCUCCGACACGCGCAGAAGCUCCGCCACGACUUCCUUGUCUCCUCCGUCAAGCCACAAGACGCCGGACGCCCUGUGGAGCCGCCGUCGCCAUCGUCUUCCUCCUCGGACGCCGCCGACCGCCGACUCCGAUUCGCCGUCUCCAGUGCGUCCCCGAGCCCGCUUCGACGCCCGCUGCAACCGCUGUGAGCUCCGCUGCACUUUACCCCUAAUCUCGCCCUUGAUUUUGCCCUCUAACCCGUCGGGCCGUCAUGCCCGAGAGCUCGCCACCGCCGGCUAUGUCACCGUCGCGGCUAGAGCGCACACGCGUCAUGCCUGAGCGCGUCACCGAGCUCAGCGCGGAUCCAGGAGCACGUAUCACCCAUCCGUUCAUCCAAAGGCGCUCUAUAGCGAGUCGCCGAUCCUGGCUGAGCUCCGGCCACCACCAAGGUCGACGUCGUGCCCAAGUCCGGCCACCUCGUGCCCUCCCCCUGCCACCGUUGGAUGCGCACGAGCCCCAGCUCCUCGUAGAUGGGCUCGGCCAUCGAUUUGAUCGCCAGAGCCGCCGUUCCGAUCAGCGCCGCCGCGUCUGUGUGCUCGCCGGCGCUGAACUCCGGUGAGAUGACGUGGCCCACCAUUAGCAGCUAACAGCCCGCUUAAUUAACCCCCUGAGGCUGACAUGUGGGCCCCGGUGCCCCCUAAUCUUUUAAUUAAGUUAAUCUAACCCUCUGUUUACCCUGUGUCACUGACGUGUGGACCCCACACGUCAGAUUUGACCUGGUCAGCACCGUUGACCUGCUGACGCAGGCAUGACGUCAUGCUGACGCAAUUAUUUAUUUUCUGGUUUAAAUUUAAAUCAGGAAAUUCCAGAAAUUAGCAAAACUUCUAAAAUUCAUAGAAAUUCAACCGUAGCUCAGAUUGAAAUAAUUUAUAUAUGAAAAAUUAUCAGAAAAAUGCAAUCUUUCCAUCUGUACGAGUUUCAUGCAUGACAAACCAACUUAUACAUGUUGUAUAAGUGAAACACUAUAAUGGCUUAUAUAAAGAGCUUAUUUUGGAGAUGCAUUUGAACCUUUGGUUCAAAUGGACUUCAUCCAAAUAUAAUGCUAGCUGCAUUAGCACAAUCAGCAUCACAUCUUCAUGCCAUGUUCAUGCAUCAUUGUGUUGCAUAUGCUUGUGUUUUGAUUGUUGGCACCGUCCUUCUCGAUAGGUCCUGCUCCGGAGACGUUCCAGAGUACCUGUCUGCGAAGCAGUGCCUCCCUUGUUGAUUUACCAGGCAAGCAAACCCCCUUGUUCAUUCCGAUAUAAUCCUACUCUCUCACUCCUGCUCUUUGUUAUUGCAUUAGGACAACAACGAUUCAUCUGCUACUUUGUGCUGCGGUAGUUGAACCCAUUCCUCUGCAUGACCUGUCAUUGCCACAGUAAAUAGUUGAAACCCACUAGCAUGUGUAGGAGUUGAUUGAAGCCACUGAUGUGUUCCUACCAUGCUAUGCCUACUAUUGCUUAGAGUUGUGUCAGGUCUGAUUCAUUGGGAAUGAAUUGGAGUGUUACGAUAUGUUCUGGUGCUAAGAGUUAAGUGUGUGAACACGAUUUGGUAAAGGUAGCGGUGAGAGGCCAUUUAGGAGUACAUGGUGGGUUGUCUCACUGGAACCAUCCUUAAGCACUGAGUUCUAUGUAUGUUGUCCAAUGACUCGAUACUACCACACAUUGGGCUCCGGGCGCUCCAAGCCCUCUCGACUUAUUAACCAACUUGAUCUCUGUCCAGGAGUCGCAACUAGUUUCUGGUGUUUGUAGGUAGUGCUAUUUUUCUACCAAGUGGCACCCGGCAGGGUGGGCUUGGGACAGACUAGGCACACGUGGCCUGGUGUACCGAGUGGCACCCGGAUGGUGGGCUCGGGAACCCUGCACACAUCGUUUGGGGCCGUGAGCGAAACCCCGGCCGGAUCUCCUUGCGGAUGGAACCCGAAUAGGCGAUAAACCUGGACUAGAGUCUUGUGUGGUUAGUCAGGUCGUGGCCGACACCCUCGCCAGGCUUCCGCUUGAAGGUUGCCGAGAUACAUGACGUGUACAUGGCGGUAAGUGGCGAGAGCGUGUGUGAAGAAGUACACCCCUGCAGGGUUAACAUGAUCUAUUCGAAUAGCCGGGUCCGCGGUUAUGGACUUCUUGGAUGCUUACAUGGUACAUAGACAACUUGAAGUGUAUACUCUAAAAAGCUCAAGACAAGUGUGAGUGCUAUGGAUGGCCUUCUCGUAGGGAGACGGGGAUGAAUCCAUAGUAGUGUAUUGUGUGGUGAUUAGUGGACUCGUGUGCGCCAUAUCACCUCAAGAGUUUCUGGUAGUCGUAGAAUAGGAUAGCACUGAGUCAAAGCUGGCUUGCUGCAACUAAACCCCACAUUACCUUCUUGAUACACAUGCAUGUACGAUAGGAUCUGAUGUAAGUCUUGCUGAGUACCUUUGUACUCAUGUUGCUUUAUUUAUGCUUUUGCAGCGGAGACUUCGGUCUUACUAGUGUUCCCGUGGACUUCGAUGAGUAGUUUGUACCUCAGCUACGAUCUUGAUCGGAUGUUGUAGAUAGUCAGGCUCUUCAGCCUUUUUCAUUUGUAGAUGUCUGUACCCAGACAUGUAAUGCUUCCGCUUGUUGCUUGUAUGCUCUGUAUGAUGAUUCUUGUGACCCCUGUUUGAAAUAAAGGCUAUGAUGGCUCUUUGAGCUUUAUCUAUGUGAGUUAUUGAGUUAUGAUGUGAUGCCAUGUUGUACAACACAUACUUGCAUGUUAUGCGUACGUGUAACGUGUAUUGCUAUGUGUGGGAUCUGACUAUCUAGUUGUUUAUCCUUAGUAGCCUCUCUUACCGGGAAAUGUCUCCUAGUGUUUCCACUGAGCCAUGGUAGCGUGCUACUGCUCCGGAAAACUUAGGCUGGCCGGCAUGUGUCCUUCUUUGUUCCUGUGUCUGUCCCUUCGAGGAAAUGUCACGCGAUGAAUACCGGAGUCCUGUUAGCCCGCUACAGCCCGGUUUACCGGAGUCCUGUUAGCCCAGUUGCUACAGCCCGGAUUGACUCGUUGAUGACCGACACGUUCGAUGCUGGGUCAUGUAUGCCUGUCCCUGUAAGUUAGUGCCACUUUGGGUUCACGACUAGCCAUGUCAGCCCGGGUUCUCUGUCAUAUGGAUGCUAGCGACACUAUCGUAUACGUGUGCCAAAAGGCGCAAACGGUCCCGGGCAUGGUAAGGCGACACUCGUGGGAAUACCGUGCGUGAGGCCGCAAAGUGAUAUGAGGUGUUACAUGAUAGAUCGAUGUGACUUAGGAUCGGGGUCCUGACAGUGAUAAAGCAUUAUAAGUCCGACGGCCUGGUUCGUUGUGCUGAGUGCCUCCCUAGAUGGACCCAAGAAUGGGAACAAGAGCGCUCAGGUUUAUCCCGAACACCCCAGCACUCAUGGCAUGGGGGUCGAAGCCGACGACUUGCAUCUCUCAGAUUUGAUAAAUGGCCGCAGAAAAGGUAAUAUUUUAAAUUAACAAGCGUUGCUUAACGCAUAUGAACAAAGUUUUCAGCAUAAUGGAUAACAGAUGCGAGCCUACUCAAAAAUUACAUCUUUGGAGCAUUCGUCCGCUAUACGGCGAGCACCCUUCAAGACACCCUUAUAAUACAUCUCGGGCGUGCGAUACUCCUUUCCCAGCGGUGGCGCGUCCGUCAAAAGCUUCUCAGCGUCCAGGUUGCCCCAUUGCACUUUAGCACGGGCAAGGGCCCGACGGGCACCUUCGAUGCAGACGGAGCGCUUGACGACCUCAAUCCACGGACACGCGUCCACCAGCCGCCGCACCAGACCGAAGUAGCUCCCAGGCAUGGCUUCUCCAGGCCAUAUCCGAGCUAUGAGGCCCUUCAUGGCCUGUUCGGCCACCUUGUGGAGCUCGACCAGCUGCUUCAGCUGGUCGCUCAGGGGCACCGGAUGUUCGGCCUCAGCAUACUAAGACCAGAACACUUUUUCCGUCGAGAUCCCCUCUUCGGCUCGGUAGUAUGCAGCGGCAUCAGACACACUACGGGGCAGAUAGGCGAACGCUCCUGGAGAGCUCCAGAUUCGGGUAAGUAGCAGAUAAUUAACUUUUAUAUUCGUGCUUUGCAUAAAGAAUGACUUACCGACCGUUAUUUUCUUCAUCGCCUCGAUCUCCUGGAGGGCCUUCUGGGCUUCGGCCUUAGCGUUUUUGGCACUCUCAAGAGCCAAGGCAAGCUCAGAGUCUCGAGUCUUUGAGUCACGCUCCAAACUCUCGUGUUUUUCCACCAGAGCCUGGAGCUCUUGCCGCACCUCCGCCACCCAUGCCUCCUGCUUCUCUCGCUCGGCGCGCUCCAGGGCUGCACUGUUUUCGGCCUUGGAGACCGCCUCCUUCAGGGUCGCCACCUCGGCCAUGGCCCCUGCAACAUUUAAGUUGGUCCUGUCAUUAUUUGCAACCAAGUAUUUCUAUAUACAUUUACAUGCAGUAUCACAUACCCUCCUUGUCCUCGAGCUGCUUCUUGGCACGGCCGAGCUUGUUCUCGGACCGCUCGAGGCUUCCCUUCAAUGCAUUGACCUCCGCAGUCAGUGCGGCAGAGGUCAGCAGCGCAGCCUGCAUUCCCAUAUGGACAUAUUUUUAUUAGACUCCUGCGUAUAUCUUUUUAGAUCCUCAGCUUGACUUUUCUUUCCGAACGCCGAAUCGAGCAUCAAGGGCUACUAUCUAUGCGGUAACAUUUUUAUAUGUUUUGAACACAUACCUCAAAGCCUGUUAACAGACUUGUACAGGCUUCUGUGAGCCCGCUCUUGGCGGACUGAACCUUUUGAAUCACCGCACUCAUAACAGUGCGGUGUUCCUCGUCGAUGGAGGCUCCGUUAAGCGCCUACAGCAAAUUGUCUGGCGCCUCCAGAUGGAUGGAGGUCGCCGGCGGCGUAGGCUUGCCCUUCUUAUGAAGGCGCCGCCCGUCGGACUCUGGAACCGCUGGUGGUUCCAGAGCAGUGUCCGGCCCGGGGCCGGACUUAGACCCCUCUGGGGCUUUACCCCCUUUGGGCCUGGAGUCUGGGAGGUCGCCUUGGGGCGCCUCCAGGACCACCUCCUCCUGGUUCGGUCCCUUUUGGGACUCCACCUCGGCAUCAUCCGCAGGGAGCGGGGAGGAGGCCGUCGGAAGUGAAGCGCUAUUCACAUCCGACGAAUUCAGGGAGCCGCUCGACGAAUUGCCGAGCUGAGCUCUGGGUGGACUGCAUGAUUAAAAUUCAGCGUUAGACAUUACCAAAUAAUAGAGGAGCGCGAUGAGUCAUUCGGGUAACCAGACACUUACGAUUUUGCCAGGGGCUUGACCCUGGAUGGCCAUUCCUCCCCGCUGUCUUCGGCAUCGGAGGCGUAGUCUGGGAGAAGGGUCUUCCCCUUCUUGGACCCUCCGGCCUCCCCAGUUGGGGCGGCUUUCCUUUUCUUUUCUCCCCCCGUUGGAGGGGGAGAGGCUUCUUCUUCUUCUUCUUCCUCCUCGUCUUCCAAGGCGGAGGGUGCAUCGGGGUUGUCGGGCGAUGAAUCCGACACCACCAGGCGCCGGGAGCUCUUUCGAGUCCCUGUGGCCUUCUUCUUGGCCUUCUUCUCUGGCACCACGUGAGGUGCCGGAACCAGCAGCCCCGUCAAUCGGGCGUCUGCUGGAUCUUCUGGUAAGGGAGCCGGACAGCUAACCUGUCCGGACUUCUUCAGCCAGUCCUGUCAAAGGUAGGGGAGUUUAGAUCCCGCAUAGAGUCAGACCAUGAAAGAAAAGAGUCCCGUAAAGGGUAGAAUAACUUACCUCGUUGGCUCGAUGCCACGAACUGAAUCCGCGAUCUUCGAUAGCGGAUGCGGGGGCCUCGGCACCCUUAAAACAGCACCUUCCAGGCAUCUUCGUACGUAGUAUCGAAGAGCCCGCUCAAGGCUUGGUGCUGUGCCGGAUCGAACUCCCACAAUUUGAAGGCCCGUUGUUGGCAUGGGAGGACCCGGCGGAUAAGCAUGACCUGGACUACGUUGACGAGCUUGAGGUUCUUGCUGACCAGCUUUUUGAUGCAGGUUUGGAGUCCGGUCAGAUCUUCCGAAUCUCCCCACGUUAAGCCCGUCUCUUUCCAGGAGGUGAGCCGUGUGGGAAAGCCAGAUCAGAAUUCGGGGGCCGCUUCCCAUUUGGGGUCGCGUGGCUCGGUGAUGUAGAACCACCCCGAUUGCCAUCCUUUUAUUGUCUCCACGAAGGAGCCCUCGGGCCAUAGGAAGUUGGCCAUCCGGCCCACCAUGGCACCUCCGCACUCCGCUUGGCAGCUGCUCACCACUUUCGUCUUGACAUUAAAAGUCUUCAGCCAUAAGCCGAGGUGGGGCUGGAUGCAGAGGAAGGCUUCACACACGACGAUGAACACCGAGAUGUUGAGGAUAAAGUUCAGGGACAGAUCAUGGAAGUCCAGGCCGUAAUAGAACAUGAGCCCCCGGACAAACGGGUGAAGAGGAAAACCCAGUCCGCGGAGGAAAUGAGGGAGAAAGGCAACCCUCUCAUGAGGCCUGGGGGUAGGGAUGAGUUGCCCCGCAUCUGGAAGCCGAUGCGCGAUGUCGUCAGACAAGUAUCCGGUCGUCCUCAACUUUUUGAUUUUCCCCUCCGUGACGGAGGAGGCCAUCCAUCUACCUCCCGCUCCGGACAUGAUUGGAGUAGGUUGAGGUGGGAAGUGCGGGCUUGGGCGUUGGAGCUUGAGCGCGCAGGGACGAAUAAGCAAAGGAGGAAGAAGGCGUGAAUGGAAAGGGCGGAUUCUUAUCCCCUUAUAUGAGCGGCCAAAACUACGAGCCCCCACCGGCCUAAUAAAACUCGCUUAUCUCCCAAGCGGCGCGGUUAAUGGUGCGGUUGGGUUACCCACGCCCGUAUUGAUGAGAAUACCGGAAUAAGGGGGCACGAUCUCUGCUUUGACAAGACAUGCCAAGGAAACCGCCUCGCUAAACGUGUUGAGGUGGAACGGUAAAAUGAAUAAAAGCCUGGCCGUGGCGUGAGGUCACGCUACGGAAUACGUUAGCAGAUUAGAUUGGUGCAAAUGUUAUUCUCUCUAUGGUGGCAUGUGGAACUUAUUUUGCAGAGCCGGACACUAUCCUGGUGUUCAACAUCUUCUAUGAAGUAUUCGGAGGAGGAACCCGCCUUGCAAUGCCGAAGACAACUUGCGCGCCGGACUCGUCGUCAUUGAAGCCUGGUUCAGGGGCUACUGAGGGAGUCCUGGAUUAGGGGGUGUCCGGAUGGCCGGACUAUGACCUUUGUCCGUACUCCCGGACUAUGAAGAUACAAGACUGAAGACUCCAUCCCGUGUCCGGAUGGGACUUUCCUUGACGUGGAAGGCAAGCUUGGCGAUACGAUAUGAAGAUCUCCUCCCAUUGUAACCGACUCUGUGUAACCCUAGCCCUCUCCGUUGUCUAUAUAAACCGGAGAGUUUUAGUCCGUAGCACGAACAACAAUCAUACCAUAGGCUAGCUUCUAGGGUUUAGCCUCUCUGAUCUCGUGGUAGAUCAACUCUUGUAAUACCCAUACCAUCAAUAUUAAUCAAGCAGGAGUAGGGUUUUACCUCCACCGAGAGGGCCCGAACCUGGGUAAAAACAUCGUGUCCCUUGUCUCCUGUUACCAUCCGCCUAGACGCACAGUUCGGGACCCCCUACCCGAGAUCCGCCGGUUUUGACACCGACAAUAGCCUUUACCAUGCCUAUUUCGCUAGUAUACAUGUUGCUGUUUGAAAACAGGAAGUUUACCGCUGUUGCAAAAAUUCCCUAGAAAAGUCAGAGAAUGAUAUAAUGUUGAAACUUUUUGGAUUUUGAUAUCUGAUAAAUCUUAUACAGCUUAGUAUUUUUCUCAUAAUUUUUUUAGUUAGGGAAGUAUGAUGAAUCUUGCAUUCUUUACAGACUAUACUGUUUUGGCAGAUUGCUGUUAUAGUUGCAUUGUUUGCAUAUGUUUGCUUGUUUAAUGAUUCUAUUUGAGGAUAGGAGUAUUAAAUAUGCAGAGGCAUUUAGUAUGCAAUGUUGAAUACUAAUUUUAGUGUUUUGUUACAGUAGAAAAUGAUAAGGUUUUGCAAUGGUUUAUACUAACCUAUCUCAUGAGUUCUUGUUGAGUUUGGUGUGGAUGAAGCUUUUGAUCAAAGAGAAACCAGGAUAUGAGAGGAAUUAAGGUGAUAUGAAAGUUCAAGCUUGGGGAUGCCCAAGGCACCCCAAGAUAAUAUUCCAAGAAGUCUCAAGCAUCUAAGCUUGGGGAUGCCCCGUUAGGCAUCCCACCUUUCUUCUUCAACAACUAUCGGUUAGUAUCGGUUGAACCUAAGCUUUUGCUUCUUCACAUGAGUUGUGCUAUCCUUGCAAUGUCAUUUUAUUUUGUUUUACUUGCUGUUUGAAUAAAAUCAUUGGAUCUGAAAUUUUGAAUAGAAAAGGAACCCUCCCAUGGCUAGUUAAUUAUUUGCCUACUCAGUAUCCUUCACUCAUAUCUUUUGGAGUAGUUUGUCAUUUAUUCAUGUGCUUCAUGUCUAUCCUAUGAGUAAAUGGGGGAAAUGAAUUGAAUGUCAUAAAUCUGAAUUUAUAUAUGUUUCAUAUGCUUAUAACAUGGUUAGUGAUGAUUUCACACAUAGAAAGAGGCAUAAAAGUUGUUGAGAGUUGGUAAACGUAGUUUUCGUCAUCGUUGCAAUUAAUAGGAAGUAAUAAAGAAAGAGAGGUUCACAUACAAAUAUAUUAUCUUGGACAUCUUUUAUGAUUGAGAGCACUCAUUAAGUAUGACAUGCUAAAAGAGUUGACGUUGGACAAGGAAGACAAUGUAAUGGUUUAUGUUUUCCAACAUCUCAGUUAAAGUAUAUUGUCAUUGACCUUCCAAACAUGUUGAGCUUGCCUUUCUCCCUCAUGCUAGCCAAAUUCCUUGCACCAAGUAGAGAUACUACUUGUGCUUCCAAAUACCCGUAAACCCAGUUUUGUCAUGCGAGUCCACCAUACCUACCUAUGGAUUGAGUAAGAUCCUUCAAGUAAGUUGUCAUCGGUGCAAGCAAUAAAAAUUGCUCUCUAAAUAUGUAUGACUUAUUAGUGCAGAGAAAAUAAGCUUUGUACGAUCUUGUUGUGGAAGUAAUAAAACCGACGGACUGCAUAAUAAAGGUCCACAUACAAGGGGCAAUAUAAAGUGACGUUCUUUUGCAUUAAAAUUUUGUGCAUCAACCCUAAACGCGCAGGACAACCUCUGCUUCCCUCUGAGAAGGGACUAUCUUUUACUUUAUGCUUUUACUUUAUGCUUGAGUCAAGGUGAUCCUCACCUUUCCCUUUUUCAUUUUAUCCUUUGGCAAGCUCCUCGUGUUUGAAAGAUCAUGAUAUAUAUGUCCAAUUGGAUGUAAGUUAGCGUGGGCUAUUAUUGUUGACAUCACCUAAAGGUGAAUACGUUGGGAGGCAACACAAUAAGCCCCUAUCUUUCUCAGUGUCCGGCUGAAACUCCAUAACCACAAGUAUUGCGUGAGUGUUAGCAAUUGUAGAAGACUAUAUGAUAGUUGAGUAUGUGGACUUGCUGAAAAGCUCUAUUCUUGACUCUUUCUGAUGUUAUGAUAAAUUGCAGUUGCUUCAGUGACUGAGAUUAAAGUUUGUUAGUUCUCAAUGAAGUUUCUGAACCAUGCUUGACAUUGUGAAUAGAUUGUUACUUGAUCAUGAAAAGUUUUAUGGGAUAAGCUACUAUUAUGACACAUAUUGAUGCUAGAAAAGGUGAUUGAAAUUAUCAUUGAUCAACUUGUGCACCUUCUAGCAUUCACACUUCAUAAAUUAUUUCUUUUAUCAUUUACCUACUCGAGGACGAGCAGGAAUUAAGCUUGGGGAUGCUGAUACGUCUCCAACCUAUCUAUAAUUUAUGAAGUAUUCAUGCUAUUAUAUUAUCCAUCUAUGAUGUUCUAUAUGCAUUUAUAUGUCAUCUUAUAUGAUUUUGGGACUAACCUAUUAACCUAGAGCCCAGUGCCAGUUUCUGUUUUCUCCUUGUUUUUGUGUUUUAUAGAAAAGGGAUACCAAACGGAGUCCAAUUGACGUGCCAAUUUUGAGGAUUUUUUAUGGACCAAAAGAAGACCACGGAGCAUCAGAGUUCGGCCAGAAGAGUCCCAGGCUGCCCACGAGAGUGGGGGCCGCGCCCUCCCCCCUGGGGCGUGCCCCCUAUCUCGUGGACAGCCCGGAGACCUUCCUGAAAUGAAACCAAUGCCAAAAAUUCCUAUAAAUACAGAAACCUUCGGGAAUUAACCUAGAUCGGAAGUUCCUCUGACGCAAGCCUCUGUAGCCAUGAGAAAUCAAUCUAGGCCCUCUCUGGCACCCUGCUGGAGGGGGCCAUCAUCACCAAAGGCCAUGGAGGAGGAUCUCGGAGGGGCCAUAAUCUCCAUGAAGGCCAAGAACCAGAGGGGGAAAGCCAUGGAGGAGGAAGCACAAGGGGGAGAAACUCUCCUCCUCUCUCUUGGUGGCACCGAAGUGCCAUCGGGAGGGGAAUCAUCGCCGCAGUGAUCGUCGUCAUCAACAUCACCAUCAUCAUCUCUUUUACGUGGUCCACUCUCCCGCACUCCGCUAUAAUCCCUACUUUAACAUGGUGCUUUAUGCCACAUACUAUGAUCCAAUGAUGUGUUGCCAUCCUAUGAUGUUUUGAGUAGAUAUCUUUUGUCUUUGGGUUGACUGAUGAUCUAGAUUGGUAUGAGUUGUAUGUUUUAUUUUGGUGCUGUCCUAUGGUGCACUCCGUGUCGCGCAAGCGUGAGGGAUCCCCGUUGUAGGGUGUUGCAAUACGUUCAUGAUUCACUUAUAGUGGGUUGGUGAGUGACUGAAACACAAACCCGAGUAAGAGGGGUUGUUGCGUAUGGGAAUAAAGAGGACUUGAUGCUUUAAUGCUAUUGUUGGGUUUUACCUUAAUGAUCUUUAGUAUUUGGGGAUGCUUGCUAGAGUUCCAAUCAUAAGUGCAUAUGAUCCAAGUAGAGAAAGUAUGUUAGCUUUUGCCUCUCCCUCAUAUGAAAUUACAAUAGUGAUUACCGGUCUUGUUAACAAUUGCCUAGGACAAUUCCGCACAUCGAUCCACCAUUAUUCCACACUCGCUAUUUAUAUUAUUUAGUAUUAUAUUCUAACUCUAUGAUAACAACACCUACUUUUAUAUUUUAGCUCUCCGAUAUCAUACAAAGUUAUCCUCUUUAUACCCACAACACAGUUUUAUUCCUUGUUUCUAGUUGGAAGCAAACGUUCAGUGCACGUAGAGUCGUAUCAGUGGCAGAUAGGGCUUGAGAGAAUAUCGAUCUUACCUUUAGCUCCUUGUGGGUUCGACACUCCAUACUUAUCACUUCCACCUUUAGGAAUUGCUACGAUGAUUCCCUACACUUGGGGAUUAUCACUGUCGUACUGACGGAACUCUCCCUCGACCGUCUACUGGAUUAAGAUCUCGAGGGACGUCAUCGUGUUGAACGUGUGCUAAACACGGAGGUGCCGUACAUUCAGUACUUGGAUCGGUUGGACCGUGAAGAUGUUCGACUACAUCAAACGUGUUAUUAAAUGCUUCCGCUUUCAGUCUACGAGCGUACGUGGACACACUCUUCCAUCUCGUUGAUAUGCAUCUCCUAGAUAGAUCUUGCGUGAUUGUAGGAAUUUUUUUGAAUUGCUACGUUCCCCAACAGUCAUGUAUGUGAUGCAUAUAUUCUUGAUCAUUGCCUUGGAUAUCUUCAUAACUUUGCACUUUUCUAUCAAUUGCUCCACAGUAAUUUGUUUACCCAUCGUAUGCGUUCUUCCAAGAGAGAACCCUCUAGUGAAAACUAUGGCCCCCAGGUCUAUUUUUAUCAUAUUAUUUUCAUAUCUAUAAAAUAAAAAACACAAAAAUAUCUUGCUACAAUUUAUUACCUUUUAUACCUAUCUCUAUCAGAUCUCAUCCUUGCCAGUAACACUGAAGGGAUUGACAACCCCUUUUUUGUGUUGUGUGCAAGUAUUUGUUUGUUUGUGUAGGUGCAACCAUUGGGGACUUGUGUGUUCCUCCUACUGGAUUGAUACCUUGGUUUGUAACUAAAGAAAAUACUUAUCUCUACUUUGCUGCAUCACCAUUUCCUCUUGAAGGGAAAAUCCAAUGCAAGCUCAAGAAGUAGCACCAGCUGUAGUAGCAUCGAAGUAAUUCGUGUGACAUGUUCAGCGCACCACUAACACUACUAGAAAAAGUCUUAUAAGUGGGCUCAAAUUAGUGGUGGGUAAAAAUGUCGCUAGACAAUAGCGGCGGACAAAAAAAGCUAGCCGCCACUCAUAAAUUUGUACAAAUUUAGCCAUGGCAUAAAAGAAUCAGUGACAGGCAACAACUUUAGCCCGCCAUUGGUUUUUCAUCUACCAGUGGCGGGCGAAAAGUUUGGCUGCCACAACAAUAUUUCUACUAGCCCGCGUCAAAUGUUUCAAAAUUUAGCAGUGGUGGGCGCCCAAGGAAGCCCGCCACAGAUAUAACAAGUAAGAAAUAUGGUUGAAAGAAAUCAUAUUUACUAAACAUAGAAUAAUUGAAAUGAUGUUGAAAAAUUGAGUUGUCUUUGGGAGGGGGUGGUUUCCGUUCGAAACUCUGAUACUUCAUUCGAGAGUGUUCAGUUUGUACACAAAGUGCAUCAAGUUUUUGUCGUAAUGCUCUCAAAUUUUAACAACUCCCUACAAGGGUCCUGUGAAGACACCAUGAAGACACCCUUUCCGGACUCUUUUGCAUGUUAUAUUGAAUGAAAAUGCGUUCUACCCUUUUUAGGGGCCGAGAAAUCAAGUAAUGCUUCAAAAAAUAGCAAACCAACUCAAAAAGUUCUAAAUUUUGAGAAUUGGAAUCCCAAUGGUGUGUCUUAAACAUAUUAAAACAUUGAAGUUGAAAUGAUGUGGAAAAUUUAGAUUUGUAUGAAAGACGAUGAUUUUUGUUUGAAACCUAACACUUCACCAGAGAGUGUUUAGUUUGUACAUGAAAUGCAUCUAAUUUUUGUCAAAACACUCUCAAAUUUUUACCACACCCUUCAUGUGUCCUAUGAAGAUACCAUAUGCCAAGUUUCACCCCUUUCCGAGCUUGUUUGCACAUUAUGUCGAAUGAAAAUGUGUUUAGUCCUUUUUAGUGGCCAAAAAAUCAGUUAAUGCUUCAAAAAUAGCAAACAACUCAUAAAGUUCUAGAAUUUGAGGAUGGGACUUCCAAUGUGUGCAUUAAAUAUAGUAAAAGAAUUAAGUCAAAAUGAAGUAGAAAAAUUGAGUUGUGUGUGGAAGGCGACGAUUUUCAUUUGAAAUGCUGAUACUUCGUAGGAGAGUGUUCAACUUGUACACGAAGUGCAUCAAGUUUUUGCCGUAUCGCUCUCAAAUACUUACCACACACCCUACAGGGGUCCUAUAAAACACUGAUACGUCUCCAAAGUCUCUAUAAUUUUUGAUUGUUCCAUGCUAUUAUAUUAUCAAUCUUGGAUGUUUUAUAUACAUUUACAAGCAAUUAUAUAACAUUUUUUGUGACUAACCUAUUAACUUAGUGCCCAGUAUCAAUUGCUAUUUUUUGCUUGCUUUCUAUUUCUCAAAAUAUCAGUACCAAACAAAGUCCAAAUGUCACGAAACUUUUUGCAGAUUUUUUCCUGGGCAUAAGAGACCCUGGAAGCUUCAUGAGGGGACAAGAAGAUGGAGCAGUGGCCCAUGAGGCACUAGGGCGCGCCUAGGGGGUAGGGCAUGCCCUGGUGGCUCAUGGGGCCCACGUGGCUCCGUUUGACCUAACUCAGCCUCUAUAAAUUCUCUAAAUCGGGAAACCAAUAGAGGAUUCCACGAAAUACUUUUUCCGCCGCCGCAAGUCUCUGUUCUCGUGAGAUCCCAUCUGGAGGCCUUUUCCGGCACUCUGCCGGGGGGGUCAAUCAUGGAGGGGCUCUAGAUCAACCUUGCUGCCCUUCCGAUGAUGCGUGAGUAGUUCACCAUGGACCUAUAGGUCCAUAGUCCAUAGUUAGUAGCAAGAUGGCUUCUUCUCUCUAUUUGAUCUUCAAUACAAUGUUAUCCUCGAUGUUCUUGGAGUCCUAUCCGAUGUAAUGACUUUUUGCGGUGUGUUUGUUGGGAUCCGAUAAAUUGUGAGUUUAUGAUCAGAUUAUCCAUGAAUAUUAUUUGAGUUUUUUCCAAUGUUGAUGAUAUCGUUAUCGUCUCGGUAAGCUAGGGAUUAGAGAUUAAUCGGAAAAUGGCCGAUUAGUCGAUUUUAUCGGCCGACUAUUAAUCGGAUAUUUUUGCAAAUCUCAGGUUCCCAACACUAAAAUAUGUUAUAUUCAACACCAAAAUAAUAUUGGAUAGAAGUGUUACCUUGAUUCCUAGCCUUUGAAUCCUCGUAUAAUGACAAACAAAAUAGGACAACAAUACAUAUUUCAUAACAAGGUCCACAAAACAUAAAUAAACAUAGUUUUUGCAAACAUAGUGCUAUGAAUAGGUCUGAUUUAUCGGCAGAUUCCCGAUAAAUUGCUUGUCAGAGCGAUAAAUCGGUCCAAAAGAUAAACGGUAAGGAUAAGGCAUAAUCUUAUCGGUCAUCCUCCAAUUAGCAAUAAAUCAGAAGAUUAAUCGCUGAAUCGGAAGAUUUUUUGAACAGUGGUUUUCUCUGAACUCUUUUAUGCUUGAUUGUUAUAGCUUCGUAUUUCUCUCUGAUCUGUUGAUUUGGAUUGGCCAACUAGAUUGAUUUAUCUUGCUAUGGGAGAGGUGCUUUGUAAUGGUUCGAUUUUGUGGUGCUCAAUCCCAGUGACAGAAAGGGACAUGACACGUAUGUAUCGUUGCUAUUAAGGAUAAAAUGUUGGGGUUUAUUCAUGCGUGAGUUUACUUUGUCUACAUCAUGUCAUCUUGUUUAAGGCGUUACUCCAUUCUUUAUGAACUUAAUACUCUAGAUGCAUGCUGGAUAACAGUCGGUGUGUGGAGUAAUAGUACUAGAUGCAGAAUUUGUCGGGGAUAUACCCCGCGGUGUAACCCGGCCGGAAGUAUAACCCGGCCGGACUCGGCGACUCACUAAUGACCUGCCCUGACUGGAUGAUACACUAAGUGACCCGCCCGAUCCUGGCGACUUAUGGGUGACCUGGCAAGCGGGUCAGAGGAGCGACAAGACCCGGGGGCCCAGGAGGUUCAAGGCCCAGAAGGCCGGCUUACAUUAUGGUAGGCUGGCUUAAGAGGAAAGGCGUGAGGAAUAUCUCCCUUACAAGGAAUCAAGACCCGGACUUGUAUCCGACUUGUAGUAGAAGAUAGGCUAGUCCAAAUCCUAUUUGGACUCCACAUGUAACCCGCCCAUCUAACUUAUAUAAGGAGAGGCGGGGCUCCCCAAAGAGGGACAGGCAACAAGAACAAUUUCUAGGGCUAGACACAAAGAGCCGGCUUACCGGCGACUUCCUCAUGAGCAUAAUGAGACCUAGCCUCAAACAGCAUGUAGGGCUACUACCGGAUGAUGUUUCCCGGGGCCCGAAGCUGUCUAAACCCUUGUCUUGCGUGUUGAUCCGCCCUGCAUCUCUCGUCCCACUCAACCCAUCUCAAGCUACCACAUAGAUGCGUUGGCCUCGCGACUAAGUCCUGACACUAAGGACAUCUGCCGUGACAAAUCCACGACAGUUGGCGCCCACCGUGGGGCAAGCGCACGGUGGUGUUGAGUUCUUGAAGAGAUUUUUUCUAGGGUUCAGAAGCUCGCGAUUAACCGGAUGGAGAAGAAAUGACGCGAACGGAUCUACAUUAAUGAUGAGCGGUCGGGCAGCAUACACAAGAUUUUGAGAUCGAGGCAAGCUAGGGUUGCGUAGACCACCGCAGGCGCCGUGGUGAUUCACCAGCCUCCACGCUCGCUGCUGCGCCUCAAACCGCGAGCUCGUUUUCAAUCGCCAUGUCUCUGCUUCCGGGCUGAGUCGCUAGGGCCUCGCGGUUGUUGCUUCUGAGAGCUGCCUAUUUACGAGUCGCCGGCGCCCCUUGUUUUCAGCCGCGCUCAACUUCCGAUCACCGACGCCGUGCGACCCGGCCGUCCGCUGGCUCCGGCUCCCGGCUCACUGCGUUGCCCCGAGGUGUCGCGCCGCCGCUACUGCUAUGGCCUUAACCCGUCAAGCCGCCUUCUCAUUGCUAUGAGCUGCCCGUGGCUUUGCUGUCGACGGGUGCUGCUCCUGGUUGAGCCACCUUCGUCGUUGCUACGACCAAGGGCUCACCUGCGAGUUGCCGCUCCAGCUGUCGCGCCUUCCGCCUGCUCGAACAGUCGUGGUUCGUCUCUGCACUCUGCAACCUUCAUCGUCACCUCCAUGGCCUGCCUAUAAGUCGCCCUUGUGCGGCCAUGCCUCCGAGAGGUUCAUGCGCCCUCAUUUCCACUACCGCGGUCCCCCGAUGAGUCGGCCGCACAAGUGAUCAUCUGCCGGGCUCGUUCAACUAGGUGUGGUUGUGUACACAUGCAAGUUUUCACAACAACAGGCAAAAUCAAAGGCGUUUUGUCAUUGGUAUUUUCCAUGUGAAGGCAGAGUUGGUCAAUCAGACUAGAUGGAGUACUAUUCCCUGGCGUAAAAGACCAAGGCCUGCAAAUAAAGAUGCACCUUUACACGGAGAGGCAAAUCUUACAAGGGCGCAGGUUGCAGUCUAAUCAUUAUUUAAAGCAAUACUACAGCUUAUAUCUGUUGAGGAUUUAUGCACAGCCUCAAAGAAAGACAAAGGAAGGCCUCUUGGGGCUACCGCUACAUUGUGUAAAUGUACAUCUAGACGGGUUAUCUUUUUCGUCCGGCGAUUACGUCCAGUAUCAUCCAACACCAGCAUAUUGUUCAUCCGACAAAAAUAUCAGGACCGUUAUUCCUUACAAAAGGUGUCGCAAAAGGGCGUGCGCCAAUAUUAUUUUUGCACUAGCAAUUGUCCAUGCCAUGCUGCUGGACGGAUACGUGUGCAUGUUGAUGUCCUCGCUACAUCAACACACCAACUAGCUCGUCGUCCGCGCCCGCGGCCGACUCACCCACGUCUGUGCUAUUUCUAACAUUGUGGCCGACUCUCCCGUCCGCGCCGGCUUACAACCCCGUGACUGACUCAUCUGUCUGCUUUCGCGGUUGACUCGCUCGUGAUUGGUUUCAACUUCACUGUAGUGAUCAUCAACUCCGCGGCGAAUAAUUUACAGCCUAACAUAUCAGGUGUGCUCAAGUCGCCGCCCGUGCAGCUUAAUCUACAUCAACCCGUCGGAGCUGCGAUGAGCCACCCUUGCCGCUUUGAGCCGCCGGGGUUAUAUUAAGUCGUCGGACUGCCUGAGUCGACGGAACUAUAUUGAGUCGAUGGUCGGCUUGAGCCACCUCUGUUGCGAUAAACGGAUCAUCCGUCGUCCAAACAAAUCAGGUGAUAUCCAUCCAAGUUUGUUUUAUUAGCACAUAUUGUUUUUUGUUAAAGAACAAGUUUAUCUUUGCCUUGGUCUGCAAUAUUGUUUAUGCAGGGCAAUUAUUUAUGACAAAAAGUGAUAUUAUACCGCGGAGAUGGAGGCACGCCAACAUCUUUUGGCACAGGUGGUCGUCGUUACUCAACGGACUCCCGCACCAGCUCACAACGCCGUGGCCAUCUCCCGCGACCACGCCGGCUUACAACAAGGAGGACAACCUUGCCCGUUCGCACCGGCUUACAAUGCCACGGCCGUUUUAUCUAUCUGUGCUGCCUCCGAUGUUGCAGUCGUCUUUACCGUCCGUCUCUCGCGGCCUGGUCUACAUCAACACACCGGGCCGCACUUGUCUGGAUAAGCUGUUUAUUGAGUAUGAGCAAGUCACUAUUUGGGAAGCCCGGUUUUCUUCCAACAAAUUGGAAGCAAAUUAUCAUAUAUUAUCAGCCGCCGUUUGCACUGGAUGGCUCAAUGGGUAGGCACACAAGUCGCCGCCACUGCAGUUUGGUUAACUACAAAUAGCCAGUUGGAAGGAGCCAUUGGCUGAGUUGCUGACAUGGCUCAUACGGGAUCAUUUAUAACCCGCCGCAGUCACCUCAACCUUCUGUGGAUUCACAUCGCGCUAUCAACGCCAAUGAUUUAUACCUUCUACUAUGGUCAAAUAUGGAGAAUCUCAAGCCAACUCCUCGAGUCGUCUUGAGACUCGGGGGUUACAAUGGUAUGACUCGGCAAAAUUAGCCGGUUUCAAUGAAUUCAAGAACUCCGGGUCAUUGAAGGGAAAAAUAACCCGGGCCCCAGAGAUUACUGCUAGAUCGAUGAAAAUUUAAAAGCCGUCAGAAGAUUUCCGGCUCAAAAUAAGGACUCUGGUUUAAAAUCUGGUUCAAGAGACAUCUUUCUCCCACAAAGCACUGAAGCUCUCAAAUCCGGUUCAAAAGCCGGCCCAGGGUAAAUUUGUCCCUCACAAAUUUCUGAAGCUCUCAUAUCCGGUUCAAAAUCCGGCCCAGGGUAAAUAUGUCCCUCACAAAUCCGGUUUAAAGUUCCGGUUCAAAAAGAAUUAAUCUCUCGCAGAGUUCUAAGAAAAAUUAAAGGUUGCUAAAAAGAACUUGCUGCCAUGAUGCGCGGUUCAAACAUAGGUAUCCUGCCUUACGGCUUAUCUUAUUAUCGUCACUUGGGGGCUUCCUGCUCAUCGAGCAUAGCUGUCGGUACCCUCUUGAUCGGUGCAAUGCUAAUAUAUGGUCACUUGGGGGCUUCCUGUUCAAACAUAGGUCGUAUUCGAACCAAAGAGAACAUAGCUGUCAAAACCCUUUUGGUCGGCACAUUGCCAAACUCACUAGGGGGCUUCUUGAUCGUAUUCAAAUCAUAGCUUAACCUCUUUUGGGUCCGACGUGGAUCAUAUUCGAAUCAGCGUCAUUAAACAACUCUCAAGGUCAUUUGGGGGCUUCCUGUUCAAACAUAGGUCGUAUUCGAACCAAAGAGAACAUAGUUGUCGGUACCCUCUUGAUCGGCAAUGCCAAAGCCACUGGGGGCUAUAUGAUCAUAUUCGAAUCUUAGCUCAACCCCUUUGGAACGGUUUUUUGAUCGUAUACGAAUCAGAAGCCUUAAGUUUUUUAAGUCUUUUUUGCGAACAAUUUUGGUUUUGACUUGAGACCUUUUUUGGAUUAUAUCUCAAAUGUAUAUAAGUGUUUUAUGCUUAACCCAGCUUGACUUUUAACUAUAAGUCACCAGCUUAUGACAAUCAUCAUCUAUGUGGAAGCAUUGGCUUCUAAAGAUUGGGUUAUCACCCUUACUGCACAGGUCAUGUAAACCGGCAGUACAAAUUCAAUAUCACCGUGGUUAUAUGUGAGGUAUUAUGACCCGCCCUGCGGUAAACCGCCAAGGGUUCUUGUGAUCUACUUGUGUGCAGGUAAGACUACAUUUGGGUGGUUACCCGCCCUGGCUCUUGCCGUUAAGUCACCGGGGCAUAUGUUGUUUAAACUCUAUGCAGGAUUUGCAGAACUAUGACUUAUAUAAAUGCUUCAGUCCAAGCUCAUCACUGAAAUUGGUGUCUCAAAAGGGUUAUAAAUUAUUGAUUUUCUCAAGGGCUAUAGGCCACCGGGUUACAAAAAUUCCGGCUUACAAUGAAUGUGCAUUAAGUCGUCAUCGGCCAAGAGCCGCCAGGUAUUUAAACUCCGGAUUUACUUGUCAACCGAUGAGGUAUUCAAAUUUUUAAUAGCCAAAACUGGUUGGAUUUUCAUGAUGAUAUUAAAUGAUUGAGGUUUUCAUACCGGAUUGUAUUAUUCAAAUCUUGAAUAGCCAAAAUGGCUAGAUUUCUAUUGUGAUUAUCAAUAACCAGUGUUAUGAUUGAGGUUUUCAAAGUCGCUUUAGCACAACGGCUAUUAUUUUUAUCAAUGGGCAUGAUUUAUUUUACAAUGGAGGAAAUAGUCCCGAGUCGUUGUAGGCUUAUGACCCGGCACUUGGGGGCUACAUUGUUCAAAUCGAGAUUACAUCGAAUAUACAAGUCCCAUGUCACUGCCAGCAUGCACCAUGGCACUUGGGGGCUAAUGCAAAGUCAUUUUUUUCUCAAUUUAUUGAAGACCCGACUCAUCACAUUUUAAAUGAGCCGGCCCUUGGGGGCUACCAAUUGCUCCUGUCAAAAAUUCAAGGUACACAAGCAUUAAUCCAUUAUAUUGAACGGUCCACUAUUCAGUUGGUGGAGUACAAAGCUCUUAACCUUGUGGACGUGGGUUCAAGCCCCAUGGUGGAGACUAUAUUAUAUGAUGUUAUUGUCAAUUAUAUACAAAGUCCCAGCUCAGUAUUAUCUUACUAAGCUAGCCCUUGGGGGCUACACAUUGUUGUUCAAAUUUACAUGGUUAUAUCUACAAAGUCCAUGUUCAUUAUUGCAUAAUGACCCGGCCCUUGGGGGCUACACUGCUUGAAGUUUUCAUGAGCAUAAAGCAAUUAGAAGUCCCAGGUUGCUGCAAGCAUGACAACCCGGCACUUGGGGGCUACAUGUGUGGAACAUUCAGUUUAUAUGAUUGAGAUGAAUAAACCGGAUUUCUUCAAGGUUGCAACAUUUAUUGGAGCAAGUUUUAAACCAUCACUUUGUUCUGCUCAAGACUUGGGGGCUACAGGUAAUAUGGAUAUAAGGGAGAAACAUCUUCAAAUUAUCAGUUUUGAGCAAAUCAGGAGGAUCAAUUACUUAAACCGGUAUCAACAACAAUUAUGACCCGGUAUCAUCUGUUUUAUAAUCCGGCAAUUUUUGGUAAUGAUAAGCCAGUAAGUUUUACAUCUUCAAGCCGGCUGAAUAUCAGAUGAGUAUUUGAAGACCAAAAUUAUUUAUCCCGGCGCCUUGCAAGCCGACUCAAGUGGAUUUUCUAGAUGAAGGAAAUGACAAUUGGACUUAAGGAUAAUCAGGUCCUGUCUCAGGAGAAUAUUUAACCCGGAGCGCAAGGAGUUAAGGAUGUUCAGGUGCCGGUUUACAAGAAUUCUUAACCUGGAGCACAACCUGUCAAAUUUGUUCUUGUGUUUAUUUUGCAGCAAAAGUUUACCAUGGAUAAAUCCAAGCUAAACUUGGGGGCUAAUGUCGGGGAUAUACCCCGCGAUGUAACCCGGCCGGAAGUAUAACCCGGCCGGACUCGGCGACUCACUAAUGACCCGCCUUGACCGGAUGAUACACUAAGUGACCCGCCCGAUCCUGGCAACUUAUGGGUGACCUGGCAAGCGGGUUAGAGGAGCGACAAGACCCGGGGGCCCAGGAGGUUCAAGGCCCAGAAGGCCGGCUUACGUUAUGGUAGGCUGGCUUAAGAGGAAAGGCGUGAGGAAUAUCUCCCUUACAAGGAAUCAAGACCCGGACUUGUAUCCGGCUUGUAAUAGAAGAUAGGCUAGUACAAAUCCUAUUUGGACUCCACAUGUAACCCGCCCCUCUAACUUAUAUAAGGAGAGGUGGGGCUCCCCAAAGAGGGACAGGCAAUAAGAACAAUUUCUAGGGCUAGACACAAAGAGUCGGCUUACCGGCAACUUCCUCAUGAGCAUAAUGAGACCUAGCCUCAAACAGCAAGUAGGGCUAUUACCGGAUGAUGUUUCCCGGGGCCCGAAGCUGUCUAAACCCUUGUCUUGUGUGUUGAUCCGCCCUGCAUCUCUCGUCCCACUCAACCCCUCUCAACCUACCACAUAGAUGCGUUGGCCUCACGACUAAGUCCUGACACUAAGGACAUCUGCCGUGACAAAUCCACGACAGAAUUGUUUCUGUCUAAUUGUCUCAGACUUGAUGACUAUAUACAUGAUCAUUGCCUUGGAUAUCGUCAUGAUUAUUUGUUUUUCUAUCAAUUGUCCAAUAGUAUUUUGUUUACCCAUUGUAUGCUAUUUUGAAGAGAGAAGCCUCUAGUGAAAACUAUGGCCCUCGGGUCUACUUCUGUCACAUAUUAAAAAUCCUAAAAAUACCUUGCUACAAUUUUAUUUUAUUUAUUUUAUUUUCUAUUUUUGUUUGAUCUAUCUAUCUAUCACCAUACAAUUUAAUCUUGCAAUUAACCGCCAAGGGAUUGACAACCCCUUGUUCGCGUUGGGUGCAAGGAUUUAUUAUUUUGUGUGCAGGUACUGCUAAUGAGUUAUUCCGUGAUUCUCUUACUGGAUCGAUAACCUUGGCUUCAUAACUAAGGGAAAUACUUAUCUCUACUAUACUACAUCAUCGCCUCCUCUUCGGGGGAAAACCCAACACAACUCACAAGUAGCAAAUGUUGUGCCAAGUUUCAUCCAUUUGUGAGCUCAUUUGUAUGUUAUGUUGAACGGAAAUGCGCUCUGCCCUUUUUAGUGCCUGAAAAAAGAGCUGAUGCUUCAAAAAUAGCAAACCAACUCAAAAAGUUUUAAAUUUAAGCAUGAGACUUCCAAUGGUGUGUAUCCCUGCCGCCGCCGCCUCCUCCAUCGCACUGCCCCCGUGCCCAUCCCUAUCGCCUCCUUCACCGUGUUGUCGUGGAAGUGCGCCUCCAGCGUCGUCGUGCAUGCCCAUGCCGCCUCCUCCACCACGCCGUUGUCAUGCCCGUGAGCCUAUUCUCUCUAGUGAGAAGAGCACCCUCUCCCUCUCCCUAUUCACUUCGGUAAUCAAUAGCAAGCUAUCAACUAGGGUUCUGCACCACCAUACCAAUUUGUGGUCCUCUACUAAUUUAAUUUGUGGAUGGUUUGAUUUGACAUGUUUAGAUGGUCUUGUGGAUUAUAAGACUAUCUAGAAGAGCAUGUUCUAGGCAUGCACUAGCUUUGCCUUCAAAAUGUAUAAAACUCCUUAAUUGACCCUUUUGAAUAAAUAGUGCAGGUAUGGUACAUUGUACAUUGCUUACUCACAUUCUCUCUUCUAGGAAUACACUUAAUGAGCUAAGUUCAUUAAACAAUUGACACAAAUAAAAGUUGAUUAAAAUGAGUGCUUGUGUUACUCGCGAUGGAUUCACGGUUUUUCUUUUCAAAUUUGCAAGUAUCAAGACGAGUGCCAAUGUUUUGGUGUGUAGGAUCGAAAGUAUGUCUAGAGGGGGUGAUUAGACUACUUGACCAAAUAAAAAUCUAGCCUUUCCCAAUUUUAAGUUUUGGCAGAUUUUAGCAACUUAGCACAAGUCAAGCAAUCAACCUACACAUGCAAUUCUAAGAGUAUAGCAGCGGAAUGUAAAAGAAUUGCACAUGAAGGUAAAGGGAGGAGUUUGGAGGGAGCAAACGCAAUGUCCACGGAGAUUUUUUAUCCAUGGUUCCGAUAGGUGGUGCUAUCGUACAUCCACGUUGAUGGAGACUUCAACCCACGAAGGGUAACGGUUUCCCGAGUCCACCGAGGGCUCCACCCAGGAAGGGUCCACAAAGAAGCAACCUUGUCUAUCCCACCAUGGCCAUUGCCCACGAAGGACUUGCCUCACUAGGGUAGAUCUUCACGAAGUAGGCGAUCUCCUUACCCUUACAAACUCCUUGGUUCAACUCCACAAUCUUGACGAUGGCUCCCAAGUGACACCUAACCAAUCUAGGAGACACCACUCCCCAAAAGGGAAUAGAUGGUGUGUUGAUGAUGAACUCCUUGCUCUUGUGCUUCAAAUGAUUGUCUCCACAACACUCAACUCUCUCUCUCACAGGAUUUGGAUUUGGUGGAAACAUGAUUUUAGUGGAAAGCAACUUGGGGAGGGCUAGAGAUCAAGAUUUAUGUGGUUAGAAUGGAUUAUCUUGACCUCAACACAAGUGUAGGUGGUUCUCUCUCAGAAAAUGUAUGUUGGAAGUGUAGGCAUGUUCUGAUGGCUUUCUCGACGAAUGAAGAGUGGGUGGAGGGGUAUAUAUAGCCUCCACAUAAAAUCUAACUGUUACACACAAACUACCAAACUCGGUGGGACCAAAUCAGAAAACUCGGUCAGACCGAUUUAGUUCAAAAUGUGAACAUUGGGAUUUUCGGUGGGACCGACAUGUCAACUCGGUGGGACCGAUUUCGUUAGGGUUAGGGCAUAACGUAAUCUCGGUGAGACCGAUUACAUAAACUCGGUGAUACCGGUUUUAGUUAUAAGCUAACCAGAGAGUUGGUCAGGCAAACUCAGUGGGACUGAUUCACUCAUCUCGGUUAGACCGAAACGUUACGAAGGGGAAAUAGAGAGUUUGCAUUGCAAUCUCGGUGGGACCGAUCGCUCAUCUCGAUUUGACCGAAACGUUACCAAGGGAAACAGAGAGAUUACAAUCCCAUCUCGGUGAAUCCAAGAUCCCUAUCGGUGAGACCUAAAAGACUAGGGUUUGUGGCAGUGGCUAUGUCAAUUGAACUCGAUGACGCCGGAUAGAAAGUUUCGGUGGGGCCUAGUUUGACUUUUGGUUUGGGACAUAUUUGGAUGUGAGAAAGUAGUUGAGGGUUUUUGGAGCAUAUCACUAAGCAUUUUGAGCAAGAACCUCAUUAAGCAACACCUCACCCCCUUUUAAUAGUAUCGGCUUUUCCUAUGGACUCAAUGUGAUCUUGGAUCACUAAAAGUAAAAUGUAGAGUCUUGUGCUUUGAGAUUGAGCCAAUCCUUUUGUCCUCACCAUUUUGAGGGGUCCACUUUCUAAUCCAUGUCGUGCCAAUCAUUGAGCUUUUUUGAAAUAUUUAUCUUGAACUAGCAUUAGCUCAAUGAGCUAUAUGUUGUUAGGAAUUACCAAAACCACCUAGGGAUAGUUGCACUUUCAAUCUCCCCCUUUUUGGUAAUUGAUGAGAACAUAUAGAUCAAAGCUUUGACAAAUGAUCAAAGGAUUGAAAAGCAUUGUCGCUUUGAGAAGUAUGUGAUCCUCUCCAAAUGAUAAUAAGAUUGAAAAACAUCAUCGCUUUGAGAAGUAUGUGAUCCCCCUAAAUUUGUGCACUAUUUAGAAUUUGCUUUAGAAUGCAAAUGUACAAUCGAUUAGGAUCAUGGGUUACUCUUCGAUGUCACAUACAUCUUGGUGGAGCGCUCAAAAUGAUAUAAUUUAAAAGCAUGCACUCAUCACCAAGCAAGUGAAUGAUCAUAUAUGAGAUAUGAAAGAUAAUAUCAUCCAAUAAGGUAGCAUAUGAUCAAACACAUGAUCAACCAAGUAUCACACAUAAGGAGAUAAUGUAGCAAGCAAACACACAAUAAAGUUCAACCAAAAUAGCAAGAGAGAUAAAAAGCAACACUCUCUGUCGAAGCCUAUGAUCUAUACAUUUUUCUCCCCCUUUGGCAACAAGUUACCAAAAAGUUCAAAAAUGCAUAGUGCUAAACGUAUCUCAGGCUUGGUCUUUGGGAGGUGGUGUAGAGAGAACUCCAAGGAUGAAGGCAUCCGUUGAAGUAGCUGGAGCUGGUGGAGUGGCUGCUGGAGGUGGCAUUGGUGCUAUAGCUGCUGGUGCUGAUGUGGUAGCUCUAGAAUCUGUCACUAGCACUAUAGCAGACCUCUGUCCUCUAGGCACUCGCUCAAAUGCAUCAGUAGUUUCCUUGCCUCUCUUCUCUUCUGCUUCCUCCUGAAGCUGCUCAACUGCUGUUUGAAUCUCAGUUACCUUUAGAUCAAGAUCAUAAAAUUCCUGCUCAAUGAUCCUCUCCAAGCUCUCCUGGUUUUGAGUCAGGGUGGCCAAGCCCUUCUCAAUCGUCAGUGUAGACUCGAUCACAUAUGCUUGCUCUUCAGGAAAACUUGAGAUGCCUCUUCAACACUUGGCAUCUUGGCAGCUUUCUCAGCCUUUGCCUUCUCUCUCUUCUCAUGUGCUUGCACAGAUGUGGGGUCUUCCUCAUUCAUCACAACAGUAUUAUCUUCAAAAUCAGGAUGCAGAGGAAGGUGCUCCUUGUCCAACAAGUAUGUACCUGUGCCCAUCUUAGAAUUAAUGAGCUCCUGAAUGUGUGGAGCAUACCCACAGCUUCUCUUCUGAUCGAUAGCUAUCCUCUUGAUUGUCUCUACAAUCAAACUCAUGACUUUGAACUUCUGAGGCACAUCAAACAAAUGUAGCAAAUUGAUAGCAUGUCCACUGAUCAUCUUGUGAUCUCCAUGCUUGGGUAGUAAUGUGUGCCUAAGGAUCCAGUUGAUGGUAGGUAGACCAGACAACAAGAAGUGUACAGAUCCAAGCUUGUGAGUUUCCAAGGCCUUAUCUGGGAUCUCCUUGUACAUGUGUGUCAUGGAGUUGUGGUCUUUCUUCUUUUUGGCAUAAAUAUCCAAGUCAUCCUCAUGCUCUUCAGGGGCAUUUAUCAGCUUGGCCCAUUCAUCAACUGUAGAUUAGUACCUAGUACCCUCUGACAUCCAUACGAUCUUCCCAUCUGGGUAAAAGUGAGCAGUGGAGUAAAACUGCAUGAUCAGCUCAUCAUCCCAUUUAGUGAGCUUCUGUCCAACAAAUUUGUCAACUCCACAUGCCUUGAAGCUAUCAAAAACUCCUGGAAAGUGAUCUUCAUUUUCCUUGAUGUAUUCCCAAUGCACCCAUCCCAUGUCACAUACAAUGGGCUUCUUGUCAAGCAAAAUAGUUUCAUAGAAGUCUUGUUGUUCCUUUGUGUGGAACCUAUAAUCAACUGUUGUUCUCCGCCUCAGAGCAUAAGGAUCAUACUGUCUCCACAAUCUCAGUCAUGCAUCUUUCCUGAUCCUCAUAUCUUCUGCAACAGGAUGUGCAUCAUUAUGGUCAGGGAUCUUUGGUUUUAGCUUCCUUAGCACUUGGGCAUUAGCUUCCUCUUCUUCAGUCUCAGGCACUAGGGCCUUGUUCUUUUCCUCAGCAGGUAUACUUCUGGUGUCGCUCUUGGGUUUUGGCUUGGGAGAAGCCUUGGGCUUUGAUGGAGCAGCCCCUAUCCUAAUGGCAUCUCCCAUAAGCUUCUGAGCUUUGGGUGCUGGUGCAGCAUCCUCCUCUUCUUCUUCUCUAUCAGAUGGAUCUUGCAUCAUGGAGGGCUUUCCAAUGACUCUUGCCAUGGAUUUCUUGACCCUCUCUUUCAUUUUCUUCCCUUCUUCAACUUCUUCAGCAGCUGAUUUUGGAGCUUCAAUAGUUGAUGCUCUGGCUUUUGACAUGGGAAUUAUCCUUGCUGGUGCUUUCUUAUUCAGACCUGGCUUACUUGCAGCAGCUGUUCCAUACUCCUUUUUCAGCACCUUCUUCUUGGAGCUUACUUCCUCCUCGGUGGCAACAUAAUCCUCAUCCUCAGAUUAUGAGGUUCUCUUCUUCCUGGAUCUGGUUGCUGCCUUUCGCAAGUUACUUGGUGUGCUCCUGCUGCCAUCAUCUGAAGUGCUAGAGGGAUCUGAGCCCUCACUCAUCUGCACCUGUUCCUCUGACCUGUUCUGACUGUCACUUUGAUCAGACAUCUCUGCAAACUUACUGACAGCAGACCAUGUGAAUAGAUAUAGAUGAGGUAGAGUAGAUGAGCAUCACAAAGUACAGAGGUUUUGCAAAACAAAUUGAGUCAAAAAGCUUAGUUUAAUUCUCUACAGAAGUGAUCUCGGAGCUACUGAAUUGACAAACUUGGUGAUACCGAAGCAACACUUGGAACCCAAACUAGUGAACUCGGUUGGGCCGAGUCACAGUUCGGUGGCACCGAGACUGCUAGGGUUUCAUAAAGAAUCAAACUCGGUCACACCGAUUUGCAGUUUUCGGUCAGACCGAAAAUGCAAGUGCAAUGGCCUAGGCAAAUUGGUGAGACCGAUUUCUACAAUUCGGUCGGUCCGAGAUGAGUUCGGCGGAGACCUAACCCUAAAAUUUUCGAAUCAAUCUAGACCUAAGGAAGUUUUAACUGGAUAGAUUAAUCACAUUCGUGGCAAGAAACAUGGCAUUGUCCUUGUGCUAGGAAUCAGAGUGAAAAAGACAGCACAAGGAGUCGAACACUUACCCUAGAGCGGCGAUUGUUCGCUACGGCGGCAACGGAGGGGCAGAAUUCCGUUGACGGUGAUGGAAACCAGUGCUGGGAGGUCGCUGGCGGUGAGAAGACGAUCCAGAGACCCGAUGCGGCAGAGCAGGAUAUGCGCGGGCUGAGAAGUUUCGAAGGAAUUUCCAAAAUCUCACACGUGGGUAUAUAUAUCCCGACCCUGUCAGUGUGACCGAGUGGAACGAAUCGGUGGCACCGAGAUGCAGAAUCGCAAGCGGUUACUGCAACUCGGUGUGACCAAAAAGUUCAAAUCGGUUGCACUGAGAUUGAAAACCUAGAUCAACUUAGUGAUCUCGGUGUGACCGAAUUGGAUGACUCGGUCAUACCGAAAUGCACAAAGAGGUUUUGGAAGUUUAAGUCUAUGAUGAAUCGGGGACUCCGAGUGCUCCUCACACAGAGUGGUUCGAAUCUGACUUGAUCAAACUUUGUGAUGUAGCAUGAAUAGAGUUUGAGACUAGAAAAGCAUAGAUAGCUAGAGGGAGUUCUUAGGCAUUCUUGUCCAUCCAUUUGGCAAAAAGGAAAAAUCCAAACAAUCAAAGCAACAAAUGGACGUCCUCAAAUGAGUAAAAUAUGCAAUCAACAUGCUCACACAAUAAAAUGACAAAUGAAAUAUGUGGCAAAGCAUGCACAAACACUCUAGCGUCUAUCAAGCAAUUUGGCGAUGACUAGGUCAUCUACAUAUGAGUAUAUUGACUUAGGAGUCAAAUAAGAACAUUUGAUCAUAGGUCAUACUCAUCGUUUAAGCACAAGUGGGGUUGCCAAGCAUUGUUGUGUUCACAUCAUUAGAGUUGCUUUAGCUCAAUUGAUUAGAGUAAAGCUCCCCCUAGAUGUGAUAUCCCCCCUAAGAGGGAUGAACUAACCUUGGGUUUUGUCGAUGAUGACUUCAUGUAGGUGUUGAAGAUGUGGAUGCUCAAUGUUAAUGUAGAUCAUUCGGAGCAAUCCUUUGGAGUGAGUUGCACUUUCAAUACCUACACGGGUUAGUCCCACAAGUUACAAACAAGGAUAUCCAUAGACAUAGAUUGAUGUUCACACAUGAUGAUGUCCAUGAAAGCAUUAGGUUACCUUGUCCCUAGUCUUACCAACAAGAGGGUUUGUGACUCCUUGAACUAGUGCAAGAUAUGGAAGUUGUUUGCACUUGUCCUUGCCAAAAUGAUAUGAGUGAAGUUUGUUGGCGGAGUCACCCUCAAGAACUCUCUAGUUCUUCUUCUUCGGGAUCCACAUCAUCUUGAUGGGAAUCCUUAGAGUUGUAGUCGUACUUGAUGAAGUAGAACUUGAUGUAGUCUUGGGAACCCACUUGACCAAGGCCUUGGGAGCUUCUUCAAAUGCAUCAAUCUCCUCUUGAAGCUUAUCCUUGCCUUUUUGCUUGUGGUCUUGUGGUGGAAGAUCAUCUUGAGCUUGUGUUCCUUUGAAAGAAGUGGGAUCAUACUUCUCUUGUUGAGGAACAAACUUCAUCUUGGGGUAUUAAUCUUCUUCCCACUCAACUCCAUUGGCAUUGAACUUUCGUUCAAAACCAACACCUUGAUUCUUCCGGUGUCUUCCUUGCUUGCGUACAAUUUCCUCAAAUUGCUUACUUCCGGCAAGACUCUUGUAAACACCUUUCUCUAUAAUUCCCUUCAAUAAGCUAUUUUCUUGCUCAAGUGUAACUUGGCUAAGAUAAUCAUUAGUGGAAUCAAGGGAACUACUAGAAGCAACAUUAUUGGAUUUAGCAUGAUUAAUGAUACUACUAGAAGAAGAAUCUUUCUUACUCUUGUUGCUAGAUUUAACUUGUGGCAUGUAAGUAGAUAAGAGUAAACGCUUGGCAAUGUAAAAAGAACUUUUCUUAUGAAGAUCAUCAUUGAUUGCUUUGAAGAACUCACGCUCUUGCUCAAGGUUAAGCUUUUCAAAGCGUAGCUUCUCAUGAGUCUUUAAAAGUUCUCGAUGAUCUUCCAAGGUAGUUUCAUGAGCUAACUUAAGAGUGUUUAGUUCUUUAGUUAGACGCUCAAUCUCCUUCUUAUGAUCGUCAUUCGCUUUAUCUUGAUUAUCAUGAUUAAUAGCAAGUUCAUCAUUGUUUUCAUAACUAGAGUUGUCAACAAGUAAAUCAUCAUCUCCUAGCAAAUCAUCUUCCUCACUAUUGAAAUCAACAUACUCGAGGUGUGUUACCUUUGGACCUUUAGCCAGGAAGCAUCUUCCAAUUCCUUCAUUCAGUGAGUCAAAUAUGUCAUAGGAGUUGGUUGACACAAGCGCUAGACCGGCAACACCUUCAUCUUGAGUAUAUUUGGAGUCGGAGUGAUAACUUCUUUCGGACUGAUGGUCAGAGUCAGAGCCAGAUACCCAUUCACCAACAUGAGCUUGAUGUCUUCUUUUUGUGUAGCUCUUUGAUGAUUUGUCCUUCCUUUCUGAAUCCUUGCUUCUUCGAGAGGAUCUUCGUUUAUAACGAUCAUCUCUACUCCUUCUCUCUCUUGGUGGUGAUUCUUCUCUCCUACUUCUUCUUUUGGGAGAAUCUUCUCAUCUUUUGUAGGGAGCCGUACGCUCAUUGGAAGAGUGUCCGGGUCUUCCACAAUUGUAGCAAUUACGCUCACGACUAGAAGAUCUUUUGUCAUUGUAGGACCUUGACUUGGAACUUCUUUCCUUGCUUCUACUCUUGUAGAACUUAUUGAAAUUCUUCACCAUUAGGCUCAAUUCUUCAUUGAAGGUUUAUUUCUCACUUGAUGAUGUGGGAGCAUCACAUGAGGCUUUGUAAGCACCACUUGACUUGUUGUGGAGCUCUUCCUUAUCCUUAAGUGACAUCUCAUGAGCAACAAAUCUUCCAAUGACUUCCGUAGGCUUGAGAUCUUUGUAAUUGGGCAUCAUUUGGAUCAAUGUGCACACGGCAUCAUAUUUUCCAUCCAAGGCUCUUAGGAUCCUCUUGAUGAUGAAUCUAUCGGUCAUCUCUUCACUUCCUAAGCCGGCAAUCUCAUUUGUGAUGAGAGCAAGCCUAGAGUACAUUUUAGCGACACCUUCACCAUCCUUCAUUUUGAACUUGUCAAGCUGACUUUGAAGCACAUCCAACUUGGAUUCCUUGACGGAGUCGGUACCUUCGUGCAUAUCAAUCAAAGUAUCCCAAAUUUCCUUUGCAUUAUCAAGACGGUUGAUUUUAUUGAACUCUUCGGGGCACAAUCCGUUGAAGAGGAUAUCGCAAGCUUGAGCAUUGUAUUGCAGCAUCUUCAACUCUUCUGUGGUAGCUUCAUGGUUCGGUUCUCUCCCAUCAAAGAAUUCACCUUGCAAGCCAAUACACACAAUAGCCCAAACGGCGGGGUUAUGUCCAGGAAUAUGCAUUUUCAUCUUAUGCUUCCAACUAGCAAAAUUAGUACCAUCAAAGUAAGGUCCUCUAUGGUGGUAAUUUCCCUCGCUAGAUGCCAUACUCUCCAAGGUUGUGAAACCAAGGCUAUGAUCACCAAAAGCUAUGGAAAUCAAAGCAAAUGGAUACCAAAGCUUUGAUGCCACUUGUAGGAUCGAAAGUAUGUCUAGCGGGGGGGUGAUUAGACUACUUGACCAAAUAAAAUUCUAGCCUCUUCCCAAUUUUAAGUUUUGGCAGAUUUUAGCAACUUAGCACAAGUCAAGCAAUCAACCUACACAUGCAAUUCUAAGAGUAUAGCAGCGGAAUGUAAAACAAUUGCACAUGAAGGUAAAGGGAGGAGUUUGGAGGGAGCAAACGCAAUGUAGACACGAAGAUUUUUUAUCCGUGGUUCCGAUAGGUGGUGCUAUCGUACAUCCACGUUGAUGGAGACUUCAACCCACGAAGGGUAACAAUUUCUCGAGUCCACGGAGGGCUCCACCCAGGAAGGGUCCACGAAAAAGCAACCUUGUCUAUCCCACCAUGGCCAUUUCCUACGAAGGACUUUCCUCACUAGGGUAGAUCUUCACGAAGUAGGCGAUCUCCUUACCCUUACAAACUCCUUGGUUCAACUCCACAAUCUUGACGAUGGCUCCCAAAUGACACCUAACCAAUCUAGGAGACACCACUCCCCAAAAGGGAAUAGAUGGUGUGUUGAUGAUGAACUCCUUGCUCUUGUGCUUCAAAUGAUUGUCUCCCCAACACUCAACUCUCUCUCACGGGAUUUGGAUUUGGUGGAAAGAUCAUUUGAGUGGAAAGCAACUUGGGGAAGGCUAGAGAUCAAGAUUUAUGUGGUUGGAAUGGAUUAUCUUGACCUCAACACAAGUGUAGGUGGUUCUCUCUCAGAAAAUGUAUGUUGGAAGUAUAGGCAUGUUCUGAUGGAUUUCUUCACGAAUGAAGAGUGGGUGGAGGGCUAUAUAUAGCCUCCACACAAAAUCUAACCAUUACACACAAAUCACCAAACUCGGUGGGACCGAAUCAGAAAACUCAGUCAGACCGAUUUAGUUCAAAAUGUGAACAUUAGGAUUUUCGAUGGGAACGACAUGUCAACUCGGUGGGACCGAUUUAGUUAGGGUUAGGGCAUAAAGUAAUCUUGGUGAGACUAAUUACACAAACUCGGUGUGACCGAUUUUGGUAAUAAGCUAACCAGAGAGUUGGUAGGCAAACUCGAUGGAACCGAUUCGCUCAUCUCGGUUAGACCGAAACGUUACGAAGGGGAAACAGAGAGUUUGCAUUGCAAUCUCGGUGGGACCGAUCGCUCAUCACGGUUUGACCGAAAUGUUACGAAGGGAAACAGAGAGAUUACAAUCCCAUCUCGGUGAGACCGAGAUCCAUAUCGGUGAGAUCGAAAAGACUAGGGUUUGUGGCAAUGGCUAUGUUAAUUGAACUCGGUGGCGCCAGAUAGAAAGUUUCGGUGGGCCUAAUUUGACUUUUGGUUUGGGACAUAUUUGGAUGUGAGAAAGUAGUUGAGGGUUUUUGAAGCAUAUCACUAAGCAUUUUGAGCAAGAACCUCAUUAAGAAACACCUCACCCCCUUUUAAUAGUAUUGGCUUUUCCUAUGGACUAAUGUGAUCUUGGAUCACCAAAAGUAAAAUGUAGAGUCUUGUGCUUUGAGCUUGAGCCAAUCCUUUUGUCCUUAGGAUUUUGAGGGGCCACUUUCUAAUCCAUGCCAUGCCAAUCAUUGAGCUUUCCUGAAAUAUUUAUCUUGAAAUAGCAUUAUCUCAAUGAGCUAUAUGUUGUUAGGAAUUACCAAAACCACCCAUGGAUAGUUGCACUUUCAUGGUGAAACAUCGAUUAAGUUAUGUCUCGCCAAAUUUUUAGCACUCGUUAUGUCCAAUUUUUUCGUCGAUAUUUUGUUUAGGGUCAAUUGGAGUAAUGUUGGUUUGUAUUUGCAGGGAUCAAAAUGAGUGACAAUGUUUUGGCAAACAUUGAUUAUUUUUAUUUUGGCAAAUUUCUGGCACUCAUUAUGUUUAAAUUUGUAGAAACAAUCAUGCCUAAUUUUUCCGUCAAUAUUUUGCGUACGGUCAAUUGGAGUACUAUAGGUGUCCUUGGAGAAAAGACAGAGAACCUUUCUACUAUCCAAACUGAAUAUUAAGGGCAUCAGGGAGUUGUUCUUUUUUUGAAAGGAGGACUACCCCUGGCCUCUGCAUCAAGAGAUGCACAUAAUGAUUUAUUUAACUGAAUGAAGUAUCAAACUAUGAGUAACAUAUCAAAGUAUGUGAACAAAAUUAAGAAUGUAAAUAGCCACAAUUGGCCAAAAAAAUAGGACACAACCCCUAUCAUAUUAUUGGACCGCCAUCCAAACUGAUUGUAUAUAGCCCGUGCUAUUGUCUUCCAUCGGUUGCACCCAAAGGCCAUAUGCUCCAUCUCCUCAGCGUGGCGUAGAAGUAAUUAUCAUGCACGGAUCCAUCUAGACGCCUGAUAGAUAAUCUGCAAAAAGUUUGUGAUAUUUGUCCUAUUAAAUACAACAUCAUUCCUUCAGUUUUAAGUAACCCAAAAUAAUGUACAAACUCCCACACGAAUUCAUGAUCAUGUAUUAACUCAAUCCCACCUAACCAAUUGCUAAACAAAUGAAAGAUACUAGUGACUGGAGAAACAUUAAAGGACACAUGUAUUGACAAAGGUAAAUAAUUUGAUGAGUGGGCUCCUUAAAUAAAAAAUGUAAUGGAUGACCAUCAACAAUGUAACUCAUCCAAGCGUCACAAAAGAUUAACCAAACAAUUCAGUCAAAUCAUUGUAUACUAGCAAGCUGCUGAUCCAAAUGUGGAUGAGCCACCGCCAGUCGUCCGAGUGGCACGUUGUGGCUGGUGCACCGUGCAGGAAGCCGGGCUAUUAGAGCAACUCCAAACGUAAGUAUCCAUUUCCUCCACCGCUGUCCAUUUGGGUCGGCUCGGAUAAAAAUAAAGACCCAACGCAUCGACCAAUUCGUAAAAUGUGUCUGCUUCACGUCCAUGCCAACACAUUUGCGUCCCAAAUUUACAGCAGAAAUGUGUCAGCGCAAACGCGAAACGGACGCAUCGCGCGCCUUCUCGGUGUCUGCCGCGUCCCCAUCUAGCGGCCAUCCAAUUACCGCGGUCAGCUUAAUUUAUGACGACCGCCCACCUCGGACCCACACGUCAGUGACGGCGGUCGGCCUUUUUUAAUGCGAGCGUGGGGCAGGGGGAGUCCUCAUCUGCUUCCAGAAGCCCCCCAUCCCCAUCUCGCCACCCUCUGCUCCCCCGUCGGCGGCAACCCUAGCCACCGUAAGGAUGGGUUUCUUCUCAGGCAAAGUGGCACUGGGAAAACCUCGUCCCUCUCCCCUACCCCGACGUCAUCCUGCCACACGUAUGGCACUUGGAUUCGGAGAGGACACCAGUGCCGGCGGUGCCGCGGUCGGCCAGGGUGCACGCGGAAGGAGGUACGACGUCGACUCGCUCUAUUGGGGGCGUUGGUUCCCCUUCGAGCAUGAGGAGGCCAGGUGGCGCGGCGUCUGUGACGUCUCGCAUGGCUCCCCACCGCCGCCCCUCGUCGUUCACGACGAGGACCGGGCAGCCCUGGCGGCUAUCCUCGGGGAGAGUGAGGAGGAAGAGCGGCGUAGGGAGGAGGAGGAGGAGGCGACGUAUGAGGCGCGCAUGGCAGAGGCCAUGGCGCUAUCUGCAGCCGGCGAUUGCGUAGUGCCGCCGCUCGCCCCGCUGUCCCCAGCCAAGGCCUAGCCGGAGCCGAUCCCUAUCGAGUGCUACUCCUAGACUGGAGUGGUGCACGAGUGGUUCAGUGCGCCGCUGGUCUAGAUGCGGGCGACGAAGGUGCAGGAGGCGGCCUACCUUGAACUGUGGUGCCAGCGACGGCUGGCCGAGGAGCGCCGCGAAGGUGAGUACUUCGAGCAGCUGGAGCGCCAUGCCGAGGAGGAGCGCCGCGAGGCCGAGGAGGAGGCGCGCCGUGCCCAGCCGGCGGCGGACGCCCCCGCCUGAAACACUGCGUUCCCCUGGGCCGGCCAUGCGCUGACGCUGAUCGACCUCACCGGCCCCGACGAUGACGACGAGGACGCAUAGGGCAGCGCGUCGCCUCGUAGUUUUGUUUUAUUAAUAUUUAAUUAAUGUAAAUGUGGACGUGUGGACUCUCGCCGGCCUUUGUGACCGUCAUUAAUGUUUUUUCAUUUUUGAAAUAUUUGUGUUCAAUUUUUUUCGCGCGCCGUAAAAAAGGAUCGGGCCAGCGUUAAGCGCAUGUGUAACGCCCCAGAUAUACUUUCCAUAUUUGUAUCCAACUCUUGCCGUCUCCGGCUCUAAGUUGUAUUUAUUUCUCGGGUUUGGGUCUUUGUCUUUGUGUGUUGUUUUUCUUUUUCGUGCAUCUUUUAUCAUGUCAUCACGUGCAUUGCAUUUGCAUACAUGUUCAUCUCAUGCAUUCGAGCUUUUUCCCCGUUGUCCGUUUUGCAUUCCGGCGCUUCGUCCUCCUCCGGUGGUCAUUUCUAGUCUUCUUUCGUGUGUGGGGUUUAAACAUUUCUGGAUUGGACCAAGACUUGCCAAGCGGCCUUGGUUUACUACCGAUAGACCACCUGUCAAGUUUCGUAUCAUUUGGACUUCGUUUGAAACUCCAACGGUUAACCGAGGGAUCGAAAAGGCCUCGUGUGUGUUGCAGCCCAACACCCCUCCAAAUUUGGCCCAAAACCCACCAAACUCUGCUCCAUCGUCUCGGUCGUUCGAUCACGAUCGUGUGGGCGAAAACCGUACCUCAUUUGGACUCUCCUAGCUCCACUUAUGCCUAUAUAUACACCCCCUCCGAAAUCCACGGUUCUUCUCCCCCCUAACCCUAGAUCCAACUCCUACCGCCGCCGCCGGACAAAAAUCGCGUGCCGGACGUGUCCGCCUGGCUCCGCGGGACGAAUCCGCCGCCGCCACGUGUCCCGGGGCCGGUCCCCAGUUCGCCGCCGCCCGCGGGCCCGCGAGGCCCGUGCGGGGCCCUCCCGGCCCGCUACGCCGCCCGCCUCCUCCUCCAGUCGCCGCCCCCGAGCCCGGCGACGCUCGCCCGCUCCGGCCGCCGUGGCGCCAUUGCCGGCCGCCGCNNNNNNNNNNNNNNNNNNNNNNNNNNNNNNNNNNNNNNNNNNNNNNNNNNNNNNNNNNNNNNNNNNNNNNNNNNNNNNNNNNNNNNNNNNNNNNNNNNNNNNNNNNNNNNNNNNNNGGAGCACCUCGCCCCGCCGCCCCAAGCCCUCGCCGGCGCCCGCGCCAGGGAGAGGAGCUCCCGGCUCCGGCGACCGCCCGCCGCGCCGCUUCCUCCUCGCCGUCCGGCCCCCCUCCCCGCUCCGGUUACUUCCUCUCCGGCCGCCGCCGUCGUCUACAGGAAUCCCGGCGAGAUCCGCCGCCGUCUCGGGCCGCGUGCCCGAACCCUAGAUCUGGAUCCUGGGGUAGUUUUUUUUCACUAAGUCCCUAGAUUUUUACUCCAUAUGCUCCUGUUCGAGGACCCGUAUCUCCACAUCCGUAGCACCGUUUUGGGCAUAUGAUAUGUCAAAAUCUUCGCUUCGACAUGUACAUCACUUCAUUCCAUUGCAUCAUUUGCAUUUGAGGUCAUCUUGAUCCCCAAAAUGCUGUUAGAAGGAGGCUUCGUGAGUUAAAUUGCAGAUCCGUUAGUUCAUCAUGCACUUUUGUCAUUUUUGCUAUGUUUAAUUCGUGCAUGAUAUGCCUGUGCCCCUUUGGGAUGAAUUGUUAAGCAUUUUGUCUUCUUUCCAGAGGUGUCACCCAUGCAUUUUUAGGAUGUGUGUGUUGUCUUGUGCAAACUUGCGAAGAGAGGUACCUGAGAAUGCAGAUUUCAGGGACUUAGUGAUUUUCACUAAGUCUGGGAUAUUUUAGUUCAUGAUGCUAUAUGUCCAGCUUGUUUCCUAGUGAUCUGUGCCUCUUUUGAGGAUGAUCAGUAAGGGAGUUUUGAUAUUUAAGUUAUGCUCUAUCUAUCCAUGUCUUUGUUUGCAUAUGUGGAGUGCUCUAGGUUUACUCAAUCGAGCUCAACUUUUGCUUCGUUGUUAAUCUGGGCAGAUCGUCAACUUGUUUGCGAUUUUGCCGAUGCUACCGUUAGUGUUCCAUGCAUGCUAUGCCUUCGUUCUUGCCAUGUGUAGCUAGCACAUUGUGCCUUCUUGCUGGUUAUAUGCUUUCCUUGCCAUGACUUGCACCGUAGUGAGUGCAUCGAGCUCGUUUACAUGCCUUCGUGAGUUAUAUUUCAGCGUGUCUCAGUUUUCACUAAGUCUGAAAACUGAUUGUGUUCGAGCUAUGUUCGUGAGCUCGGUAGAGUAUUUUGUGAACCCUUUUGGCCCCAGGUCACUUUGGGUGUUUUGUUAAGCUUGUUGAGUAGCUCCAUGCCAUGUUCUUACUUGUCAUGUUCAGGUUUUCUAUCAUGUUGUUUUGCUGCUCCGAAGAGAGCAUCGUGAUCUGAAAUUUCAGACUACUGUUAAUUUCACUAAGUCUGGAAUCUGUUUUGCAUUUGCGUUUUAGCCAUGCUUGUUUGAACCUCUUAAUGGAUGAAUUUGCCUAUGGCUCAGUGCUAGUGUUUUGUCAACCAUCUUGUGUACAUCAUUGCCAUGUAUUUUGUUUUCAUGUUUGGUGGUUGUAGCAUGUUCAUUUUGUUGCAUUUAGAUGCCUACUUGCUGUAAAUCGCAGACCGGUGUCAUAUCUUAAAACGCUUGCCAUUUCCAAACCGUAGCUCCGAUUCCUAUGAUCUUUAUAUCGUUUUCAAGCGAUUUCAUCCCCUCUAUCCAGUGGCACACUUGGUUUUUUCCAAGUUGAUGCCAGGUUCAUGCAUUUCCUGUCAUAUCUCGCAUUUUGCAUCCCGCAUCGCAUCCCGCAUAGCAUAUCGUCAUUUCAUCAUAUUGCUUGGACUUGCCCGUGGUUGAUUGUAUCCUUGUUGCUUGUUUGUCUUGUUGGGUAGAGCCGGGAGACGAGUUCGCUACCGAGGAGCCCGUUGAGUUUGCUUGUGAGGAUCCAGUCAACUCUGACAACUGUGCAGGCAAGAUGAUCAUACCCUCGAAAUCACUACUAUCUUUGUUAUGCUAGAUUGCUCGCUCUUUUGCUUUGCCACUGCUACGAUGCCUACCAUUUGCUUGUCAGCCUCCCAAUUGCCAUGUUGAACCUCUAACCCACCAUUGACCUAGCAAACCGUUGAUUGGCUAUGUUACCGCUUUGCUCAGCCCUUCUUAUAGCGUUGUUAGUUGCAGGUGAAGGUUGGAGCCGUUCCUUGUUGGAACAUUUAUUUUACUUGUUGGGAUAUCAUUAUAUUGCUAUGUUAUCUUAAUGCAUCUAUAUACUUGGUAAAGGGUGGAAGGCUCGGCCUCUCGCCUAGUGAUUUGUUCCACUCUUGCCGCCCUAGUUUCCGUCAUAUCGGUGUUAUGUUCCCGGAUUGUGCGUCCCUUACGCGGUUGGGCUAUAAUGGGAACCCCUUGAUAGUUCGCCUUGAUUAAAGCUUUUCCAGCAAUGCCCAACAUUGGUUUUACCAUUUGCCACCUAGCCUCUUUUUCCCUUGGGUUUCCGGAGCCCGAGGGUCAUCUUAUUUUAACCCCCCGGGCCAGUGCUCCUCUGAGUGUUGGUCCGAACCAGGCAGCCUGCGGGGCCACCUCGGGGAAACUCGAGGGUUGGUUUUACUCGUAGCUUGACCUAUCCGAGCGUGCCCUGAGAAAGAGAUAUGUGCAGCUCCUAUCGGGAUUUGUCGGCACAUUCGGGCCGUGUUGCUGGACUUGUUUUAACCUGUCGAAUCAUCUUGUUGUACCAAGAUACCGAGUAUGAUCGUUGUGUCUUGGGUGGAGGUCUAUUCCUUCGUUGACCGUGAGAGCUUGUUAUGGGCUAAGUUGGGACCCCCCUGCAGGGAUUGAUCUUUCGAAAGCCGUGCCCGCGGUUAUGGGCAGAUGGAAAUUUGUUAAUGUCCGGUUGUAGAUAACUUUAACUUAACUUAAUUAAAAUGAAUCAACCGUGUGUGUUACCGUGAUGGCCCCUUCUCAGCGGAGUCCGGGAAGUGGACACGGUGUUGGAGUUAUGCUUGUGCAGGUUGUUCCUUUAGCUUCUCGCUCGUGCUUCGCCUUCUCUUCUCGCUCUCUUUUGCGUAUAAGUUAGCCACCACAUAUGCUAGUCGCUUGCUGCAGCUCCACAUAUAUUUGCCUUAUCCAUUCCUAUGAGCUUAAAUAGUUUUGAUCGCGUGGGUGUGAGAUUGCUGAGUCCCUAUGGCUCACAGAUACUACAACUCCAGAUGCAGGUCCAGGUGUUUCUGCUCCAGUUGACGAUUACGAGCUCAAGUGGGAGUUCGACGAGGACUCUCAGCGAUACUACGUAUCUUUUCCGGAUGAUCAGUAGUGGUGCCUAGUUGGGGUUAUCGAUUCAGGACCUUGUCGCUCGUUGGGUUCUUUUCUAUUUUGGCGCCGUAGUCGGGCCAUGAGUGUUUGUUUGAUGGAUGUUAUUUAUGUACUCUGAUGUGACGUGGCGAGUGUAAGCCAACUAUGUUAUCUCCCGCUUUUAUUAUAUAUUACAUGGGAUGUUGUAAUGAUUGCCUGACUUGCGACAUUGCUUUCAAUGCGGUUAUGCCUCUAAGUCAUGCCUCGACACGUGGGAGCUAUAGCCGCAUCGAGGGCGUUACAAGUUGGUAAUCAGAGCCUUCCCCGACCUUAGGAGCCCCAUUGCUUGAUCGUUUUUAGCAGCCGAGUUGUGUCUAGAAAAAUGUUUUGAGUCAUUUAGGAAUUAUAUAUCGGAGAGUUAGGAAUUCUUUUUACUUCCCAGUCUCCUCAUCGCUCUGGUAAGGCAUCCUGGCGUAGAGUUUUGACUCUUCUCUUCUCAAAUUUCACUAAAAAAAUUUUAGGAUCACGCGAGUAUCUUGGUUUUGUUCCAAUGGUUUUGUGACGAGAACAUUGUUCUUGGUGCCUCCUGUCUUUAGGGGUUGUGGCAGUGUCCCGGGGAGUUGAGCUCCGAGGUGUUGUCGUCACAAUUUUAUCGUUGCAAUUCUGGUAUACUUGAGAUAUGUUCGCCGACAUCGAAAAUCUCUUUUAUGCAGUUCGUUGGUGAGAUAACCUCGACGCCACCCAGUACUGGGGCGGGAGUUCGGGAGUAUCGCCAUAACUUGUAUAACGGAUGCUUUUCGAAGGUUGAGGUAGAUGGUUUCCGAAGUUUUCUUGGUUAUGUGUUGAAGGAUGGAUACAGCUGGAUGUAGGAUUUGCUAGUUUGGGUGAGAUAUUGUGCUUCCCCUGUAUCCCCAACACCUGAUUGCAUAACCGGAAAGGUUCGGGAGUUUCAUAGGUGGGAAUUCUAGUAGCUCUAGUUCUUCUUCCACGGAUAUUGGUUUGAGAUUGGGAUUUCUUACCGAUUAUUCGUUCUUGAUCCGUACCUUGUUGAAUUAUUUCUCUUCCUUAAUUCUUCGUGGCUUCUCAAUUUAUGGAUAUGUGACCAUUUGAAGAGGAAUGCAUUCGUUCAUUUUGUUCGGAUGUGAAGACUAUAUGUUGCAAUUUUCAUUCCGUUGGAUUCAGCUUCUAUAUUGUUGUCUAUCUAUGUGCUAAUGGUGGUCAACCUCUUCAGGAUGGCUCCUCCAACGCGCACGACUCCGAAUCCUGAUCCGCCUCCACCUCCGCCUCCUCCGGAAGCAUGGCAAGCUGUGAUGGCCGCUACUAAUGCAAAUACACAGUUGAUCAUGCAAAUCCUCCAAGAGCGCAAUCAAGGCAGUCAAGGGAAUCAAGGCCACAAUCAGCACCACUUUGCUACUCUGAACCAGUUCCUCGCAAAUGGCCCAAAGACGUUCAGCGGUUGUGUUGAGGCUACCGAUGCUGACGAUUGGCUAGUGGAUCUGGGCAAGCAUUUUGAAUGCAGCAAUGUCAGGCCUGAAGAUUUCGUCAAGUUCGCUUCUUUCCAGCUCAAAGAUCAGGCUGCAGAGUGGUUCCAGCAGUACAAGGAUUCCAGAGGUGGACGUGUUAUCACUUGGGACGAUUUCCGUCAAGAUUUCCGCGCUCAUCACAUCCCUCAAAGUGUGGUUGAGAGUAAGCGUCAGGAAUUCCGCAAUCUGAAGCAAGGCUCUUUGUCUGUCUAUGACUACAACAAGUUGUUCCAGAAGCUCGCCCGUUUUGCCAAGCAGGAUGUUCCUGAUGAGAAGAGCAUGAUCUAUCAGUUCAGGGGUGGUCUUCGUGAGGAAAUUCAGCUCGCUCUUGUCCUCUUUGAGCCGUUGAGAUACGAUGAGUUCUACAACAUGGCACUGAAGCAAGAGGCUGCUCAGAUGAGGUGUGAUGCUUCCAGGAAGCGUGCCAGAGAUGUUACUCCGUCUUCCUCUACUCAAGUGGUCAAGCAGCAGAAGUAUUGGCUUCCUCCUCCUCCGUUCCGUCAGCCGUAUCAGCAGAAGAGUAAAGGUGGCAGUGGUUUCUCCCACCCACCCAACCCAGGCUUUCAGAACAAGUCUUCGUCUCAAGCUCCAAGAUCGAGUGCUCCGUAUCACCGUCCGCUUUCAGAGGUCACGUGCAACAAGUGCCAACAGAAGGGUCACUAUGCCAACAAGUGUACCAACCAGAGGCGUCUUCCUCCUCCUCCUCCUGUCAGAUCGGCAAGUACAGCUGUGGUCAAGCACAAUCCCAAGCACGCCAAGGUCAAUAUGCUGAAUGCAGCUCAGGCUGAGGAUUCUUCAGAUGUCAUUAUGGGUAACCUUCCUAUUAAUGAUAUUCCUGCAAAAGUUCUUUUUGACACGGGUGCAUCGCAUUGUUUCAUGUCAAAGCCAUUUUUUACCAAGCAUGAGUUCGUUUCUUCUCAUUUGGGUAAACAUAUGGAUAGCAUUUCUCCUGGCAAACGUUUGAGCGCAAGUCUGGAGGUGCCAGAUGUCGCUAUCACGAUGGGAGAUUUCAAGUUUCUUGCUUCUCCUAUGGUUCUUGGUAACUCGGAUAUCGAUCUUAUUCUCGGGAUGGACUGGCUCUCUAAGCAUAAAGCUCAGCUUGAUUGUGCAGCCAGGCAGAUUCAACUGACUCAUUCGUCUGAGGAUGUCAUUGUCUUUGCCGCUCGGGAUAAUUACAUCCGGUUGUUUUCUCUCAAUGAGAAGGGUGAAUUGGAUGCUAUUUCGCAGAUUCCGGUUGUUUGUGAGUAUCAAGACGUUUUUCCAGAAGAACUUCCAGGAAUGCCUCCGCACCGGCCAGUUGAAUUUGUUAUUGAACUUGAGCCCGGUACGGAACCUGUGUGCAAACGUCCUUACAAGCUCGGCCCCGAAGAGUUGAAGGAGUUGAAGAAACAACUCGAUGAGCAAGAAAGAUUGGGUCUCAUUCGGCCUAGUACUUCUCCGUGGGGUUGUGGUGUUCUUUUUGUGAAGAAGAAGGAUGGAAUGAGUCGACUUUGUGUUGAUUACCGUCCAGUAAACAAGAAGACCAUCAAGAACAAAUACCCACUUCCCAACAUCAAUGAGCUGUUCGAACAACUCAAGGGUGCUCAAGUAUUCUCCAAGCUUGAUCUCCGUAUGGGUUAUCAUCAGAUUCGUAUUCGUGAGCAAGAUAUUCCCAAGACGGCGUUCAGAACAAGCUUUGGUUCAUAUGAAUACACCGUCAUGUCUUUUGGCCUCGCCAACGCUCCUCCGACGUUCUCUCGCAUGAUGAACUUCAUCUUCAGCCCCUACACCAAUGAAUUCGUUUUGGUCUAUCUCGACGACAUUCUGGUUUUCUCGAAGAACAAGGAAGAUCAUGCCAAGCACUUGCGUUUGGUACUUGACAAGCUCAGAGAACAUCAGUUCUACGCCAAGUUCUCCAAGUGUGAAUUUUGGCUCGAUGAAGUUCUUUAUCUUGGUCAUAUCAUCUCUGCCAAGGGCAUUUCCGUGAAUCCUGAGAAGGUGUCUGCAAUUGUGAAUUGGGAACCUCCUCAGAACGUGAAGCAACUCCGAAGUUUCCUCGGUCUCGCAAGCUAUUGCAGAAGAUUCGUUGAAAACUUUUCUAAGAUCGCCAAGCCUCUCUCAAAUCUUCUUCAGAAGCACGUCAAGUACGUUUGGUCUCCGGAGUGUGAUAUUGCUUUCAACACUUUGAAAGAGAAAUUGAUCACUGCUCCAGUUCUGACUCCGCCUGAUGAAACCAAGCCGUACGAGGUCUUUUGUGAUGCCUCUCUCCAAGGUCUCGGUGCUGUACUGAUGCAAGAGAAGAAAGUUGUUGCUUAUACCUCUCGCCAGUUGAAGCCUAAUGAGAAGAACUACCCCACUCAUGAUCUUGAGUUGGCGGCAGUUGUGCACGCUUUGUUGACUUGGAGACAUCUUCUAUUGGGAAGGAAAGUGGAUAUUUUCACUGAUCACAAGAGUCUCAAGUACAUCUUCACACAGCCUAAUCUCAACCUCAGGCAGACUCGAUGGGUCGAAAUGAUUCAAGAGUACAAUCCGAGUAUCGAGUAUACUCCAGGCAAGGCUAAUGUGAUUGCUGACGCGUUGAGUAGAAAAGCAUAUUGCAACAGUCUGAUUCUCAAGCCUUAUCAACCCGAGCUUUGUGAAGCUUUCCGCAAGCUUAAUCUGCAAGUUGUUCCUCAAGGUUUCCUCGCCAACCUUCAAGUUUCUCCUACCUUGGAAGACCAGAUUCGCCAAGCCCAACUUCUUGAUGCUAUGGUGAAAAAGGUGAAGAUUGGUAUUGCAAAGAGUCAGUCCAAGUACAAGUGCUACCGACUUGAUGACAAGGACACUCUCUUCUUCGAGGAUCGAAUUGUUGUGCCCAAAGGUGAACUUCGUAAGGUGAUCAUGAACGAGGCUCACAACUCUCUCCUCUCCAUCCACCCUGGUAGUACGAAGAUGUAUCAGGACCUCAAGCAAACUUAUUGGUGGACUCGAAUGAAGCGCGAGAUCGCUCAAUUCGUGAACGAGUGUGAUGUCUGCAGAAGAGUGAAGGCAGAACACCAAAGGCCAGCAGGUCUCCUCCAACCUCUUGCCAUUCCAGAAUGGAAGUUUGACCACAUUGAAAUGGACUUCGUGACUGGGUUUCCAAAGUCCAAGCGUGGCAAUGAUGCUAUAUUCGUCGUCAUCGACAAGCUCACCAAAGUGGCUCACUUUCUGCCUAUCAAAGAGUCAAUCACUGCAGCUCAAUUGGCGGAACUCUAUACCUCUCGCAUUGUCUCUCUGCAUGGUAUUCCUCAAGUGAUAUCUUCAGACCGUGGUAGCAUCUUUACCUCCAAGUUUUGGGAUUCUUUUCAGAAGGCCAUGGGCACCAACAUCCGCUUCAGCACAGCUUUCCAUCCUCAAACGAGCGGUCAAGUCGAGCGUGUCAAUCAGAUUCUUGAAGAUAUGCUCAGGGCUUGUGUGAUCUCCUUCGGCAUGAAGUGGGAGGACUGUCUUCCUUAUGCUGAAUUCUCAUACAACAACAGCUUUCAAGCAAGUUCGGGCAAAGCCCCUUUUGAAAUUCUAUAUGGCAGGAAGUGCCGUACCCCUCUCAACUGGUCUGAAACCGGUGAACGUCAGCUGCUGGGCAAUGACCUAAUCACAGAGGCAGAAGAAAUGUGCAAAGUCAUUCGUGAUAACCUCAAAGCAGCCCAGUCCCGCCAGAAGAGCUACUAUGAUAGUAAGAACCGUGAAUUGGCUUUCGAGAUCGGAGAUCACGUUUACCUCCGCGUCUCUCCUAUGAAAGGUACUCGUCGCUUCGGUAUCAAAGGGAAGCUUGCCCCUAGAUACGUGGGACCUUUCAAGAUUGUCAGCAAGAGAGGCGACCUCGCCUAUCAACUCGAGCUUCCUUCAAACUUUGCAAAUGUUCAUGAUGUGUUCCAUGUCUCUCAGCUUCGAAAGUGCUUCAAGACUCCUGACCGCACCGUCAACUUCGAGGACAUUGAGCUCCAAGAAGAUCUCUCCUAUCGUGAGCACCCAGUUGCUAUUCUUCAAGAGACUGAACGCAAGACUCGCAACAAGUCAAUCAAAUUCCUCAAAGUCAAGUGGUCUCACCAUUCCGACCGUGAAGCUACCUGGGAACGCGAGGAUCACCUCCGUUCUGAGUACCCGGAGUUCUUUCAGUCCUAGAUCUCAGGAUGAGAUCUUUUCGUAGUGGUGGAGUGUUGUAACGCCCCAGAUAUACUUUCCAUAUUUGUAUCCAACUCUUGCCGUCUCCGGCGCUAAGUUAUAUUUAUUUCUCGGGUUUGGGUCUUUGUCUCUGUGUGUUGUUUUUCUUUUUCGUGCAUCUCUUAUCAUGUCAUCACGUGCAUUGCAUUUGCAUACAUGUUCAUCUCAUGCAUUCGAGCUUUUUCCCCGUUGUCCGUUUUGCAUUCCGGCGCUUCGUCCUCCUCCGGUGGUCAUUUCUAGUCUUCUUUCGUGUGUGGGGUUUAAACAUUUCUGGAUUGGACCGAGACUUGCCAAGCGGCCUUGGUUUACUACCGGUAGACCACCUGUCAAGUUUCGUAUCAUUUGGACUUCGUUUGAAACUCCAACGGUUAACCGAGGGACCGAAAAGGCCUCGUGUGUGUUGCAACCCAACACCCCUCCAAAUUUGGCCCAAACCCCACCAAACUCUGCUCCAUCGUCUCAGUCGUUCGAUCACGAUCGUGUGGGCGAAAACCGUACCUCAUUUGGACUCUCCUAGCUCCACUUAUGCAUAUAUAUACACCCCCUCCGAAAUCCACGGUUCUUCUCCCCCCUAACCCUAGAUCCAACUCCUCCCGCCGCCGCCGGACAAAAAUCGCGCGCCGGACGUGUCCGCUUGGCUCCGCGGGACGAAUCCGCCGCCGCCACGUGUCCCGGGGCCGGUCCCCAGUUCGCCGCCGCCCGCGGGCCCNNNNNNNNNNNNNNNNNNNNNNNNNNNNNNNNNNNNNNNNNNNNNNNNNNNNNNNNNNNNNNNNNNNNNNNNNNNNNNNNNNNNNNNNNNNNNNNNNNNNNNNNNNNNNNNNNNNNNNNNNNNNNNNNNNNNNNNNNNNNNNNNNNNNNNNNNNNNNNNNNNNNNNNNNNNNNNNNNNNNNNNNNNNNNNNNNNNNNNNNNNNNNNNNNNNNNNNNNNNNNNNNNNNNNNNNNNNNNNNNNNNNNNNNNNNNNNNNNNNNNNNNNNNNNNNNNNNNNNNNNNNNNNNNNNNNNNNNNNNNNNNNNNNNNNNNNNNNNNNNNNNNNNNNNNNNNNNNNNNNNNNNNNNNNNNNNNNNNNNNNNNNNNNNNNNNNNNNNNNNNNNNNNNNNNNNNNNNNNNNNNNNNNNNNNNNNNNNNNNNNNNNNNNNNNNNNNNNNNNNNNNNNNNNNNNNNNNNNNNNNNNNNNNNNNNNNNNNNNNNNNNNNNNNNNNNNNNNNNNNNNNNNNNNNNNNNNNNNNNNNNNNNNNNNNNNNNNNNNNNNNNNNNNNNNNNNNNNNNNNNNNNNNNNNNNNNNNNNNNNNNNNNNNNNNNNNNNNNNNNNNNNNNNNNNNNNNNNNNNNNNNNNNNNNNNNNNNNNNNNNNNNGGAGCACCUCGCCCCGCCGCCCCAAGCCCUCGCCGGCGCCCGCGCCAGGGAGAGGAGCUCCCGGCUCCGGCGACCGCCCGCCGCGCCGCUUCCUCCUCGCCGUCCGGCCCCCCUCCCCGCUCCGGUUACUUCCUCUCCGGCCGCCGCCGUCGUCUACAGGAAUCCCGGCGAGAUCCGCCGCCGUCUCGGGCCGCGUGCCCGAACCCUAGAUCUGGAUCCUGGGGUAGUUUUUUUUCACNNNNNNNNNNNNNNNNNNNNNNNNNNNNNNNNNNNNNNNNNNNNNNNNNNNNNNNNNNNNNNNNNNNNNNNNNNNNNNNNNNNNNNNNNNNNNNNNNNNNNNNNNNNNNNNNNNNNNNNNNNNNNNNNNNNNNNNNNNNNNNNNNNNNNNNNNNNNNNNNNNNNNNNNNNNNNNNNNNNNNNNNNNNNNNNNNNNNNNNNNNNNNNNNNNNNNNNNNNNNNNNNNNNNNNNNNNNNNNNNNNNNNNNNNNNNNNNNNNNNNNNNNNNNNNNNNNNNNNNNNNNNNNNNNNNNNNNNNNNNNNNNNNNNNUUCAUUCCAUUGCAUCAUUUGCAUUUGAGGUCAUCUUGAUCCCCAAAAUGCUGUUAGAAGGAGGCUUCGUGAGUUAAAUUGCAGAUCCGUUAGUUCAUCAUGCACUUUUGUCAUUUUUGCUAUGUUUAAUUCGUGCAUGAUAUGCCUGUGCCCCUUUGGGAUGAAUUGUUAAGCAUUUUGUCUUCUUUCCAGAGGUGUCACCCAUGCAUUUUUAGGAUGUGUGUGUUGUCUUGUGCAAUCUUGCGAAGAGAGGUACCUGAGAAUGCAGAUUUCAGGGACUUGGUGAUUUUCACUAAGUCUGGGAUAUUUUAGUUCAUGAUGCUAUAUGUCCAGCUUGUUUCCUAGUGAUCCGUGCCUCUUUUGAGGAUGAUCAGUAAGGGAGUUUUGAUAUUUAAGUUAUGCUCUAUCUAUCCGUGUCUUUGUUUGCAUAUGUGGAGUGCUCUAGGUUUACUCAAUCGAACUCAACUUUUGCUUCGUUGUUAAUCUGGGCAGAUCGUCAACUUGUUUGCGAUUUUGCCGAUGCUACCGUUAGUGUUCCAUGCAUGCUAUGCCUUCGUUCUUGCCAUGUGUAGCUAGCACAUUGUGCCUUAUUGCUGGUUAUAUGCUUUCCUUGCCAUGACUUGCACCGUAGUGAGUGCAUCGAGCUCGUUUACAUGCCUUCGUGAGUUAUAUUUCAGCGUGUCUCAGUUUUCACUAAGUCUGAAAACUGAUUGUGUUCGAGCUAUGUUCGUGAGCUCGGUAGAGUAUUUUGUGAACCCUUUUGGCCCCAGGUCACUUUGGGUGUUUUGUUAAGCUUGUUGAGUAGCUCCAUGCCAUGUUCUUACUUGUCAUGUUCAGGUUUUCUAUCAUGUUGUUUUGCUGCUCCGAAGAGAGCAUCGUGAUCUGAAAUUUCAGACUAGUGUUAAUUUCACUAAGUCUGGAAUCUGUUUUGCAUUUGCGUUUUAGCCAUGCUUGUUUGAACCUCUUAAUGGAUGAAUUUGCCUAUGGCUCAGUGCUAGUGUUUUGUCAACCAUCUUGUGUACAUCACUGCCAUGUAUUUUGUUUUAAUGUUUGGUGGUUGUAGCAUGUUCAUUUCGUUGCAUUUAGAUGCCUACUUGCUGUAAAUCGCAGACCGGUGUCAUCUCUUAAAACGCUUGCCAUUUCCAAACCGUAGCUCCGAUUCCUAUGAUCUUUAUAUCGUUUUCAAGCGAUUUCAUCCCCUCUAUCCAGUGGCACACUUGGUUUUCCAAGUUGAUGCCAGGUUCAUGCAUUUCCUGUCAUAUCUCGCAUUUUGCAUCCCGCAUCGCAUCCCGCAUAGCAUAUCGUCAUUUCAUCAUAUUGCUUGGUCUUGCCCGUGGUUGAUUGUAUCCUUGUUGCUUGUUUGUCUUGUUGGGUAGAGCCGGGAGACGAGUUCGCUACCGAGGAGCCCGUUGAGUUUGCUUGUGAGGAUCCAGUCAACUCUGACAACUGUGCAGGCAAGAUGAUCAUACCCUCGAAAUCACUACUAUCUUUGCUAUGCUAGAUUGCUCGCUCUUUUGCUUUGCCACUGCUAUGAUGCCUACCAUUUGCUUGUCAGCCUCCCAAUUGCCAUGUUGAACCUCUAACCCACCAUUGACCUAGCAAACCGUUGAUUGGCUAUGUUACCGCUUUGCUCAGCCCUUCUUAUAGCGUUGUUAGUUGCAGGUGAAGGUUGGAGCCGUUCCUUGUUGGAACAUUUAUUUUACUUGUUGGGAUAUCAUUAUAUUGCUAUGUUAUCUUAAUGCAUCUAUAUACUUGGUAAAGGGUGGAAGGCUCGGCCUCUCGCCUAGUGAUUUGUUCCACUCUUGCCGCCCUAGUUUCUGUCAUAUCGGUGUUAUGUUCCCGGAUUGUGCGUCCCUUACGCGGUUGGGCUAUAAUGGGAACCCCUUGAUAGUUCGCCUUGAUUAAAGCUUUUCCAGCAAUGCCCAACAUUGGUUUUACCAUUUGCCACCUAGCCUCUUUUUCCCUUGGGUUUCCGGAGCCCGAGGGUCAUCUUAUUUUAACCCCCCCGGGCCAGUGCUCCUCUGAGUGUUGGUCCGAACCAGGCAGCCUGCGGGGCCACCUCGGGGAAACUCGAGGGUUGGUUUUACUCGUAGCUUGACCUAUCCGAGCGUGCCCUGAGAAAGAGAUAUGUGCAGCUCCUAUCGGGAUUUGUCGGCACAUUCGGGCCGUGUUGCUGGACUUGUUUUAACCUGUCGAAUCAUCUUGUUGUACCAAGAUACCGAGUCUGAUCGGUGUGUCUUGGGUGGAGGUCUAUUCCUUCGUUGACCGUGAGAGCUUGUUAUGGGCUAAGUUGGGACCCCCCUGCAGGGAUUGAUCUUUCGAAAGCCGUGCCCGCGGUUAUGGGCAGAUGGGAAUUUGUUAAUGUCCGGUUGUAGAUAACUUUAACUUAACUUAAUUAAAAUGAAUCAACCGUGUGUGUUACCGUGAUGGCCCCUUCUCAGCGGAGUCCGGCAAGUGGACACGGUGUUGGAGUUAUGCUUGUGCAGGUUGUUCCUUUAGCUUCUCGCUCGUGCUUCGCCUUCUCUUCUCGCUCUCUUUUGCGUAUAAGUUAGCCACCACAUAUGCUAGUCGCUUGCUGCAGCUCCACAUAUAUUUGCCUUAUCCAUUCCUAUGAGCUUAAAUAGUUUUGAUCGCGUGGGUGUGAGAUUGCUGAGUCCCUGUGGCUCACAGAUACUACAACUCCAGAUGCAGGUCCAGGUGUUUCUGCUCCAGUUGACGAUUACGAGCUCAAGUGGGAGUUCGAUGAGGACUCUCAGCGAUACUACGUAUCUUUUCCGGAUGAUCAGUAGUGGUGCCUAGUUGGGGUUAUCGAUUCAGGACCUUGUCGCUCGUUGGGUUCUUUUCUAUUUUGGCGCCGUAGUCGGGCCAUGAGUGUUUGUUUGAUGGAUGUUAUUUAUGUACUCUGAUGUGACGUGGCGAGUGUAAGCCAACUAUGUUAUCUCCCCCUUUUAUUAUAUAUUAAAUGGGAUGUUGUAAUGAUUGCCUGACUUGCAACAUUGCUUUCAAUGCGGUUAUGCCUCUAAGUCGUGCCUCGACACGUGGGAGCUAUAGCCGCAUCGAGGGCGUUACAGCAUGUGCCGACCCAAACACGGAAGCGGGCGUGGGUGUCCGUCGAGCCGACCCAAACGGACAAAAGGUGAACAAAAUCGACGUCCGUUUGAGUCGGCGCGUUGAAGUUAGCUCUUAUUACAUGCGUAUGCAGUAUGCUAACUAGACUAGAAAUCGCACUAGUUUGAAACUUGAAACUGACCGUGCAGCUCAUUAGAAAGAGCAGGCUAGCUAGGUUUUCACUGCACCGUAUCCGUAUGCAUGUGCGCGUGCUAAGUUUUUACGUUUUUGUCAAUCUGCAAAGAAAUUGAGUGUGCCACACGCCCACACCUCAUUGCCAAAGAGGGUAUGGGUGUUUCGCGGUAGUUUCCUUCGUCACUGCCAUGAGAUGAACCGGACACUCCUUCCUGUUUUUUUAGAAAAGGAGGAAGCACCCCCGGCCUCUGCAUCUGGAUGAUACAUACGGCCACUUUAUUAAUUAUUAAGCACAAAAGACCUUACAAAGUAAUACAUCAAUAAGCCUGAAGCCACCAUCUAGGCAACAUCUAUCGCUACUCCUACCCCUUGAUGCAGUGGUGCCGAAUGUCCGAGUCUAAUACCAAAGACGUCGCACCAAAUUCUAACAUCUAAUGCCGGAUGCCCCAUCCUAGCCACAUACCAGGACUGGGUCACACGCCGGUCCGGCGCACUCACCGAGGCUGCCGCCGCCUUCUUCCACCGAUCCAUCUCCAGAGCAGGUACUGACGCACAGACCUUGCCAGACCUGCCGUCGACGCCACCAUGGCGCCAGACAGCUCGACCACCCUGCGCUCGUCCAUCCAGCCGCAUCCGUCGUCGAUAUGCAGCUACACCAUGCUGCCACCACUCGUCGUCAAAGACGCGGUAGAUACAACACCGCACCACCUGGCAACCUCCACACCAUCGCCACUGCUGGAGCUACUCGGAGCCCACCAUCCACGACAUCUCUCCCCCGAACAGCAGUUCCUCCCAAGACGGCGCCUCCAUGGAGGAUACGACGCGCAGGACGCCGCCGCCGCCCAAUCCAGACUGAAUUUUGGACAUUCGUCCGGGAGGGGUUCGGGGGUGGAUAGGGGGGACCUCGGCUUCGCCUCCAGGAAGGGUAAUGGCGUCAAGUGACGUCGCCGAUGCCGGGCCAAACACGCCGACCAAAGUUUCCUCCGGUCCCCAUCCUAUGCCACCAAACCUCCGUGUACUCCGGAUCCGGCAAGCCACGAUCCGAAACCCGCGAAGAUGAAAGAGCCAUGGGGCUCAACUCACCAGAAAGGAGGAUCGAGAAGAGCUCCUUGUAGAUCUCUAGACGCCGAAUCUAACGAUCCGACGUGGCCAGCGACGAUCAUCACCACCCCGCCGCGGCCGACGGAGUCCGAAGAAAGGAUCCAGAUGUUACCCCUAAUCUAGAGCUCGAUCUAUGGCGAUGAGAAAGGAGGGAGUCUGAACUUUUGUGCAGCGCACUAAACUGCUGCGUUUUCUUCUUCCUUUAUUCACUGAUAAACUGGGAAACCGGAUCGAGGACCAUCCCCUCUACUGGAUGGUGCCAUCCCACGAUCAGGGGCGUGCUCUCGCCGUGAGCUGCGGCCGCGGGAUCGCACAGAUUGCGUCCUCGGGCUCUCUAACUGAAACCGAUAAAACAGCUAACUAACCUGACAGCUAACUAAAAGUACUAGGCUGCCGUGGCAGCCCUGACUACUUGUCACGCUAGAUUAUUAGCCAACGAUCUCCCCCUAAGCUAGUCGUGACAUAAAACUUAAACUUCAACCAUACCAAUGCAUGCACGAAGCUGCUGAAACCGCGUGCGCCCUAGUGACUUUGUGAAGAUGUCCGCAAGCUGAUCACCCGUGGUGAUGUGCUCUACCAUGAUCUUGCCUUCUUCCACACACUUGCGGAUGAAAUGGAAUCGAACGUCGAUGUGCUUGCUGCGAUCAUGGAACACCGGGUUCUUGCACAACUGAAUUGCAGACUUGUUGUCGAUGAGGAUGGUGGUGGCACCGGCCUCCUCUUUCAGCAAGUCCCUCAUGAGCCUGACCAAAUCGCUUGAUAUGCCGCCGUAGUUGCUGCCACAUACUCCGCCUCACAUGAUGACAAAGCGACGAUCUUCUGUUUCUGUGACUGCCAGGUGAUCGGUGCUCCUCCCAGGAAGAAAAGAUUGCCGGACAUGCUCUUGCGGUCGUCGAUGUCGCCGGCCAGGUCCGAGUCACUGUACCCAAUGAGCUUUCCCUCACUCUUCUUGACGUACCUGCAGCCAAACUCGCAUGUGCCUGCAAUGUAGCGCAGCAGAUGCUUGACGGCGGCGAGGUGCGCCGUGGUCGGCGCCUCCAUGAAGCGGCUUACGUACCCCACUGCAAACGUGAUGUCCGGGCGUGUGUGCGUGAGGUAGCGAAGCCCUCCGAUGAUCCUGCGGUAGUGGGUGGCGUCCACCCGCGACUCUGGCCCCUCCUUGCUCAGCUUAAGACGCGGCUCCAUGGGGACAUGCACAGGAUUGCAGUCAGCCAUGCCCGCGCGCUCCAAGAGCUCGCCGGCGUACGCCGCCUGUGACAGGGUGAUCUCCCCGUCCCCCUGCUUCACCUCUAUGCCAAGGUAGAAGCUGAGCAGGCCGAGGUCGCUCAUGCGGAACCUGCCCAUCAUCUCUGUCUUGAAGCCCUGAAUCGCCUUGGUGUCGGCUCCGGUGACGACAAGGUCGUCGACGUACACGCCAACCAGGAGCCGAGCUUUCCCUUCGCCGCGCGUGUACAUGGCAUGUUCUGACGGGCAGCUCGUGAACCCAAGUUGCUGCAUAGUGAGGUCGAGCUUGGCGUUCCAGGCCCGCGGUGCCUGCCGCAGCCCGUAGAGUGCCUUGUGGAGGCGAUAAACCUUGUGCUCAUCGCCGCUCCGCACGAAACCAGGGGGUUGCUUGACGUAAACCUCCUCCUUGAGCUCGCCGUUGAGGAAGGCCGACUUGACGUCGAGGUGGUGCAGCUCCCAGCCACGCUGAGCCGCCAUGCCCACCAUGACACGCACGGAGUCCAGUCUGGCCACGGGCGCGAACGCGUCAUCGUAGUCCACGCCCUCCUUCUGCACGAAGCCUCUCGCCACAAGCCUCGCCUUGUGCUUGACCACGACAUCGGUUGCGUCUUUCUUCACUUUGAAGACCCACUUGAGCCCGAUUGCCUGGUGACCUGCUGGCAAGUCAGUCAGUGUCCAUGUAGCAUUCUCCUCGAUCGAAGCCAGCUCAUCUAGCAUGGCACGCCGCCAACAAUCGUGUGGCUCAGCAUCAGCAAAGCAGAGUGGCUCCUCCUCCACUAGCAGUAGCUCCUCGGCCAUCUGCACCAGCUCGUUUGCCCUGUGCAAGACGUCCGAGACGCGGCGGAACCGGUGCGCAAUGGCCGGAUCGUCGUAGGCGUCGAAGAGAUUUGGCUGCAUGGUCGGCGGCGUGACGAAGCCUACUCCCUCCGGGGUGUCCAUGGGCAGCACGCUGCCGCCGGGCGAGUCCACCGUGGAUGCGCUCGUAGCAGUCUGGAGCUCAACUGGUGUCCCCAGCGUCCUGACAGCGGUCUUGGACGCGGCCAGAGUCGCUCCCGUGUCACCAUUGCCUCCUUCGCUCAGGUUGUCCCUGUGUCGUGCAUUCUGUGUGCUCCGGUGACAGACGGGAGCUUGUGAUGGACGACGAGCGGCUCAGCAAUGGGCUCGCCGCCAGCGCCCCAAUCCCAGCUUGCUGCCUCGUCGAACACCACGUCGUGUGAUGCGUACACCCGCUUGGUCAAGGGGUCAUACACGCGGUACGCCUUCGAACCCUCCUCGUAGCCGAUGAAGAUCAUCUUCGUGCUGCGAUCGUCGAGCUUCUUCAGCCCGGGCCGCGUGUUCUUGACGUAGGCGAUGCAGCCGAAGACACGCAGGAAGUGCACAUCGGGAUUCUUGCCGUGCCAAGCCUCGUACAGGGUCUUGCCAUCGACGAUGCGGGUGUACGAUCGGUUGAGGAUGAACACCGUAGUGGCCACGGCCUCCCCCCAAAAGCAGCUCGGCAUAUUCUCCGCCUUGAGCAUGCUCCUGGCCAUGCCCACGACGGUCUGGUUGCAUCGUUCCACGACGCCGUUCUGUUGCGGCGAGUAGGGCGCCGUCAGGUGCCGCUGGAUGCCUUGGUCCGAGAAGUACUCACCGAGCGCUGUCGACGUGAACUCGCCGCCCCGGUCCGUCCGGAACGUGUGCAGCUUAGCUCCCCGCUCUGCCUCUGCUGCGGCGACGAAGUGUCUGAUGCUUGCCGCAGCGGCGUCCUUCGCCGGCAGCAUCAUGGCCCACAUGUAGCGGCUGUGAUCGUCGACGAUGCGCAUGAAGUAGCGCUUGCCUCCCGGAGUGCUCGGGGUGAUUGGCCCGCAUAGAUCGGCGUGCACCAGCUCGAGCGGGUCCUGCGCUCGGUAGCGCGCCUGUGAGGGGAACGGCGCACGCUGCUGCUUCCCCACCAAGCACGCGUCGCACAACUCCUCGGCAUGCUGCACGAGGGGCAUCCCGCGCACCAAGUCCGCGUGCCCCAUGCGCCGGAGGGCGUCGAAGUGUUGGUGACCGAGCCUUGCGUGCCACCUCCAUGCCUCGUCGCCAGCGUGUGCCGCCAGAGAAAUAGGGUGUGAAAUGUCCGAGCGAACCACAUAAAGGCAUUUGCCAUUUUGGCGUACCUGGGCCAGCUCGUGUUGAUGACGAUCGUACAGAGUCAGGAGGCCGCCUUGGAUCUUGACGAUGCAGCCGUGCUCAUCAAGUUGCCCGAGGCUGAUGAUGCUGGAUUUCAAACGCGGGAUGAAGUAGACGUCUGUCAGAGCGCGCUGAUCGCCACUGCGCACGGUGAACGUGAUCGUGUCGUGGCCUUGGAUGGCCACGCUUGAGCCAUCACCAAACCUGACACUUCCAGUGACGGCCUCGUCCAGCUCUGCGAACGCCGUGCAAUCGCCGGUCAUGUGGUUGGACGCGCCGGUGUCCAGGAACCACCGGCCAUCGCACGGCUCCUCGUCCGUGCCUAGGUUCACCUCUGCGCGCUCCUCGUUGAGCGUGAUGUGCUUCCCCGCGGUCGGUGUCGAGUCCGUAGCGAUCACCGCCAUCAGGAGCAUCGGGUCGUCAUCGGGCCCGUCCGCGGCGUGCUCGCCCUGCUCGGCGAGGUUCGCCUCCUCGCGGAUGCGUGUAUGGCACUCACGUGCCCAGUGCCCGUACUUCUUGCAGUGGCGACACUGAUCAGUAGGCUUCGCGCGGCUGCCGGUGUCGCGCCCACCACUGCGUCCACGGCCUCGUCCGUGACGUCCCCCUCCGCGCCCUGACCCGGAGCCACAGCCUCCGGAUCCGUCAUUCUUGUGGCGCCCGAGGCGCGCAUUCCACUCCUCCUCCGUCAUGAGGAGUUGGCCGCCGCUGGUGUUGACGAAGUCGAGGCUGUAGCGCUCCUCCGCCACCUUGAGCCGCCCGACGAGCUCCUCCAUCGGGAGUGUGUCAAGAUCAACAAGCAUCUCAAUAGAGAGCGCGAUCUGGGAGAACUACCGAGGCACGAUAGAGAGAAACUUGCGGACGACCUUCUUCUCUGGAAUCGUCUCUCCAAGGAGACUGAGCUGGUUCACCAUACCUGUCAGACGCAUGGCGAAGUCAUCGAUGCACUUGCCGUCGUUGAACGUCACGACGGUGUACUGCUUGCUGAGAGUCGCUGCCUUGGCCUCCCUCACACGCGCCACGCCAAGGCGCAUGGUCUUGAUGGCCUCCCAGGCCUCCUUUGUCGUGCUCUUGGCCGCAAGAGUCGCCACCUGUCGGUGUCAAAACCGGCGGAUCUCGGGUAGGGGGUCCCGAACUGUGCGUCUAGGCGGAUGGUAACAGGAGACGAGGGACACGAUGUUUUACCCACGUUCGGGCCCUCUUGAUGGAGGUAAAACCCUACGUCCUGCUUGAUUGAUAUUGAUAUUGUGGAUGUUUACAAGAGUGGAUCCACCACGAGAUCAAGGAGGCUAAACCCUAGAAGCUAGCCUAUGGUAUGAUUGUUGUUGUUGUUGUUGUGUCCUACGGACUAGGGCCAUCCGGUUUAUAUAGACACUGGAGAGGGCUAGGGUUACAUAGAGUCGGUUACAAUGGUAGGAGAUCUACAUAUCCGUAUCGCCAAGCUUGUAUUCCACGCCAAGGAAAGUCCCAUCCGGACAUGGGGCGAAGUCUUCAAUCUUGUAUCUUCAUAAUCUUGGAGUCCGGUCGAUGAUGAUAGUCCCGCCGAUGAUAGUCCGGCUGAUGAUGGUAGUCCGCCUAUCCGGACACCCCCUAAUCUAGGACUCCCUCAGUAGCCCCUGAACCAGGCUUCAAUGACGAUAAGUCCGGCGCGUAUAUUGCUUGGCAUUGCAAGGCGGGUUCCUCCUCCGAAUGAUAGAAGAUUGUGAACACCAGGAUAGUGUCCGGCUCUGCAAAAUAAAUUCCACAUUUCACCAUAGAGAGAAUAAUAUAUACACAAGUUCGAUCUGCUGACGUUUUUUGUGGCAUGAUGUCACGCCACUACCAAGCCAUUACUUGAAUCGUUUUUUACUCUACCACCUCAGCGCAUUUAGCGAAGCGGUUUCCUCGGCACGUCUUGUCGAAGCAGAGAUCGUGUUCCCCCUUAAUCCGGGAUUCUCAUCAAUACAGAUGUGGGUAACCCAACCGCGCCAUUGAUGGUGACGCUUGGGGGAUAAGCGAGUUUUACCAGGCCGGUGGGGGACGCAUAGACUUCGCCCUCCCAUAUAAGGGAUAAGGAUUCACCUUUUCACCUACGCCUUCUUCCUCCUUUGCUUAUCCAUCUCCGCACACUCGAGCUCCAGCGCCCAAGCCCGCACAUCCCGUCUCAACCUUCCCCAGUCAUGUCUGGAGCGGGAGGCAAGUGGAUGACCUCCUCCGUUACGGAGGAGCACAUCGAAAGACUGCGCAGCGCCAGAUACCUGUCCGGCGACAUCGCGCACCGGCUGCCCGACGAGGGGCAGCUCAUCCCCACCCCCAGGCCCCAUGAGAGGGUCAUUUUUCUUCCCCACUUCCUUCGCGGACUGGGCUUUCCACUUCACCCCUUUGUCCGGGGGCUCAUGUUCUAUUACGGCCUGGAUUUCCAUGAUCUGGCGCCGAACUUCAUCCUCAACAUAUCGGCAUUUAUCGUCGUGUGCGAGGCCUUCCUCUGCAUCCAGCCCCACUUCGGCUUGUGGCUCAAGACCUUCAAUGUCAAGCCGAAGGUAGUGAAGGGCACUCAAGCGGAGUGCGGAGGCGCCAUGUUGGGCAAGAUGCCCAACGUCCUUUGGUUCGAAGGGGCCUUCGUGGAAUCCGUCAAGGGGUGGCAAUCGGGGUGGUUCUAUAUCACCGAGCCGCGCGACCCUAAGUGGGCGGCGGCCCCCGAGUUCAGAUCUGGUAUCCCCGCGCAGCUCACCUCCUGGAAAGAGAAGGGCUUGCUGUGGGGUAGUUCGGAGGAGGUGACGGGACUCCAAGCCUGUAUCUAGAAGCUGGUGAAGAAGCUCAGGCUGGUUAACGUGGUCCAAGUCAUGCUCGUCCACCGGAUUCUCCCAUGCCAAGAGCGGGCAUUCAAUCUGUGGGAGUUCAAUCCGGAACAGCACCAGGCGCUGAGCGGGCUCUUCGACACGACGUGCGAAGGCGCCUGGAGGGUGCUGUUUAAGGGCGCCGAAGUCCCCGCAUCCGCGACUGAAGAUCGCGGAUUUCACUCGCAGCGCCAAGCCGACGAGGUAAGUGAUUCUACCCCUUUACGGGACACUUGCUUUUCAUAGUUUGACUCUAUGCGGGUUUUAAUUUCCCCUUUUCCUUUGACAGGACUGGAUGAGGAAGGCGGAGCAGAUUAUCUGCCCGGCCCCUAUGCCAGAAAACCCAGUAGACACCCGUCCAGCGAGGCUGCUGGUUCCGGCACCGCACGUGGUGCCGGAGAAGAAGGCCAAGAAGGAGGCCACGGGUGCUCGAAAGAGUUCCCGUUUUCAGGUGUCCGACGACUCCGGGGCGGACUCCUCCCCCGAAAACGAGGAGGAGAAAGUGGACUCUCUCCCAGAGGGGGGAGAGAGGAAGAGGAGGGCUUCCCCCACAGGGGAGGCCGAAGGGUCCAAGAGGGGAAGGACUAUUCCCCCGGACAGCUCCGCCAACAUCAACGUUGGCGAGGAAGAAUGGUCUUCAAGGGCCAGGCCUCCGGCGAGAUCGUAAGUAUCUGGAUUCCUGAAUGAGUUAUAAUUUCUUUUUAUGCGUCACAUAGUGUCAUUCUGAUGCCGCAUGCUGCCUGUAGUCCGGCCAAUGAUGAUCUCCCCGCUUCAUCGAGCGGGUCGUUGGCUCCGUCGGAGGUAGACUCCAUCCCGACCGCCUCCACCCCUCGCGACACCGAGGACGCCGAGGUGGGAUCCCAAGAAGGGGCCCAUCAGGGGGAGGCUCCGGAGGCGCCACGAGGUGGCCUCACGGACUUUGCGCCGGACUCCAUAUCAGAACCCGCAGUGGCUCUGGAGUCCGGCUGGCGGCCCCUUUGCACGAAGGGCAAGACCGUGACGCCGGCGGCUUCCGUCCAACCGGACGCGCCGGAUAAGUUGUUGGAGGUGCUCCAGAGCGCUUCCAUCGAGGAAGAACACCGCACUAUUAUGAGUGCGGUGAUUCAGAAGGUACAGCUUGCCAAGAGCGGGCUGACCGAAGCCUGCAGUAGCCUUCUAUCAGGCUUUGAGGUAAGAAGUUAAAAAUAUACAAUGUAAUACCGCAUAGACAGUAUCCCCUGAUGCUCGAUUCGGUGUUCGGAAAGAAAAGCCGGACUAAGGAUCUGGAAAAAAAAGAUAUACGCAGGGUUGCUAAAAAAUUAUGUCAAUAUGGGUUGCAGGCUGCGCUGCUGACCUCUGCCGCACUGACUGCGGAGGUCGGUGCUUUGAAGCAGGAGCUCGAGUGGUCCGAGCAAGAGCUCGGCCGCGCCAAGAAGCAGCUCCAGGACAAAGAAGGUGAGUGACACCACUUUGAACUUGUACCUUACAGAAAAGGAUUUAGGUUGCAACAAAAGAUAACAAGGAUAACAUGGGUACUGCAGGGGCCACGAACGAGGUGGCGACCCUAAAGGAGGCCGUGUCUGCGGCCGAACGCAAUGCGGCCGCGGAACGAGCAGAGCGAGAAAAGCAGGAGGCGCGGGUGGCGGUGGUUCAGCAAGAGCUCCAGGCUCUCAUGGAAAAGUAUGAGAGUUUGGAGCGUGACUCAAAGACUCAAGAGUCCGAGCUUGCCUCGGCUCUCUAAAGUGCCAAGACUGCCAAGGCCGAUGCCCAUAAGUCCCUUCAGGAGAUUGAGUUGGUCAGGAAGAUAGCGGCGGGUAAGGCAUUUUUCAUGCAAAGCAAGCAUGUGAAUGUAAAUUACGUGUUACUUACCCGUAUUCGGAGCUCUCCAGGGGCAUUUGCAGAUCUGCCUCGCAGUGUAUCUGAUGCCGCCGCAUUCUAUCGAGCCGAGGAGGGGAGCUCAACAGAGAAGGUCUUCUGGUCUCAGUAUGCUGAGGCCGGCCAUCCAGUGCCCCCUAGCGACCAGCUGAAGCAGCUGGUCAAGCUCCACAAGGCGGCCGAGGAGGGCAUGAAGGGCCUCAUAGUCUGGCUGUGGCCUGGAGAGGCCAUGCCUGGGAGCUACUUCGGCCUCGUGAGACAGUUGGUGGAUGUGUGCCCCUGGGUGGAGGUUAUCAAGCGCUCCGCCUGUACUGAAGGUGCUCGUCGGGCCCUUGCCCGCGCAAAAGUGCAUUGGGGCAAGCUGGAUGCGGAGAAGCUAAUCACUGACGCGCCACCAGCGGGCAAGGAAUAUCGUACGCCUGAAAUGUACUAUAGGACUGUCCUGAAGGGUGCCCGCAAGAUUGCGGAUGAGUGCCCCAGGGAUGUAAUUAUUGAGUAAAUUCGCAAUGUUAUCCUGUGCGCUGAAAACUUUGUUCAUAUGCGCUAAGCAACGCUUGUUAAUUUAAAAUAUUACCUUAUGUGCGGCCGUUUAUUAAAUCUGAGAGAUGGCAAGUCGUCGGCUUCAGCCCCCAUGCCACGAGUGCUGGGGUGUUCGGGAUAAACUUGAGCACUCUUGUUCCCAUUUUUGGGUCCAUCUAGGGAGGCGCUCAACACAACGAACAAGGCAACCGGACUUAUAGUGCUUGAACACUCUCACUUAGCCAUAGAAUUCUAUAAUUUUAAAUUUCGGCGAAGCCCCUAGUAUUCAGAAGACCGAAUUAGGGGCGCUAUCCACGCCUUCGUCGGACAUUAUCCGGAACUUCGCUCAAACCGGCGUAGGUCUUUAAGGACCCGAAAGGACCUCUCGAACAGCGACCAGUCUCUCGCCUUAUCAUGACAGUCAGUUUUAGCUUUCUCCACUGAGGCGUUAACCCGGCUCAACUGGGGCGCAAUCACAGUGGUUCUCCCAGUGCUACCUUAGCCGAUAGAACGGAACGUAAGGUGCCAAACAUGGGAGCCGGGAAAACCCAACUAUUGCCCAAGACAUGAUUCGGAGCCGAUUCAUAUAAUGCUAUAAGUUCGGGGUGCCGCACUUGUGAAAGUGUUCGGACUUUAUCACACCAUAAUGCGGGGAACAUAAGCCCCUGGUGUAUUUGGCCGUACCAAAAUGUACGGAUGCAACAUGUCGUAAAUGAACAUAUAUAUAUAAGGUAAUGCAAUUAUGGGCAGAAAGUGCUGCAUUUUAUUCGAGAAGAUCUGUUAUGAGUACGGAAUGAUACAAAUAGUGCGGAAAGCAAGGGAUUGGACGAAUUAAAGGCGUCUCCCUCCAGGGGUAGGCCACGGAAUGGUGUAUUUAACAAAUUUAAUGCUCGUAAUGGAGACCACCUGAGUGUUCGUCGCGGCCUUUGUCCCUCCCUGGCUGUUGCAUCAUGAGUUCGACAGGUUCGCCGCCGGACAGAGUUCUGUAUAAAAGAGAGAGAAAUAAAAGAUAAAAAGAGAGACACACUUGGGAGCCCCUGGUGUGGUCGAAUCGCACUCUGGGUCUGUUGUGGUUGCGCCUCUCCCCCUAUGCCCAUGGUAUCUCCAGGGCGUAAUUAUGUACGCGGAGAGUUUGUCUUACAAUUGAGCGAGGGCUGGGGUUGAGGCCGCAUUGCUACGCGUGCUCGGAACGUGCCAGGUGGUCUUGGUUGAUGUUGCUCCGGGCGCGUUUGGCCGUGUCCGGUCAUUUAACGGCUGGACUCGAAAAUUGCCUUAAAAGGCUGCUCUGUACUUCUGCCGCGAGAGCCGCUGUAUGUUCCUCCGUUCGGAGGGAGCGUUCGGUGUUUCCAUUAACCGUGAUGACUCCACGAGGGCCUGGCAUCUUGAGCUUAAGGUAUGCAUAAUGCGGCACCGCGUUGAAUUUUGCGAACGCGGUUCGUCCGAGCAGAGCGUGAUAGCCACUGUGGAACAGGACGAUGUCGAAGAUUAACUCCUCGCUUCGGAAAUUAUCCGGGGAUCCGAAGACCACUUCCAGUGUAACUGAGCCUGUACAACUGGCCUCGACACCUGGUAUGACGCCUUUGAAGGUUGUCUUUGUAGGUUUAAUCCUUGAAGGGCCUAUGCCCAUCUUGCGCACUGUAUCCUGAUAAAGCAGGUUCAGGCUACUGCCGCCGUCCAUCAGGACUCUCGUGAGGUGAAAUCCAUCGACGAUUGGGUCUAAAACCAAUGCGGUGAAUCCGCCAUGGCGGAUACUAGUCGGAUGGUCUCUUCGAUCGAAAGUGAUCGGGCAAGAGGACCAUGGGUUGGAUUUUGGGGCGACUGGCUCCAUCGCGUAUACGUCCCUUAGUGCACGCUUCCGCUCCCUCUUGGGAAUAUGCGUUGCGUAUACCAUGUUUACCGUCCAAACUUGAGGGGGGAAUCCCUUUUGUCCUCUGUUUUUCGGCGGCCGGGUCUCUUCCUCGUCAUCGCUGUGUAGCACCUUGUCACUGUUUUGGGCGAUCAAUUUGCCUGCCUGCUUGAAUACCCAACAAUCUCUGUUGGUGUGGUUAGCUGGCUUUUCGGGGGUUCCAUGUAUUUGACAGGAGCGGUCGAGUAUUCGGUCCAAAUGGGACGGGCCCGGAGUGGUUCUUUUGAAUGGCUUCUUCCGUUGACCGGGCUUGGAGCCUCGGAAUCCGGCGUUGACUACCGUAUCCUCAUUGUUGUCGCCAUUAAUGCGGUGUUUGUUUUUGUUUCGACGCAACCUGCCAUUCUGGUCCUUGGUAUCCGGACUGCCAGCAUUUUUGCUGAGGUUGUUGCUGCGAGCUGGCCAGCUAUCCUCUCCGGCACAGAAGCGGGUCAUGAGUGAUGUGAGGGCUGCCAUGGAUUUCGGCUUCUCCUGUCCUAGGUGCCGGGCCAGCCACUCGUCGUGGAUGUUAUGUUUGAAGGCAGCGAGGGCCUCUGCAUCCGAACAGUCGACGAUUUGAUUUUUCUUUGUUAGGAACCGUGUCCAGAAUUGCCUGGCCGAUUCAUCUGGCUACUGGAUUAUGUGGCUUAGGUCAUCUGCGUCCGGUGGUCGCACAUACGUGCCCUGGAAGUUGUCGAGGAAUGCGGCUUCCAGGUCUUCCCAGCAUCCAAUUGACUCUGCGGGCAGGCUGUUAAGCCAUUGCCGAGCUGGUCCUUUAAGCUUGACCGGGAGAUAUUUGAUGGCGUGAAGAUCGUCGCCGCGGGCCAUAUGUAUAUGGAGGAGAUAAUCCUCAAUCCAAACCGCGGGGUCUGUUGUGCCAUCGUAGGAUUCGAUAUUAACAGGUUUAAACCCUUCAGGGAUUUGAUGAUCCAUUACUUCGUCAGUGAAGCAUAGUGGGUGUGCGGCGCCUCUGUAUUGAGCAAUAUCGCGACGUAGCUCGAGAGAGCGUUGUCUGCUGUGUUCGGCCCGGCCGGAGUAGUUGUAUCCGGCGCGACGGUAUUCGUCGUGGGUCUUGGGGCGCCCACGUGAUCCAUAGAUAGAUCUGGAUUGUCUCACCUUGUCCUCCAAUAUAUCUCGCAAGUCCGACGCGUUCCCCCGUGGCUUCAUGCUUUUUGAGCGAUGCCGGGGUACGGUUUUGGUGGAGGGCUUGCAUGCCUCUCUGUCGCGGCCACGAGGUGGUCGGUCUGCCGUAUUGUGCGCUGGUGAUGCAGGUUUGUACGCUUCCUCCUCUAGUCGGGGGAGCAACUUGCGUUUUGGGUAACUUUUGGAGGGGCGUUUGAGUUCAUACUCUUUGGCCGCGAGGACCUCGGUCCAUCUGUCGGCUAGUAGGUCUUGAUCAGCUUGAAGCUGUUGCUGCUUUUUCUUUAGGCUGUUUUGCCAUGGCCAUUAGCCUGCGUUUGAAACGCUCUUGUUCGACGGGAUCCUCAGGCACGACGAAUUCAUCGUCGUCGAGGCUUGCCUCGUCUCCGGAGGGAGGUAAGUAGUUAUCAUCCUCGACCUCUUCGUCUGCCGCCCUCUCGUGAGGGCUUGCUUCUGCCUCCUCCUGCGUUGGAUCGUGCUGGAGGGGGUUGUCUUCGGCACUUUCCGAGGUGCUAUUAUCUCCUGUGCCGGAAUCUCCAUUCUUGCUGUGGCGGGAUUUAGAGCGGCGCCGCUGACGUCGGCGCUUGGGCUGUUUCUUUAAGGAAUCGGCCUCCGCUGCUUCUUUGCCAUCCCCAUCUUUUGGGGUGUCCACCAUGUAUAUGUCGUAUGACGAGGUGGUCUUCCAGUGUCCUGUAGGCACUGGUUCUUGAUAGUCUCCGGCAUCGUCGUCCAUACCGUCGAUGUCUUCGGAGUCGUAGUCGUGUACGUCGGUUAGAUCGUCGACGGUGGCUACGAAGUGGGUGGUGGGUGGGCUCUGAAUUUCUUCGUCGUCCGCGUCCCAACCGUCCUGGCCGUAGUUCGGCCAGGGCUCUCCGGAUAGCGAGAGAUGCUUCAGCGAAUUUAAGAUAUCGCCGAAGGGUGAGUGCUGAAAGAUGUCCGCAGCGGUGAAUUCCAUGAUCGGCGCCCAAUUGGAUUCGACUGGCGGGGGCGCAGAAGGUUCGGAGUCCGGCAGAGAGUCCGGCACCUCGGAGUCAUGAGCUUUAUGCAGGACAAGGUAAGUGUUUGGCUCCAUCGCCGUAGAAGUUGUAGCUCCCGAGGCGGUGUCCAGCCAUCUGUCCUCGAUCUGAGCAAUCGGCUCCGGACUAUGGGUUGGAGCGGAUUCGUGUGCGGCCUCCAAGGUGAUGUCCGGCGGCAGAGUUAGGUCGUGCGAAUCGUGACAGCGCGGCAUGCUCGGCUGUGGCUCAGGUCCAUCGAAGUUCAAGUCCCCGCGGAUAUCGGCCGUGAAGUUUAGGCUUCCAAACCUGACCUGACGGCCAGGGGCGUAGCUUUCGAUCUGCUCCAGAUGGCCAAGUGAGUUGGCCCGCAGUGCGAAGCCGCCGAAUACGAAGAUCUGUCUGGGGAGAAAAAUCUCACCCAGGACUGCUUCGUUGUCGAUUGAAGAGGCCAUCAAGCCUAUCGAUGACGACACAGAGGAACUCUCAAUGAAAGCACCAAUGUCGUUGUCAAAACCGGCGGAUCUCGGGUAGGGGAUCCCGAACUGUGCGUCUAGGCGGAUGGUAACAGGAGACGAGGGACACGAUGUUUUGCCCACGUUUGGGCCCUCUUGAUGGAUGUAAAACCCUACGUCCUGCUUGAUUGAUAUUGAUAUUGUGGAUGUUUACAAUAGUGGAUCUACCACGAGAUCAAGGAGGCUAAACCCUAGAAGCUAGCCUAUGGUAUGAUUGUUGUUGUUGUUGUUGUGUCCUACGGACUAGAGCCAUCCGGUUUAUAUAGACACCGGAGAGGGCUAGGGUUACAUAGAGUCGGUUACAAUGGUAGGAGAUCUACAUAUCCGUAUCGCCAAGCUUGCCUUCCACGCCAAGGAAAGUCCCAUCCGGACACGGGGCGAAGUCUUCAAUCUUGUAUCUUCAUAGUCUUGGAGUCCGGUCGAUGAUGAUAGUCCGGCCGAUGAUAGUCCGGCUGAUGAUGGUAGUCCGGCUAUCCGGACACCCCCUAAUCCAGGACUCCCUCACCACCAUCUCAGGCGGCACCCCGGACAAGAUCGCCUCCAUGGCGAGCCUGUCGUCACUGCGCACUGCCGUGCCGGUCUCGAUCGCCUCCCACAGGUGCCGCCCCUCGAGCUUCACCUGCAUCAGGAGGGCCCAGUCCCCAUAGUUGGUAUGGGUGAGCACCGGCCACGGCGAUCCGCCGCCUCCCUCACGCACUACCCGAGUCUGCACGAUCAUCCCCGGCUGCUCAUCGCCGUCGGUGAUCUGCGCUCGCGGUGUGACGCCCGAGGUCUGCGGCGACUUGGACUUGUCGUCGUUCGCCAUCCCUGAACCUGGCUCUGGUGCCAAUUGUUGCCCCUAAUCUAGAGCUAGAUCUAUGGCGAUGAGAAAGGAGGGAGUCUGGACUUUUGUGUAGCGCACUAAACUGCUGCGUUUUCUUCUUCCUUUAUUCACUGAUAAACUGGGAAACCGGAUCGAGGACCACCCCCUCUACUGGAUCGUGCCAUCCCACGAUCAGGGGCGUGCUCUCGCCAUGAGCUGCGGCCGCGGGAUCGCACAGACUGCGUCCUCGGGCUCUCUAACUGAAACCGAUAAAACAGCUAACUAACCUGACAGCUAACUGAAAGUACUAGGCUGCCGUGGCAGCCCUGACUACUUGUCACGCUAGAUUAUUAGCCAACACCAGAUGGAUCCGAUCUGAAUCCGGCGGCCCCGCGACCACCGGUCAGGCCAACGCAGCCACCACCUCACGACACACAGGUCGCCACCGCCGCGCCACGCACGACACCGAUGGGAGACCCGUCCGCCGCGCCGCUGGACCCCACGUUUGCCCACGUUCCUCUGGAUCCCGCUCUCCCGCGCCAGCCAGGAAUGAGAGGAUGGGGACAAGCCCCGCCGCCGUCCAGCCGGCCAGGCUUCGGCCGGCGGCGCUAUGGACGGCGGCGAGGAGGGGGAGAGGAGAAUGAGAGGCGGCGGCUAGGGUUUUCCCCCUCAGGUCGCCCGCGUGCGUGUGUGUGUGUAGUCGACGGCUAUGUAGCCGACUGCUGUGCUGAAGGUGUUGAGAAGCGCCAAUCCAGAGGCGUAGCAGUCAGCACAGCAGUCGGCUACCAACCCGUGUACUGCCCUCCGAUGCUUGACAUUUUGACCGAUCCAUCAUGCGCCCUCUGCACUGCAGUCCUCCUUCAUUCUGCCGUGCAUCGAGCUGACGGACGCGGAGGAAGCCAGGGUAAGCGCCCUCUGGAUUGGGAUGCUGUGCUGCGCCUCAUUACAGGCGGCCGCGGCGGCGCUGGCACUGCUGCUCCCAGGCCACCGUCGCUGGGCCCGCUGUGCGUCGCCUACCUCGCGCUCGCGGUCACCGUCCUCGACCAUUGCAUGUACGCCAGCACCGUUUGGGUCUUCCUCGCCGCCGACCCAGGAUUUAUCUUCGGCAAGAUCUACUUCACCACGGGCUUCUGCUUCUUCGUGGUGGGCGACCUCCUCAGCUUCCGGGCCCUCCUGGGAGGUGAUGGGUGCGGCAUGAAGUACGUAGCCUAUUUCUUCUGAUCAUGUUCGUGGAUCAGCUCACCAGGUACUGAUGAGAGCGUAGAGUAUGCAUUCAUUCUGCUGUCACGAUUGCUGGAGUGUCAGUAUCCAGAUCGACUCUAGUAGUUAUAUUACUCCAUUUGGGCAAUGCUCGCUGGCUGUAUAAUUAGUGGAUGGAUUGUGGUUAUCUUUGCUGUAUUCGACCUUAAUUUUCUCUCUAUGUGAUCGUCAGACAUGAGUUAUAUGCUAUGUUGGUGAAAUUGUCGCUGCAGUGCAUAUCCAUGCACACAUGUUUUUUUUAUAAACACCUCCUUUAUUAAUUGGCUACAAUUGUAGCAUCUGAUACAAUUAAAGGAAUGAUAGCCGAAGGGGCCUCAUCCAUCCAAACGUUAGGAGGAUUGAAUCUAGCUAGACUAACUAAUUCAUGUGCUACCUUAUUAUUCUCUCUAAAACAAUGCUCAUAAACAAUAUGACUAAAGUCUAAGGACAUGAAGUAACAAUCAUCAAAAAUCGCACUGGCUACCGAAGAUGGAUAGCCUUCUCUGAGCGCUUCAACCACGUCCACAUUAUCUGAAUUCACCUCAACUUUGCUACAUCCAGUGGUGCGAGCAAGAUUUAGACCAAAUCUGAUGGCAAUUACCUCUGCAGUAAAUCCAUGCACACAUGUUGUUUCUGGUGUUAAAGAUUGUUUUUUUCAUUCAUUCCGGCAUCUGCUGGCGUAUCCUCUAGGCUUAGAUUGAGUGACCCAUGUGACCAUGCAAUCACGGUUGGAUGUACGGGACGCUAUGGCUUGGAACGCCCUCGUGCCAAGUGAGGUCCUUCUUUUGAUGGCCAUUUUUCGUUUGGAAUCCACAUCCCAACAUUUGACUUGUAUGUGCUAGCGUAGCCACAUCCGGUUGACGUUUUUAUAAAAAAAGAAAAUAAACACAACAAUCAUCCUUAGACCUUCAAAAAUUAAGUUUCUUCGGUCUGAUCAUGGAGUCGAAUAUCUGAGUCUUAGCAAUUAUGUAAAGAGUUGCGAAAUUGUUCCACGACUUACACCUUCCGGAACACAUCAAUGAAUGGGUAUCCGAAAUGUGUAAUCAAACUUUGCUAGACAUAUAUAGCUUUUUUUUUACAUCAUUAAACAUUUUUUUACAUCAUGCUAGACAUAUAUAGUUCACUCAAGGGAGAUGUGCAUAGUUCAAUUUUCAGCUCAUGUCCUAGUCUAAUUUACAACCUCAACUCCAAACCCGGUUAGGACACUACCCUAAACUUUCGACAUCGUUUAGUUUGCUGGCUAAGACGAUUGGAGGGUAAUUUUGCAUGCAUGCUGUGGCAUCUAGGCUGGCUAGUGACCGUUGAUGUCGCAUCUGAGCCAUAGAAAUAUUAGUGUACACUAGCUUGCUGCUCAAAAAGUGGACGACCACCUCGAGUCAUUGGAGUGGUGUGGCUGUUGUAAUGUGCACGAACCAGGGUUAUUACACGCGUAUGCCGGAGAAAUCACGUUAGUUGAAACUUUUUUUUUCAGGAAAUUACUUGUGUAUUAUUGACAUGGAGAACUACAUUUUCUGACGGCCUUAUCAGGCCAGAAUUUUUUCUCGUACCCCCUCGCGUCGCCUCCCUGGGCGACGCCAGGGGGCCAAAAAACCAGCGCCGCCAGCCUCCGUCGGCCAUCCUCCUGCCGCCGGCGAGGUCCGCGGUGGCGGCGGGCCCAGUGCCAAGGCGCUAGGGCGGGCGGAUCUGCAGCGGGAUCCCCUUGAGGCGGCAGGGGCGUCUCUUGUGGUGCGCCCGUGGGCAGCAGGCAGGGCGGCGCCGCCUGUGCGGCGGCGGCCAGCGGUCCAGGACGGCGAUGUGCUUCCCUUCGGUCAUGGAUGGUGGCAGCACUCCAUGGAUGAACUGGUGGAUGGCUCUGCUUGAAGAUGGGUCGCGGCAGCCGCGGAUCUAGCGUCCCAUCCAGAUCCGCCGCGGCGUGGUCUUGGCCGGCCGGCGGUUCAUGGAGGGACCGGUGAGGGUAUAGAGGAUCUCUGCCGGAGUACCAGCGGCGGCAUACGUCUUCAUGGGGAGACUCCGCGUGGUUCUAGCCAGCCACGAGAUCAGGACGACACGGCUUCCGAUGAAAAUAGCGCCUGACUGCGGUCUUGGCGGACAAUGGCGGCGUCUCUGACGUCGUUUUCUUCUCGAGGCAUCGUCAUUGCAGGUCACGUCAACCUGAUCGGGAGGUUCCGGGGGAAACCCUAGAUCUGGGUCUACCGGAUCGGACGAUGACGACGUUUCGAUGUCGUUCUCCCUCCUAGGUGCAUCGUUUUGGACCAAGUGCUGGCUGGAGGGGACAAGAGGAGGAGCGGCAUGGCAUCUGACACGUCGACAACGGCGGGUCUCAGCGGCAUGGAGCAGCGGGGUCUCGCCGAUGGGCGUGUGAUGAUGGACGAACGCAGGAUGGUGGCGUUGUCUGGCGUCAUGGUGGCGUCGAUGGCAACUAGACUGGGCAAGGUUGAUGCAGCAGUACAGUACUAAAGAUGGAUUGGUGGCAGGUGUCUGCGGCGGCCUCAUACCCGGCAGGCGUCCUGGUUGAGGAGUGCGCCGGACUGGUGGGUGCCCCAUACCCGGCAAGCGUCCUGGUUGGGACCUCAGGUCUUAGAUAUUUGGUUUGGCUGCGAGGUCUAUUUGGUAUUAGGCCCGGACUAUCAGCAUCCCUUCAUCAACUGGAUAGGAGUAGCGACAAAUGUCGCCUAGACGGCUUUAGCCUUACUGUUGUAUGGCUUUGUAAGGUAUUAUGUGAAUAAUUAAUAAAGUGGCUGCAUGCAUCGUCCAGAUGCAGAGGCCGGGGGUCCUCCUCCUUUUCGAAAGAAAAUGGCUUACAAAGAUUUUGACUACGUCAUGUCGGAGUAAUACAAAUUUUUGGUUAUCCCAUGAACAAUUGAAUCUACACAAACAAUGAAGCCGUGCCCGUGCAGCUAAUUAUAAAGAGCUGGCUAGGUAGCUUUUUACUACCAUGUCCACUACAAAGAAAUUAAGCGUCCCAACGGUUAGCUAGCUAGUUUGUCAUCGCCAUUCAUUCACAUGUGCGUACGUCUGCUCAGAAAUUAACGAUACCCCACUGCAUUGUCAUAGAGGGUAUGGAUGCUUUAUGCCUUGGUGAAAAAUCGUGGAUGUCGCCUGAAGGGCAGGGGUGAAUAGGUGUUUUAAAAUAAUUACGGUAGAGACUUGAACAAAUGCGGAAUAAACCUAGCGGUUAAUUUGUCAAGCACAAAACCUACAACAACUAGGCUCACCUAUGUGCACCAACAACUUAUGCUAAGCAAGAUAAGCAACUAUGUGAUAGCAAGAUAUAUGACAAAGAACAAUAUGGCUAUUAUAAAGUAAAGUGCAUAAGUAAAGGGCUCGGGUAAAAGAUAACCGAGGCACACGGAGACGAUGAUGUAUCCCGAAGUUCACACCCUUGCGGAUGCUAAUAUCCGUUUGGAGCGGUGUGGAGGCACAAUGCUCCCCAAGAAGCCACUAGGGCCACCGUAAUCUCCUCACGCCCUCACACAAUGCAAGAUGCCGUGAUUCCACUAAGGGACCCUUGAGGGCGGUCACCGAACCCAUACAAAUAGCGACCCUUGGGGGCAGUCACCGAACCCGUACACUUUGGCAACCCUUGGGGGCGGUCACCGGUACCCGUCAAAUUGCUCGGGGCGAUCUCCAUAACCUAAUUGGAGACCCCGACGCUUGCUCGAAGCUUUACACCACAAUGAUUGAGCUCCGAACACCACCAACCGUCUAGGGCGCCCAAGCACCCAAGAGGAACAAGCUCAAGGGCACCAAGCACCCAAGAGUAAUAAGCUUCUCAACUUGUAACUUUCACGUAUCGCGUGGAGAACUCAAACCGAUGCACCAAAUGCAAUGGCAAGGGCACACGGAGUGCCCAAGUCCUUCUCUCCCAAAUCUCACCAAAGCAACUAAUGCUAGGAAGGAAAAUGAGAGGAAGAACGAAAGAAGAACACGAAGAACUCCAAGAUCUAGAUCCAAGGGGUUCCCCUCACUUAGAGGAGAAAGUGAUUGGUGGAAACAUGGAUCUAGAUCUCCUCUCUCUUUUCCCUCAAGAACUAGCAAGUAUCCAUGGAGGGAUUGAGAGUUAGCAAGCUCGAAGAAGGUCAACAAUGGGGAAAGAACACGAGCUCAAAGGAUUAGGUUCAUUGGGAAAGAAGACCCCCUUUUAUAGGAGGAGGGAAAUCCAACCGUUAUGUGCUCAGCCCGCACACAAGCGGUACUACCGCUUGGGUGGAAGAAGCAGGGAAACGGAGCAACAAAACAAGAACCUUGGGGCGGUAGUACCGUAUAUAAGCGGUACUACCGCUCACGAGCGGUACUACCUCUCCUACUGCCGCUACUACAGCCGCUGAACCCGACACGAGAAAACCACGUCUCGAGUCGAGGUGGUACCAGCGCGGAACCGGAGCCGUACUACCGCUUAUGGCCAUGGGCGGUACUACCGCUGUGGGACAACGAUACUACCGCUUGUGGCGAUAAGCGGUACUGCUGCUCCGGCCCAGCGGUACUACCGCUGGCGCCAUCCUCAUUCCACUACUUUGAAAACAAAGUAUACUCCAAGGAAAACCAGAACUGCCAUAACUUCUGCAAAUGUGCUCCGAAUUGAGCAAACUCAAGCUUGUUUGAAGCAAGACAACGAGUAGCAUCAAAACAACAAACAAAGGAGUGACACCUCCAAUAGAGAAGAACCGGCAUACCCUCCAACAUCGAAAACAUCAUAGAAGAUGCAUGUGAACUCCAUUUUCGAUGAACUCGAGCUUGUCAUAAAAAUGACCAUAAGCUCCAAAUCUCACAAGGAGAAUAACCAAACAAGAACCAAUAAAGAUGAUGCAAGGAUGCAAUGGUUUGAGCUCUCUACGAACGAUACGAUCAAGCAACUCAUCGAGAGUCCCCCUUGAUAGUACGGCAAUCGAUCCUAUAACCCGGUCUCCCACAACUACCGUGAGACCGGUAAAAUAGAAAACCUAUCAAGGGCAAACCUUUGCCUUGCACAUGAUCCACUUGAGCUAGAUGUUGACGAUCUUCUCCUCCUCAAGAUGGACCACCUUUCUUGAUUGCGUUGGCUCGAUGAAGACUAGUAGAUUGCUCCCCCAUACUCCAUUAUGGGUGAGCCACUCUUCAGCAGAUCUUCACAAGUCCAUUGUCGCCACAAUGGACGGCAUGCUUCAAGCAUAUGAUCUCUUCGUGAUGAUCCUACUUGAACUUGCACACCGCAACCUAACCCCACAAAGAACUCUCACGAAGACCAUGGGUUAGUACACAAAGCGUAAUUGACCAUGCUUACCAUACCAUGGGAUCGCUUGAUCCCUCUUGAUACAUCUUCUAUGCUUUGUGUGUUGAUCAACUUGAUUCAUUCUUUGACUUAGUCUUGAUCAACCUUGAAUCUUUCCAACUUUCUUCAUUUGGAUGAUGUCUUGAAGGUAAACAUGAAUGAUCACACACUCUUCUUCUUCAAGACAUGCUUGAUUUAAGCUCAAUACUCAUAAGACCAAUCUUUGGAUAAUUCCUUAAUAGCACCUUGGUCAUCACAAACUCUCCUUGAAACCAACAAAUGGACUCCAAGAAAAGCCUAUGGAAAAACCCUUCAAAUAUAACUCAAGGCAACCAUUAGUCCAUAGAGAUUGUCAUCAAUUGCCAAAACCAAACAUGGGGGCACCGCAUGUUCUUUCACUUGGCAAAUGCAUGUCGCCAAUCAAGAUUUUCUUUCUUUUGCCAAGUGUCAAGUUGAACCAUGUAGGCCUUUGGUGAGCCUUCUGGUUGAAUGAGCUCCUAUACUAUAAAUCACAUGAUCAAGUAGUUGAAAAUGGGCGUGCAGCUAAUCAGGAAGAGCUGGCAUGCAUGCAUGUGCGCGUGCUGAGUCUGAUGGGCGUCGUCCCACCACUGCAUUGCCAAACAGGGUAUAGGGGCAACUUCGCGGCAGUUUCUCUUUGUCAUUGCCAAGGGAUGAGACCGUCACAUGCUUGCUUCUUUACAUGUCGAACCGCACCGCACCAGACUCUCCUCACUGUGUGUGUGUGCAGUGGCGGAGCUAGCCGAAAAUCCCUCGGGGGGGAAACACAAAUAAUCAGUGCUUGGGGGGUCAAAUGCUAGAAAAAUUCCAAUCUAAGCCCUAUUUUGUUUUUUUCUUCAGAAAUUGAUCCUUGGCUUGGGGGGGCAGCACCCCACUGGCCUCAACAUAGCUAGGCCCCUGUGUGUGUGCGCGCGCGCGUGUGUGUGUGCAGCUCACGCCGUGACUGCUCGACACGUAGUGGGUGUUGGGCCAGCCCCACGCCGAUCGAGUCGCUUUGCUUCUCUCUUUGGCUGCUCGGCCAUUUAAACAUCCCAUCCACCACUAGCGUGGUCGCUGUGCUCUGCAAUUGCAGCUCGAACCCCUUCAGGAAAGAAGCACACCAAGCGAUCGAAGAACCUCGGUGAGUCCCCUUUGUUGGGGAAUUGGCAUACAAAUGCACUUGUGGUUAACUGAAAACUGCAGCGGAAACAAGUAAUCUCAGCACCACAUCAUGUACUAACUCAAGGAUCGUUGCUUAGCACGGAAGGAAACAUAUGUAGCAGCAUAUAUGGAGGCAGAAAAUGUUACUCAGCAGGCAAGACACUCCUCAGCCUAGUGUCUUGUGGUAGGAGUAAGUUUCUGAACAGCACCACGCAUCAACAAAGAGACACCAGAUUUUACGUGGAAAACCCCCCAACCUGAGGGGAAAAACCACUGGCCGAAACCACCCAAAUCCUCUCCCACUAUUAUCAAAUGUGGGAUACAACAAGUUCUUCUCUAGACAGCACUAGAGGAUCUCAUACAUCAAGAUUUCUGAAUCUUGGAUGAACAUAACAAGAUUUGGGGCUCAAGAACUAGGGAUUGGAACAAUCUCACCAAAGAUGGUGGAACCGAAGCUUGAAGGAGACAACGUAGUGGAUCUGGACCAUCGCAACCUUGGGGAUGUUGGGGAACGUUGCAGAAAACAAAAAUUUUCCUACUCGUUUCACCAAGAUCAUCUAGGAGUUCAUCUAGCAACGAGUGAUUAGAUGCAUCUACAUACCUUUGUAGAUCGCGAGCGGAAGCGUUCAAAAGAACGGUGAUGAUGUAGUCGUACUCGACGUGAUCCAAAUCACCGAUGACCAGCGCCGAACGGACGGCACCUCCGCGUUCAACACACGUACGGAACAGCCACGUCUCCUCCUUCUUGAUCCAGCAAGGGAGGGAGGAGAGGUUGAGGGAGAUGGCACCAGCAGCAGCACGACGGCGUGGUGUUGAUGGAGCUGCAGUACUUCGGCAGAGCUUCGCUAAGCACUAUGGAGGUUGAGGAGGUGUUGGGGAGGGAGAAGGAGGCAACCAAAGGCCGAGGCGUUCAGGUAUGAAGUCCCUCCUCUCCCCCACUAUAUAUAGGGGUGCCAAGGGGGGGUGGCCGACCCUAGGAGAUCCAAUCUCCUAGGGGGUGCGGCGGCCUAGGGGGGGUUUUCCUCCCCCCCAAGGCACCUAGGAGGUGCCUUACCCUCCUAGGACUCUUCCCCUUCUAAACCCUAGGCGCAUGGGCCUAUGUGGGGCUGGUGCCAUUGGCCCAUUAGGCCAAGGCGCACCCCCUUACAGCCCAUGUGGCCCCCCGGGACAGGUGGACCCACCCGGUGGAUCCCCGGGACCCUUCCGGUGGUCCCGGUACAAUACCGAUAACCCCGAAACUUGUCCCGAUGCCUGAAACAAGACUUCCCAUAUAUAAAUCUUUACCUCCGGACCAUUCCGGAACUCCUCGUGACAUCCGAGAUCUCAUCCGGGACUCCGAACAACAUUCGGGUUACUGCAUAUACAUAUCCCUACAACCCUAGCGUAACUGAACCUUAAGUGUGUAGACCCUACGGGUUCGGGAGACAAGCAGACAUGACCGAGACGACUCUCCGGUCAAUAACCAACAGCGGGAUCUGGAUACCCAUGUUGGCUCCCACAUGCUCCACGAUGAUCUCAUCGGAUGAACCACGAUGUCGAGGAUUCAAUCAACCCCGUACGCUAUUCCCUUUGUCUAUCGAUAUGUUACUUGCCCGAGAUUCGAUCGUCGGUAUCCCAAUACCUCGUUCAAUCUCGUUACCGGCAAGUCACUUUACUCGUACCGUAAUGCAUGAUCCUGUGACCAGACACUUGGUCACUCUGAGCUCAUUAUGAUGAUGCAUUACCGAGUGGGCCCAGUGAUACCUCUCCGUCAUACGGAGUGACAAAUCCCAGUCUUGAUCCAUGUCACCCAACAGACACUUUCGGAGAUACCCGUAGUCUACCUUUAUAGUCACCCAGUUACGUUGUGACGUUUGGCAUACCCAAAGCACUCCUACGGUAUCCGGGAGUUACACGAUCUCAUGGUCUAAGGAAAAGAUACUUUGACAUUGCAAAACUCUAGCAAACGAACUAUACGAUCUUGUGCUAUGUUUAGGAUUGGGUCUCGUCCAUCACAUCAUUCUCCCAAUGAUGUGAUCUCAUUAUCAAUGACAUCCAGUGUCCAUAGUCAGGAAACCAUGACUAUCUGUUGAUCAACGAGCUAGUCAACUAGAGGCUCACUAGGGACAUGUUGGUGUCUGUUAUUCACACAUGCAUUACGAUUUCCGGAUAACACAAUUACAGCAUGAAUAAAGACAAUUAUCAUGAACAAGGAAAUAUAAUAAUAAUGCUUUUAUUAUUGCCUCUAGGGCAUAUUUCCAACAGUCUCCCACUUGCACUAGAGUCAAUAAUCUAGUUACAUUGUGAUGAAUCGAACACCCAUGGAAUUCUGGUGUUGAUCAUGUUUUGCUCUAGGGAGAGGUUUAGUCAACGGAUCUGCUACAUUCAGGUCCGUAUGUACUUUACAAAUCUCUAUGUCUCCAUCUUGAACAUUUUCACGAAUGGAGUUGAAGCGACGCUUGAUGUGCCUUGUCUUCUUGUGAAACCUGGGCUCCUUGGCAAGUGCAAUAGCUCCAGAGUUGUCACAGAAGAGCUUGAUCGGCCCCGACGCAUUGGGUAUGACUCCUAGGUCGGUGAUGAACUCCUUCACCCAUAUUGCUUCAUGUGCUGCCUCCGAGGCUGCCAUGUACUCCGCUUCACAUGUAGAUCCCGCCACGACGCUUUGCUUGCAACUGCACCAGCUCACUGCCCCACCAUUCAAAAUAUACACGUAUCCGGUUUGUGACUUAGAGUCAUCCAGAUCUGUGUCGAAGCUAGCGUCGACGUAACCCUUUACGACGAGCUCUUCGUCACCUCCAUAAACGAGAAACAUUUCCUUAGUCCUUUUCAGGUACUUCAGGAUAUUCUUGACCGCUGUCCAUUGUUCCUUGCCGGGAUUACUUUGGUACCUUCCUACCAAACUUACGGCAAGGUUUACAUCAGGUCUGGUACACAGCAUGGCAUACAUAAUAGAACCUAUGGCUGAGGCAUAGGGGAUGACGCUCAUCUCUUCUAUAUCUUCUGCCGUGGUCGGACAUUGAGCUGAGCUCAAUUUCAUACCUUGCAACACAGGCAAGAACCCCUUCUUGGAUUGAUCCAUAUUGAACUUCUUCAAUAUCUUAUCAAGGUAUGUGCUUUGUGAAAGACCUAUGAGGCGUCUUGAUCUAUCUCUAUAGAUUUUGAUGCCUAAUAUAUAAGCAGCUUCUCCAAGGUCCUUCAUUGAAAAACUUUUAUUCAAGUAGGCCUUGAUGCUGUCCAAGAGUUCUAUAUCAUUUCCCAUCAAAAGUAUGUCAUCUACAUAUAAUAUGAGAAAUGCUACAGAGCUCCCACUCACUUUCUUGUAAACGCAGGCUUCUCCAUAAGUCGGUGUAAACCCAAACGCUUUGAUCAUCUCAUCAAAGCGAAUGUUCCAACUCCGAGAUGCUUGCACCAGCCCAUAAAUCGAGCGUUGGAGCUUGCACACUUUGUCAACAUUCUUAGGAUCGACAAAACCUUCCGGCUGCAUCAUAUAGAAUUCUUCCUUAAGGAAACCAUUAAGGAAUGCCGUUUUGACGUCCAUUUGCCAUAUUUCGUAAUCAUAGAAUGCGGCAAUUGCUAACAUGAUUCGGACGGACUUCAGCUUCGCUACCGGUGAGAAAGUCUCAUCGUAGUCAACCCCUUGAACUUGUCGAUAACCCUUAGCGACAAGCCGAGCUUUAUAGAUGGUCACAUUACCAUCCGCGUCUGUCUUCCUCUUAAAGAUCCAUUUAUUUUCUAUGGCUCGCCGCUCAACGGGCAAGUCAGUCAAAGUCCAUACUUUGUUUUCAUACAUGGAUCCUAUCUCGGAUUUCAUGGCUUCCAGCCAUUUGUCGGAAUCCGGUCCCGCCAUCGCUUCUUCAUAGUUCGAAGGUUCACCGUUGUCUAACAACAUGAUUUCCAAGACAGGGUUGCCGUACCACUCUGGUGCGGAACGUGUCCUUGUGGACCUUCGGAUUUCAGUAGGGGCUUGAUCAGAAGUAUCUUGAUCAUUUUCAUUAACUUCCUCUCUAGUCGGUGCAGGCACCUCAGGAACAUUUUCUUGAGUUGCGCCAUUUUCCGGUUCAAGAGGCAAUACUUCAUCAAGCUCUACUUUCCUCCCACUUACUUCUUUCGAGAGAAACUCUUUCUCCAGAAAGGACCCAUUCUUGGCAACAAAGAUCUUGCCUUCGGAUCUGAGGUAGAAGGUGUACCCAAUAGUUUCUUUUGGGUACCCUAUGAAGACGCAUUUUUCCGAUUUGGGUUCGAGCUUUUCAGGUUGAAAUUUCUUGACAUAAGCAUCGCAUCCCCAAACUUUUAGAAACGACAGCUUAGGUUUCUUCCCAAACCAUAAUUCAUACGGUGUCGUCUCAACGGAUUUCGACGGAGCCCUAUUUAAAGUCAAUGCGGCAGUCUCUAAAGCAUAGCCCCAAAAAGAAAGCGGUAAAUCGGUAAGAGACAUCAUAGAUCGCACCAUAUCUAACAGAGUGCGAUUACGACGUUCGGACACACCAUUACGCUGAGGUGUUCCAGGCGGCAUGAGUUGUGAAACUAUUCCACAUUUUCUUAAGUGUACCCCAAACUCGUGACUCAAGUAUUCUCCUCCACGAUCUGAUCGUAGAAACUUGAUUUUCCUGUCACGUUGAUUUUCAACCUCACUCUGAAAUUCCUUGAAUUUUUCAAAGGUUUCAGACUUGUGUUUCAUUAAGUAGAUAUACCCAUACCUACUUAAAUCAUCAGUGAGGGUGAGAACAUAACGAUAGCCACCGCGAGCCUCAACACUCAUCGGACCGCACACAUCAGUAUGUAUGAUUUCCAAUAAGUCGGUUGCUCGCUCCAUUGUUCCUGAGAACGGAGUCUUGGUCAUUUUACCCAUAAGGCAUGGUUCGCACGUGUCAAAUGAUUCAUAAUCAAGAGACUCUAAAAGUCCAUCAGCAUGGAGCUUCUUCAUGCGUUUAACACCUAUGUGACCAAGGCGGCAGUGCCACAAGUAUGUGGGACUAUCAUUAUCAACCUUACUUCUUUUGGUACUCACAUUAUGAAUAUGUGUAGCAUCACGUUCGAGAUUCAUAAGGAAUAAACCAUUCACCAUAGGAGCAUGACCAUAAAACAUAUCUCUCAUAAAAUGGAACAACCAUUAUUCUCAGAUUUAAAAGAGUAGCCAUCUCGAAUUAAACGAGAUCCCGAUACAAUGUUCAUGCUCAAAGCUGGCACUAAAUAACAAUUAUUAAGGUUUAAAACUAAUCCCGAAGGGAGAUGCAGAGGUAGCGUGCCGGCGGCGAUCACAUUGACCUUGGAACCAUUCCCGACGCGCAUCGUCACCUCGUCCUUUGCCAGUUUCCGCUUAUUCCGCAGCCCCUGCUUUGAGUUACAAAUGUGAGCAACUGCACCAGUAUCAAAUACCCAGGAGCUACUACGGGCACUAGUAAGGUACACAUCAAUUACAUGUAUAUCACAUAUACCUUUUGUUUUGCCGGCCUUCUUAUCCGCUAAGUACUUAGGGCAGUUCCGCUUCCAGUGACCGCUUCCCUUGCAAUAAAAGCACUCAGUCUCGGGCUUGGGUCCAUUCUUUGGCUUCUUCCCAGCAGCUUGCUUGCCGGGCGCGGCAACCUCCUUGCCGUCCUUCUUGAAGUUCUUUUUACCCUUGCCUUUCUUGAACUUAGUGGUUUUAUUGACCAUCAACACUUGAUGUUCCUUUCUGACUUCUACCUCUGCUGAUUUCAGCAUAGCAAAUACUUCAGGAAUGGUCUUUUCCAUCCCCUGCAUAUUGAAGUUCAUCACAAAGCUCUUGUAGCUUGGUGGAAGCGACUGGAGGAUUCUGUCAAUGACCGCAUCAUCCGGGAGAUUAACUCCUAGCAGAGUCAAGCGGUUAUGCAACCCAGACAUAGUGAGUAUGUGCUCACUGACAGAACUGUUUUCCUCCAUCUUACAGCUAAAGAAUUUGUCGGAGACUUCAUAUCUCUCGACCCGGGCAUGAGCUUGGAAAACCAUUUUCAGCUCUUCGAACAUCUCAUAUGCUCCAUGUCUCUCAAAACGCUUUUGGAGCCCCGGCUCUAGGCUGUAAAGCAUGCCGCACUGAACGAGGGAGUAGUCAUCGAAACGUGCCUGCCAAGCGUUCAUAACAUCUUGUUCUGCAGGGAGAACGGGUGCGUCACCAAGCGGUGCUUGUAGGACAUAAUCUUUCUUGGCAGCUAUGAGGAUGAUCCUCAGGUUCCGGACCCAGUCCAUAUAGUUGCUGCCAUCGUCUUUCAGCUUAGUUUUCUCUAGGAACGCGUUGAAGUUGAGGACUACGUUGGCCAUUUGAUCUACAAGACAUAUUGCAAAGAUUUUAGACUAAGUUCAUGAUAAUUAAGUUCAACUAAUCAAAUUAUUAGUGAACUCCCACUUAGAUUAGACAUCCCUCUGGUCAUCUAAGUAUUACAUGAUCCGAGUUAAACUAGACCGUGUCCGAUCAUCACGUGAGACGGACUAGUCAACAUCGGUGAACAUCUUCAUGUUGAUCGUAUCUUCUAUACGACUCAUGCUCGACCUUUCGGUCUUCUGUGUUCCGAGGCCAUGUCUGUACAUGCUAGGCUCGUCAAGUCAACCUAAGUGUUUGCAUGUGUAAAUCUGUCUUACACCCGUUGUAUGUGAACGUCUGAAUAAAACACCCGAUCAUCACGUGGUGUUUUGAAACAGCGAACUGUCGCAACGGUGCACAGUUAGGGGAAACACUUCUUGAAAUUAUUGUGAGGGAUCAUCUUAUUUACUACCGUCGUUCUAAGUAAACAAGAUGCAAAACAUGAUAAACAUCACAUGCAAUCAAAUAAUAAACGUAACAUGAUAUGGCCAAUAUCACAUAGCUCCUUUGAUCUCCAUCUUGGGGCUCCAUGAUCAUCUUGUCACCGGCUUGACACCAUGAUCUCCAUCAUCAUGAUCUCCAUCAUCGUGUCUCCAUGAAGUUGCUCGCCAACUAUUACUUCUACUACUAUGGCUAACGCGUUUAGCAAUAAAGUAAAGUAAUUUACAUGGCGUUUCUUGAUGACACGCAGGUCAUAUAAAAGAAUAAAGACAACUCCUAUGGCUCCUGCCGGUUGUCAUACUCAUCGACAUGCAAGUCGUGAAUCCUAUUACAAUAGCAUGAACAUCUCAUACAUCACAUAUAGAUCAUUCAUCAUUCAUCACAACUUUGGCCAUAUCAUAUCACAAACCACUUGCUGCAAAAACAAGUUAGACGUCCUCUAAUUGUUGUUGCAAGUUUUACGUGGCUGAAUUAGGGUUCUAGCAAGAACGUUUUCUUACCUACGUUAAAAGCCACAACAUGAUUUGUCAACUUCUAUUUACCCUUCAUAAGGACCCUGUUCAUCGAUUCCGCUCCAACUAAAGUAGGAGAGACAGACACCCGCCAGCCACCUUAUGCAACUAGUGCAUGUUAGUCGGUGGAACCGGUCUCACGUAAGUGUACGUGUAAGGUUGGUCCGGGCCGCUUCAUCCCACAAUACCGCUGAAGCAAGAAAGGACUAGUAACGGCAAGAAAGUUGACAAAUCUACGCCCACAACAAAUUGUGUUCUACUCGCGCAAGAAGAACUACGCAUAGACCUAGCUCAUGAUGCCACUGUUGGGGAACGUUGCAGAAAACAAAAAAAUUUCCUACUCGUUUCACCAAGAUCAUCUAGGAGUUCAUCUAGCAACGAGUGAUUAGAUGCAUCUACAUACCUUUGUAGAUCGCGAGCGGAAGCAUUCAAAAGAACGGUGAUGAUGUAGUCGUACUCGACGUGAUCCAAAUCACCGAUGACCAGCGCCGAACGGACGGCACCUCCGCGUUCAACACACGUACGGAACAGCCACGUCUCCUCCUUCUUGAUCCAGCAAGGGAGGGAGGAGAGGUUGAGGGAGAUGGCACCAGCAGCAGCACGACGGCGUGGUGUUGAUGGAGCUGCAGUACUCCGGCAGAGCUUCGCUAAGCACUAUGGAGGUUGAGGAGGUGUUGGGGAGGGAGAAGGAGGCAACCAAAGGCCGAGGCGUUCAGGUAUGAAGUCCCUCCUCUCCCCCACUAUAUAUAGGGGUGCCAAGGGGGGGUGGCCGGCCCUAGGAGAUCCAAUCUCCUAGGGGGUGCGGCGGCCUAGGGGGGGUUUUCCUCCCCCCCCCCAAGGCACCUAGGAGGUGCCUUACCCUCCUAGGACUCUUCCCCUUCUAAACCCUAGGCGCAUGGGCCUAUGUGGGGCUGGUGCCCUUGGCCCAUUAGGCCAAGGCGCACCCCCUUACAGCCCAUGUGGCCCCCCGGGACAGGUGGACCCACCCGGUGGACCCCCGGGACCCUUCCGGUGGUCCCGGUACAAUACCGAUAACCCCGAAACUUGUCCCGAUGCCCGAAACAGGACUUCCCAUAUAUAAAUCUUUACCUCCGGACCAUUCCGGAACUCCUCGUGACGUCCGGGAUCUCAUCCGGGACUCCGAACAACAUUCGGGUUACUGCAUAUACAUAUCCCUACAACCCUAGCGUAACCGAACCUUAAGUGUGUAGACCCUACGGGUUCGAGAGACAAGCAGACAUGACCGAGACGACUCUCCGGUCAAUAACCAACAGCGGGAUCUGGAUACCCAUGUUGGCUCCUACAUGCUCCACGAUGAUCUCAUUGGAUGAACCACGAUGUCGAGGAUUCAAUCAACCCCGUACGCUAUUCCCUUUGUCUAUCGAUAUGUUACUUGCCCGAGAUUCGAUCGUCGGUAUCCCAAUACCUCGUUCAAUCUCGUUACCGGCAAGUCACUUUACUCAUACCAUAAUGCAUGAUCCCGUGACCAGACACUUGGUCACUCUGAGCUCAUUAUGAUGAUGCAUUACCGAGUGGGCCCAGUGAUACCUCUCCGUCAUACGGAGUGACAAAUCCCAGUCUUGAUCCAUGUCACCCAACAGACACUUUCGGAGAUACCCGUAGUCUACCUUUAUAGUCACCCAGUUACGUUGUGACGUUUGGCAUACCCAAAGCACUCCUACGGUAUCCGGGAGUUACACGAUCUCAUGGUCUAAGGAAAAGAUACUUUGACAUUGCAAAACUCUAGCAAACGAACUAUACGAUCUUGUGCUAUGUUUAGGAUUGGGUCUCGUCCAUCACAUCAUUCUCCCAAUGAUGUGAUCUCGUUAUCAAUGACAUCCAGUGUCCAUAGUCAGGAAACCAUGACUAUCUGUUGAUCAACGAGCUAGUCAACUAGAGGCUCACUAGGGACAUGUUGGUGUCUGUUAUUCACACAUGCAUUACGAUUUCCGGAUAACACAAUUAUAGCAUGAAUAAAGACAAUUAUCAUGAACAAGGAAAUAUAAUAAUAAUGCUUUUAUUAUUGCCUCUAGGGCAUAUUUCCAACAGCUUUGAGUUACAAAUGUGAGCAACUGCACCGGUAUCAAAUACCCAGGAGCCACUACGGGCACUAGUAAGGUACACAUCAAUUACAUGUAUAUCACAUAUACCUUUUGUUUUGCCGGCCUUCUUAUCCGCUAAGUACUUAGGGCAGUUCCGCUUCCAGUGACCGCUCCCUUGCAAUAAAAGCACUCAGUCUCGGGCUUGGGUCCAUUCUUUGGCUUCUUCCCGGCAGCUUGCUUGCCGAGCGCGGCAACCUCCUUGCCGUCCUUCUUGAAGUUCUUUUUACCCUUGCCUUUCUUGAACUUAGUGGUUUUAUUGACCAUCAACACUUGAUGUUCCUUCCUGACUUCUACCUCUGCUGAUUUUAGCAUAGCAAAUACUUCAGGAAUGGUCUUUUCCAUCCCCUGCAUAUUGAAGUUCAUCACAAAGCUCUUGUAGCUUGGUGGAAGCGACUGGAGGAUUCUGUCAAUGACCGCAUCAUCCGGGAGAUUAACUCCCAGCUGAGUCAAGCGGUUAUGCAACCCAGACAUAGUGAGUAUGUGCUCACUGACAGAAUUGUUUUCCUCCAUCUUACAGCUGAAGAAUUUGUCGGAGACUUCAUAUCUCUCGACCCGGGCAUGAGCUUGGAAAACCAUUUUCAGCUCUUCGAACAUCUCAUAUGCUCCAUGUCUCUCAAAACGCUUUUGGAGCCCCGGCUCUAGGCUGUAAAGCAUGCCGCACUGAACGAGGGAGUAGUCAUCGGAACGUGCCUGCCAAGCGUUCAUAACAUCUUGUUCUGCAGGGAGAACGGGCGCGUCACCAAGCGGUGCUUGUAGGACAUAAUCUUUCUUGGCAGCUAUGAGGAUGAUCCUCAGGUUCCGGACCCAGUCCGUAUAGUUGCUGCCAUCGUCUUUCAGCUUAGUUUUCUCUAGGAACGCGUUGAAGUUGAGGACUACGUUGGCCAUUUGAUCUACAAGACAUAUUGCAAAGAUUUUAGACUAAGUUCAUGAUAAUUAAGUUCAACUAAUCAAAUUAUUAAUGAACUCCCACUUAGAUUAGACAUCCCUCUAGUCAUCUAAGUAUUACAUGAUCCGAGUUAAACUAGACCGUGUCCGAUCAUCACGUGAGACGGACUAGUCAACAUCGGUGAACAUCUUCAUGUUGAUCGUAUCUUCUAUACGACUCAUGCUCGACCUUUCGGUCUUCUGUGUUCCGAGGCCAUGUCUGUACAUGCUAGGCUUGUCAAGUCAACCUAAGUGUUUGCAUGUGUAAAUCUGUCUUACACCCGUUGUAUGUGAACGUCUGAAUAAAACACCCGAUCAUCACGUGGUGUUUUGAAACAGCGAACUGUCGCAACGGUGCACAGUUAGGGGGAACACUUCUUGAAUUUAUUGUGAGGGAUCAUCUUAUUUACUACCGUCGUUCUAAGUAAACAAGAUGCAAAACAUGAUAAACAUCACAUGCAAUCAAAUAAUAAACGUGACAUGAUAUGGCCAAUAUCACAUAGCUCCUUUGAUCUCCAUCUUGGGGCUCCAUGAUCAUCUUGUCACCGGCUUGACACCAUGAUCUCCAUCAUCAUGAUCUCCAUCAUCGUGUCUCCAUGAAGUUGCUCGCCAACUAUUACUUCUACUACUAUGGCUAACGCGUUUAGAAAUAAAGUAAAGUAAUUUACAUGGCGUUUCUUGAUGACACGCAGGUCAUAUAAAAGAAUAAAGACAACUCCUAUGGCUCCUGCCGGUUGUCAUACUCAUCGACAUGCAAGUCGUGAAUCCUAUUACAAUAGCAUGAACAUCUCAUACAUCACAUAUAGAUCAUUCAUCAUUCAUCACAACUUUGGCCAUAUCAUAUCACAAACCACUUGCUGCAAAAACAAGUUAGACGUCCUCUAAUUGUUGUUGCAAGUUUUACGUGGCUGAAUUAGGGUUCUAGCAAGAACGUUUUCUUACCUACGUUAAAUCCACAACGUGAUUUGUCAACUUCUAUUUACCCUUCAUAAGGACCCUGUUCAUCGAUUCCGCUCCAACUAAAGUAGGAGAGACAGACACCCGCCAGCCACCUUAUGCAACUAGUGCAUGUUAGUCGGUGGAACCGGUCUCACGUAAGCGUACGUGUAAGGUUGGUCCGGGCCGCUUCAUCCCACAAUACCGCUGAAGCAAGAAAGGACUAGUAACGACAAGAAAGUUGACAAAUCUACGCCCACAACAAAUUGUGUUCUACUCGCGCAAGAAGAACUACGCAUAGACCUAGCUCAUGAUGCCACUGUUGGGGAACGUUGCAGAAAACAAAAAUUUUCCUACUCGUUUCACCAAGAUCAUCUAGGAGUUCAUCUAGCAACGAGUGAUUAGAUGCAUCUACAUACCUUUGUAGAUCGCGAGCGGAAGCGUUCAAAAGAACGGUGAUGAUGUAGUCGUACUCGACGUGAUCCAAAUCACCGAUGACCAGCGCCGAACGGACGGCACCUCCGCGUUCAACACACGUAUGGAACAGCCACGUCUCCUCCUUCUUGAUCCAGCAAGGUAGGGAGGAGAGGUUGAGGGAGAUGGCACCAGCAGCAGCACGACGGCGCGGUGUUGAUGGAGCUGCAGUACUCCGGCAGAGCUUCGCUAAGCACUAUGGAGGUUGAGGAGGUGUUGGGGAGGGAGAAGGAGGCAACCAAAGGCCGAGGCGUUCAGGUAUGAAGUCCCUCCUCUCCCCCACUAUAUAUAGGGGUGCCAAGGGGGGGUGGCCGGCCCUAGGAGAUCCAAUCUCCUAGGGGGUGCGGCGGCCUAGGGGGGGUUUUCCUCCCCCCCCCAAGGCACCUAGGAGGUGCCUUACCCUCCUAGGACUCUUCCCCUUCUAAACCCUAGGCGCAUGGGCCUAUGUGGGGCUGGUGCCCUUGGCCCAUUAGGCCAAGGCGCACCCCCUUACAGCCCAUGUGGCCCCCCGGGACAGGUGGACCCACCCGGUGGACCCCCGGGACCCUUCCGGUGGUCCCGGUACAAUACCGAUAACCCCGAAACUUGUCCCGAUGCCCGAAACAGGACUUCCCAUAUAUAAAUCUUUACCUCCGGACCAUUCCGGAACUCCUCGUGACGUCCGGGAUCUCAUCCGGGACUCCGAACAACAUUCGGGUUACUGCAUAUACAUAUCCCUACAACCCUAGCGUAACUGAACCUUAAGUGUGUAGACCCUACGGGUUCGGGAGACAAGCAGACAUGACCGAGACGACUCUCCGGUCAAUAACCAACAGCGGGAUCUGGAUACCCAUGUUGGCUCCCACAUGCUCCACGAUGAUCUCAUCAGAUGAACCACGAUGUCGAGGAUUCAAUCAACCCCGUACGCUAUUCCCUUUGUCUAUCGAUAUGUUACUUGCCCGAGAUUCGAUCGUCGGUAUCCCAAUACCUCGUUCAAUCUCGUUACCGGCAAGUCACUUUACUCGUACCGUAAUGCAUGAUCCCGUGACCAGACACUUGGUCACUCUGAGCUCAUUAUGAUGAUGCAUUACCGAGUGGGCCCAGUGAUACCUCUCCGUCAUACGGAGUGACAAAUCCCAGUCUUGAUCCAUGUCACCCAACAGACACUUUCGGAAAUACCCGUAGUCUACCUUUAUAGUCACCCAGUUACGUUGUGACGUUUGGCAUACCCAAAGCACUCCUACGGUAUCCGGGAGUUACACGAUCUCAUGGUCUAAGGAAAAGAUACUUUGACAUUGCAAAACUCUAGCAAACGAACUAUACGAUCUUGUGCUAUGUUUAGGAUUGGGUCUCGUCCAUCACAUCAUUCUCCCAAUGAUGUGAUCUCGUUAUCAAUGACAUCCAGUGUCCAUAGUCAGGAAACCAUGACUAUCUGUUGAUCAACGAGCUAGUCAACUAGAGGCUCACUAGGGACAUGUUGGUGUCUGUUAUUCACACAUGCAUUACGAUUUCCGGAUAACACAAUUAUAGCAUGAAUAAAGAAAAUUAUCAUGAACAAGGAAAUAUAAUAAUAAUGCUUUUAUUAUUGCCUCUAGGGCAUAUUUCCAACAGGGGAGGGGCUCCCUUUUCUUCUUCCUUCAAUCUUUCUCUUCUUCCCUUGCUCUCUUGGUUUUCUCUCUUCUUCUCUCUUGGAGGAUGAACUGAUUUUCGUCCCUCUUGGUGGUGGCUGCUAGAUGGAGGGUAAAGCAUCCCCAUCCACUCAUGUGCAAAGUCCAAAAUUACCCUAGAUCAUAACCCUAAUGGGUAGUGGGCUUCUGCACCUCUUUGGGCUACCUAAAAGGCCUCAAAUGGUCAUCUCCUCACAGCCCACAUGAGGAGGAUAUCCAAUGUGGUGCUGAGAUUACUUGUUUCCGCUGCAGUUUUCAGUUAACCACAAGUGCAUUUGUGUGCUAAUUCCCAACAGAGUGGCAUCAGAGCCUUGGUUGCUUAGAAGGUUGCAAAUCCCAGUUGCUUGAUUGUUGCUGGAAGUGCUUCUCACAAUGGCUUUGGAAGAAAGCGCUACUACAAGUGGCAUGAUAAAACUUGAUUCUUCCAAUUACUCAUUAUGGAAGCCCAUGAUGGAAGACAUCCUUUAUUGCAAGGAUUUGUAUGUGCCAAUUGUGAAAUACAAGAUACCCACAGGUGUCACGGAAUAAGAAUGGAGAGUGUUGCAUAGAAAGGCAGUAGGUAUGAUUCGGUUGUACAUCAACCACAAUAUUUUCCACCAUGUUGCAAAUGACACAAAUGCAUAUGAGAUAUGGCAGAAGUUGGAGUCUAUGUAUGAGAGGAAGACAUCAAUGAACAAGGCCUCGGUGAUCAAAAGACUUGCAAAGCUUGAAUACCGAGAUGGCACAAGUGUGAUUGAGUACUUAAAUGUCUUUCAAUGCCAUAUAAAUCAACUUUCAGCCAUGAAGAUCAACUUUGAGGAUGAGGUGCAAGCAUUGUUGCUGCUGAGUUCCAUGCCUGAUAGUUGGAACAUGCUUGUUGUGUCACUUAGCAAUUCAGCUCUGGAUGGGAAGCUGACUUUGGAGAUGGUGAAGAAUAGUAUGCUGAAUGAAGAAGACGGAAAGAAGGAAAAGGGUGAUGCCUCUUCUUCUGAUGCGUAUGUGGCUGAAACCCAUGGGAAGAAUGAGAACCAUGGACGCAGCAAUACAAGAUUUCAGCAAGGCAAAAGCAAAUCAAGGGGGAGAUCAAAGUCAAAACAGAGAAAAGAUAUUACUUACUUUCAUUGUGGCAAUCCGGGACACAUAAAGAGCGAGUGUAGGAAGUACAAAAGAGAGCUUGGAGAGGAGAAACUCACAAAGAAAACCGAGCAAAAGGCUGAGAACAGUUCAGCCAUGACCGCAACAGAUGAGGACUAUCUAGUCAUUGAAGAUGAAGAUUGCUAUAGUGUUGUUCGUGAUGAUUCCAUGAGUAGGGUUGUGGACUCAGGUGCGUCCUUCCACAUCACAUCACACAAGGAGUAUUUCACAUCUUACACUAGUGGUGUUACUGGCCAAGUGAGGAUGGGAAAUAGUGGUUCGUCAGCAAUUGUUGGCAAGGGCUCUAUAUGCAUUGAAACAAACACAUAUUGCAGAUUGGUGCUCGAUGAUGUGAGGCAUGUUCCCGACAUAAGUCUGAAUUUGUUGUCAAUGGGCAAGCUUGAUGAUGUCAAACAUCCUAAUUAUUUUGGUGAAGGAAAAUAGAAGCUCACCAAAGGCUCUUUGAUUGUGGAUCAAGGAAGUAAGCAAGGUAAUCUCUAUGUGACUAAAACCAAGUUGUGCAAUGAGGUGUUGAACAUUGCGAAAAAAGACACUUCGGUUGAAUUGUGACACAAGAGGCUUGGGCAUAUGAGUGAGAAGGGCAUGCAUGCUCUUGCUCGCAUGGAGUACCUCCCUGAGUUGAAAGGUAUAUCCUUGAAACCCUGUGCACAUUGUUUUGUUGGCUAACAACAUAGGGCUGCAUUUCAUACACUCCCUCCACAUCGUGCAGAAAAUGUUCUUAAUAUUGUGCACACUGAUGUUUGCUCCAUGAUGGAAAAAUCUCAUGGUGGAGCAUUAUACUUUGUGACUUUUAUUGAUGACCAUUCCAGAAAGGUUUUUGUGUAUGUGCUGAAACACAAAUACGAGACGCUUGAAGCCUUCAAGGAGUUCCAUGCCAAGGUUGAAAGAGAAACUGGCAGGAAAUUGAAGUGCGUGAGAUCAGACAAUGGUGGUGAAUACAUAGGUCCUUUUGAAAGGUAUUGCAGAAAUGUUGGUAUCAGGCUUGAGAAGAGUCCACCAAAGGCACCUCAGCGCAAUGGUCUUGCAGAGAGAAUGAACAGGACACUCACAGAGAGGGUCACAGCUAUGCUCUCUCAUGCUCAUUUACCUAAUUCAUUUUGGGCUGAAGCAUUGAUGAAUGCUAUGUAUGUGGUUAAUGUAUCUCCCUCAGUUCCUCUUGCAGGUGAUAUUCCUCAGAGAGUUUGGUCAGGGAAGGAGGUAUCAUACAAGCACUUGAAGGUCUUUGGUUGCAGGGCGUUUGUACAUGUUCCAAGGGACGAGAGAUCCAAGCUUGAUAGCAAGACAAAGCAGUGCAUCCACCUCAGCCAACCAAGUAAAGAGUUUGGCUACAGGUUGUGGGAUCCAGUAAAUAGGAAGAUUGUGAGAAGCCGAGAUGUGGUGUUUAUUGAAGAUGAAACAAUAAAAGAUAUUGGGAAACCAGAGAAGCCAAUGACCAACACACCUCAGGUUGAUAUGGAUCCAAUCCGUUCUCCUCUCGUGCACAAUAAUCAUGAGGGAGAUGAUGACACUGAAGACACUGGAGAUGCAACUGAUCAAGGCAGUACAAGUUAAAGUGACGAGCAGCCAUGAAGUGAUGAUGAUGAUGAAGUUGGUAAUGAUGAUGCCAAUGAAAAUCCACCUAAUUCACCACCAGUGCAGCAGCAAAGAAGAAGUGAAAGAGUUCACAUUCCUUCUUCUAAAUAUCCACCACAUCAAUAUGUGUUGAUGACAGAUGCAGGUGAGCCCUCAUGCUAUGAGGAGGCAAUGUAUGAUGAGAACAAAGAAGAAUGGUCAGAAGCCAUGCAGGAUGAGAUGAAUUCCCUGUAUGAGAAUGAUACUUUUGAGUUGGUGAAUCUGCUAAAAGGCAAGAAAGCACUCAAGAACAAGUGGGUGUAUAGAGUGAAGACUGAAGAAAACAUCUCACAUCCAAGGUACAAGGCCAUAUUGGUUGUGAAAGGAUUCAGUCAGAAAAAGGGCAUUGAUUAUGGUGAGAUAUUCUCUCCGGUGGUCAAGAUGUCUUCGAUCCGAGUUGUGCUUGACAUGGCUGCCACCAUGGACUUGGAAAUUGAACUACUUGUUGUGAAGACUGCAUUCUUACAUGGUGACCUAAAGGAGGAGAUAUACAUGGAGCAGCCGGAGGGAUUCAUGGUUGCAGGCAAGGAGCACUUAGUUUGCAAAUUGAAGAAGAGCUUGUAUGGCUUGAAGCAAGCUCCUUGGUAGUGGUACAAGAAGUUUGAGUCUUUUAUGACUGGGCUUGGUUACCAUAAAGCACAACCUGACCAUUAUGUCUUUAUGAAGAGGUACGCCAAGGGUGACUUCAUUAUUCUCUUGUUGUAUGUUGAUGAUAUGCUGAUUGUUGGAAAUGGCACAAAGAGGAUUGCUCUCCUCAAGAAGACAUUGAGUAAAUUAUUUGCCAUGAAGGAUUUAGGACCAGCUAAGCAAAUACUUGGCAUGAAGAUCUCCCAUGAUAGAUCAAAGAAGCUGCUUUGGCUCUCACAGGAAAGAUACAUUGAGAAGGUACUUGAAAGGUUUAAUAUGAAAGAUGCAAAAUCUGUUAUCUCUCCACUUGCAGGCCAUCGCAAACUGAAUUCUAAACAAUGUCCUACAAGCAAGAAGGAGAAAGAAGAAAUGAGGAAAAUACCUUACCAAUCUGUUGUGAGCAGUUUGAUGUAUGCCAUGGUAUGCACUAGGCCUGGCAUUGCCUAUGCAGUUGGAGUUGUUAGCCAGUUCAUGACAAAUCCAGGUAAAACUCACUGGGAAGCAGUGAAGUGGAUUCUCAGGUAUCUCAAGGGUACUUCUACAUCUUGUCUAUGCUUUGGAAAUGGUGAUCCUGUAUUACAGGGCUAUACAGAUGCAGAUUACGCAGGUGACAAGGAUCGUAGGAAGUCCACAUCCGGAUACCUGAUGACUUAUGCAGGGGGAGCAGUGUCAUGGAAAUCAAGAUUGCAGAAAUGUGUUUCUAUAUCAACUACAGAAGCUGAGUACAUUGCAGCAGUUGAUGCUGGCAAGGAAGUUUUGUGGAUGAAGAACUUCUUGCAAGAGCUCGGCAUGAAGCAAGAGAAGUAUGUUCCAUUUUGUGACAGUUAGAGUGCUAUUCAUCUUGCCAAGAAUUCAAGCUAUCACUCUCGAACCAAGCACAUUGAUGUGAGGUACCAUUGGAUUCGAGAUGUUGUGAGUUCCAAGUUGCUGAAACUUGAGAAGAUCCAUACCGACGACAAUGGUUCAGAUAUGAUGACCAAGAUAUUGCCAAAUAAGAAGCUACAAGCAUGUUGCAAGGUANNNNNNNNNNNNNNNNNNNNNNNNNNNNNNNNNNNNNNNNNNNNNNNNNNNNNNNNNNNNNNNNNNNNNNNNNNNNNNNNNNNNNNNNNNNNNNNNNNNNNNNNNNNNNNNNNNNNNNNNNNNNNNNNNNNNNNNNNNNNNNNNNNNNNNNNNNNNNNNNNNNNNNNNNNNNNNNNNNNNNNNNNNNNNNNNNNNNNNNNNNNNNNNNNNNNNNNNNNNNNNNNNNNNNNNNNNNNNNNNNNNNNNNNNNNNNCUCAUGAGUCGGAGGGCGAGAUUUGUUGGGAUAUCCUCCUCAUGUGGGCUGUGAGGAGAUGACCAUUUGAGGCCUUUUAGGCAGCCCAAAGAGGUCAGAAGCCCACUACCCAUUAGGGUUAUGACUUAGGGUCAUUUUGGACUUUGCACGAGUGGAUGGGAUGCUUUACCCUCCAUCCAGCAGCCACCAUCAAGAGGGACGAAAAUCAGUUCAUCCUCCAAGAGAGAAGAAGAGAGAAAACCAGGAGAGCAAGGGAAGAAGAGGAAGAUUGAAGGAAGAAGAAAAGGGAGCUCCUCCCCAAGGUUGCGAUGGUCCAGAUCCACUACCUUGUCUUCUUUAAGUUUCGGUUCCACCAUCUUUGGUGAGAUUGUUCCAAUCCCUAGUUCUUGAGCCCAAAUCUUGUUGUGUUCAUCCAAAAUUCAGAAAUCUUGAUGUAUGACAUCCUCUAGUGCUGUCUAGAAAAGAACUUGUUGUAUCCCACAUUUGAUAAUAGUGGAAGAGGAUUUGGAUGGCUUCAGCCUAUGGUUUUUCCACUCAGGUUGGGGGGUUUUCCACGUAAAAUCUGGUGUCUCUUUAUUGAUGCUUAUUACCGUUCAGAAACUUACUCCUACCACAAGAUACUAGGCUGAGGAGUGUCUUGCCUGCUGAGUAAUAUUUUCUGCCUCCAUAUAUGCUGUUGCAUAUGUUUCCUUCCGUGCUAAGCAACGAUCAUUGAGUUAGUACAUGAUGUGGUGCUGAGAUUACUUGUUUCCGCUGCAGUUUUCAGUUAACCACAAGUGUAUUUGUGUGCUAAUUCCCCAACAACCUCGAUCUCCGGCCACCUUGCUAAUGUGUUUUUCUUCUUCUUUCCUGUUGAAUGGCCACAUGAAAUUAGAGAGGGGCAACUAACCUACGUUGUUACUGAUCUCGUCCUACUCCUACCUAGCUGCCUCAUCAACGGACCUCCAUGGACCCCAACACGCCUCAUCCGCUGCGUCUGAGCGCAGCCCAAUAGCAGAUCCGAGAUGAUGUCCCACUGGUCUGCGCAUGGGCGCUCAUCAACGCCUUCGCCAUCGCCUGCGGCCGAGCAUUCGACUACUAGCUGUCCACUUCAACCUCCCGUGCAUCCAGGUAAUUAAUUAUAGGAAAACGAUUGUAUUCAGCCGGAUGAAAACCAAAAAUGCUAGACAUACAAAAAUUUACACGCUUUUACACGCUCCUUCCAUCUAACAACCAAUCACAAACCUCUCCCCUCUGAUUUUCAGGGGGGGUGGACCGCCCUGCUCACCUAUUGACCAAUCAAGAUUAACCAUCCUGUAAAAGCCUGUAAAUCGUUUGUACGUGUAACAUUGCCGGGAUGAAAACAACAAACGCAAGCCGCGUGCGUUGCUCAACACGUGUUCCCUGGGCCCAUCCAUCGCUUCUCCCUCGAGUCUGCCUUAUCUCUUCGCACGGGCUCUCCACCGCACGUCGCAAUUUUUCACCUUUUUCUCGUCUGGGCUCCCAUGGCGACGCCGUCCAGCCGCCUACACUUCUGCAAUCCGAAGAGGAGCGACGUGCGGCGAGUCCUCUGGCGCAAUACGAACGGGACGAGCGGCCGUCGCCGGCGAUGUGAUGCCUUGCUCGUCGGCUCCCGUCGGUGCUGCAACGCAGCAACUCAACCAUGGCCAUGGGUGCUGCGACGCAGCAAGUUGACCACGGCCAUGGGAGCUGCGACGCAGCAUCUCGUCCACGGUCGCCGUGUUGCGAUGCAACCUCGCCGGCGUGCUGGCGUUGCGAUGCAGCCUCGUUGGCGUUACUGGUGCUGCAGUCGCCGGCGGUAUAGCUGCAAUGGAGCGCUCGUCGGCAGCAACUCGUGCUCUAAUGCAGCCCUCGCGAGGGCGGCUCCCGGUGCUGCUGCAGUCCAGCGCUCGCCGGCGGCCCUCUCGGAGCUCGGUGCUGCAAUGGAGCUUCGCACGGCGGCAUCCUGUGCUCCGGUGCAGAGCUCGCCGGUGGCCCUCUCGGAACCUCGAUGGUGCAACGGAGCUUCGCACGGCGGCACCCUAUGCUCCGGUGCAGCGCUCGCCGGCGGCCCUCUCGGAGCUUGGUGCUGGCGUGCUGCAAUGGAGCUUCACAUGGCGGCUCCCUGUGCUCCUGUGCAGCGCUCGCCGCUGGUGCUACAACGCGGCUUGAAGGAGGAGGGCGGACGCCGCGGCACUCGUUGUUCUGUUGCAACGCAGCACAUAAGGGGGUAGCUGGGAGCAGGCGGCAUUCGCCGCCGGUGCUGCAACUCGUACUCGUCGGCGGCUCCCCGUGAUCCGAUAGCAGCACUCACCGACGGCUUCCGGUAAUGCAUCGUAGCACUCGCGGGGCGACUCCUGGUGCUGCAAGAUCGAAGCAGAGAGGAGGACUGGUUGUGCGAUGCGAGGGGAGUCGUGCUUGUGUCGACUAUUCCACGGGCUCGGAGAAAGGAUAGGACGGUGCUGUCAGGCUGAUCAAAUGGUCAGCGAGGCAGCUUAAAAUAUCUCGACAUCAGCCGGAUGAUUUGUAGCAGCCGCCAAUUUUAACACCAGAAACAACAUGUGUGCAUGGAUAUACACUGCAGCAACAAUUUCACCAGCAUAGGAUAUAACUCAUGUCUGACGACCAUAUACAGAAAAUUAAGGUCGAAUACAUCAAAGAUAACCACAAACUAGUAUAGUCGAUCUUGAUAUUAUUAACACUACACGGCUACUAGAUUCACUCAUACGGCACUAGUCCAUCAAUCGUCACAGCAUGAGUACUGCAUACUCUACGUUAUUUCAUAGAACUAGGCCCUCAUCAGUACCUCAUCAGCUGAUCCACCACGAACAUGAUCCCUUGCAGGUUGCUUUUUGCUGCUAGCUGAACUAAUAGGCUGCGUACUGCUUGCCCCACCCAUCACCUCCAAGGAGGAGGCCCAGGCAGCCCAGGUCACACACCACCAUGACGCAGAUGACCACGGUGUAGAAGACCCUGCCGACGGUGUAUCCUGGGUCGGCGGCGAGGAGGACCCAGACGGCGCUGGCGUACAUGCAAUGGACGAGGAUGGUGACCGCGAACGCGAGGUAGGCGAGGGCACGACGAGCCCAGCGACGGCGGCAUGGGAGCAGCAGUGCCAGCGCCGUCGCGGCUGCCUGGGCUGCGGCGCAGCACAUCAUCCCGAUCCAGAGGGCGCUUUCCCUGGCGGCCUCCGCGUCCGUCAGCUUGACGCACCGCAGAAUGAACGACGACUGCACCAUACCAGCUUGCCGCGUGAUGGAUCGGUCGCAAUGUCAAUCAUCCGGCUGAAUACAAUCGUUUUCCGUUAAAAUUUGGUUUUCAUUCAUUCCGGCAUCCGCUGGCAUAUCAGUGCAGAGUGACCUGACCCGGCCCUCUGGGUUGGGCUUCGCGCGGGUCCUCUAGGCUGCUGAGAAGAGAUUGAGUGACCCCGUCCCGACCGAUUUGACCAUGCAAUUGUGGUUGGAUGUAUGGGACACCAUAGCUUGGAAUGCCUUCUUGCCAACUGAGGUCCUUCUUUUGAAGCCCAUUUUUCCUUUUGAAUUCACACCCUGACACUUGACUUGUAUGAACACUUUCUUUUGGCACCGAAUAUUUGAGUCACGCGAAUAGCAAUCAUCUCAAGAGUUAUGGAACCGUUCCACAACUUACACCUCAAAUUAAUGGGGUAAUACAAAAGGCGUAACCGAGCUGUCUCCGGUGGCCCGUUUUUAUAUGUUUCUUCGAGUUUUUGUUAUGGUUUGUGUCCUGCUCAGGAAGACUAGACGGCAGCGUCUCUUUGAAGAUGGAAUAAGAUUCUCCCUGCCUAACCCACACUCCGUUGAUGCGUCUAGCAUCGUUGAUGGGCAUGUGUGCAGGUGUGUCUCCAGUGGAUCUAUCUUUGGUGGAUUCGCUCGGAUAUGUUCGUCGUUUGUCUACAUUUGUGUGUCUUGAGAUUGGAUCCUUCCAAUCUACGCCACUCUUCAUCGGUGGUGGUUGCUAUUCUGAUGCCCUGGUCCUAUGGGGCCUUAGCACGACGACUUUUCGACUGUCUACUACAACAAGUUUUGCCCAGCUCACUUCAGUGUUUACAAAUCUGGAUGUAAUUUUUAUUAUUUCUGGUGUUUGUUGUACUGCCAUGAUGGUGGGUGGAGAUGGGGGAGGACGCAGAGUCGCGGACCAUGCGGGAAAGGUCACCAGCUAUUGACCAACAACGAUGGUGCUCCAUGGGAAGGAUGUGGUUUGUGUGUAGAACGGGACUGCUGAUGCGAGGAUCAAUGCAGCUCGUCUAGCGGCGAGUUGAAGAGCGGGCUCCGGGGGGCGUCACUUCAAGUUGCGGUGGUAUCAUUCCCAACGGCAACGAAUCGGUAGCGUAGCUUCAAGCAGUGGUGGCGGCUGAAAGAACCCCAACUCGCACGGAGAAGAAAGGGAAAUCCCUAUCCUUUUGGUGUUUUGCAAUUUAACCUUUGGAUUGCUUAUUUACUAUGCAUUACUCCACAAUGUUUGUAUGUGUUACCAUGACAUGUGGGAGCGUGUGACGCCUCCGACUCGACCGUACACUAAUCAUACACACAAACGUGUACGAUCAGGGACCCACGGGAAGAUAUCACAACACAACUCUAAACACAAAUUGAAAAGAUACAAGCUUCAUAUUACAAGGCAGGGGCCUCGAGGGCUCGAAUACAUAGCUCUAUACAUAAGAGUCAGCGGAAGAAACAAUAUCCAAAAACAGACAUAAGUUAGACAAGACUGCCUUAAGAAGGCUAGCACAAAAGCAACAUGAUCGUAGAGGCAAGGCCUCCUGCCUGGGACCUCCUAACUACUGCUGGUCGUCGGCGGUCUUCGUGUAGUAGCAUCCGUCGGUGGUGGCAUCUUGCUCCAAGGAUCCACCAUCUGGUUGCAUCAACCGGAAAGAAGAAGAAAGGGGGAAAAGGGGUAGCAAAGCAACCGUGAGUACUCAUCCAAAGUACUCGCAAGGAUCAGAUCUAUACUAAGUAUGCAUUGGUAUCAAAUGGAAGGGUUGUAUCUGUGGACUGAACUGUAGAAAGCCAGAAUAGAGGGGAAUGCCUAGCCUAUCGAAGACUAGCAUCUUAAAGUAGCUCCAAGCAUCUUGCAGCAUGUCGAAGAGUAAAGAAUGGCAUUUUAUAAUUAACAAGCAUGUUGUAGCAUUAGUGCCCAUAGAUCCUUCCUCGACUCCCUGCGAGGAAGCAAUCCCAGGGCCACAUAUCUCAAGUAUCCAUUUCUAGUUGUAAUAGAUCAGGAUAUAAGUCUGAGCGUCCGUUACCGUGGACCCGGCUAUUAAUAGAUAAUCUUCCCUGCAGGGGUGCACCAUGUUUUCCAACACGCUUGAUUACUCUGGUCGGACACACUUUUCUGGAUCAAUGCCCGGCCUCGGAAGAUCAACACGUCGCAGCCCUACCUAGGCUCAGCAGAGAGGUCCCCGCCGGGCUAAAUCCUAAGCACUCCGGGGUCUUGGGCCCCUCGCCCGGUGCACUCCGGGUCGUUGCACGUAGGGCAGGUCCAGGCUCCACCACUACAUGAUGGUGCCGGCACAGCCGUGCCGACAUGCUGAACUGGACGUCUGACAAAGCUUCGGCUGAUACUAUGACGUCGAGGCCCAUAACUAUUCUCGCGUGGUGGUUAGUGCGUAAAGACCGAAGGCCAACUCAGAACAAAUACCCAAACCAUAGUGUAUUAUUAGUUUGCGGAGACGAGCAGAGACUCACGAUAAUGUGACCCCGUCGCCCCAUCUUGAGGAAAUACGGCAAGGGCUAGAACAACCCACUCGGGGGCGGCCUACCUGCCCGGUCGUGCCUCGUAACCAUCUUGCGGGUGCUCUUCGGGCCCGCACGACUUUCCCAAAGGUCUCAAGUAAAGUCAAGGUAACCGUGUGUUCAAACAUCAAGGGGAAAACCCGAGGAAUCACCCACCGAGGAUUCCACUCGAUGUAAUCAUCAAGGUGAACGUAAGAGGAUCCACCUCGAGGUUCACACUUGAGGUGUUGCACGAUAGAGCCGUAUCGAGAAUGGUGAACGAGGAACCACCCUCGUUGACCACGACUGGAUAGCUACACUACAGAAUUAUCAUCAGGAGUGUGUUAUGAGGGAUCACCCUCGGCACUCGAUAGUAGCUGUGCAAAGUCGAGCAACUAAACGGGCGUGAUGUGAUGUGAGGUGUCAGGCUCUGGUCAUCAAUCACGUUGAUCGAGUCGUCAAAGAUGAAGCGGGGGCAACAAGGACAAGGUGGGGGUCACUGAUGGAUCACUAACCAACCUAUACUAAGCAGUUUAGGAUAAGCAUGUAAGGUACAAUGAGCAGGUUACAAAAGCAGGCUAUGCAUCAGAAUAGGAACAAACAAUAACAGUAGCAAAGUCUAAUGCAAGCAUGAGAGAAUGGAAUGGGCGAUUUCGGGAUGAUCAAAGGGGGGCUUGCCUGGAAGCUCCGCUGAAAUGGGAGAAGGGUCGUCGUCGACGUAGUCGAUCACAGGGACAUCAGCAGCGGUCUCGGGGUCUGCCGGAGAGAAGAGGGUGAAGAAACAAUAAAUACAGAGCAAACAAGUGCAAAACUAUGCAUGACAAGACAAUAAGCAGUGUUAGGGAUGUUCUAACGCAGGGCUACACGAUACCGGCGAAGGGGGAAAACAUUCGUGAAAGUUUUCCCGAAGUUUGGCAUUUUCGGACAGAUGAAACGGAGGGGGAAGGUUGCACGUUUGCUAUGCUAGGGAUGUGUGGCGGACGAAUGGACUGCGUAUGCGGGUUCGUCUCGUUGUUCAGAGCAACUUUCAUGUAUAAUACUUUUUCAUCCGAGUUACGGAUUAUUUUAUACGAAUUUCUGAAGAUUUAAAAAGUUAUUUGGGAGUCCUGAAAAUUGGCUGUCUGAGAAUUGUUCAGACUUUAAACUUCACUAGUUGUUUUCCAGAGGCUAUAACUAGUGUUCUGCCCAUCCUUUGGAGUAGUUUCUUAUAUCAAUCUUGAUCAAUUUUCUGUGAUCUACAAGAUGGUAUCAAUUGCAUCUCUAUUAGAUCCCUAUAACUUGUUCAUUUUCUGCUCUAAAGUAGCUACCACAGUAACUCUGUUUCAGUCUUUUCUGUUAACAGAACAUAGACUUUUGUCAUUUUCAUAGGAUUUAAUCCAUGAAUCAAAUGGAUUUGGCCUAGUGGGGUAAAAUGAAGUUUGACAAGUGUACUACCUGCCCAUACUAUUUUUACCCCAGUUAACAGUUGUUUAACUGAUGCUUAGGGGAUCUCUAUGGGGUUAGCCAGCAUAGAAUUAGCAAAGCUAGCUAGUAGCGGCUAUAGUAACUAGUAGUAGUACAUUCAGCAGAGCAGCAACAACAUGCACAUGAGUUGGGCGUGGGGCGCGGCGCUGGACGGCGUGAGGCUUGGCCGGUGAGCGACGCGGGGCGAGGGGCGAGGCAGACCGCGGUUGCAGGGUGGCGGACCAGGGGGCAGCGGCCGGCAAGCAGCAAUCAGAGCAGCGCGGCAGUGGCCGCCGCAGGCAGCAACGGUAGUGGCAGAAGCAGUAGGAAGCCGCAAGUGUGGCAGCAGUUCAAGGCAGCAGCAGCAGCUGGCAGAGCAGCAGCGGCAUCGAGCAGCAGGCGGCGCGGGAGGCCGUGCGCGAGCUCGCGACGCAUGCACAAGGCGAGGCCUGCUACGUCUUGAGCUUGCGUUGGUUUUCCUCGAAGAGGAGAGGGUGAUGCAGCAAAGUGUAGGCGUAAGUAUUUCCCUCGGUUUUGAGAACCAAGGUAUCAAUCCAGUAGGAGGCUCCUCAAAAGUCCCACGCACCUACAAAAACAAACUGAGAACUCGCAACCAACGCAAUAAAGGGGUUGUCAAUCCCUUCACGGCCACUUGCGAAAGUGAGAUCUAAUAGAGAUAGUAUGAUAAGAUAAAUAUAUUUUUGGUAUUUUAUAAGAUAGAUGCAAAAAGUAAAGAUGCAAAUAAAGGUAGAUUGAAAGCAAAUAUGAUAAGAGAUCGACCCGGAGGCCAUAGGUUUCACUAGAGGCUUCUCUCAAGAUAACAUAAGUAUUACAGUGGGUGAACGAAUUACUGUCGAGCAAUUGAUAGAAAAGCGCAUAAUUAUGAGAUUAUCUAGGCAUGAUCAUGUAUAUAGGCAUCACGUCCAUAACAAGUAGACCGACUCCUGCCUGCAUCUACUACUAUUACUCCACACAUCGACCGCUAUCCAGCAUGCAUCUAAAGUAUUAAGUUCAUAAGAACAGAGCAACGCAAGCAAGAUGACAUGAUGUAGAGGGAUAAACUCAUGCAAUAUGAUAGAAACCCCAUCUUGUUAUCCUCGAUGGCAACAAUACAAUAUGUGUCUUGCAACCCUUUCUGUCACUGGGUAAGAACACCGCAAGAUUGAACCCAAAGCUAAGCACUUCUCCCAUGGCAAGAAAGACCAAUCUAGUAGGCCAAACCAAACUGAUAAUUCGAAGAGACUUGCAAAGAUAACUCAAUGAUACAUAAAAGAAUUCAGAGAAGAUUCAAAUAUUAUUCAUAGAUAAACUUGAUCAUAAACUCACAAUUCAUCGAAUCUCGACAAACACACCGCAAAAAGAGUUUACAUCGAAUAGAUCUCCACAAGAGAGGGGGAGAACAUUGUAUUGAGAUCCAAAAAGAGAGAAGAAGCCAUCUAGCUAAUAACUAUGGACCCGUAGGUCUAUGGUAAACUACUCACAACUCAUCGGAGGGGCAAGGAUAUUGAUGUAGAGGCCCUCCGUGGUUGAUUCCCCCUCCGGCAGAGUGCCAACGAAGGCUCCAAGAUGGGAUCUCGCGGAUACAGAAGGUUACGGCAGUGGAAAUUGUGUUUCGUGGUGCUCUUGGAUGUUUUCGGGGUAAGUAGGUAUAUAUAGGAGGAAGAAGUAGGUCGGUGGCCGCCCGAGGGGCCCACGAGACAGGGGGCGCGCCCUAAAGGGGGGGGCACGGCCCCCUAUCUUGUGGGGCCCUCGGGAGCUUCUUGACUUGCACUCCAAGCUCUCUGGAUCAGGUUCGUUCCAAAAAUCACGCUCCCGAAGGUUUCAUUCCGUUUGGACUCCGUUUGAUAUUCCUUUUCUUCGAAAUACUGAAAUAGGCAAAAAAAACAGCAAUAUGGGCUGGGCCUCCGGUUAGUAGGCUAGUCCCAAAAAUUAUAUAAUUGUGUAAAAUAAAGCCCAUAAACAUCCAAAAGAGGUAAUAUAAUAGCAUGGAACAAUCAAAAAUUAUAGACACGUUGGAGACGUAUCAAGCAUCCCCAAGCUUAAUUCCUGCUCGUCCUCGAGUAGGUAAAUGAUAAAAAGAUAAUUUUUGAUGUGGAAUGCUAGCUAGCAUAAUUCAUAAUCUAAUUCUAUUUAUUGUGGCAUGAAUGUCCAGAUCCAAAUGAAUACAAAAUAAAAGUUCAUAUUGACAUAAGAAAUAGUAAUACUUCAAGCAUACUAAUCGCAGUAAUCAUGUCUUCUCAAAAUAACAUGGCUAAAGAAAGUUAUCCCUACAAAAUCAUAUAGUCUUGCUAUGCUCUAUCUUCAUCACACAAAGUAUUUAAUCAUGCACAACCCCGAUGACAAGCCAAGCAAUUGUUUCAUACAUUAAUAAUCUCAAACUUUUUCAACUUUCACGCAAUACAUGAGCGUGAGCCAUGGACAUAGCACUAUAUGUAGAAUAGAAGGGUGGUUGUGGAGAAGACAAAAAGGAGAAGAUAGUCUCACAUCAACUAGGCAUAUCAACGGGCUAUGGUGAUGCCCAUUAAUAGAUAUCAAUGUGAGUGAGUAGGGAUUGCCAUGCAACGGAUGCACUAGAGCUAUAAAUAUAUGAAAGCUCAACAAAAGAAACUUAGUGGGUGUGCAUCCAACUUGCUUGCUCACGAAGACCUAGGGCACUUCAAGGAAGCCCAUCAUUGGAAUAUACAAGCCAAGUUCUAUAAUGAAAAAUUCCCACUAAUUAUAUGAAAGUGACAACAUAUGAGACUCUCUAUGAAGAUCAUGAUGCUACUUUGAAGCACAAGUGUGGAAAAAGAGAUAGUAGCAUUGUCCCUUCUCUCUUUUUCUCUCAUUUUAUUUAUUUUUUUCUUUUUUUCUUUUCUUUUCUCUUUUUCUUUGGCCUUUCUCUUUUUUUUGGCCUUUCUCCUUUUUUUUCUUCUUUUUUUUUCUUUUUUUUAAAGUCCGAAGUCUCAUCCCGACUUGUGGGGGAAUCAUAGUCUUCAUCAUCCUUUCCUCACUAGGACAAUGCUCUAAUAAUGAAGAUCAUCACACUUUUAUGGAUUUACAACUCAAAGCUAGAACAAGAUAUGACUCUAUAUGAAUGCCUCCGGCGGUGUACCGGGAUAUGCAAUGAAUCAAGAGCGACAUGUAUGAAAAUUAUGAAGGUGGCCUUGCCACAAAUACAAUGUCAACUACAUGAUCAUGCAAAAAGCAAUAUGACAAAAGUAAUGCGUGUCAUAAGAACGGAAUGGUGGAAAGUUGCAUGGCAAUAUAUCUCAGAAUGGCUAUGGAAAAGCCAUAAUAGGUAGGUAUGCUGGCUGUUUUGAGGAAGGUAAAUGAUGGGUAUAUGGUACCGGCAAAAGUUGCACGGUACAAGAGAGGCUAGCAAUGGUGGAAGGAUGAAAGAGUGCGUAUAAUCCAUGGACUCAACAUUAAUCAAAAGAACUCAUAUACUUGUUGCAAAAAUUUAGAAGUCAUCAAAAAUCAAAGCACUACGCGCAUGCUCCUAGGGGGAUAGAUUGGUAGGAAAAGACCAUCGCUCGUCCCCGACCGCCACUCAUAAGGAAGACAAUCAAUAAAUAAAAUUGUGCUCCAACUUCAUCACAAAGCGGUUCACCAUACGUGCAUGCUACGGGAAUCACAAACUUCAACACAAUCAUUCUUUAAAUUCAUAAUCACCCAACUAGCAUGACUUUAAUAUCACUACCCCCAUAUCUCAAAACAAUUAUCAAGCAUCAAAUUGAUCAUAGCAUCCAAUUCACUUUUCUAUGAUAGUUUUUAUUAUACCCAACUUGGAUGCUCAUCAUUCUAGGACCAACUUUAAGAUCAUAGCAAAUACCAUGCUGUUCUAAAAGACUCUCAAAAUAAUAUAAGUGAAGCAUGAGAGACUAGCAAUUUCUUCAAAAUUAAGACACCACCGUGCUCUAAAAGAUAUAAGUGAAGCACUAGAGCAAAACUAUCAAGAUCAAAAGAUAUAAGUGAAGCACAUUGAGUAUUCUAGCAAAUUCUAAUCAAAUAGGCUUCUCCCAAAAGGUGUGUACAGAAAGGAUGAUUGUGGUAAACUAAAAAGCAAAGACUAAUAUAAUACAUGACGCUCCAAGCAAAACACAUAUCAUGUAACGAAUAAAAAUAUAGCUCCAAGUAAAGUACCAAUGAACGAAGACGAAAGAGGGGAUGCCAUGGGGUGCCAUGGGCAUCCCAAAGCUUAGGCUCUUUCCACUCCUUAUUCCAUAGUCCAUAAAGGCUUUACCCAAAACUUGAAAACUUCACAACACAAAACUCAACAGGAAAUCUUAUAAGCUCCGUUAGUGAAAGAACACAAAACCACCACAUAAGGUACUGCAAUGAACUCAUUAUUUAUUUAUAUUGGUGUUAAACCUACUGUAUUCCAACUUCUUUAUGGUUUAUAAACUAAUUUACUAGCCAUAGAUGCAUUGAAAUAAGCAAACAACACACGAAAAACACAAUCUGUCAAAAACAGAACAGUAUGUAGCAAUCUGUAACUAACGCAAACUUCUGGAACUCUAAAAAUCCUACCAGAAUAGGAAUUCCUGGAAAUUUUGUUUAUUGAACAUCAACAAAAAGAACCAACACAAAAGCACGGUCCUGUGAUUUAACAAAAUUAUAUUCGUGCGCGCAAAGUUUCUGUUUUUCAGCAGAAUCAAAUCAACUAUCAUCGUAGGUUAUCCUAUAGGUUCUACUUGACACAAACACUAAGUAAAAUAUAAAAACACAUCUAAACAGAAGGUAGAUGCAAGGUUUAUUACUAAACAGGAGCAGAAAAACAUAAAGAAAAUUGGGUUGCCUGCCAACUAGCGCUAUCGUUUAACGCCCCUAGCUAGGCAUAAAAACAAAGAUAGAUCUAACGAGUGCCAUCUUUGGCACUAAAUUCAUAAGUAGCACGCAUGAUAGAUUCAUAAGGUAAUUUUACUUUCUUUCUUGGAAAGUGCUCCAUGCUUUUCUUUAAAGGAAAUUGGAAUCUAAUGUUCCCUUCCUUCAUAUCAAUAAUCGCACCAAUCGUUCUAAGGAAAGGUCUACCAAGAAUAAUAGGGCAAGAAAGAUUGCAAUCUAUAUCAAGAACGAUAAAAUCUACGGGCACCAAAUUUCUAUUUGCAACAAUAAGAACAUCAUUGAUUCUUCCCAUAGGUUUUUUAAUGGUGGAAUCCGCAAGGUGCAAAUUUAAAGAGCAAUCAUCAAGAUCAUGGAAACCUAGAAUAUGACAUAAAGUUUUCGGAAUCGUGGAAACACUAGCACCCUAAUCACACAAAGCAAAACACUCAUAAUCUUUAAUUCUAAUCUUUAUAGUAGGUUCCCACUCAUCAUUAAGUUUUCUAGGUAUAGAAACUUCCAAAUUAAGUUUUUCAUUAUAAGAUUUCAUCAAGGCAUCAACAAUAUGUUUGGUAAAAGCUUUAUUUUGACUAUAAGCAUGAGGAGAAUUAACAACGGAUUGCAACAAGGAAAUACAAACUUUUAAAGAGAAAUUAUCAUAAUCAAAUUCCUUGAAAUCCGAGAUAGUAAGUUCAAUAUUAUUAGAAGUUGAGGAUUCUCCAAUCUCACUUCUACCAAAUUUAGCAUCAAGAUCUAAAGACUCCGAAUUUUUGGGACGCCUUCUAGGCAAAGUUGAUUCAUCAUCACUCCCAUAAUCAUCAAAAUUCAUAUUGAAAAACAUAGAUCUAAUCGGAGAUGCAUCAAUAACUUUAAGAUCCUCAUCAUUAUUUUCAUGAAGACUAGAAGAACACGCUUUUAUAAAGCUUUCUUUUUUAGCACGCAAUCUUGCGGUUCUUUCCUUGCACUCGUCAAUGGAAAUUCUCAUUACUUUGAGAGACUCAUUUAUAUCAUGCUUAGGAGAAGAAGAUCCAAGUUUAAGAGAAUUAACAUCAAGCGAAAGUCUAUCAACGUUCCUAGCCAAAUCAUCAACUUUGAGCAAUUUUUCUUCAAGCAAAGCAUUAAAAUUCUUUUGAGAUAUCAUAAAUUCUUUCACACUAUUCUCAAAAUCAGAGGGCAUCUUAUUAAAAUUACCAUAAGAAUUAUUGUAGGAAUUUCCAUAAUUAUUAGAGGGAUUACUAGGGAACGGUCUAGCAUUAAAAUUUCCUCUAUAAGCAUUAUUUCCAAAACUAUUCCUACCAACAAAAUUCACAUCCAUAGAUUCAUUAUUAUUCUCAAUAAAGGAAGACAAAGUCAUAUCAUUGGGAUCAAGAGGAGUGUUUUUAGUAGCAAACAACUUCAUAAGUUCAUCCAUCUUUCCACUCAAAACAUUAAUUUCUUCUAUAGCAUGCACUUUUUUACUAGAAGAUCUUUCGGUGUGCCAUUGAGAAUAAUUAGCCAUAAUAUUAUCAAGAAGUUUUGUAGCAUCUCCUAACGUGAUUUCCAUAAAAGUGCCUCCUGCAGCCAAAUCUAAAAGAUUUCUAGAAGCAAAGUUCAAACCGGCAUAAAAAUUUUGUAUGAUCAUCCAUAAAUUCAAACCAUGAGUAGGGCAAUUGCGAAGCAUUAAUUUCAUUCUUUCCCAAGAUUGGGCAACAUGUUCAUGAUCAAGUUAUUUAAAAUUCAUAAUAUCGUUCCUAAGAGUGAUGAUCUUAGCAGGAGGAAAAUACUUAGAGAUAAAAGCAUCUUUGCACUUGUUCCAAGAAUCAAUACUAUUUUUAGGCAAAGACGAAAACCAAACUUUAGCACGAUCUCUAAGUGAAAACGGAAAUAACUUCAAUUUGACAAUAUUGUUAUCCGUAUCUUUCUUCUUUUGCAUAUCACACAAAUCAAAAAAAAUUGUUUAGAUGAGUAGCGGCAUCUUCACUAGGAAGGCCGGCGAAUUGAUCUUUCAUAACAAGAUUCAGCAAAGCGGUAUUGAUUUCACAAGACUCGACAUCAUUAAGAGGAGCAAUCGGAGUACUAAGAAAAUCAUUAUUAUUGGUAUUCGAGAAGUCACACAACUUGGUAUUAUCUUGUGCCAUGGCAACAAGUAAUCCAACACACAAGCAAACAGAAAAACGACAAGCGAAAAAGAGAGGACGAGAUUGGGAAAGAGAGGGCGAAUAAAAUGGCAAGGGUGAAGUGGGGGAGAGGAAAACGAGAGGCAAAUGGCAAAUAAUGUAAAUGCGAGGGAGAUGGGUUUGUGAUGGGUACUUGGUAUGUCUUGACUUGAGCGGAGACCUCCCCGGCAACGGCGCCAGAAAUCCUUCUUGCUACGUCUUGAGCUUGCGUUGGUUUUCCUCGAAGAGGAGAGGGUGAUACAGCAAAGUGUAGCAUAAGUAUUUCCCUCAGUUUUGAGAACCAAGGUAUCAAUCCAGUAGGAGGCUCCUCAAAAGUCCCACGCACCUACACAAACAAACUGAGAACUCGCAACCAACGCAAUAAAGGGGUUGUCAAUCCCUUCACGGCCACUUGCGAAAGUGAGAUCUAAUAAAGAUAGUAUGAUAAGAUAAAUAUAUUUUUGGUAUUUUAUAAGAUAGAUGCAAAAAGUAAAGAUGCAAAUAAAGGUAGAUUGAAAUCAAAUAUGAUAAGAGAUCGACCCGGGGGCCAUAGGUUUCACUAGAGGCUUCUCUCAAGAUAGCAUAAGUAUUACGGUGGGUGAACGAAUUACUAUCGAGCAAUUGAUAGAAAAGUGCAUAGUUAUGAGAUUCUCUAGGCAUGAUCAUGUAUAUAGGCAUCACGUCCAUAACAAGUAGACCGACUCCUGCCUGCAUCUACUACUAUUACUCCACACAUCGACCGCUAUCCAGCAUGCAUCUAGAGUAUUAAGUUCAUAAGAACAGAGCAACGCAUUAAGCAAGAUGACAUGAUGUAGAGGGAUAAACUCAUGCACUAUGAUAUAAACCCCAUCUUGUUAUCCUCGAUGGCAACAAUACAAUACGUGUCUUGCAACCCUUUCUGUCACUGAGUAAGAACACCGCAAGAUUGAACCCAAAGCUAACCACUUCUCCCAUGGAAAGAAAGACCAAUCUAGUAGGCCAAACCAAACUGAUAAUUCGAAGAGACUUGCAAAGAUAACUCAAUCAUACAUAAAAGAAUUCAAAGAAGAUUCAAAUAUUAUUCAUAGAUAAACUUGAUCAUAAACCCACAAUUCAUCGGAUCUCGACAAACACACCGCAAAAAGAGUUUACAUCGAAUAGAUCUCCACAAGAGAGGGGGAGAACAUUGUAUUGAGAUCCAAAAAGAGAGAAGAAGCCAUCUAGCUAAUAACUAUGGACCCGUAGGUCUAUGGUAAACUACUCACAACUCAUCGGAGGGGCAAGGAUGUUGAUGUAGAGGCCCUCUAUGGUUGAUUCCUACGGCGGUGGAAAUUGUGCUUCGUGGUGCUCCUGGAUGUUUUCGGGGUACGUAUGUAUAUAUAGGAGGAAGAAGUACGUCGGUGGCCGCCCAAGGGGCCCACGAGAUAGGGGGGCACGCCCUAUAGGGGGGCGGCCCCCUAUCUCGUGGGGCCCUCGGGAGCUUCUUGACUUUCACUCCAAGCUCUCCGGAUCAGGUUCGUUCCAAAAAUCAUGCUCCCGAAGGUUUCAUUCCGUUUGGACUCCGUUUGAUAUUCCUUUUCUUCGAAAUGAUGAAAUAGGCAAAAAAAUAGCAAUAUGGGUUGGGCCUCCGGUUAGUAGGUUAGUCCCAAAAAUGAUAUAAAUGUGUAAAAUAAAGCCCAUAAACAUCCAAAAGAGGUAAUAUAAUAGCAUGGAACAUUCAAAAGUUAUAGAUACGUUGGAGACGUAUCAAGGCCAUGGGCGGUGAGCUCGCGAACGAGGCUGUUGGGGGCGCGGCCACGACCAGAGGGCACGGGCGGUGAGCGCGAGCUCCACGGAGCAUGGCUCGGUGGUGGUGGCGACGUACGACGAUGAAACCAACGGGGAAACAGGGGGAACAGCGUGGCUAUGAGUGGCGCGGGAUCACCGGGCGCGAGGAUGCGCGGGCAAAGGCAGCUGGCGCAGCGACCGCGAGCUCCUCGGGAGCUCGGGUGUGACGGCGGGGGCGAUCUACGGCGACGAUGGAGAUGGCGUUCUCGGCCACUAAUUGGCCCGUGGAAAAGAUGCUACGGUUCCUGCUCGACAUGGUGAAUAUGGCGGUGGCACGCACGGGACCAAAGGUCACUAGUGGCCACGCCAGAAACAAGCGCGGGUGGUGGCAAGUUUGGCAAUAGCGGCUACGAGGCCUAUGGCACGGGAACGAAGAAAGGUGGGUUUCGAGAAGGGCGUGUGCUCACGGUGAGGCGGUAGUGGAGGAUAGCGAGCUUGGGGAGGCUUGACGGCGUCGGAGUCGAAGAAGAACGUCAGCGGAUCCCUAGGUUGAAGAUGAGGUCGGGGUGGCAUUGCAGGGGCCGUCCAACACCGUGUGGCUCGACGUAGAUGAUGAGGGUGACGCUACGGUGCUCCUGGACUCGUUGGGGAGGGUAGGGGUGGACGGUGGCCGCGGGAUCGAAGCGGGCGCGGCGGCGAUCAUGUCGGCCUCCUCUCUAGAUCGAUGGAGAGGGAGAGGUGGAGAAGGAGAGAAGAGGGGCAAGUGGGAGAGUGGAUGGAGCAGGCGGGAACCCGAGGGGGCAAGUGGGGACAGGUGGGAUCGAGGGGUCGGGGCGUGGUGCCCUUAUCCCCUCCCGGCGUCGGCGCCAGCGAGGUGGUUCGGGGCGACCAAGCCCCUGUAGCGACAUGGUCACGUGAACAGGGGAGAGAGGAUGGUUCGGUGAGGAUGGGUCGGUCUGAUGGCUUAGUGGGCCAAAGCCCAGGGGGAAAAUAGCUUUGCAUUUGUUUAUUAUUUAAAGUCAUUUAGUAAUUGUUUUAGUCGUUGUUUUAUUCACCAAAGAGCAUUUAAAUACUUAUACAAAAAUGUUGGGUCAGCACCAUAAUUGGUUAUGGAAUAUUUGCCACACUUUGAACAUUUUAUUUGGCAGGUUUGAGAAAUUUGUAUUUUGGACUUUAAUUUGAAUUUGAAUUUGAAUCAUGAUUUGAAUCAAGCGAGGAUUAGUAACAGUAAUGUGAUGACAUGGCAUCGUUAGCGGGGGAUUACUAUAGCUUAAUUAUUCGGGUGUUACAAUUCUCCUCCACUACAAGAAAUCUCGUCCCGAGAUUUUAGAAGGUAGAUGGAAACAAAACGAGGUAUUCAUCUCUAAGACAAUCCUCGAGUUCCCAAGUGGCUUCAUCUUCAGAAGGAUUUGACCAUUGAAAUUUUAGAAUUUUGAAAGCCCUCUGACGGUGCGACGUUCAGUUUGAUCGAGAAUGCGGACCGGUGCUAUGUGUAAGUGAGAUCAUCGUGCAGGGGUUGAGCUAUAUAAGCCAUGGGGUUGUUGCAAUAAGACUUGCGACUCGGGGCAUCGGCUGUGAAAUAGCCUUGCCAGGGGUAUAAGAAAUACCAUAGUCAUAUUCUGUAAUUGUUUCCAUACAUCGCUGCAGACGGAGAUCCAAAUCUAGCUGAGUAAAAAGAUACUUCAGACUUUGAUGAUCGGUGAAGACCUCGCAACGAUUACCAAAAAAAGGAAAUGCCACCACAAAUUCAGUGCAAAUUUAUCUACAGCAAGUUCAAGGCCAUGGACUGGGUUGUUCUUUUGGAAAAGCAUCUUGGAAUUCACAAACAAUUGGAGCAUUUUCAAUUCUCAUAAGAUAAGCGUUUACGCGUUCAAGGAAUAAAUCCGUGCUUCGAAACAAGAUGAGCAUGGUAGCUUACUAUCUCACUCGAAGGAUGGAGUAGAUGGACGGUUUAAGUGGCGCAAAUGAUAGAAGCGGUAUGUGGUUUAAACCAUUCCAUUCUUAGAAUGAGGUCGAUAUUGGAUGACUUCAAAACAAUGGGGGAAACAUGGAAUUCCAACCGUUCAAGUUCAACGGGGACGUUGUGACUAAUCAGGGUGGUUCGACAUUGGCCCGCGGAAUGCAGCUUGGAAUUUUGGCCAAGUGAUGGCGGUUCCAACAGGUAAGGAACGCCUGUGGACGUCCCACAAUUGAGUAGCGGGAACUUUAAGGUAGUAAGCCGCAAGAUGACAUAGUUGGCAGGGGCUACAUCAACAGACUCCAACUUAAAAGUGAUGUCACGGAGCCAGUCAUCAGCAUCAAGUGGAUGAGUUGAGCUGCAGUAGAUGGUUGGGUUGAGAUGCAAAGUCUUGCAGAGUCACUGGGGCUGGUUGCUGAUUCAUAUUGGGGCGUGGGAACUGAGCCAUGACUCAUACCAUGAACUGGCGAUUCAACAUCAAACUGUUGUAUCAUUCCGGCCAUGUAUUCGGGAGGUGGUGGAUUGUCACCACCACGGCAAUAACUAGUGGGUCUAACCAUCCUGCUCAAAACAUCAGGGAGCGGUUUAACAAGGGUUGGAGCAGGUGUAUGGAGUUAUUGAUGCUGUAAUCAGAACACCGAGCAAAGGCACAGUAUGUAGAAAGCAGUAGUCAUUGAAGACAUACACAUACAUAUACGGGGCUAGUUGCAUGCUGUUCGUAUGAGUUCGGACAAGAGAAACAUCUUAAACACACUAGACGGCACACAUGCACGCGAUGGAGGGAUACCUCAACGGGACAUAGCGAAGGCUACAUCAACGUCGGGGAAAACCACUAGAGUGAGGGAUUUGCAAGUGACGACGCAGGGAGCGGUCGAUAAGAGGAUCCUGCGGUCAGUGAACAAUGUGAAGCAGAUCUCGGCCCUCAAUUCAAGAAAGGUAAUACAAACCUUCGGGUGGAUGUGAUCACGAGAUCCUAAUGUUAGAUUUAGCAAAAUCAUUUAACCCAAAUAAAAGAGAGAUCAGAGUCCCAGAAUAUAGACGACGAUUAAAAGAUCCUAAUACCACCCAGUGGCGACAUGGGCCCAUAAGCCACACAGCCAAGUUAGUAAACCAGUUUUUCAAAGACUAGACUCAACUUCGGCCAAGGAGUUGGAAAGGGGGAUCCUACAGGCAGUCGGCUCUGAUACCAACUUGUGACGCCCCCGAAAAAGACUCGACCAUACAUUAAUCAUACACACAAACAUGUACGAUCAAGAUCAGGGACUCAAUGGGAAGAUAUCACAACACAACUCUAAACACAAAUUGAGAAGAUACAAGCUUCAUAUUACAAGCCAGGGGCCUUGAGGGCUCGAAUACAUAGCUCGAUACACAAGAGUCAGCGGAAGCAACAAUAUUUGAGUACAGACAUAAGUUAGACAAGACUGCCUUAAGAAGGCUAGCACAAAAGCAACACGAUCGUAGAGGCAAGGCCUCCUGCCUAGGACCUCCUAACUACUCCUGGUCGUCGGCGGUCUUCAUGUAGUAGCACCCGUCAGCGGUGGCAUCUGGCUCCAAGGAUCCACCAUCUGGUUGCAUCAACCGGAAAGAAGAAGGAAGGGGGAAAAGGGGUAGUAAAGCAACCGUGAGUACUCAUCCAAAGUACUCGCAAGCAUCAGAUCUAUACUAAGUAUGCAUUGGUAUCAAAUGGAAGGGUCGUAUCUGUGGACUGAACUACAGAAAGCCAGAAUAGAGGGGAAGGCCUAGCCUAUCGAAUACUAGCAUCUUCAAGCAGCUCCAAGCAUCUUGCAACAUGUAGAAGAGUAAAGAAUAGCAUUUUAUAAUUAACAACCAUGUUGUACAAUUAGUGCCCAGAGAUCCUUCCUCGACUCCCUGCGAGGAAGCAAUCCCGGGGCCACAUAUCUCAAGUAUCCAUUUCUAGUUGUAAUAGAUCAGGAUAUAACUCUGUACGUCCAUUACCGUGGACACAGCUAUUAAUAGAUAAUCUUCCCUGCAGGGGUGCACCACAUUUUCCAACAUGCUUGAUUACUCUGGCUGGACACACUUUUCUGGGUCAAUGCCCGGCCUCGGAAGAUCAACACGUCGCAGCCCUACCUAGGAUCAGCAGAAAGGUCCCCGCCAGUCUACAUCCUAAGCACUCCGGGAUCUUGGGCCCCUCGCCCAGUGCACUCUGGGUCGUUGCACGUAGGGCGGGUCCAGGCUCCACCACUACAGGAUGGUACCGGCCCAGCCGUGCCGCCAUGCUGAACUGGACGUCUGACAAAGCUUCGACUAAUACUACGACGUCGACGCCCAUAACUAUUCUCGCGUGGUGGUUAGUGCGUAAAGGCCAAAGGCCAACUCAGAACAAAUACCCAAACCAUAGUGUAUUAUUAGUUUGCGGAGACAAGAGAAGACUCACGAUAAUGUGACCCCGCCGCCCCGUCUCGAGGAAAUACGGCAAGGGCUAGCCCAGCCCACUCGGGGCGGCCUGCCUGCCCGGCCGUGCCUAGUAACCAUCUUGCGGGUGCUCUCCGGGCCCGCCUGAUUUUCUCAAAGGUCUCAAGUAAAGUCAAGGUAACCAUGUGUUCAAACAUCAAGGGGAAAACCCGAGGAAUCACUGAUGUCUACUACACAACCUUCUUCUUGUAGACGUUGUUGGGCCUCCAAGUGCAGAGGUUUGUAGGACAAUAGGAAAUUUCCCUCAAGUGGAUGUGAUAACCCACAAGUAUAGGGGAUUGCAACAGCUUUCGAGGGUAGAGUAUUCAACCCAAAUUUAUUGAUUUGACACAAGGGGAGCCAAAGAAUAUUCUUGAGUAUUAGCAGUUGAGUUGUCAAUUCAACCACACCUGGAUAACUUAGUAUCUGCAGCAAAGUAUUUAGUAGCAAAAGUGGUAUGAUAAUAAUAGUAAUGAUAGCAAAAGUAAAGAUAAAUGUUUUGGGUUUUUGUAGUAGUUGUAACAGUAGCAACGGAAAAGUAAAUAAGCGAAGAACAAUAUGUGAAAAUCUCGUAGGCAAUGGAUGAGUGAUGGAUAAUUAUGUCGGAUGCGAUUCCUCAUGCAAUAGUUAUAACAUAGGGUGAUAUAGAACUAGCUCCAAUUCAUCAAUGUAAUGUAGGCAUGUAUUCCGUAAAUAGUCAUACGUGCUUAUGGAAAAGAACUUGCAUGACAUCUUUUGUCCUACCCUCCCGUUGAAGCGGGGUCCUUACGGAAACUAAGGGAUAUUAAGGCCUCCUUUUAAUAGAGAACCGGAACAAAGCAUUAGCACAUAGUGAAUACAUGAACUCCUCAAACUACGGUCAUCACCGACAAGUAUCUCGAGUAUUGUCACUUCGGGGUUGUCGGAUCAUAACACAUAAUAGGUGACUAUAGACUUGCAAGAUAGGAUCAAGAACACACAUAUAUUCAUGAAAACAUAAUAGGUUCAUAUCUGAAAUCAUGGCACUCGGGCCCUAGUGACAAGCAUUAAGCAUAGCAAAGUCAUAGCAACAUCAAUCUCAGAACAUAGUGGAUACUAGGGAUCAAACCCUAACAAAACUAACUUGAUUACAUGGUAAAUCUCAUCCAACCCAUCACCGUCCAGCAAUCCUACGAUGGAAUUACUCACGCACGGCAGUGAGCAUCAUGAAAUUGGUGAUGGAGGAUGGUUGAUGAUGACGACGGCGAUGAAUCCCCCUCUCCAGAGCCCCGAACGGACUACAUAUCAGCCCUCCCGAGAGAGAUUAGGGCUUGGCGGCGGCUCCAUGUCGUAAAACGCGAUGAAACUUUCUCUCUGAUUUUUUCUCCCCGAGACGGAAUAUAUGGAGUUGGAGUUGAGGUCGAUGGAGGUCCAGGGGGCCCACGAGAUAGGAGGUCGCGCCCUAGGGGGGGCGCCCCCUGUCUCUUGGAGAGGCUGUGGGCCCCCUGGCAUUAAUUUUUUCGCCAAAAAUUCUUAUUAAUUCCAAAAAGUGCCUCCGUGGAUUUCCAGGACAUUCCGAGAACUUUUAUUUUCUACACAUAAAACAACAUCAUGGUAGUUCUACUGAAAACAUCGUUAGUCCGGAUUAGUUUCAUUCAAAUCAUGCAAGUUAGAGUCCAAAACAAGGGCAAAAGUGUUUGGAAAAGUAGAUACGUUGGAGACGUAUCAACUCCCCCAAGCUUAAACCUUUGCUUGUCCUCAAGCAAUUCAGUUGAUAAACUGAAAGUGAUAAAGAAAAACUUUUACAAACUCUGUUUGCUCUUGUUGUUGUAACAUGAAAAGUCAGCAUUCAAGUUUCAGCAAAUAUUAUGAACUAACCAUACUCACAAUAACACAUAGGUCUCACAAUUACUCAUAUCAAUAGCAUAAUCAGCUAGUGAGCCAUAAUAAUAAAACUCGGAUGACAAUACUUUCUCAAAAUAACUAUAACAUGAUAUAACAAAAUGGUAUCUCGCUAGCCCUUUCUGAGACCGCAAAACAUAAAUGCAGAGCACCUUUAAAGAUCAAGGACUGACUAAACAUUGUAAUUCAUGGUAAAAGAGAUCCAGUCAAGUCAUACCCAAUAUAAACCAAUAAUAAUGAAUGCAAAUGACAGUGUGCUCUCCAGCGGGUGCUUUUAAUAAGAAGGGUGAUGACUCAACAUAAAAGUAAAUAGAUAGGCCCUUCGCAGAGGGAAGCACGGAUUUGUAGAGGUGCCAGAGCUCGAUUUUAAAAUAGAGUUUGAGUAACAUUUUGAGCGGCAUACUUUUGCUGUCAAUGCAACAACUAUGAGAUGGCUGUAUCUUUCAUACUACAUGCAUUAUAGGCAGUUGCCAAACAGAAUGGUAAAGGUUUAUACUCCCCCAACCACCAACAAACAUCAAUCCAUGGCUUUCUCGAAACAACGAGUGCCUCCAACAUACAACAGCCCUGGGGGAGUUUUGUUUAAUUAAUUUGAUUUGCUUUGAUCUUUUUGGACCAUGGGACUGGGCAUCCCGGUUACCGGCCCUUUCUCGUGAAUGAGGAGCGGAGUCCACUCCUCGUGAGAAUAACCCACCUAGGAUGGAAGAUAUAGGCAGCCCUAGUUGUAACAUGAGCUGCUCAAGCAUACAAAACAGAAUUUCAUUUGAAGGUUUGGAGUUUGUCACAUACAAAUUUACUUGGAACGGCAGGUAAAUACCGCAUAUAGGUAGGUAUAGUGGAGUCAUAUGGAACAACUUUGGGGUUUAAGGAGUUUGUAUGCACAAGCAGUAUUCUCGCUUAGUACAGGUGAAGGCUAGCAAAAGACUGGGAAGCGACCAACUGAGAGAGCGACAACAGUCGUAAGCAUGCAUUAAAAUUAAUUCACACCGGAUACAAGCAUGAGUAGGAUAUAAUCCACCAUGAACAUAAAUAUCGUGAAGGCUAUGUUGAUUUGAUUCAACUACAUGCGUGAACAUGUGCCAAGUCGAGUCACUCAAUACAUUCAAAGGAGGAUACCAUCCCAUCAUACCACAUCAUAAUCAUUCUAAUAGCAUGUUGGCACGCAAGGUAAACCAUUAUAACUCAUAGCUAAUCAAGCAUGGCACAAGUAACUAUAAUCUCUAAAUGUCAUUGCAAAUAUGUUUACUUCAUAAUAGCUGACUCGGGAACGAUGAACUCAUCAUAUUUACAAAAACAAGAGAGGUCCAGUUCAUUCCAGCUUUUCUCAUCCCAAUAAGUCCAUCAUAUAUCGUCAUUACUGCCUUUCACUUGCACGACCGAACGAUGUGUAUAAUAAUAAGAGUGCACUUGCGUUGGACUAAGCUGGAAUCUGCAAGCAUUCAACUCAAGAGAGAAGGCAGGGUAAUAUGGGCUCUAAAUUAAAUAAACAAUCAUGCAUAUAAGAGCCACUAAGCAUUUUCAAUAUGGUCUUCUCGACCCCCAAAAGAAAGAAAAGAAAAGAAAACUAUUUACACGAGAAAUCUCUCAACAAGUAAGAAGAAGAACAAGAAAUAUUUUUGGGUUUUCAUUUUAAUUUCUACUACAAACAUGGAAAUUAAACUAACUAAUUUUUUGGUUUUUUCUUAAAGUUUAUCAAACACACAAGGAGAAAACUAGAAAAAGAAAUUUAAACUAGCAUGGAUAAUACAAUGAAAGAGUAUGAGCACCGACGACUAGUGUGUGAACAUGAAGGUAAAGUCGGUGAGAAAUACAUACUCCCCCAAGCUUAGGCUUUUGGCCUAAGUUGGUUUAAUACCAAUGACCGCCUCGCUGAUAUACAUAAGUGAAACUGGGGUAGUACUGAGAUGCAGAGGCGACCGCCUCCUGAGCAGCAGCGUGUUGGCGAGCUGCAUCCAUUCCCCUCUCAUAUUCAGUUGCUUCUUCCCUGGUGACAACAUAUCUUCCUUUUGCCUGAAAAUAAAAAAGGUAGGGAGCAGGAAGAGUAACAGGGACGACAUUGUGUCUGUCAUAGAUUAGUCGAUAAUGGAGGAAUUGUUCAUUCCUCUCAAGAAAAUUAUGAUCAAACAUAGCUUCUUUAUCCAAAUAAAUAGGAGGUACAAUCAUAUCCCCCUCUCGUGGAGCUAUACUAAGAAAAUUAGCCACACGGGUUGCAUAAAUUCCUCCAAAUAAAUCUCCCCUUCUACUAUUAUUCUGCAACCUACGUGCAACUAUUGCCCCCAAGUUAUAACCUUUAUAACCUGACACAGCACUCUUGAGGACACAAAGAUCAGGGGCACACAUGUGACAUACCUCGUCCUUACCGUUAAUGCAUCUACCAAUAAAGAGAGCAAAAUAAUGUAUAGCUGGAAAAUGAAUGCUCGCUAUAGUAGCUUGUGAUACGUCCAUAGAUUCUCCCACAGUAAUACUAGCAAGAAAAUCUCUAAAUUCAGAUUUGCGAGGAUCAUUGAUAUUACCCCACUGCGGGAGUUUGCAAGCAGUCGUGAAAUCCUCUAAAUCCAUGGUAUAAGAUGUAUCAUAAAUAUCAAACAUGACACUAGGAGAAUUACGCGCAGAAAUAUAUUCGAACCUCCGCACAAAGGAAUCAGUCAAUUGAUAAUAUUGAGGACACUUAUCUUGUAAGAAGUCCUCCAGCUCAGCAUUACGCACAUACGCGUCAAAUUCCUCCUUGAAGCCUGCUUCGACCAUAAAAUCAUCGGAUGGCCACUCACAAGCCCGUACAUUCGCGUCCCUCAGCAGUUUAACAUCUUGCUCAUGUAUAGCAAUCCUUGGCCCUUUCUUUGCCGAGGAACCACCUUGGUACAUUCUUCUAAGCAUAUUUCUUUUCUGAAAAUUUCUGACAUUUUAGUAACUUCAAAAUAAAGGUGAAUAAAACUAAACAAGAUUGAUAGCAACUACUCCUAUAAGAGCCUAGAGCCUAUAUCAUGCAUUGGAAUGGCUUGGGACCUCAAACUUUUAACAUGCAAGCUCAAGAACAUGGUCACCUAUGCAGCAAAAAUUUGCAAUGAAUAAAGCACUAGAACAAAAACUAAUUGGACCAAUAGAGGAGUCACAUACCAAGCAACAAUUCCCCAAAGCAGUUUUGUGAAUGGAGCUUUGAGCUAAGAGAUCGAAAAUCGCAGCAAAACGAGCUAGAACUCGUGCUUGAGCUAGAUGGGGAUUUUUUUGGGGUAGAAGAUGAAGUGUGUGGGCGCUGGCAUAAGUGGAGGGGAGCCACUAGGGGCCCACGAGAUAGGGGGCGUGCCCUACAGGGGGGGCUCCUCUCUCGUGGCCUGGUGCUUGCCCCUCCUACAGUGUUUUCAGUGCCUAAAAUCCUCAAAUAUUCCAGAAAAAAUCAUACUAAAUCUGCAGGGCAUUUGGAGCACUACUAUUUUCAGACUAUUUUUUAAUGCACGGAUAAUUCAGAAAACAGACGUAUAAUACUAUUUUUGCUUUAUUUAAUCUAAAUAACAAAAAAGUAAAAAGAGGGUAUAGGAGGUUGUGCCUUCUAGUUUCAUCCAUCUCGUGAUCAUCAAAAUGAACCCAAUCAAGUCUUGUUAACAAACUCAUUCCGAAUAACACGGAACCGGAGAAAUUUCGAAUAACACUAAGUUACCUCAACGGGGAUAUGAAAAUCCCCAACAACAAGAAUAUCAUACUUUUUCUUGAAAGUAGGGAGAGGAAAUUCAAAACCUCCAAAAAUGAUAGUUGGAACUUUUUCAAUAGAAUUGAUGCUAUGGACUUGAGAUUGUUUCCUCGGAAAGUGUACCGUAUGCUCAUUACCAUUAACAUGAAAAGUGACAUUGCCUUUGUUGCAAUCAAUAACAGCCCCUGCAGCAUUAAGAAAAGGUCUACCAAGGAUAAUAGACAUACUAUCAUCAUCAAGAAUAUCAAGAUUAACAAAGUCCGUUAAGAUAGUGACAUUUGCAACCACAACAGGCACAUCCUCACAAACACCGACAGGUAUAGCAGUUGAUUUAUCAGCCAUUUGCAAAGAUAUUUCAGUAGGUGUCAACUUAUUCAAUUCAAGUCUACGAUAUAAAGAGAGAGGCAUAACACUAACACCGGCUCCAAGAUCACAUAAAGCAGUUCUAACAUAAUUUCUUUUAAUGGAGCAUGGUAUAGUUGGUACACCCGGAUCUCCAAGUUUCUUUGGUAUUCCACCCUUAAAAGUGUAAUUAGCAAGCAUGGUGGAAAUUUCAGCUUCAGGUAUCUUUCUUUUAUUUGUGAUGAUAUCCUUCAUAUACUUAGCAUAAGGAUUUACUUUCAACAUAUCAGUUAAGCACAUACAUAAGAAAAUAGGUCUAAUCAUCUCAGCAAAGCACUCAAAAUCCUCAUCAUCCUUUGACUUGGAUGGUUUAGGAGGAAAGGGCAUGGGUUUCUGAACCCAUGGUUCUCUUUCUUUACCGUGCUUCCUAGCAACAAAAUCUCUCUUGUAAUAACGUUGAUUCUUUGAUGGUGGGUUAUCAAGAUCAACAGCAGGUUCAAUCUCUACAUCAUUGUCUUUGCUAGGUUGAGCAUCAACAUGAACAUUAUCAUUAACAUUAUCACUAGGUUCAUGUUCAUCACCUGAUUGUGUUUCAGCAUUAGAAACAGAAAUAUCAUUGGGAUUCUCAGGCGUGUCUACAGUAGGUUCAUUAGAAGCAUGCAAAGUUCUAUCGUUUUUCUUUUUCUUCUUUUUAGAAGAACUAGGUGCCUCUAAAUUAUUUAUCUGAGAAUCUUGCUCGAUUCUCUAAGGGUGGCCUUCAGGAUACAAAGGUUCCUGAGUCAUUCUACCAGUUCUAGUAGCCACUCUAACAGCAAAGUCUUUUUUAUUAUUCAAUUCCUCCAGCAAAUCAUUUUGAGCUUUAAGUACUUGCUCGGCUUGAGUAGCAACCAUAGAAGCAUAUUUGCUAAUGCUGUGAAGUUCAUCUUUAACUCUAGCUAGAUUAUCACCUACGCGUCCUAUCUCGAAAGCAUUAUUCUUUAACUCUCUACCAACAUAAGCAUUAAAAAUUUCUUGUCUAGCCAUAAAGUCCUCAAAUUCAUCUAAGCAUGGGCUAUGAAAUUUAGUAGAGGGUAUUUCAACUUUAUCAUAUCUAUAGAGAGAAUUUACCUUUACUACCUGUGUCGGGUUAUCAAGACAAUGUGGUUCUUCAGGAGGUAAAUUAAGACCAUGUAUUUAUUCAAUAUGUGGUAAAUUCUUAACAUCUUCAGCUUUAAUACCUUUUUCUUUCAUUGAUUUCUUUGCCUCUUGCAUAUCUUCAGGACUGAGAAAUAAAACACCUCUCUUCUUCAGAGCGGGUUUAGGAAUAGGAUCAUGAGUUGGCUCAAUUGGUUCAGGAAUUACUUCAGGAACUGGCUCGGGAAGAGUCCAAUUAUUUUCAUUAGUCAACAUAUUAUUCAAUAGUAUUUCAGCUUCGUCGACUGUUCUUUCCCUGAAAACACAACCAGCACAACUAUCCAAGUAGUCCUUGGAAGCAUCGGUUAGUCCAUUAUAAAGGAUAUCAAGUAUUUCAUUUUUCUUAAGAGAAUGAUCAGGCAAAGCAUUAAGUAACCGGAGAAGCCUCCCCCAAGCUUGUGGGAGACUCUCUUCUUUGAUUUGCACAAAGUUAUGUAUUCCCCGCAAGGCAGCUUGUUUCUUAUGAGCAGGGAAAUAUUUAGCAGAGAAGUAAUAAAUCAUAUCCUGGGGACUACGCACACAACCAGGAGCAAGAGAAUUAUACCAAGUCUUAGCAUCACCCUUUAAUGAGAACGGAAAUAUCUUAAGGAUAUAUAAAUAGCGAGACUUCUCAUCAUGAGUAAACAGGGUGGCUAUAUCAUUCAACUUGGUAAGAUGUGCCACAACAGUUUCAGAUUCAAGGCCAUAAAAAGGAUCAGGAUCUACAGAGAAUUCAUAAUCCUUAUUAGUAACACAGAUAGGUGAAGUAGAAAAAGCAGGAUCGGGUUUCAUUCUAGCAUUAAGAGACUGCUGCUUCCAUUUAGCUAAUAAUUUCUUAAGAUCAUUUCUAUCAUUGCAAGCAAGAAUUUCCAUAGCAGAUGCUUCAUUCAUAACAUAACCCUUAGGAACAACAAGUAAUACAUAAUCAUUGGGGGAACCUUCAUCAUCACUAUCAUCAAUAAUAGGUUCUUCAAUAUUUUCAUUCCCCCUAACUCUAGCAAGUUGUUCAUCUAGAAAUUCACCUAAUGGCAAAGUAGUAUCACGCACAGAAGUAGUUUCAUCAUGCAUAGCAGAAGUGGCAUCAUCAAUAACAUGCGAUGUAUCAGAAUUCAUAGCAGUAGUAGGUUUAGGUGUCGCAAGCCUACUAAUAACGGAAGGAGAAUCUAGUGCAGAGCUAGAUGGCAGUUCCUUACCUCCCCUCGUAGUUGAGGGCAAAAUAGUAGUUCGAUCGUCUUUCAAGUUCUUCAUAGUGAUCAACAGAUAUAAAUCCCAAGUGACUCAGAGAAUAGAGCUAUGCUCCCCGGCAACGGAGCCAAAAAUUAGUCUUGAUAACCCACAAGUAUAGGGGAUCGCAACAGCUUUCGAGGGUAGAGUAUUCAACCCAAAUUUAUUGAUGCGACACAAGGGGAGCCAAAGAAUAUUCUUGAGUAUUAGCAGUUGAGUUGUCAAUUCAACCACACCUGGAUAACUUAGUAUCUGCAGCAAAGUAUUUAGUAGCAAAAGUGGUAUGAUAAUAAUAGUAACGGUAGCAAAAGUAAAGAUAAAUGUUUUGGGGUUUUUGUAGUAGUUGUAACAGUAGCAAUGGAAAAGUAAAUAAGCGAAGAACAAUAUGUGAAAAGCUCGUAGGCAAUGGAUCAGUGAUGGAUAAUUAUGUCGGAUGCGAUUCCUCAUGCAAUAGUUAUAACAUAGGGUGAUAUAGAACUAGCUCCAAUUCAUCAAUGUAAUAUAGGCAUGUAUUCCGUAAAUAGUCAUACGUGCUUAUGGAAAAGAACUUGCAUGCCAUCUUUUGUCCUACCCUCCCGUUGAAGCGGGGUCCUUACGGAAACUAAAGGAUAUUAAGGCCUCCUUUUAAUAGAGAACCGGAACAAAGCAUUAGCACAUAGUGAAUACAUGAACUCUUCAAACUACGGUCAUCACCGAGAAGUAUCCCGAUUAUUGUCACUUCGGGGUUGUCGGAUCAUAUCACAUAAUAGGUGACUAUAGACUUGCAAGAUAGGAUCAAGAACACACAUAUAUUCAUGAAAACAUAAUAGGUUCAGAUCUGAAAUCAUGGCACUCGGGCCCUAGUGACAAGCAUUAAGCACAGCAAAGUCAUAGCAACAUCAAUCUCAGAACAUAGUGGAUACUAGGGAUCAAACCCUAACAAAACUAACUUGAUUACAUGGUAUGUCUCAUCCAACCCAUCACCGUCCAGCAAGCCUACGAUGGAAUUACUCACGCACGGCGGUGAGCAUCAUGAAAUUGGUGAUGGAGGAUGGUUGAUGAUGACGACGGCGACGAAUCCCCCUCUUCGGAGCCCCGAAUGGACUCCAGAUCAGCCCUCCCGGGAGAGAUUAGGGCUUGGCGGUGGCUCCAUGUCGUUAAACGCGAUGAAACUUUCUCUCUGAUUUUUUUCUCCCUGAGACGGAAUAUAUGGAGUUGGAGUGGAGGUCGGUGGAGGUCCAGGGGGCCCACGAGAUAGGAGGUCGCGCUCUAGGGGGGCGCCCCCUGUCUCGUGGGCAGGCUGUGGGCCCCCUGGCAUUAAUUCUUUCACCAAAAAUUCUUAUUAAUUCCAAAAAGUGCCUCCGUGGAUUUCCAGGACAUUCCGAGAACUUUUCUUUUCUACACAUAAAACAACAUCAUGGUAGUUCUGCUGAAAACAACGUCAGUCCGGGUUAGUUUCAUUCAAAUCAUGCAAGUUAGAGUCCAAAACAAGGGCAAAAGUGUUUGGAAAAGUAGAUACGUUGGAGACGUAUCAAGAUGACCUAAGGUUUAUCAAUCCGUGGGAGGCGUAGGAUGAAAAUGAUCUCUCUCAAACAACCCUACAACCAAAUAACAAAGAGUCUCUUGUGUCCCCAACACACCCAGUACAAUGGUAAAUUGUAUAGGUGCACUAGUUCGGCGAAGAGAUGGUGAUACAAGUGCAAUAUGGAUGGUAGAUAUGGGUAUUUGUAAUCUGAAAAUAUAAAAACAGCAAGGUAACUAAUGAUAAAAGUGAGCACAAACGGUAUUGCAAUGGUAGGAAACAAGGCCUAAGGUUCAUACUUUCACUAGUGCAAGUUCUCUCAACAAUAAUAACAUAAAUAGAUCAUAUAACAAUCCCUCAACAUGCAACAAAGAGUCACUCCAAAGCCACUAAUAGCGGAGAACAAACGAAGAGAUUAUGGUAGGGUACGAAACCACCUCAAAGUUAUCCUUUCUGUUCUAUCUAUUCAAGAGUCCGUAGUAAAAUAACAUGAAGCUAUUCUUUCUGUUCAAUCUAUCUUAGAGUUCAUACUAGAAUAACACCUUAAGACACAAAUCAACCAAAACCCUAACGUCACCUAGAUACUCCAUUGUCACCUCAAGUAUCCGUAGGCAUGAUUAUACGAUAUGCAUCACACAAUCUCAGAUUCAUCUAUUCAACCAACACAAAGUACUUCAAAGAGUGCCCCAAAGUUUCUACCGGAGAGUCAAGACGAAAACGUGUGCCAACCCCUAUGCAUAGGUUCAUGGGCGGAACCCGCAAGUUGAUCACCAAAACAUACAUCAAGUGGAUCACGUGAUAUCCCAUUGUCACCACAGAUAAGCAUGGCAAGACAUACAUCAAGUGUUCUCAAAUCCUUAAAGACUCAAUCCGACAAGAUAACUUCAAAGGGAAAACUCAAUUCAUCACAAGAGAAUAGAGGGGGAGAAACAUCAUAAGAUCCAACUAUAGCAGCAAAGCUCGCGAUACAUCAAGAUCGUGCCAUAGAGAGAACACGAGAGAGAGAGAGAUCAAGCACAUAGCUACUGGUACAUACCCUCAGCCCCGAGGGUGAACUACUCCCUCCUCGUCAUGGAUAGCUCCGGGAUGAUGAAGAUGGCCACCGGUGAGGGAUCCCCCCCUCCGGCAGGGUGCCAGAACGAGCUCCCGAGAGGUUUUUGGUGGCUACAGAGGCUUGUGGCGGCGGAACUCCCGAUCUAUCUUUGUAUUCGAUGGUUUUAGGGUAUAUGGGAAUAUAUAGGUGAAAGAAGUCGGCCAGGGGAGCCUCGAGGGGCCCAUGAGACAGGGGGCGCGCCCAGGGGAGUGGGCGCGCCCUCCUAUCUCCUGGCCUCCUCGAAGCUUCCCAGGCUUGUACUCCAAGUCUCCCGGAUCAUGUUCGCUCCAAAAAUCACGCUCCCGAAGGUUUUAUUCAGUUUGGACUCCGUUUGAUAUUCCUUUUCUUCGAAACACUGAAAUAGUCAAUAAAACAGCAAUAUGGGUUGGGCCUCCGGUUAAUAGGUUAGUUCCAAAAGUAAUAUAAAAGUGUAUAAUAAAGCCUGUAAUCAUUCAAAACAGAUAAUAAAAUAGCAUGAAUGCUUCAUAAAUUAUAUAUACGUUGGAGACGUAUCAGCAUCCCCAAGCUUAAUUCCUACUCGUCCUCGAGUAGGUAAAUGAUAAAAGAAAGAAUUUAUGAAGUGUGAAUGCUAGCAGGUGCACAAGUUUGAUCAAUGAUAAUUUCAAUCACCUUUUCUAGCAUGAUUAUAUGUCAUAGCAGUAGUUCAUCUCAUAAAACUACUCACGAACAAGUAACAAGCAACUCACCUGUUGAAGCAUAGACCAUAAACUUUCUUGAAAACUAGCAAACUUUAUUCUUAGUCAUCAAACAAUUACAAUUCAUCUUAUUUUUUGGAAAGGUCUAUGUCAGAGCUUUGAUUUAGCAAACUCCACAUACUCAACUAUCAUAUAGUCUUCCAUAAUUGCUAACACUCACGCAAUACUAAUGGUUAUGGAGUUUUAAUCGGACACUGAGAAAGAUAGGGGCUUAUAGUGUUGUCUCCCAACGUAUUCACCUUUGGGUGAUGUCAACAAUAAUAGUUCAUGAUAACUUACAUCCAAUUGGAUAUAUAUAUCCGGAUCUUUCCAACACGAGGUGCUUGCCAAAGGAUAAAAUGAAAAAGGGAAAGGUGAAGAUCACAUUGACUCUUGCAUAAAGUAAAAGACAUAAAGUAAAAGAGAGGCCCUUCGCAGAGGGAAGCAGAGGUUGCCAUGCGCUUUUAUGGUUGGAUGCACAAAAUCUUAAUGCAAAAGAACGUCACUUUACAUUGCCACUUCUAUAUGGACCUUUAUUAUGCAGUCCGUCGCUUUUAUUGCUUCCAUAACAAGAUCGUAUAAAGCUUAUUUUCUCCGCACUAAUAAAUCAUACUUAUUUAGAGAGCAAUUUUUAUUGCUUGCAUUGAUGACAACUUACUUGAAGGAUCUUACUCAAUCCAUAGGUAGGUAUGGUGGACUCUCAUGGCAAAAUUGGGUUUAAGGAUAUUUGGAAACACAGGUAGUAUAUCUACUUGGUGCAAGGAAUUUGGCUAGCAUGAGGGGGAAAGGCAAGCUCAACAUGUUUGAAUGAUCCAUGAUAAUAUACUUUAACUGAGAUGUGAGAAAACAUAACCCAUUACGUUGUCUUUCUUGUCCAACAUCAACUCUUUAGCAUGUCAUACUUAAUGAGUGAUCACAAUUAUAAAAGAUGUCUAAGAUAGUAUAUUUAUAUGCAGAAUCUCUCUUCCUUCAAUAUUCUUUCAUGAAUUGUUCAAAUGACCAAUACAAUGCUUGCUAACCUUCAAUAAAUUUACAACCUCUACUUCUUAGAUGUGAAGUCAUUACUCCCCAUGGGAUAAGCAAAUGAAACAUAUAUAAUUACAUAUUUAUGACAUUCAACUCAUUCAACCAUUUACUCAUAAGAUAUAAGUGAAGCACACGAGUAAAUGACAAACUACUCCAAAAAGAUAUAAGUGAAGAUUAAUGAGUAGCUAAAUAAUUGUGUAACUAUGUGAAGACUCUCUCUCAUUUAAGAAUUUCAUAUCUUGGUAUUUUAUUCAAACAUAAAGCAAAGCAAAAUAAAAUGACAUUGCAAGGAUAGCACAACUCAUGUGAAGAAGCAAAAACUUAGGCUCAACCGAUACUAACCGAUAGUUGUUGAAGAAGAAAGGUGGGAUGCCUAACGGGGCAUCCCCAACCUUAGAUGCUCGAUACUUCUUGAAAUAUUAUCUUGGGGUGCCUUGGGAAUCCCCAAGCUUGAACUUUUUUGUCUCCUUAAUUCUUCUCAUAUCAUCGUUUCUCUUUUUAUCAAAAGCAUCAUCCACACCAAACUCAACAAGAACUCGUGAGAUAGGUUAGUAUAAACCAAUGCAAAACCUUAUCAUUUUCUACUGUAACAAAUCACUAAAAUUAUUAUUCAACAUUGAAUACUAAAUGCCUCUGCAUAUUUAAUACUCCAAUCCUCAAAUAGAAUCAUUAAACAAGCAAACAUAUGCAAACAAUGCAACCAUAACAGCAAUCUGCCAAAACAGUAUAGUCUGUAAAGAAUGCAAGAUUCAUCAUACUUCCCUAACUCCAACAAUUAUGAGAAAAAUACCUUACUGUAGAAUAUUUAUCAGAUCUCAAUAUGCAAAAAGUUUCAACAUUAUACCAUUCUCUGACUUUUCUAGGGAAUUUUUGCAACAGCGGUAAACUUUCUGUUUUCAAACAGCAACAUGUAUACUAGCAAAAUAAGCAUGGUAAAGGCUAUCCUUGACAUUUUUAUUUAAAAUAUAGAUGCAAAACAUUAAUCUAAAUAACAGCAAGAAAAUACUUACAAAAUAAAAUGACGCUCCAAGCAAAACACAUAUCAUGUGGUGAAUAAAAAUAUAGCUCCAAGUAAAGUUACCGAUAGACGAAGACGGAAGAGGGGAUGCCUUCCGGGGCAUCCCCAAGCUUAGGCUCUUGGUUGUCCUUGAAUAUUACCUUGGGGUGCCUUGGGAAUCCCCAAGCUUAGGCUCUUUCCACUCCUUAUUCCAUAGUCCAUCAAAACUUUACCCAAAACUUGAAAACUCCACAACACAAAACUCAAUAGAGAACUCGUAAGCUCCGUUAGUAUAAGAAAAUAAAACAACCACUUAGGUACUGUUGUGAACUCAUUAUAAAUUUAUAUUGGUGUAAUAUCUACUGUAUUCCAACUUAUCUAUGGUUCAUACCCUCCGAUACUACUCAUAGAUUCAUCAAAAUAAGCAAACAACACAUAGAAAACAGAAUCUGUCAAAAACAGAACAGUCUGUAGUAAUCUGUAUCAAACGUAUACUUCUGGAACACCAAAAAUCCUACCAAAUUAGGAAGUCCUAAGAAAUUUUUGUACCAAUCUAGAUAUGAAAGAAUCGGAUCAGAAACACGUUUCUGUGAAUUAUAGAAACUAAUUUACUGGGUGCAAAAGUUUCUGAUUUUUAGCAGGAUCAACACAACUAUCACCGUAAGCUAUCAUAAAGGUCUUACUUGGCACUUUAUUGAAACGAAACCUAUAAAACAUGAUUACUACAGUAGCAUAAUCAUGUGAACACACAAAAAAAGUAAGGGUAAAUAUUGGGUUGUCUCCCAACAAGCGCUUUUCUUUAAUGCAUUUCUAGCUAGGCAUGAUGAUGACAAUGAUGCUCACAUAAAAGAUAAGAAUUGAAACAUAACGGGAGCAUCAUGAAGCAUAUGACUAGCACAUUUAAGCCUAACCCACUUCCUAUGCAUAGGGUUUUUGUGAUCAAACAACUUAUGGGAACAAUAUUCAACUAGCAUAGGAAGGCAAAACAAGCAUAACUUCAAGAUUUUAAGCACAUAGAGAGGAAACUUGAUAUUAUUGCAAUUCCUACAAGCAUAUGUUCCUCCCUCAUAAUAAUUUUCAGUAGCAUCAUGAAUGAAUUCAACAAUAUAACCAGCACCUAAAGCAUUCUUUUCAUGAUGUACAAGCAUAGAGUUUUCACUACUCUCCACAUAAGCAAAUUUCUUCUCAUGAAUAGUAGUGGGAGCAAACUCAACAAAAUAAUUAUCAUGUGAGGCAUAAUCCAAUUGGAAACUAAAAUCAUGAUGACAAGUUUCAUGGUUAUCAUUAUUCUUAAUAGCAUACAAGUCAUCACAAUAAUCAUCAUAGAUAGCAACUUUGUUCUCAUAAUCAAUUGGAACCUCUUCCGAAAUAGUGGAUUCAUCACUAAAUAAAGUCAUGACCUCUCCAAAUCCACUUUCAUAAUUAUCACAAUAAUAUUCAACAUCCUCCAAAAUAGUGGGAUCAUUACUUCCUAAAGUUGACACUCUUCCAAACCCACUUUCAUCAAUAUAAUCAUCAUAAAUAGGAGGUAUGUUUUCAUCAUAAUAAAUAUUCUCAUCAAAACUUGGGGGACAAAAAAUAUCAUAUUCAUCAAACAUAGCUUCCCCAAGCUUGUGGCUUUGCAUAUCAUUAGCAUCAUGGGUAUUCAAGGGAUUCAUACUAACAUUGCAAUCAUGCUCAUCAUUCAAAUAUGUAAUACCAAACAUUUUAAUGCACUCUUCUUCUAGCAAUUGAGCAUAAUUUUCCUUUCCAUCAUUCUCACGAAAGAUAUUAAAAAGAUGAAGCGUAUGAGACAAACUCAAUUCCAUUUUUUGUAGUUUUCUUUUAUAGACUAAACUAGUGAUAAAACCAGAAACAAAAAGAUUCGAUUGCAAGAUCUAAAGAUAUACCUUCAAGCACUCACCUCCCCGACAACGGCGCCAGAAAAGAGCUUGAUGUCUACUACACAACCUUCUUCUUGUAGACGUUGUUGGGCCUCCAAGUGCAGAGGUUUGUAGGGCAGUAGCAAAUUUACCUCAAGUGGAUGACCUAAGGUUUAUCAAUCCAUGGAAGGCGUAGGAUGAAGAUGGUCUCUCUCAAACAACCCUGCAACCAAAUAACAAAGAGUCUCUUGUGUCCCCAAUACACCUGAUGCAAUGGUAAAUUGUAUAGGUGCACUAGUUCGGCGAAGAGAUGGUGACACAAGUGCAAUAUGGAUGGUAGAUAUGGGUAUUUGUAACCUUAAAAUAUAAAAACAACAAGGUAACUAAUGAUAAAAAUGAGCAAACGGUAUUGCAAUGGUAGGAAACAAGGCCUAAGGUUCAUACUUUCACUAGUGCAAGUUCUCUCAACAAUAAUAACAUAAAUAGAUCAUAUAACAAUCCCUCAACAUGCAACAAAGAGUCACUCCAAAGCCACUAAUAGCGGAGAACAAAUGAAGAGAUUAUGGUAGGGUACAAAACCACCUCAAGGUUAUCCUUUCUGUUCUAUCUAUUCAAGAGUCCGUAGUAAAAUAACAUGAAGCUAUUCUUUCUGUUCAAUCUAUCUUAGAGUUCAUACUAGAAUAACACCUUAAGACACAAAUCAACCAAAACCCUAAUGUCACCUAGAUACUCCAUUGUCACCUCAAGUAUCCGUAGGCAUGAUUAUACGAUAUGGAUCACACAAUCUCAGAUUCAUCUAUUCAACCAACACAAAGUACUUCAAAGAGUGCCCCAAAGUUUCUACCGGAGAGUCAACACGAAAACGUGUGCUACCCCUAUGCAUAGGUUCAUGGGUGGAACCCGCAAGUUGAUCACCAAAACAUACAUCAAGUGGAUCACAUGAUAUCCCAUUGUCACCACAAAUAAGCAUGGAAUGGCAUACAUCAAGUGUUCUCAAAUCCUUAAAGACUCAAUCCGACAAGAUAACUUCAAAGGGAAAACUCAAUUCAUCACAAGAGAAUAGAGGGGGAGAAACAUCACAAGAUCCAACUACAAUAGCAAAGCUCGCGAUACAUCAAGAUCGUGCCAUAGAGAGAACAAGCGAGAGAGAGAGAGAGAUUAAACACAUCGCUACUGGUACAUACCCUCAGCCCCGAGGGUGAACUACUCCCUCCGUCAUGGAUAGCGCCGGGAUGAUGAAGAUGACCACCGGUGAGGGAUCCCCCCCUCCGACAGGGUGCCGGAACGGGCUCCCUAGAGCUUUUUGGUGGCUACAGAGGCUUGCGGCGGCGGAACUCCCGAUCUAUCUUCGUAUUCAAUGGUUUUAGGGUAUAUGGGAAUAUAUAGGCGAAAGAAGUCGGUCGGGGAGCCUCGAGGGGCCCACGAGACAGGGGGCGCGCCCAAGGGGUGGGCGUGCCCUCCUAUCUCCUGGCCUCCUUGAAGCUUCCCUGGCUUGUACUCCAAGUCUCCGGAUCAUGUUCAUUCCAAAAAUCAUGCUCCCGAAGGUUUCAUUCAGUUUGGACUCCGUUUGAUAUUCCUUUUCUUCGAAACACUGAAAUAGGCAAUAAAACAACAAUAUGGGCUGGGCCUCCAGUUAAUAGGUUAGUCCCAAAAGUAAUAUAAAAGUGUAUAAUAAAGCCCGUAAUCAUUCAAAACAGAUAAUAAAAUAGCAUGAAUGCUUCAUAAAUUAUAGAUACGUUGGAGACGUAUCAAUCACCCACGAAGGAUUCCACUCGAUGUAAUCAUCAAGGUGAACAUAAGAGGAUCCACCCUCGAGGUUCACACUUGAGGUGUUGCACGACAGAGCCGUAUCGAGAAUGGUGAACGAGGAACCACCCUCGUUGACCACGACCGAAUAGCUACACUACAGAAUUGUCAUCAGGAGUGCGCUAUGAGGGAUCACCCUCGGCACUCGAUAGUAGCUCUGCAGAGUCGAGCAACUAAAGGGGCGUGAUGUGAUGUGAGGUGUCAGGCUCUGGUCAUCAAUCACGUUAAUUGAGUCAUCGAAGAUGAAGCAGGGGCAACAAGGACAAGGUGGGGGUCACUGAUGGAUCACUAACCAACCUAUACUAAGCAGUUUAGGAUAAGCGGGUAAGGUAUAAUGAGCUGGUUACAAAAGCAGGCUAUGCAUCAGAAUAGGAACAAACAAUAACAGUAGCAAAAUCUAAUGCAAGCAUGAGAGAAUGGAAUGUGCGAUAUCGGGAUGAUCAAAGGGGGGCUUGCCUGGAAGCUCCACUGAAAAGGAGAAGGGUCGUCGUCGACGUAGUCGAUCACAGGGACAUCAGCAGCGGUCUCGGGGUCUACCAGAGAGAAGAGGGUGAAGAAACAAUAAAUACAGAGCAAACAAGUGCAAAACUAUGCAUGACAAGACAAUAAGCAGCGCUAGGGAUGUUCUAACGCAGGGCUACACGAUACCGGCGAAGGGGGGAAACAUCCGGGAAAGUUUUCCCAAAGUUUGGCAUUUUCAGACAGAUGAAACGGAGGGGGAAGGCUGCACGUUUGCUAUGCUAGGGAUGUGUGGCGGACGAAUGGACUGCGUAUGCGGGUUCGUCUCGUCGUUCAGAGAAACUUUCAUGUAUAAUACUUUUUCAUCCGAGUUACGGAUUAUUUUAUAUGAAUUUCCGAAGAUUUAAACAGUUAUUUGGGAGUCUUGAAAAUUGGCUGUCUAAGAAUUGUUCAGACUUUAAACUUCACUAGCUGUUUUCCAGAGGCUAUAACUAGUGUUCUGCCCAUCCUUUGGAGUAGUUUCUUAUAUCAAUCUUGAUCAAUUUUCUAUGAUCUACAAGAUGGUAUCAAUUGCAUCUCUAUUAGAUCCCUAUAACUUGUUCAUUUUCUGCUCUAAAGUAGCUACCAUAGUAACUCUGUUUCAGUCUUUUCUGUUAACAGAACAUAGACUUUUGUCAUUUUCAUAGGAUUUAAUCCAUGCAUCAAAUGGAUUUGGCCUAGUGGGGUAAAAUGAAGUUUGACAAGUGUACUACCUGCCCAUACUAUUUUUACCCCAGUUAACAGUUGUUUAACUGAUGCUUAGGGGAUCUCUAUGGGGUUAGCCAGCGUAGAAUUAGCAAAGCUAGCUAGUAGCAGCUAUAGUAACUAGUAGUAGUACAUUCAGCAGAGCAGCAACAACAUGCACACGAGUUGGGCGUGGGGCGCGGCGCUGGACGGCGUGAGGCUUGGCCGGUGAGCGAUGCGGGGCGAGGGGCGAGGCAGGCCGCGGUUGCAGGGUGGCGGACCAGGGGGCAGUGACCGGCAAGCAGCAAUCAGAGCAGCGCGGCAGUGGCCGCCGCAGGCAGCAACGGCAGCGGCAGAAGCGGUAGGAAGCCGCAAGUGCGGCAGCAGUUCAAGGCAGCAGCAGCAGCUGGCAGAGCAGCGAGCAGCAGCGGCAUCGAGCAACGCAGCAGAAGGUGGCGCAGGAGGCCAUGCACGAGCACACGACGCAUGCACAAGGCGAGGCCAUGGCCGGUGACCUCGCGAACAGGACUGUCGGGGGCACGGCCACGGCCAGAGGGCACGGGCGGUGAGCGCGAGCUCCACGGAGCAUGGCUCGGUGGUGGUGGCGACGUACAACGAUGAAACCAACGGGGAAACAGCGGGAACGGCGUGGCCAUGAGCGGCGCGGGAUCGCCGGGCGCAGGGACGUGCAGGCGAUGGCAGCAGGCACGGCGACCGCGAGCUCCUCGGGAGCUCGGGCGUGACGGUGGGGGCGAUCUACGGCCAUAAUGGAGAUGGCAUUCUCGGCCACUAAUUGGCCCGUGGAAAAGAUGCUACAGUUCCUGCUCGACAUGGUGAACAUGGCGGUGGCACGCACGGGACCAAAGGUCACUUGUGGCCACGCCGGAGACAAGCGCGGACGGUGGCGAGUUCGGCAACAGCGGCAACGAGGCCUACGGCACGGGAACGAAGAAAGGUGGGUUUCGAGAAGGGCGUGUGCUCAAGGUAAGGCGGUAGUGGAGGACAGCGAGCUCGGGGAGGCUUGACAGCGUCGGAGUCGAAGAAGAACGUCGGCGGAUCCCAAGGUUUAAGUUGAGGUCAGGGUGGCAUUGCAGGGGCCGUCCGGCGCCGUGUGGCUUGACGUAGAUGAUGAGGGCGAUGCUACGGUGCUCCUGGACUCGUUGGAGAGGCAAGGGGUGGACGGUGGCCGCGGGAUCGAAGCGGGCGCAGCGGCGACCGCAUCGGCCUCCUCCCCAGAUCGAUGGAGAGGGCGAGGUGGAGAAGGGGAGAACAGGGGCAAGUGGGAGAGUGGAUGGAGUAGGGGGAGGAACCCGAGGGGGCAAGUGGGAAGAGGUGGGAUCGAGGGGUCGGGGCGUGGGUCCUUAUCCCCUCCCGGUGUCGGCGGCGGCGAGGUGGUCCGGGGCGACCAAGCCCCUAUAGCGACCUGGUCGCGUGAAUAGGGGUGAGAGGAGGGUUCGGUGAGGAUGGGCCGGUCUGAUGGCUUAGUGGGCCAAAGCCCAGGGGGAACAGUGGAGGGACUUUUCCUUUUAUUCUUUUACUUAUUUUUUUUGUUUUUUAUAGUUUCCUUUCAUGUAUUUAUUUUUAGGUUUGUAAAAUAUAAACCUAGCUCCAAAAUUAGUAUUACUACUUAGGCUACUGCCAUAAUUGAUUUGGCACAAUAAUAAAAUAGGUUUGUAUUUGUUUAUUAUUUAAAGGAAUUUAAUAAUUGCUUUAGUCGUUGUUUUAUUCACCAAAGAGCAUUUAAAUACUUUUACAAAAAUGUUGGGUCAGCACCAUAAUUGGUUAUGGAAUAUUUGUCACACUUUGAACAUUUUAUUUGGCAGGUUUGAGAAAUUUGUAUUUUGGCUUUAAUUUGAAUUUGAAUCAUGAUUUGGAUCAAGUGAGGAUUAGUAACAGUAAUGUGAUGACAUGGCACCGUUAGCGGGGGAUUACUGUAGCUUAAUUAUUCGGGCGUUACAAUUCUCCUCCACUACAAGAAAUCUUGUCCUGAGAUUUUAGAAGGUAGAUGGAAACAACACGAGGUAUUCAUCUCUAAUACGAUCCUCGAGUUCCCAAGUGGCUUCAUAUUUAGAAGGAUUUGACCAUUGAACUUUUAGAAUUUUGAAAGCCCUCUAAUGGUGCAAGAACGCAGACCGGGUGCUCUCUGUAAGUGAGAUUAUCGUGCAGGGGUUGAGCUAUAUAAGCCAUGGGGUUGUUGCAAUAAGACUUGCGACUUGGGGCAUCGGCCAUGAAAUAUCCUUGCCAGGGGUAUAAGAAAUACCAUAGUCAUAGUCUGUAACUGUUUCCAUACAUCGCUGCAGACGGAGAUCUGGAUCUAGGUGAGUAAAAAGAUACUUCGGACUUUGAUGAUCGGUGAAGACCUCACAACGAUUACCAAAAAAAGGAAAUGCCACCACAAAUUCAGUGCAAAUUUAUCUACAGCAAGUUCAAGGCCAUGGACUGGGUUGUUCUUUUGGACAGGCAUCUUGGAAUUCACAAACAAUUGGAGCGUUUUCAAUUCUCAUAAGAGAAGCAUUUACGCGUUCAAGGAAUAAAUUCGUGCUUCGAAACAAGAUGAGCAUGGUAGCUUACUAUCUCACUCGAAGGAUGAAGUAGAUGGACGGUUCAAGUGGUGCAAAUGAUAGAAGCAGUAUGUGGUUUCAACCAUUCCAUUCUCAGAAUGAGGUCAAUAUUGGAUGACUUCAAAACAAUGGGGGAAACAUGGAAUUCCAACCGUUCAAGUUCAAAGGGGACGUUGUGACUAAUCAGGGUGGUUCGACAUUGGCCCGCAGAAUGCAGCUUGGAAUUUUGGCCAAGUGAUGGCGGUUCCAACAGGUAAGGAAUGCCUGUGGACGCCCCACAAUUGAGUAGUGGGACCUUUAAGGUAGUAAGCCGCAAGAUGACAUAGUUGGCCGGGGCUACAUCAGCAGACUCCAACUCAAAAGUGAUGUCACGGAGCGAGUCAUCAGCAUCAAGUGGAUGAGUUGAGCUGCGGUAGAUGGUUGGGUUGAGAUGCGCAAAGUCUUGCAGAGUCACUGGUGCUGGUUGUUGAUUCAUAUUGGGGCGUGGGAAUUGAGCCAUGACUCGUACCAUGAACUGGCGAUUCAACAUCAAACUGUUGUAUCAUUCCCGUCAUGUAUUCGGGAGGUGGUGGAUUGUCACCACCACGGCAAUAACUAGCGGGUCUAACCAUCCUGCUCAAAACAUCAGGGAGCGGUUUAACAAGGGGUGGAGCAGGUGUAUGGAGUUAUUCAUGUUGUAAUCAGAACAAUGAGCAAAGGCACAGUAUGUAGAAAGCAGUAGUCAUUGAAGGCAUACACAUACAUAUACGGGUCCAGUUGCACGUUGUUCGUAUGAGUUCAGACAAGAGAAAUAUCCUAAACAUACUAGACGUCACGCAUGCACGCGAUGGAGGGAUACCUCUACGGGACAUAGUGAAGGCUACAUCAACGUCAUGGAAAACCACUAAAGUGAGGGAUUUGCAUGUGACGACGGAGGGUGCCGUCGAUAAGAGGAUCCUGCGGUCAGUGAACAAUGUGAAGCAGAUCUCGGCCCUCAAUUCAAGAAAGGUAAUACAAACCUUCGGGUGGAUGUGAUCACGAGAUCCUAAUGUUAGAUUUAGAAAAAACAUUUAACCCGAAUAGAAGAGAGAUCAGAGUCCCAGAGUAUAGACGAGGAGUAAAAGAGCUAAUACCACCCAAUGGCGACCUGGGGCCGUAAGCCACACGGCCAAGUUAGUAAACCAGUUUUUCAAAGACUAGACUCAACUUCGGCCAAGGAGUUGGAAAGGGGGAUCCUACAGGCAGUCGGCUCUGAUACCAACUUGUGACGCCCCCGACUCGACCGUACAUUAAUCAUACACACAAACGUGUACAAUCAAGAUCAGGGACUCACGGAAAGAUAUCACAACACAACUCUAAACACAAAUUGAAAGGAUACAAGCUUCAUAUUACAAGCCAGGGGCCUCGAGGGCUCGAAUACAUAGCUCGAUACACAAGAGUCAGCAAAAGCAACAAUAUCUGAGUACAGACAUAAGUUAGACAAGACUACCUUAAGAAGGCUAGCACAAAAGCAACACGAUCGUAGAGGCAAGGCCUCCUGCCUAGGACCUCCUAACUACUCCUGGUCGUCGGCGGUCUUCAUGUAGUAGCACCCGUCAGCGGUGGCAUCUGGCUCCAAGGAUCCACCAUCUGGUUGCAUCAACCGGAAAGAAGAAGGAAGGGGGGGAAGGGGUAGCAAAGCAACCGUGAGUACUCAUCCAAAGUACUCGCAAGCAUCAGAUCUAUACUAAGUAUGCAUUGGUAUCAAAUGGAAGUGUUGUAUCUGUGGACUGAACUGCAGAAAGCAAGAAUAGAGGUGAAUGCCUAGCCUAUCAAAGACUAGCAUCUUCAAGCAGCUCCAAGCAUCUUGCAGCAUGUAGAAGAGUAAAGAAUAGAAUUUUAUAAUUAACAAGCAUGUUGUAGCAUUAGUGCCUAGAGAUCCCGGGGCCACAUAUCUCAAGUAUUCAUUUCUAGUUGUAAUAGAUUAGGAUAUAAGUCUGAAUGUCCGUUACCGUGAACACGGCUAUUAAUAGAUAACCUUCCCUGUAGGGGUGCACCAUGUUUUCCAACAUGCUUGAUUACUCUUGCCAGACACACUUUUCUGGGUUACAAGAAAUAUGUCAACUUGUGACCACCACUAUUGGUCACUGAAAGGUCAUGGUUUUUCAUUUGCGACCUUUUUGUGACCAAAAACAGAAGGUCAAAAGUUGGCGGUCAUAAACUGACUAUAGCGAUCUUUCUUCUAAAAUGGUCGAAGACGUUUAUGACCAAAAUACAUCUACUGUGGUGUUUUGGUCACUAGCAACCUCCCCAGGCCACGUAGGCAUCCAACGUGGCAAUCUGAUGUGGCACAAGAUUCAGCCCGGUCCAAUUCGAUUUUCUACAUGGGCCUAGCCCAACAAUUCGGCCUAUUUGUGUUUUUUUCUCAUAUUGAUUUUGGCUAGGUAGAUGGGCCAAGCCCAACAAUUAAGCCUUCUCAUUUUGGGGCCGUGGCCUUUUCUGCUAGAAAGUUUUAGUUUUUUUAUAAUAUAAAAAAGGUCCACUAAUCAAAUGGGUCCCAGAUGUCAGGUACGUGGGUCCCAGCUAGCAAGUUCAUAUUCUUCAUAUUUCAAUUUAACAGUAAAUAAAUAACCAGUAUUUAAAUUGGCACAAACAAAACACACACAUAAUACUCCAAAUAUUAUUAGCCAGAUUCAGUACAGAGCUCCUAUUAUACAAAUAACAUAUACUUUACAAGCUCUACACAUAAUAAGCUCUAACAUAUACAAGCUCUACAAGCUCUACACGUGAUACAUUUACAAGCUCUAUACAUAUACAAGCUCUACAAGCUGCCCUGGUAUUAACCCUGUAGCUCUACAAGUGUCUUCAAUCUUCUUCAACAUGGAGCUCCUUCGGUAGCAAGCACAAAUUGGGCACCUGCAUCAUCACAGGAAGGCAAUUUUAGAUCAUAAAAACAAAUGUUCCAAGCACAGUUUAGAGAAAAGAACCAAGUAAAUUUUCCCUCAAUCAUACAAACAAAGUUUAGAGAAAACCAAACAUGAACAAGCACUUAUUAUGCAGGACACAUACGUACACAUCUCAGGAAAAGCUCGGAAAGAGCAAGGUGUCAGAGCAUGAUGUUAUCGAAAGCAUGAUUUACAAGUUUGUCUCUGAGACAUACGAUGGGUGCUUUUCAUAAAAGACAGAAUAAGUAAAACUAUUCAUGUUUCCCAACCCAGACUCUAAACGAGACUCUAACCAAGACCAUCCAGAAGUGACCCGAAGAGUGAACCAAUAUAGUGAAUGCUACAGUUCAUAUUUUGAUAGUAAAACUGAUGUGUAAUCAUAUAGAUAAUAAAAUACAUGGCACAAUAUCAGUACAUCUCCAAACAGCUAAUAAAUCUCAUAGUACCACAAGGACAUGCACCUACAGUACAUCCUGCAUUGCAGGUUCACAUCAACAGCUCAUAGAAAGGCUAUCAGUUCAACAACACUAAUACCACCUCAAGCAUCAGCAGUUUAAGAAGAAUGAGCACCAAAACAAAAGGGCAGUAGAUACCUCUUCAAACUUUUUUUCAAAAAUCAGCUCAUCCUCUUGACCGCUCUAGAUAUCGUCCAUGUGCAUUGCUCAGGAAAUUAUAAAUUCUGGUAUAGCACACAAGAAAAUAUCAGAGUAGAAAAGUGGCAUAGAAACUACCAAAAAAUUCUCAUGCUUAUUGUUAUUGCAAGAAGGCAUCGAUCAGAUUUUGAAGCUAAUAAUAAUUAACAUGUACUUAUCACUUGUUGGAGUUGGUUCUCUUCAAUUAAUCAAUAGCAUUGUGAGCAUAAGCAUUAAAUCAGCAGCACAAGUGCACACUUAUUCAAGCUAGUAGCAGCCCAGCAGGCUAGCAGCAAAAGCAUUCAAACAACUAGAGAAGCACAGUACAACAGCACAAGCAUUCAAAGAGCAGCAAGCCAGCAAGCACCAUCCAUCAGACCGGUAGCUUAAUGGAAGAAAAAUCUGAAGAAUAAAAGAUGUAUAGGUUGAGGAAAGAUGAGAGGAUGCUGGGUUGCUUGUAAAGCUACGACUGCGAGGCUAGCAGGCUUGGGCUGUCACAUGUCAUAUCUUAUAAACUUAGGCAUGUUUAUGGUAGAUGAACUGCAGCUUCUAGGAAUAGUAAAGCAAAGAUGUACUGCCACUAAUCAGCAAAAACAUAACAUUUUCUCAGAGUUAAUGAUAGCAAAUGGAUAAAGAUGGAAACAAAAAAUAUUUCUAAUAUUGGAACCCAACAUAGCAAAUCAAAACGAGAGAGGGGCAGAGGUGGCGUGGAGGAGAAAGGACCUUCUUCAGGUAACGAUUCUCGGCGUCGGUCCUCGGGCUCAAGAGCUCCUGCCUGUCAAUUAUCUGCGCACAAAGGUUCACACUCGUGGUAUCAGUUAUAGUUUUAAGAACUGAGAAAGCUAACAGCUAAGAAAGCACAACCAUGUAAGCUACAGUCUAAGAGCUAAAGAAAAAACAUGUGGCUAUACUUAAGAAAAAGAAAGGUGCUCAAGUUCAUGAAAGGUGCUCAACCAUGUAAGUAAGCAAAAUUUAAAAACAUGACACACAUGGGUUGAUAAAAUCCUAACACAGCAAGGGUAGUUCUUAAAAAUGUUUUGUAUCACAUACUAGGAGCAUGUGGCUUUCUUGGCGCUGGUACUUGUUAAUUAAGACAUGAAAAGCAAAGUGCAUUUCACUGGAUCAGAGUACACUCGCAAAAAGACAGCGGCAUGUCAAGUCACGGUGGAAUAGGAAACCAAACUUUUUAUUACAGUCCACAUAAGAGUGAGGUUGCAGGCAGGCUAAUUCUCGGCACACCAUCAAACAUGAAAAGUUAAAAAUAUUCAUCUAAAUAACACGGAAUCAAACAUUACCCUCAUUUUCUUCAUCAGUAUGCAGACAACACAAAAGAUAACUUAUUCUGCUGGGGCUUAAUGAAGACUCAAAACUGAAUAAACAAUGGCAUAUAUGUUCUGCUAAUUGGAAAAUACAGUCAACCGAAGCUGAACUUCAAGGCCAGUGCAAUGUUUGACGCUUUAGAUUAAGCUCAAUUUAUUAAUGUAAACAUACAUUGAUGUGAGUUGUGAAUGUGGUCUCAAAGAUCAUUACGGCGGACAGUGUAGAAUUGAAAUCACUAAAUGAGACAAACAACUCUGAAACCCCCGUCGUGGGCAAACAAUCCACUCUGCAACCCAAGAAUCUACCGCGAGAUUGCAUCUUGGAUGAGCAAGAAUCGAACCGAAGCAAGCGGGCCAGGAUCCAAUCUUUCUCGGACCAGAGCAUCGAGGGGGGAGGAGGGGCGGACGACGGACCUGCGGUUCUGGAUGGUGUUGCAGGUGAUGUCCUGGAGGUGGAAGAUGGCGCCUUGGCGGAGGGCGCCGGUCUUGAUGAGGUGGUUGUGGUUGGUGGAGAGCAUGGACUGCUGGGAGUGGACACCGUCGGAGAGCAGCAUGCGGUAGCGCUCCGACUGGUGGCCGGCGGGGUUCUUGGUGGUGACGGUGCGUAGGUACGCCACCUGCAGCACCGGCUGGAUGGUCCCCGGCCCGUUCGGCAGCUCCCAUAUCUCCCUCACCGCCCCUGCCGUCAGUCGCGGCGGCCCCUCCAUCCCCUCGCUGGCGAGGAAGGACCGGAUUGGAUUGGGUUUGGACAGAGCAACACGGAGAGGGAGAUGGUGUCCUGCAGCAGAGAGAGAGAGAAGCACGAGCGUCACGAAUAGAGCAACAGGAGCCCCAAAACAAAUCGGGUCAAACCACAGAUAGAGAGAGAGAGGAGACCUUGUUGACGAGCUCCAUGGCGUCGGAGCAUCCAAGCCACAGCGAACUCUCUCCUCGCACGGAAGAACCCACACGGCCGCGUCGUAGCCUCCCUCUCUUCCUCUCCUGGCGCGCGAGUGAUUGGGGGCGGGAGCAGACGACCUCGAGCACCCUAUCGCGUGUCGACGGUGCGAGAUUGGAUCUGGUAGCGUCGGGGCGGAUCUGGCGGCCACCUCACGUGCUGCUCGAUCUGGGAGGGAGAGGAGGAGGGUGAAGGGUUUCACGGCGAUGGUGGGGCAUAGGGUGGAGCGGGGGAGCGAAGUCGCCGGUGGCGGUGGGUGGGGGCGGCGGCGAGGCGAGGGAGAGACGAGGAGGGAAUCGAACGAGGAAGAUAGAGAGUGCGGGUGGGAGACGGGAGGGAGUGCGGGUGUCGAGAAGUGGGAGGGAGAAGGGAUGGGGAGCUCUAUCUGAGGGAGACGACGGUGGGAGGGAUCGAGGGGAGCGCCGUCGAUGGCGGCGGCGAGGAGAUGGGGGGAGGAGGGGUGCGAUGGGAGGAGGGGAUCGAUGGGAUCUGGGUAGGGUUUUGGUAGGUGGCUGCGGGUGGGGUUUUGUUUUUCAUUUUCUUUUUUUCUCUGUACAUAAAUUGAUGGAUGGAUGGAUGGAUGUGGUAUGGAGAGAUGGAUGGAUGGAUGGGUGCCAUGUCAUCGAUCCGUGUGACAACGAAUUCCACCAAUGGGAAUAGAGCACAUAUAGUUGUGUUUUUUUGUUUUUCUUCUACUUUUUCAUAUGAAAAAAAAAUCAAAUAUUGAUCUCAUAUUGUGCACAAGAGUGCAUCUUCAAAUGCCAAAUAAUGUUGCCUAAAUUGUUUUUCAUUUUCUUUAGAUGAAAACUCAAUUUUCCAUUUUUUGAGUGCCCAAAAUGGGUUUAAUUGUGAAGGGCCUACCAAAUAUUUGUUGCAAAAUUGGACCAAAUCAUUUGUCUAAAAUAUUAGUUCAUAUUUAAUGCACAAUUGACCAAAUGGUUGGGCAUCAAAAGCUUUUAUCCACCUCUCAUGAAAAAGACAAAUUUCUGCCGGUUCAGCAGGAAGCGGCUCAAAUUUGAACUGUAGCUACCUUGUAGUUUGCUCAUUAUUUUUUCCAAAAAUCAUUUCUAGGUACAUAAGUAUCUAUUUAAUCAGAGAAACAUCAAAAGGUCUCCAAGAUUCAACAACUAGCUAGGAACGGUCAAGCCCGCCGUUUUGAACGCAUUUUGAAACGGGCAUAAAAAAAUUCAAAAAAAAUCAAAAAAUUGGAAAACCUUCGCAUUGUUUCAUCAUAUGUGACCAAGUUUCCAGGAAAAAUAUAAACUUGUAAUACGGCAAUUAUUUUUAAAAAGUGUUCUCGAAAAUGAGCUGUCAUGCGUGAAGAUUCAUGGCUUUCAAGCCAAAUAACCAAUCUUAUAGCCACAUUCAUGGCAUAGUUUGUUCAAAUGAUAUCAUAUUGUGCAAAAGGGUGCAUCUUGGAAUGGAAAACAAUGUUGCCUAAGGGAGUUUUCAUUUUCUUUGCACGGAAAAACCAUUUUCCAUUUUUCGAGUGCCCGAAAGGAGGGUUUUUUGUGAAGGACCUCCCAAAUAAUUGUUGCAAAAUUGGACCAAAUCAUUUUUCUAAAAUACUGGGCCAUAUUUAAUGCACAAUUGACCAAAUGGUUGGGUGUAAAAAGUUUUUAUCCACCUCUGGUGAAAAAGACAAAUUCCUGCCGAUUCAGAUGGAAGCGAGUCAAAUUUGAACUGUAGCUGCCUCGUAGUUUGCUAUUUAUUUUUUCCAAAACUCAUUUCUAGGUACAUAAGUAUUUAUUUAAUCAGAUAAAUACCAAAAAAAUUCCAAGAUUCAACCACUAGCUAGGAACAGUCAAGCCCGCCGUUUUGACCGCAUUUUGAAACGGGCAUAAAAAUUUCAAAAAAAAAAUCAAAAAAUGGGAAACCUUCGCAUUGUCUCAUCAUAUGUGACCAAGUUUCCAGAAAAAAUAAUAAACUUGUAAUACGGCAAUUAUUUUAAAAAAAUGUUCUCAGAAACGAGCUAUCACGUAUGGAGAUCAAUGGCUUUCAAGCCAAAUGAUCAAUCUUAUGGCCACAUUCAUGGCAUAGUUUGUUCAAAUGAUCUCAUAUUGUGCAUAAGGGUGCAUAUUGGAAUGGCAAACAAUGUUGCCUAAGGAAGUUUUCAUUUUCUUUGCACGGAAAAACCAUUUUCCAUUUUUCGAGUGCCCGAAAGGAGGUUUUUUUGUGAAGGACCUCCCAAAUAAUUGUUGCAAAAUUGGACCAAAUCAUUUUUCUAAAUUACUAGGACAUAUUUAAUGCACAAUUGACCAAAUGGUUGGGUGUAAAAAGUUUUUAUCCACCUCUGGUGAAAAAGACAAAUUCCUGUUGAUUCAGUUGGAAGCGGGUCAAAUUUGAACUGUAGCUGCCUCGUAGUUUGCUAUUUAUUUUUUCCAAAAAUCAUUUCUAGGUACAUAAGUAUCUAUUUAAUCAGAGAAACACCAAAAAAAUUCCAAGAUUCAACCACUAGCUAGGAACGGUCAUUCCCGCCGUUUUGACCGCAUUUUGAAACGGGCAUAAAAAAUUCAAAAAAAUUCAAAAAAUUGGGAAACCUUCGCAUUGUGUCAUUAUAUGUGACCAAGUUCCCAGAAAAAAAUAACAAACUUGUAAUACGGCAAUUAUUUUAAAAAAGUGUUCUCAGAAACGAGCUAUCAUGUGUGGAGAUCAAUGGCUUUCAAGCCAAAUGAUCAAUCUUAUGGCCACAUUCAUGGCAUAGUUUGUUCAAAUGAUCUCAUAUUGUGCACAAGGGUGCAUAUUGGAAUGGCAAACACUGUUGCCUAAGGAAGUUUUCAUUUUCUUUGGACGAAAAAACAAUUUUCCAUUUUUCGAGUGCCCGAAAGGAGGUUUUUUUGUGAAGGACCUCCCAAAUAAUUGUUGCAAAAUUGGACCGAAUCAUUUUUAUAAAAUACUAGGCCAUAUUUAAUGCACAAUUGACCAAAUGGUUGGGUGUAAAAAGUUUUUAUCCACCUCUGGUGAAAAAGACAAAUUCCUGCCGAUUCAGUUGGAAGCGGGUCAAAUUUGAACUGUAGCUGCCUCAUAGUUUGCUAUUUAUUUUUUCCAAAAAUCAUUUCUAGGUACAUAAGUAUCUAUUUAAUCAGAGAAACACCAAAAAAAUCCAAAAUUCAACAACUAGCUAGGAACGGUCAUUCCCAAUGUUUUGACCGCAUUUUGAAACGGGCAUAAAAAAUUCAAAAAAUUGGGAAACCUUCGCAUUGUGUCAUUAUAUGUGACCAAGUUCCCAGGAAAAAUAACAAACUUGUAAUACGGCAAUUAUUUUAAAAAAGUGUUCUCAGAAACGAGCUAUCAUGUGUGGAGAUCAAUGGCUUUCAAGCCAAAUGAUCAAUCUUAUGGCCACAUUCAUGGCAUAGUUUGUUCAAAUGAUCUCAUAUUGUGCAAAAGGGUGCAUAUUGGAAUGGAAAACAAUGUUGCCUAACGAAGUUUUCAUUUUCUUUGGACGAAAAAAACAUUUUCCAUUUUUCGAGUGCCCGAAAGGAGGCUUUUUUGUGAAGGACCUUCCAAAUAAUUGUUGCAAAAUUGGACCAAAUCAUUUUUAUGAAAUACUAGGCCAUAUUUAAUGUACAAUUGACAAAAUGGUUGGGUGUAAAAAAAAUUGAUCCACCUCUCGUGAAAAAGACAAAUUUUCAUCGAUUCAGCUGGAAGCGGGUCAAAUUUGAACUGCAGCUGCCUCAUAGUUUGCUAUUUAUUUUCCAAAAAUCAUUUCUAGUUACAUAAGGACCUAUUUAAUCAUAAAUACAUGGUUUGGUGGCGAUACGUCGAGGUUUGGGCGGUGGCCGAGAGCCCCAACUCUAGAGCGCGUAAAUCGCAUGCCCGCCGCGUGGUCACCGCGUGACCGUGGCGUUGCCUUGUGUUCUGGGCGGCCUAGGUAUGUCUAGUGGGUUGGGCACUCCCCAGGUAGGUGCUAGGAAGAAAAUCACAACAUAAGAUUCUCACGAGGAGACCGAUCGAUGCUCAAACAUGAAUAAGCAGCCAAGUGUUUGAUUUGCGGUACGGGAAAUGCACAUGGCUAAUGGGCGUGAGUUUUGGCUGGGGAUGAUCAGUUACUAAGAAGACCAUCUUCACAAAUUUUCACCUCAAAAGGAGGAGCCUAGGUGGUACUUGCUUUACAAAGUACCACACUGGACAUAAAUACGAAUGUUGAAGCUGGGCUCAAAAUAAUGAAUGGAUUGAGCUGGCAUUUGGUGGAGGAUGGUUAUUUGGGCAUAGGAAAUCACUAUAGAAAAUGGAUACCAUUUGGACAUGCCAAAGUGGUACUUCCUUCACAAAGUGCUGCUUUGAACAGAAUAGGAAAAUAAAUAUUUUCGAAUUAUUUUUGAACUAGGCAAGGAAUGUUUUUGACAUAUUUGAUGAAGAUAUGACCCAAAGAAUUUAUGAGAUUUUUUUGGGACUUUUGGGAAUGACAGAAAUAUAGGUUGCUUCACAACCUAGGGCAAAAACUGCCACAUGGACAUGACACAUAGGCAAAACUGAUGAGAUGGCACCUAGUCAUCACAACCCACCACAAUUUACAAGGCUAUGACCAUCUAUAUUGGUCGUUAACAACUAAAAAUAAGACAACGGACUAGUGCUGUUUGCUUUAUGACCAUUUUGUGUAAGGAAAUUACGACCUUUCUAACCAAAAUGGUUGCAAUGGUUUAGGGUUUGGAGCCCCCCGAACAGCUUUUGACCAAUUGGUCUGAAAUGGUCAUAAUCUAUGACCAAUUCUUUCAGGGUCACUGACAGAAGGUCACUAGUUGACAUAUUUCUUGUAGUGAAUGCCCGGCCUCGAAAGAUCAACAUGUCGCAGCCCUACCUAGGCUCAGCAGAGAGGUCCCCGUCGGUCUACAUCCUAAGCACUCCGGGGUCUUGGGCCCCUCGUCUAGUGCACUCCGAGUUGUUGCGCGCAGGGCAGGUCCAGGCUCCACCACUACUGGAUGGUGCCGGCCCUGCCGCGCCGCCAUGCUGAACUGGAUGUCUGGCAAAGCUUCGGCUGAUACUACGACGUCGAGGCCAAUAACUAUUCUCGCAUGGUGGUUACUGCGUAAAUUAAGGCCAAAGGCCAACUCAGAACAAAUACCCAAACCAUAGUGUAUUAUUAGUUUGUGGAGACGAGCAGAGACUCACAAUAAUGUGACCCCGUCGCCCCGUCUCGAGGAAAUACGGCAAGGGCUAGCCCAGCCCACUUGGGGGCGGCCUGCCUGUCGGCCGUGCCUCAUAACCAUCUUCCGGGUGCUCUCCGGGUCUGACCGACUUUCCCAAAGGUCUCAAGUAAAGUCAAGGUAACCGUGUGUUCAAACAUCAAGAGGAAAACCCGAGGAAUCACCCACGGAGGAGUCCACUCGAUGUAAUCAUGAAGGUGAACGUAAGAGGAUCCACCCUCGAGGUUCACACUUGAGGUGUUGCACGACAGAGCCGUAUCGAGAAAGGUGAAUGAGGAACCACCCUCGUUGACCAUGACCUAAUAGCUACACUACAGAAUUAUCGUUAGGAGUGCGUUAUGAGGGAUCACCCUCGGCACUCGAUAGUAGCUCUGCAGAGUCGAGAAACUAAAGGGUCAUGAUGUGAUGUGAGGUGUCAGGCUCUGGUCAUCAAUCAUGUUGAUCGAGUCGUCGAAGAUGAAGCAGGGGAAACAAGGACAAGGUGGGGGUCUUUGAUGGAUCACUAACCAACCUAUACUAAGCAGUUUAGGAUAAGCAGGUAAGGUACAAUGAGCAGGUUACAGAAGCAGGCUAUGCAUCAGAAUAGGAACAGACAAUAACAAUAGCAAAAUCUAAUGCAAGCAUGAGAGAAUGGAACGGGCGAUAUCAGGAUGAUCAAAGGGGGGGCUUGCCUGGAAGCUCCGCUGAAAGGGGAGAAGGGUCGUCGUCGACGUAGUCGAUCACAGGGACAUCAGCAGCGGCCUCGGGGUCUACCGGAGAGAAGAGGGUGAAGAAACAAUAAAUACAGAGCAAAUAAGUGCAAAACUAUGCAUGACAAGACAAUAAGUAGCGUUAGGGAUGUUCUAACGCAGGGCUACAUGAUACCGGCGAAGGGGGAAAACAUUCGGGAAAGUUUUCCCGAAGUUUGGCAUUUUUGGACAGAUGAAACGGAGGGGGAAGGUUGCACGUUUUCUAUGCUAGGGAUGUGUGGCGGACGAAUGGACUGCGUAUAUGGGUUCGUCUCGUCGUUCAGAGCAACUUUCAUGUAUAUACUUUUUCAUCCGAGUUACAGAUUAUUUUAUACGAAUUUCCGAAGAUUUAAACAGUUAUUUGGAAGUCCUGAAAAUUGGCUAAGUUUGAGAAUUGUUUAGACUUUAAACUUCACUAGUUGUUUUCCAGAGGCUCUAACUAGUGUUAUGCCCAUCCUUUGGAGUAGUUUCUUAUAUCAAUCUUUAUCAAUUUUUUGUGAUCUACAAGAUGGUAUCAAUUGCAUCUCUGUUAGAUCCCUAUAACUUGUUUAUUUUCUGCUCUAAAGUAGCUACCACGAUAACUCUAUUUCAGUCUUUUCUGUUAACAGAACAUAGACUUUUGUCAUUUUCAUAGGAUUUAAUCCAUGCAUCAAAUGGAUUUGGUCUAGUGGGGUAAAAUGAAGUUUGACAAGUGUACUACCUGCCCAUACUAUUUUUACCCCGGUUAACAGUUGUCUAACCGAUGUUUAGCGGAUCUCUAUGGGGUUAGCCAGCGUAGAAUUAGCAAAGCUAGCUAGUAGCAGCUAUAGUAACUAGUAGUAGUACAUUCAGCAGAGCAGCAACAGCAUGCACACGAGUUGGGCGCGGGGCGCGGAGCUGCACGGCGUGAGGCUUGGCCGGUGAGCAACGCAGGGCGAGGGGCGAGGCAGGCCGCGGUUGCAGGGCAGCGGACCAGGGGGCAGCGGCCGGCAAGCAGCAAGAAGAGCAGCGCGGCAGUGGCCGUCGCAGGCAGUAACGACAAUGGCAAAAGCAGUAGGACGCAGGAAGUGCGGCAGCAGUUCAAGGCAGCAGCAGCAGCUGGCAGAGCAGCGAGCAGCAGUAGCAUCGAGCAGCAGCGGUAUCGAGCAGCGCAGUAGCAGACGGACGCACAAGGCGAGGCCACGGCCGGUGAGGUCGCGAACGGGGCUGUCGGGGGCACGGCCACGGCCAGAGGGCAUGAGCGAUGAGCGCGAGCUCCACGGAGCAUGGCUCGAUGGUGGUGGCGAUGUACGACGAUGAAACCAACGGGGAAACAGGGGGAACGGCAUGGCUAUGAGCGGCGCGAGAUCACCGGGCGCGAGGACGCGCAGGCAAAGGCAGCAGGCGCGGCGACCGCGAGCUCCUCGGGAGCGCGGGUGUGACGGCGGGGGCGAUCUACGGCCACGAUGGAGAUGGCGUUCUCGAGCACUAAUUGGCCCGUGGAAAAGAUGCUACGAUUCCUGCUCGACAUGGUGAACAUGGCGGUGGCACGCACGGGACCAAAGGUCACUGGUGGACACGCCGGAGACAAGCGCGGGGGGUGGCGAGUUCGGCAACAGCGGCUACGAGGCCUACGGCACGGGAACAAAGAAAGGUGGGUUUCAAGAAGGGCGUGUGCUCACGGUGAGGCGGUAGUGGAGGACAGCGAGCUCGGGGAGGCUUGAUGGCGUCGGAGUCGAAGAAGAACGUCGGCGGAUCCCGAGGUUGAAGAUGAGGUCGGGGUGGCGUUGUAGGGCCGUCCGGCGCCGUGUGGCUCAACGUAGAUGAUGAGGGCGAUGCUACGGUGCUCCUGGACUUGUUGGAGAGGCAAGGGGUGGACGGUGGCCGCGGGAUCGAAGCGGGCGCGGCGGCGACCGCAUCGGCCUCCUCUCCAGAUCGAUGGAGAGGGAGAGGUGGAGAAGGGGAGAAGAGGGGCAAGUGGGAGAGUGCAUGGAGCAGGGGGAGGAACCCGAGGGGGCAAGUGGGGAGAUGUGGGAUCGAGGGGUCGGGGCGUGGCGCCGUUAUCCCUUCACGGCGUCGGGGGCCAAAGCCUGGGGGGAACAGUGGGGGGCCUUUUCCUUUUAUUCUUUUACUUAUUUUGUUUUGUUUUCUUUUAAUAGUUUCCUUUCAUGUAUUUAUUUUUAGUUUUGUAAAAUAUAAACCUAGCCCCAAAAUUAGUAUUACUACUUAGGCUACUGCCAUAAUUAAUUUGGCACAAUAAUAAAAUAGGUUUGUAUUUGUUUAUUAUUUAAAGCAUUUAAUAAUUGUUUUAGUCAAUGUUUUAUUCACCAAAUAGCAUUUAAAUACAUUUAUAAAAAUGUUGGGUCAGCACCAUAAUUGGUUAUGGAAUAUUUGCCACACUUUGAACAUUUUAUUUGGCAGGUUUGAGAAAUUUGUAUUUUGGACUUUAAUUUGAUUUUGAAUUUGACUAAUGAUUUGGAUCAAGUGAGGAUUAGUAACAGUAAUGUGAUGACAUGGCACCGUUAGCGGGGUUUACUGUAGCUUAAUUAUUCGGGCGUUAUAGAGCGUGUGCCACAUCACGGCAAAACCAUCGUUUAGGGGUUAAAUUGAGCAGUGUCAAAAUUUCAUGGUUGUGACCUAACUGUUUUGCAGUGUGGGUUGUAAAUAAAAUUGGGUCAUUAGUUUAGGGUUGAAAUAUGCACUUCUUCCUUUGAUCAAUGAUGAACCAAUGGGAUCUACGAUUAUCAUUUUGAAGUUAUGUUAUAGAACUUUCACACUAAACAGGAUACCAUCUAAAUCCUUGACAUGCUACCAUAUGCAAUUUGAAAUAGAAAGAAACAUGAUUUAUCUUUUCUAAAAGUUUGGAGUUGUGAUCCAUAUGUCAAGAGAUUUUGAUCAAACAAGCUAGUGAUAUGUCUCCAGCUCAUCUAUAAAAAAAAUAUGUUCACGCUAUAUGUAUAUAUCAUUCAUAUAAUUUUGGCACACUUUUCUUUUAGUUUUAUUGGACUAACCUCUUAAUUCAGUGUCAAGUGUUAGUUGCUAUUUUUAUGCAAAAAAUAAUACUUGGCCCAAAAAAUAAAACGAAAUUACGUUGUCAAAAGAAAUCAAUAGCAGACCACAUGGGAGAAAAGAAAUGCGAGAGGGGUGGCCCUGGCUCCAUGCCUAGGUCGUUUGGGGGCCACAAGCCUCUCCUCUACCGACUCUCCACACCUAUGACUAUGUUUACCCCUUUGACCUAAACCUAAGUAAGGAACAAUUUUUAUGCCGCCGCUACCCGUUGUGAGGCAAUCCUAUGUGGGGUCUUUUUUCAGUACUCUGCUAGAGGGGGAAAUUGUCGUUGGAGCCUUCUUCAUCAACUUUGUUGCUCCGAUAAUCAUGUGUGAGUAAUCCUCACUGAACUAUGGGACCAUAAAAAUAGCUAUGUGGCAUCUCCUCUCUCACGUUCUUCAAUACAAAGAUCAAAUGAGUGGCCUAACAUGAUUGUGAGCAAUAUGAUGUAUUUUUUGGUGUGCUUGUUGUGAUGUGAUGAAUUGUCACUUUAUGACCAGAUUAUAUAUGGACUUUUGUUUGGUAUAUUUUGGUUCUUUGUUGCGUGAUUUAUAGUACAUGCUCUCUGAUCUAUUAGUCUCCCACUGGCAUGUUUAGAUUAACAGUUUCCAAGAGGGUGUGGUGUAUGUUGGUUGGUUUUAACCUUGCAAAUUCCUAUACCGGCGAGAGAAGGGAAUGAAGCCCUGUAUUGUGUUAUUGUCACUCAUAAAAUGAGAAUUUCUUAGUUCUUCCGGUGAUGAGCUGGAGGUAAAGAGAACAUACUAUCAACAUUAUGUCACCUUGCUUAAUGUGAUGCUCUAUUUUUAUUUAAUAAUUUGACAUGCAUGAUAGAUUUCAGUCUUGAAGUGGAGUAUUAGUUAUAGAUGUAGUUGAAUAACGAUGUAGAUAUAAGGAUGCAAUGCCUCGGUGAAAUUGCAAUAUGUAUGAUCAGACGUAAACACUACAACUUGAUGAAAACACAAGUGCAAUGUGUUCACCACACCUAUGCUAAUUUGGAUAGAUGGCACUUGUGAAGUUAUAAAUUUGUUUCCUUUAUCCCUUAGAAAUACAACCUCAUUUUCUUUUUUUCUACUCUUAAAUAUUCUGAAUUUUAAUUUCGUUUGCAUAUAAAAUCUAAUUCCAAACACUCGAUAUACUAAUCCUAGUAAAUAACAAAGUGAGACUGACAACCUCACUACGUAAAAGUUUCAUAGUUGAGUGAAGGGAUGAUCAUGGGCUCGUAGGAGAACCAUGUGGAUUGGUAAACUUGGUUCUCACUUAGGGAAAAACUUUCUUCUUUCUACAAACCCUUGGGUUGGGGGCUCAAUGGCAAUUUCGUUUGAACUUAAGCAUAAGGAACAUCCAUAACACCUGGCACCCAAAUAAGAUAAGUGCAAUUUCAUGGAUAUCCAAAAAAAACUUUAGGAUAUCACUUCUACAACCAAGAAGAGGGAAAAAUGUUUGUUAUUCAAAACAAUAUUUUCCAAGAGGAAGAGUUUAUUACUAGGAAGACUAGUGGGACAGCGGUUCAACUUAAAGAAGUCAAAAAGAUUCGCUUAGGUAGGGCAUGACAAGUAAUGCUUACGAGGCUGGUCAAAUCUAGGAACCCGUGGCAAAGGAAGCACCCCUCUAUGAAGGGCGGAGAAGCUGCAAAAGUACAUGUUAGACAAUAGUGAGCCGAUACCUAUUCCAAAAUAGCUACAACUCACCACCUAAUCUUCCUAGUCAUGCAAACAUGUCACAUAAGCAAACCAUGCAUUUAAGUCAUAAAAAGUAACUUGUUGCAUUAGUCUAUGCAUGCAGUGCCAAAUCAUCAAUUCAUGGAUGUUAGUCAUAAGUUACUUUUUCAUUAGAUUUUGUAUUUUUAUGGCCGUUAACUAAAAGUGCCACCCCUCUUUUUAGACGCUUCAAAUGUUUUUAUUGCUUUUAUGCUUACAUUUGUUUUUUUAUUAGAGUUGAUUGUUUUAGUAACCCUUUUUACAUUUCUUUUAACAAGGUUCUCGCAGCAAUGCAUGGGGUAUCAUCUAAAGCAAUGAUGGACCCAGACUCAAAGGAAUAGGACACUACUAGGGAAAAGCCUAGCAGCAGCGCGGGUUUUGAGCCUAUUAGCAGCGCGGGGGCCGGCGCUACUAAUAAGGCGCUACAGCUAACUUAUAGCAAUAGCGCGGGUGUCACCUGCGCUACUACUACGUCCUUUAGUAGUACCGUGGGUAAAAACCCGCGCUACUACUACCAGCGCGGGUUUUUUUUUUGAAUUUUUUCGAAAAAAUAUUUUGAUUUUUUCCCUAAUUUUCCAAUUUCUAAAUUAUUUUAACCUCAAAUCUCUAAUCACCCCUCAUCGCUGCUCAAUUUAAUCUCUAAUCACCCCUCAUCAUUCCAAAUCAUCUAACUUCCCAGACGGUCACCCAUCCUCUCACUACUCCAGCCUGAGCACGCUUAACUUCCGGGUUCCAUUCUCCCUCGUUUCCAAGUCCGCACUUGUUGUUUUCCUGACAAUAGUAAGAUGUCAAUCCUAUUAACCUCAGGAAUUUAGCUUGAGCAUGAAGUCACACAUUUCACUAUUUGAGUUUGAAACUAUUGUUUAAAAAAUUAGUAACACUAAUAUUUCUUGAAUAAUUAGUUUGACCACAAUUUGACCACAGUUUGGCCAUAGUUUGACCAGAUUUGACCAACAUUCAAAAAAACUAAAAUAAUUAUUUAGUAACACUAAUAUUCUAGAAUAAUUAGUUUGACCAUUGUUUGACCACAGUUUGACCACACAGUUUGAAAUUUUUUCGAUUUUUUCCACUCUAGAUCUUAAAAGCCCCAUAACUUUUUUUCUGUUAGGUUUUUGAGGAUUUUGAAAAUGUUUAACGGGGUUUCCGCAGUUAAAUUUGGAUGUAACUUUUCAAGUAGAAGAUUUUUUAUAUAAAAAACUUUUUCAUCUGAGUUAGUAUGCAAAAGUUAUGCCCAUUUUUACAAAUUCUCGAGAGAUUUUGCAAAUAAAGUCGAAAUUCAUAUUUGCAAUUUUUCCCAACAACUAGACCACAUAUCACAUGGGAAACUUAUUUUCUUUUAUUUUUUUUGACAUUUUCAUCAUUUUAUUUUAUUUUUUUUAAAACUGAAAAGGCGAUCCACAGGGGGGUAGAGUUUGAAAAUGGGACCUUUAGUAGCAGCGUGGUUUUUUACCCCCUCGCUGCUACUAUGGCACCACUUAGUAGUAGCGAGGGCUAAAAACCAACGCUACUGCUAGCAAACUUAGUAGUAGCACGAUUUUGAAAACCCGCGCUACUACUAUGGCAUGUCCCGGGGGGCACGGUAGAGACCGCUUAGUAGUAGCGAGGGUUAAAAACCCGCGCUACUGCUAUAAACUUAGUAGUAGCGAGGUUUAAAAACCCGCGCUUCUGGUAAGUAGCAGUAGCGAGGGUUUUUAAUCCUCGCUACUAGUAACUUUCUGUGUAUAGACGUUUCCCUAGUAGUGGGAGAGUGCUAUUUGAUCUGAAAUAAGAUCCAUGGGGGACAAUUAGGUUUAGAUCUUUUUUGAUCCACCUUAUGGGGUUAAAUCCGCCAUGGAUCUAUAAAAAGAAGAUUGAUAUGGACGGAAAUUUUCAUAUACGUAAUACUCGACUUGUCGCAAGAGGUUUUUGAAAAGUUCAAUGAUUUAACAAUGACGAGACUUUCUCGCUAGUAGCGAUGCUUAAAUAUGUGAGGAUCAUUCUAGUUAUUGUCUGCAUAUUUUGAUAUGAGAUAGGAAAAAUGGAUGUCAAAUAGAUUUACUUAAUGUAAAACUAAGGGUGGAUAUAUACAUAGCAUAGCCUAGAGGUUUCCUUGAUCCAAAUAAUCCAGGAAAUAUGCAAACUUCAGAAAAACCAUUUAUGAGAGAUACAACUCAAAUGUAUCUAUAUUUUUUUAAAGUUUCAAUUGAAAAAUGUUGUCAAUUUUAAAAACGCUCAGAAAUUAUAAAAUAUGUUCCCAGUUUCGAAGAAUGCUCGCAAAUUUAAAAAAUGUUCAUAAUUUCAAAAGGUGUUCAUGAAUUUAAAAAUGCUUCUGAAUUCAAAAAAUAUUCGUUAUUUCAACAUAUGUUCACAAAUUCAGGAAAUGUUUGCGCAUUCAAAAAAGUUCCUGCUUUCAAAAAUUGUUCACUGAUUAGAAAAUAUUCUUGAUUUGAAAUAUUAUUUGCAAUUUCUAAAUAUCAUGAAAUUCACGAAAAAAUCAUAUCAAAUAAUGUCCAAGAAUUAAAAAAUGUUCAGUUUGAAGAAUGUUCACCAUUUAAAAAUGAUCAUGUAUUUGAAAACUUGUCGCAAAUUCAAAUAUAUAUUUCAAAUAUAAAAAAACAGAAGAAAACAGCUAGGGGAUGUCCUAUUAAUUUUCCAAAAGCAUGGGAACCAAACACACUGUAAACCGUAAUAAUGUGUCUGCCCAUAUUAAUGGCACAGGGCCAACCCACGCUCGGGGAGGGCCUAUCCAGUGCUUUUUGACGCAUUUGUGUCAAACUGUCGGAAAAACAACAUGUAUGAGCGAUUUAGGCCGGGCCAUCUGUAGUAUACGUAAACUUUUUCACGUUCUGGUUUUGGUAACCUUCUGGAAUCUUUCUUAACCGAUUUUUUAUAUCCUUCUUUAUUUUAAUUUUUUAUUACUCUCUCUCUCUCUCUCUCUCUCUCUCUCUACUUUUUUCCAAGUUAAAUUUUACUUUUAAAUUAGUUCAGAUUUUUAAAAUUGUAGUUACAAAAAAAAGUUCAGGUUUUUAAAACAAUUGUUCAUAUAAUUUAAAACAUCUUCCUAUUCAUGUUUUCAAAUUAUGAUUCGUGUUUUCAAAUUUGAUUUGAGAGUUUCGGAAAAUAUUCCACUGUUCAAAAAAUCGUGUAUUCAAACUUGUUAGAAUUUUUUAAUUUUCUUUGGUUGUCUCUAAAAAUAUUCCUGUUUUAGAGUAAAUUACAGAUUCAAAACAUUAUCGCUUUUUCAAAAAUUAUUCGUGUUUUGAAAAAAUGGGAAUUUCAAACAAUGGCAUGUGUCCAAAAUUUGUUCAGAAUUUCAAAAACAGUACCCUUAUUCAAAUUGUGUUCAUAGAUCCAAAUAAAUUGUGCGUCUGAAUUUUAUUAGGAAUUUCAUAAAAAUCAUGUUUUUUAAAACUUACAUAAAGAUUCAAAUUUUCAUGCUUUCAGAAAAGAAUCAAGAAUUUUUUGUAUUAUAUUGCAUUUUAAAAUAUUGUUUGAGGUUUUAAAUAGUUCCAUGGUUAAAAUAUCACUCUUUUAAAAAAAUGUGUUUUCAAUUUGGAAAAAAUGUGCCAACUCCACACUUGUGGUAGCUUAAAGAUCUAUGUUGCUUGUUAACCAACAACCUUUUUCAUCUUAAGUGGCUUGCCACGAUCAGCUCCAUACUACAGGUCCCGUGUUUUAUGGGUGCCCCUAUAUCUCGCCUUCAGCGAGUCUAACUUCCGACUCGCUGAAGGGGGUGAGCAAGGUAGGCCAGCCCACGUGCGUGGGAGGGUACAGCCCGUUUUUCUGUUUUCUUUUUUUCUUUUUUGCUUUAUUUUUGUAUUUUUUGUACUUUAAAAUAUGCUAAAAAUAUACAUUACGAAAAACACCCCAUAAAAACAGUUGGAAAAUGUUCAACCAGUAUUUUAAAAAUGUUCAGCAAGUAUUUGAAAAAAUGUUAAUCAAGCAUUCAAAAAAUGGUGAACAAGUAUUUGAAAAAUCUUGAACAAGCAUUCAAAAAAUGUUGAACAGCUAUCUUAAAAAUGUUUAACAAGUAUUUGUAAAAAUGUUAAUCAAGCAUUCGGAAAAUGUUGAAGAAGUGUUUGUAAAAUGUUAAUUAAGCAUUAAUAAAAUGUUGAACAGGUAUUUGAAAAAUGUUAAUCAAGCAAUCGGAAAUUGUUGAACGUGUAUAGAAAAAUUGUUGAUCAUGUACAAAAAAAUGAUAAAAAAUUGAUCACGUAUGUAAAAAUAAUAAUCAAAAAGGUGAAAAAAAAGUGAUCAUGUAUUAAUAAAAUGAUGAAAAAAUGAUCAUGUAUAUAAAAAAUGCUAAUCAAGCAUUGGAAAAAAAAUGUUGAACAAGUGUUUGAAUAAUGUUAAUCAAGCAUUUGAAAAAUACCAAAUAUGUGUAGAAAAAAUGUUGACAUAUUGAAAAAAUGUGAAAUCUUGAUAUAUUAAAACUACUCCCUCCGUCGCAUAAUAUAAGACAUGUAUUAAUCAAACAUUUGAUAAAAUUUUAAAUAGUGUGUAUAGGAAAAAUGUUGACCAAGUGUUAAAAAAAGUUAGUCUUAUAUUUGAAAAUUGUUAAUCAACGAUUUCAAAAAUGUUUAAGAUGUGUAUUAGAAAAAAUGUUGACCAAGUGUUAAAAAAAUGUUAGUCUUAUAUUUGAAAAUUGUUAAUCAACGGUUUCAAAAAUGUUUAAGAUGUGUAUUAGAAAAAAUGUUGACCACAUAUUAAAAAAUGUUAAAUUUUAUUGAACAAAUGUUGGACAUUUAUUAGAAAAAUGUUGUUGACAUAUACGAAAAUUGUAGAAUGAAACCAAAAGAAACAAAGAAGACUCAAAAUAAAAAUGAAAAGAAAAAAACAGAGAUGAGAUGAGAAAAGCAAACAAGAAACAAAGAAGAAGAAGAAAGAAAACAAAUAAAACCGAGGAAAAACAAGAAAGAAAGAAAGAAAACGGAAGAAAAAAUUAAAAAAAAAUGGGGAAAACAAAAUAAAGAAAAAAACAAUGAAACUAGAGAAAAAUCGGUGAAACAAAAACAAAAAAACCUGGAAAACGGAGAAGAAAUAGUGGAAACCCCGCUCGAUUUGAAUUAAGUACAUCCGACCUACUAGUUUAGCAUGAACGCGACUGCUCGUGCAAUCAACUAGUAGGGCAAGGUUUGAAUCCUCCCAGCGCGUGUUUCCUUUUUGUCUCCCUAUUGCUUUUAAUUUCCGCUAUUGGGCAAGCCCGUUACUAUACAGUUCGACACUAGAGAUAGUUUCGCCUAGCUUAACACGAGAUAGUCGCCGCAUCACCUUGCACACAUUCUUGUUUUUUUAUUUUAUUUGUCCUUUGUGUGAACUCUUAACGGGUCGGCCUAGUAGAACGACAUAUAAGAGAUCUCUAAAAUCACUAAUUAAGGGAUACCCCUUGUAAAGAUCACUUCGACGUUUCCAAGUUGCAACAAGUGGCGCAAUGUGCCACUUGUCGCAACCUGUUAGUUUUCCUUUUUUUUCGUAGAUUCGUUUAUUUCAAACGUCUUAUCUCUUAAACCAUACAUCCUAAUCGCGAACCUUUUUCACCAUUGGAUUUCUCAUGUUGAGAUUUUUGAAAUCAGAUCCCAUGUUAAUAGAAUUUGACGAACUGUUUUUCAUGAAAAAAACAGAAAAAAUAAGAGAAAAGGAAACUAAGCCGGAAGACUGGUUUUUUUCUUUUUCGAGAGGUAAACCUGGGCAAACGUCGGGCCGGGCCGGGUUUCGGGCCAGGCUUGUAAAAGCCCGACCUUCAUUUCUCAAGCCCGAGCCCGGCCCGAAGCCCGAAAUACUCCCUGAUUUCAAGCCCGAGCUCGGCCCGAACUCAAGCCCGAAGCCCGAAAGCCCGGUCCGAACGGUGUUUUUUAGUACGUGUACGUGCAAGCCCGGCCCGAAGCCCGAAAGCCCGGCCCGAAAAAGAGAAAAAGAGAAGCCCGAGCCCGGCCCGAACUACCUUUCGGGCUGCAAAACAAAGCCCGAGCCCGGCCCGAGUGUCAAGCCCGGCCCGGCCCGGCCCGGGUUUUUUGGGCCGGGCUCGGGCCGGGUCGUCGGGCCGGGCUGCCCAUGCCCGGGUUUACCGAGAGGCAUAGUUGUGCCGUUCCUCGAAGCAAAUAUGUGCCGCACGAGAAGCAAAUCGUGGCCUCUUGUGAAAGAACAAAAAAUAGUGUUUUUUUCCUUUCGCGUGAGGCAAAGUUGUGCCUCUUGCGGAAGCAAAUCUGUACCUCUAUGAGAAGCAAAUCUGUGCCUCUCGCGAAAGAUUUUUUUUGUUUUUUCACUUUUCUAUGAGGCACACCUAAGCCUCUCAUGGAAGCUAAAUUAUGCCUCCACAAGAAGCAAAUAUAUGCCCCUCGAAGAGGAGAAAACGCUUUCUUUUUCUCUUUCCAAGAGACACAACUCUCAUGAAGUACACCUGUGCCUCCACGAGAAACAAAUUUGUGCCCCUCACGGAAGAAAAAAUCCAUUUUUUCUUUUUCGAGAGGCGCAGUUGUGCCUCUCGUGAAAGCAAACCUGUGCCUUCAAAAAAAGAAAAUAUGUGCCUCUCGUGAAAGAAAACUGUUUUUUUCUACGCAAAAAAAGUUUUUUUAAAACCUAGGGAAACCCGGCAAAAACAAAAAGGCAAAAAACCAAAAAAAUAUCAAAAACCCGAAAAAGUGUGCAGAAAAAUAAAAUAAUUCAUGGAAGCGCCCAUCACGUGACACAUGGCGGCGGAGCGCCAAAGUGACCCUUAAGGGUCUCUCGCAAGGGGUACCCCACAAUUUCUUCUUUUUUUGAGAAUUCUCGUAACCUUUAUUGAUGAAAGUUUAAAGGUACAAGAACUUGGUCGGGGGAACACCUAACCACAAAUGCCGACCUGAAUCUAGAUUAUAGGCAUACUUGGCUACAUUAUGAGCCUCAAAAUUAGAACUCCUAUUUUCAUGAAUGAAAGUACAAGACUGAAACUCUUUCGCCGUGAAGCAAAUCUCCCGGAUUAGUGCCGCAUUGUUCCCACCGCUUUGUUGAUGGAUUUCUUUGAUGAGUGCCUGACAGUCGGACGCGGCAUGCAGAUGAUUGAGGUUAAGGCCAGCAGCUAGUGCAAGUGCUUCCCUCACCGCAUAUGUUUCAAGUAGCAGAGGAUCCCUAGCAUGCAAUACCAAGGCUGAACAACCAAGGUACACUAGUAGAAAAAGGGUCAAAUGUGAGACAUAUUAGUCCAGGUUUGUAACAGAAUCGACACUAAUGUGUCCAUUAGUGCCGGUUCCAACGGCUAGGCGGUAGGAGCUCUUUAGUACCGGUUCGUGGCGAACCUUUAGCACCGGUUCGUGCCACGAACCGGUACUAAAGAAAGUGGUGGUAGGGUGUUGUCAGAGUGAGGCCCUUCCAGCACCUUUAGUACCGGUUCGUGGCACGAACCGGUACUAAAGGUCGUCCUAUAUAAACCCUUCGUCCACCCGCACUUUGUUCUUCCCCCUUUCCCCUCUCCCUCUUCUCUGUUCUUCCCUUCUUCCUCUCGAGUUCAUCACAAAAUUUGCCCCAAAUUUGUCAAGAUUUGCAGGCCCUCAUCCAUUCAAAUGAUCACCAAGGUUAGCAACUUUGUCCUUUCAUCUCUCAUUACUAGAUUAGCUCUUGCAUUGGUUUAUAUAGUGAUUAAUUGUGGGUUUUAGUAAUUUGGGAGGAAUUAUAUGUGGUAGUAUUUGAUUUAUAUGCAAUUUGAGGUCAAAAUAACACUUAGUUUGCAUAUGUAGGUGUGGUUUACUUAGUGCCUUCUAAAUCUCCGUCGUAACCACCGUCGAUCGCCCGCACCGUCCCGUCGCCGGCACCACCUUGUGGUGAGCCUCUUGUUCAUGAAAUUUUAUAUAAAAAGUUGAUGUUUGUGUGAUUUGGAUAUAUAGUUACUCGUAUAAUAAUUAUCUUACCCGUACGUUGUUUGUUAUACAUAGUGCCAUGGUUUUGAUAUCUGUCCCCGUCGGCCCUCGUCCUUGUUAUGAUUCGGAUGUGGUAUAUUCUCUUUUAAAACUAUUUGUUGCAUUUCGUGUUUAUGACAAAUUAUGCCCAUCAAGUUGACAUAGAUAUUUUUAUCUAGGAGGUAUGUGAACCGGAAAUUCCAACUGACCCUAUUGUCGAGAGGUUAAAUUUAGUUAAAAGAGAAAACGAGUACUUGAAAGAAAAAUUGAAAAGAAUUGAGGGGGAGAAGAUGGAAUUGGAGUUGCAUGUUGCCGAUGUCGUCGAUGAUCACAAGUUCAAGAUGGAGAAAAUGCGCUUGAAGAUUAGAAAGAUUAGAAAAUAUGCCAUCGAUAGUGACGCUUGCAUUUAAGUGUUGUAUGAACUUUAUGUAUGAACUUGUAUUAAUUUGGUCUAUUCGGUGUUGUGUAAUGAAGAUGAGCCGGCAAUGGAUGUACGAUGACCGAUGCUCUCCCCAGUUCGUUGAGGGCGUGCAUACUUUUCUGCUUGCGCCUGAGGCAAACAAGCGGGCGGAUGGUUUUAUGCCUUGUCCAUGUGCUGGCUGUAAGAAUGGUCACAAUUACUCUACGUCAAGAACCAUUCACGUCCACCUGUUUGAGUCCGAUUUCAUGCCCCACUAUAAUGUUUGGACCAAGCACGGAGAAAGAGGGGUUAUGAUGGAAGACAAUGAAGAAGAAGAGGACGAUGACAGCUAUCCUGGCCAUGGGUUCCCUGAAUACGAUGAUACAACAAUGGGGGAAGAAGCUGAGCCGGUAAUGCGGGAAGAAGCUGAGCCGGCAAUGCGGGAAGAAGCUGAAGAAGAGGCAUCAGAUGAGCCCGUUGAUGAUCUAGGUCGGGCCAUUGCCGGUGCAAAGAGAAAUUGCGCAAGUGAUUUGGAGAAGAAGUUGCAGCACAUGUUAGAGGAUCACAAAAAAUUGUUGUACCCGAAUUGCGUAGGUGACAAGAAAAAGCUGGGCACCACACUGGAAUUGCUGCAAUGGAAGGUAGAGAAUGGUGUAUCUGACAAGGGAUUUGGAAAGUUGCUGGUAAUGAUAAAGGAUAUGCUUCCAAAGGACAACGAAUUGCACGAGAGUACGUACGAAGCAAAGAAGGUUGUCUGCCCUCUAGGGUUAGAGGUGCAGAAGAUACAUGCAUGCCCUAAUGAUUGCAUCCUCUACCGCGGUGAGUACGAGGAUUUGAACGCUUGCCUGGUAUGUGGUGCAUUGCGCUAUAAGAUCAGCCGCGAUGAGCAUGGUGAUGUUGAGGGCGAGCGCCCCAGGAAGAAGAUUCCUGCUAAGGUGAUGUGGUAUUCUCCUAUAAUACCACGGUUGAAACGUUUGUUCCAAAACAAAGAGCAUGCCAAGGCGAUGCGAUGGCACAGAGAAGACCGUAAGAAAGACGGAAAGUUGAGAGUACCCACUGACGGGUCGCAGUGGAGAAAAAUCGAAAGAAAGUACGGGAAGGAGUUUGCAGAUGACGCAAGGAGCAUAUGGUUUGGUCUAAGCGCAGAUGGCAUUAAUCCUUUUAGGGAGCAGAGCAGCAACCAUAUCACCUGGCCUGUGACUCUAUGUUUGUAUAACCUUCCUCCUUGGUUGUGCAUGAAGCGGAAGUUCAUUAUGAUGCCAGUGCUCAUUCAAGGCCCUGAGCAACCCGGCAACGACAUUGAUGUGUACCUAAGGCCAUUAGUUGAAGAACUCUUACAACUGUGGAAUGGAACAGGUGUACGUGCGUGGGAUGAGCACAUGGGGGAAGAAUUUGACCUAAAGGCGUUGCUGUUCAUGACCAUCAAUGAUUGGCCUGCUCUCAGUAACCUUUCAGAACAGACAAACAAGGGAUACCGCGGAUGCACGCACUGUUUGGAUGAUACCGACAGUAUAUAUUUGAAUAGUUGUAAGAAGAAUGUGUACCUGGGACAUCGUCAAUUUCUUCCGAGCAGGCAUCCCGUAAGAAAGAAAGGCAAGCAUUUCAAAGGUGAGGCGGAUCACCGGACGAAGCCUCGCCACCGUACUGGUGCUGAUGUACAUGAUAUGGUCAAGGAUUUGAAGGUGAUAUUUGGAAAGGGUCCUGGCGGACAACCUGUUCCGAAGGACGCUGACGGACGCGCACCCAUGUGGAAGAAGAAAUCUAUAUUUUGGGACCUGCCAUAUUGGUAAGACCUAGAGGUCCGCUCCGCAAUCGACGUGAUGCACGUGACGAAGAAUCUUUGCGUGACCCUGCUUGGCUUCUUGGGCGUGUACGGGAAGACAAAAUAUACACCUGAGGCACGGGAGGACCAGCAACGUAUGCACGGAGAAGACGGCAUACAUCAGGGUCAUGCAAGCUAUGCUCUUACCAAAGAAGAGAAGGAAAUCUUCUUUGAAUGCCUGGUCAGUAUUAAUGUACCGUCUGGCUUCUCGUCGAAUAUAAAGGGAAUAAUAAACAUGGCAGAGAAAAAGUUCCAGAACCUAAAGUCUCAUGACUGCCACGUGAUUAUGACGCAACUGCUUCCGGUUGCAUUGAGGGGGCUUCUAACGGAAAACGUUCGAUUAGCCAUUGUGAAGCUAUGUGCAUUUCUCAAUGCAAUCUCUCAGAAGGUAAUCGAUCCAGAAAUCAUACCAAGGUUACAGAAUGAUUUGGUGCAAUGUCUUGUCAGUUUCGAGUUGGUGUUCCCAUAAUCCUUCUUCAACAUCAUGACGCACGUCCUAGUUCACCUAUGCAAAGAGAUUAAUGUUUUGGGUCCUGUAUUUCUACACAAUAUGUUCCCCUUUGAGAGGUUCAUGGGAGUCUUAAAGAAAUAUGUUCAUAACCGUGCUAGGCCAGAAGGAAGCAUCUCCAAGGGCCAUCAAAAUGAGGAGGUCAUUGAGUUUUGUAUUGACUUUAUUCCUGACCUUAAGCCGAUUAAUGUUCCUGAAUCGCGGCAUAAGGGCAGACUGGAUGGAAAAGGCACGCUAGGAGGGGAACAAAUAAUAUGUAUGGACGGACAUUCUCUCACUGAAGCACACUACACAGUUCUACAGAAUUCCGCCUUGGUGGCUCCGUAUAUGGAUGAACACAAGAAUUUGCUACGCUCCAAACACCUGGAGCGGUCUGAUGACUGGAUUACACGUGAACAAACCAGGAGUUUCGCCAGCUGGUUGCAGACAUGUACCAUGCGUGACACCUCUAUUGAAGAUGACCUGUACUUGCUGUCCCAGUUACCAUCUUCGAAUAUAAUGACUUUCAAAGGGUACGAGAGAAAUGGUAAUACAUUUUACACGAUCACCCAAGAUAAGAAGAGCAACAACCAAAACAGUGGUGUCCGCUUUGAUGCAGGAACCAAGACAGGAAAGGAAAUAUAUUAUGGUUAUAUACAAGACAUAUGGGAACUUGACUAUCGACGUGGUUUAAAGGUCCCUUUGUUUCGGUGCAAAUGGGUCAAUAUGACACGAGGCGGGGUAACGGAAGACCCGCAGUACGGAUUGACAACAGUGGAUCUCAACAUUCUUACGUAUGCAGACGAACCAUUCGUCCUAGCCAAUGAUGUGGCACAGGUUUUCUAUGUGAAGGACAUGUCUACCAAGCCAAGAAAGAGAAAAGAUAAGGAAGCGAAUGCAUCGUACGAUGAGCCAAAGCAGCACAUAGUUCUUUCAGGGAAGAGAAACAUCAUGGGAGUGGAUGACAAGACAGACAAGUCAGAAGAUUAUGAAAAGUUUGAUGAAAUUGCUCCAUUCACAGUGAAUAUUGACCUGAGCAUCCCGUUAAAUGAUGAAGAUUUUCCAUGGUUACGGCGCAAAGGGACACACGCAAAGAAAAAUUUUCACACCCAAAGAUAUGGGAUGUGAUCGGCUUCACUAUCAUCACUUUCUUCUGUGUUUCACACCCAGAGGGGAAUCUCUGUAAUAGUUAGGGUAGUUAUGUGUUUUGGCAUUUGAAACGCGAAGAAAUUUUAUGUGCAAACAAAUUCUUUCAUGCCUUUAUUGAUUUUUAAAGUUAAGUUAUUCACAAACUAGUGAUUCACACUAAUUUCAAAUAAUUCAAAAUUUAAACUAUUCAAAUUUGAAAACUACGGGCACUAACAGAAAGUUUGUAAUUUUUUGUACCUAAAGCAAAAAUAUUCACAAAGAAACUCUAAAUACACAAAAAAACAACACAAAAAUAAAUAAAGCAAAAAAAUAAAAAAAAAUCCCGCCUACUAGGCCAGAGCGGCCUGCAUACGACUAGAAACCCAACCUGUUGUUGGGCCAGGAUGCAGGCCCGCAAAGGCCAAGUGGGCCCACAGGGCAGCAAAGAACACAUAGGCCCAGUAGGCCUGCUUUCGAGAGGAGCUCGAGAGAGCGACCGCAAGGGGGUUUAUAAACCAGUGCGGUCGCCCCUCGGCUAGCGAGGUGGGACUAAACUUGCCGCACCGCACCUGCGCCAGCGCACCCUCUUUAGUACCGGGUCGUGGCGAAGGGUCAAUGUGAAGCACAAUAGUGCCGGUUGGAAUUUCAGCCGGCACUAAUGUGUACACUAGUGCUAGUUCGUGGCGGUGAUCAAUAGCACCGGUUCGUGGCGAACCUUUAGUGCCGGUUCAUGCCACGAACUGGUACUAAAGAGGCUUUGUCAGCCUCCGGUCAGGCUAUGGCCCCACCAUCACCAUUUAGUGCCGGUUCGUACCACGAACCGGUACUAAUGAGGUUGUGUCAGGUAAGGCUGGGGCCCCACGAGCACCUUUAGUACCGAUUCAUGGAUGAACCAGACGUAACCGGUUUUUUAGUCCCACCUCACGAAGUGAGAGGGACUAGGAGCGGUUUAUAAGCCCUGAGUGCAGAGACGAUGAAGAAGAGGCUCAAUGCUCACGUUGCUUAGCUUCAAGCCUUCAGGAAUACGGUAGACUGCACGGAGCUAUGCGCAGUGCAGUUUACACUAUUCCGAAAGGCUUGAAGCAAAUUAACGAGCAUUGCACCUCUUUUUUAUUUUUAAUAACUUAUUACAACUCCGGACUUCUUCUGUUAUGGCAAAAACUAAUUGCACGUCGACAUUUCUUUUUUUUAAGUUAUAACUCCAGACUUUGACCAUCAAGUUUUGCAGAAAAGAAGAAAAACUAUAGCUGGAAAAAAAAACUACUCAGAAAUAAAUAGAAGAAAAUAAAUAUAGCAGAAAAGAAAAAACUACUCAGAAAUAAAAAGAAGAAAAAAUAAAGCAGAAAAGAAAAAAAAUUAUAUUUGCUAUUUUUCAAUCGUUUACAAAAUGACCGUGAAAUUGAAAAUCACUACAAAAUAAACUCUGAAAAUGUUGAAUUUUCGCAAACUAGAUGAAAAACUACUCACAAAUAAAUAGAAGAAAAUAAAUAUAACAGAAAAAAAAACUAUACAAAAAACUACGCAAAAAUAAAUAGAAGAAAAUAAAGCAGAAAAGAAAAAACUAUAAAAAAAAUUGGGGCGCUGCCCUGUGGGCCUGAUAGGCCACAGGUGUGUAAUUACAGGCCUUAAAGACCCAGCAGACUCACAGGACAGCGCACAGAGUUUAGGCCCACAAGCCUGCUAUAUAGAGGAGUUCGAAGUGGUAGCCGCGACUGGGUUUAUAAACCAGUGCGGCUGCCCUUCGCCCGGCGAGGUGGGACUAAACUUUGGGGUGGUAGCGCGAGGCGUUUAGUACCGGUUGGAACCACCAACCGGUACUAAAGGGAGGGCCUUUAGUACCGGUUUACGCCACCACCCGGUACUAAAGGGGGUCGCUUCCCGCCGCUUGGGCUGGCCAAAACUGGCCUUUAGUACCGGUUGGUGGCUCCAACCGGUACUAAAGGCCUCUCCUAUAUAUACAACACUUGUGAAAAUUUCAUUCUCCCUCUAUUUCUUCCUCUGUUUCCCUGAAGCACCGUCCGCGCGCUCCGAUCGAUCGACGCUGUCGUCGUCGCCGCCCCCGUCCCCGUCGCCGUCCCGGGCCCAUCUCUGUCGCGCCGUCCCCGCGUCGCCGCCCCCGCGUCACGCCCCGGCCCNNNNNNNNNNNNNNNNNNNNNNNNNNNNNNNNNNNNNNNNNNNNNNNNNNNNNNNNNNNNNNNNNNNNNNNNNNNNNNNNNNNNNNNNNNNNNNNNNNNNNNNNNNNNNNNNNNNNNNNNNNNNNNNNNNNNNNNNNNNNNNNNNNNNNNNNNNNNNNNNNNNNNNNNNNNNNNNNNNNNNNNNNNNNNNNNNNNNNNNNNNNNNNNNNNNNNNNNNNNNNNNNNNNNNNNNNNNNNNNNNNNNNNNNNNNNNNNNNNNNNNNNNNNNNNNNNNNNNNNNNNNNNNNNNNNNNNNNNNNNNNNNNNNNNNNNNNNNNNNNNNNNNNNNNNNNNNNNNNNNNNNNNNNNNNNNNNNNNNNNNNNNNNNNGUCGCCCCGCUAUGAGCUCUCCCCCUCUAACCCCUCUCCCUCGCCCCCGGCGGCCACCAUGGGCGCCGCCCCUCCCCGAGCCCAUACACACACACACACACAAGCAUGAUGAACACACACACACACGUACAUAUGUAUGAAUUAAUGCAUGUAUAUAUUAGUAUAUACGUAUUUUGUAUGUUUAAUUAGUUUAGAUUAUUUAGAUUAUUAUUUUUCACUAUUAUAUAUGUAUGAAUGCAUGUUAGAUGGAUAUAAUUAGUGUUUAAUUAGUAUGGAAAUUUUUUAUAUAAUGUUGUUUUUCAGUUUUUUAAUGGAUGUAUAGAAGUUGUGUUUUCUGUUUUUAGUGUUAGAUGCUUAAUUAGUAUGAAAUAGUAUAUAGAUUUUUGACAUAUGCAAUGAUAGCGUAAUUAGUGUUAUAUAGAAAUGUUAGAAAUUUUAGUUAUCAAAAUCCAAUCAUUAAAAAAAUGUUACUUUUUGCGGGCAUAUAGCUAGUAUUUGUUCUCGACGAUGCCCGGCCCGCAUCCUUGCCGUCGACCCGUCCACGACGACGUCCGGCUGACCCAUGUCUGGGACUGGGCUCCGCCGGGCUGGCACUGGGAGGUGCUGCCUGGAGGGGCGCGCCGCUUGAUGAGGAACCCGGCCCCGGGUCCCGUCGUCGACCCUGAUCUCGUUUGGUGGCGUUCGCGUGGGCCAGUUUCGGUGCGGAGGGACCCGGCCCCGCCGGAGGUGGUACGUCGCCGUGUUAGGGAGGAGGACAAGCACGUCCAUCGCUACAUGGUUGCGUUAGAAGACGGCAGGUUCUCUAAUACCUGGCAGUUUCUUUAGGGAUCUCACUUCAGCUAUGAUCCUGUGAGGGUUCCUUCUCUUUGGGUGUCCACCGCCCGCGCCGCAGGAACCGCGAGUGUCCUAGAUUCUUCUGUAGUAUUCAAUCUUUAAUUAGCUACCUAGCCAGUGAUGUACUAUUCAAUAUUAUAUAUUAUUUGAGACGAUGUAUUCGAGAUUAUAUCUAUUAUUCUAGACGAUGUAUUCGAGAUUAUAUCUAUUAUUCGAGACGAUGUAAUUUGAAUACUAAAUUGUUUUAUAUUUCUUUUGGAUUAGUUAAAUAAAAGCUACGGCAGACAAUACCGACAGAGAGGGAGAACAGACCAUGUUCGAUAUGAUACGCGGGCCAGAUGAUGAUCAGAAUGAAGAAGAAGAUUAUGACGGCUCCGAAUUUCUAAACAACACCGGAGAGGGUGAUAUGAUAUUCGAUCGCGACGACCGAAUUGAUGAAGUCAUGAACUACGAUUAUGACGAUGACGAAGAACAUGUUGAUCCUGAAACAACAAAGACCGGUGAGGUAUAUUUAUAUAAGCAGGCAUCUGGUGAUCAUCACAUGUUUUAAAUGACUUGAAGAUAUAUUAACGAAUCGAUCUUUGUUCUUUCAGCCAUCUGGAUCGAGCAAAUCUUCAGGCAAAAGGACAAAACGAGGCCCGAACAAAAAGUUGAAGAAGGGCGUAAAGUACAAUAUCGAGGCAGUCAGACCUAAUGGCGAACCAUUAGCGCCUAAGAAGAUUGCGGACAAGUUCGUUCGUCAGUGCGGAGUUCUUGUGAAGGACCAACUCCCGAUCAAACUUCAAGAAUGGAGAGAGCCAGCAAAGCCACGUCUAGAUGUUGCUUUUGUCGAUAAGAAUCAAAAAGAUCUGCUUUGGGAUACUCUCAUGGAACAUUUCACCCUACCAGAUCAUUUCACAAAAGCAGAUGUGCAGAAAGUCAAGGACGCUGCUCUUAGGAAGAUGGCGGUUGCAUUCAAGAACCACAAGAAUCGUGAAUGGGACAAGUACGUCAAAGGAGGAAGAAAGACUCCAGUAUUCGAGGGAACACUAGAGAACCAACGUGCUCAUUGGGACGAUUUCAUGAAAUUCAAGGAUUCGGAAUUAGCUAAGGAACGGUCGAGAAUAAACAAGAAGAAUGCCGAAAAAAGGAUAAGUUCCAUAAGCUGGGGCCAGUGGCUAUGCGGUGGCAAUGCCUAAGUGGGAUAAGUCUGAGAAAGAGAUGGAGGAUGCAGGUGUCACUCCGGUUACUAAAAGCUGGCCCCCCAGGUGCAGGACUUGGUUCUAUGCGCAUGGGGAGAGUUGGACCCGAAGACAGGCAAUGUUUCGACGAAGGCAAGUCUGAAGGGAGCCGAUGAUGCGAUACUUGUUGCAAUAGAAGAGGCACGAUCGGGGGUGUUCUAGCCCAACAGAGAGAACGACGAGCUUACGUGUGCCCUGGGAAAUCAUGAACACCUGGGAAGAACACGAGGCAAGGGCGCUAUUCCGUGGUAUGACGGGUUUUCAAACUGGAACACCGACUACAGAACCCGUGCAAGAAAGAAGAUUGCGGAGGAGAAGAAGAGGAAGAUGGAGGAGGAGCAGAGGAAGCGGGACUAUGAACGCCUUCAAGGCCUAGAAGCAAGUCAAGCGGAAUUGGCAGUCAAAUUCCAGCGGCAGCAGGAGCAGAUCGACUCACUUACCUAGCAAAGGGGGUCUCAGCAGCUGCAGCUUCUAGCGGAUGAUCCAUCAUUGGAUAGCACCGCCCCAUCCAUGCCGAGAAGCAGCGUGGGUUCCGCCCCGGACGACGCAAUGCUGGGUAGAUACCCCGUGGAUGACAUCACGGAGAACAGUAACUGCGAGCUACACGUCAAAAUAACGAACAUAUCCAUGAAGGUGGCGGACACCGUUGCUUUUACAAAUCCCCCCGAGGCAACCUUCCAUUGCAACCUGAUUCCAGCGGGCUAUGCUCGUGUCUUUGUUGAUGAGGUGGUGGACCCACCAUAUUCGGAGCUACAGCUUGACAUUCCUGGAGGUGACGACGAGCGCUUUCUCGGAGAGGCCAAACAUCGUAUCAUCCUAUGGAAAAAGGAUUGCAUCAUCUUUCGAAGGCCACCGACACCGCGACAGCCGACUCCUCGUCGAAGUCCGCCACCGAGUCAGCAGACUCCCGCUCCUGCAAGUCCACCAAGUCCGGCAAAGUGUCAGGCCACUCCUCCUCCAAGUCCGGCAAAGUGUCAGGCCACUCCUCCUCCAAGUCCGGCAAAGUGUCAGGCCACUCCUCCUCCUCCAAGUCCGCCACAGCGUCAGACGUCCACUCCUCCUCCAAGUUCGGCACAACCUCAGGCCACUCCUCCAAGUCCGGCACAGCUUCAGGCCACUCCUCCUCGUCCAACUCAGCCCCGUCAGCCGUCUCCGCCGCCUCAGCAAUCGCAGAAGAGACACCCCGCAGCUAUGGUGCGUAGCGGUACGAGUCGAGGUAGUACAGGAAGUACAGGCGGAGGCAAGCGAUAUAAAUAUGGUCCAAGCCUCACGCCUCUUCCGCAGAGGGCUUAUGACAAGUCCAAGGAGGAAAACGCAGCCAUAUCGAAGGCCGAGGUGGAAGCCCAUUUUGCACCAAAACCGCCACCGCCGCCAAGGGAGAAAGUGCCUGAGGAAACGAUUGACCACUUCAUUCGUAUGGCUCAACCACCAGCUCCCAAGCCUGUUGACACAGACUAUGAGCGCCACAUCAGGAAGUUAAAUCGAGCACGUCUACGUAAGGAGGCGAGCUCGGGAUCGAGCAAACAACAAGCAGCUGUCAAAAAAUGCGGGAAAACCAUUCCCCAGCUGGGAGAACAGGCGGCACAAUCGAUUCCCUCGCUUGUUGUGCCAACAACACGUGACAGUACGCGCGCCCAAUAUUAUUAUGGGCAAAUAGUUUACGUUCCCGAGGUGGGCAAUGUGGUAAUAACCAAGGACCAUAUAAUGCAGGCUGAAGUUUUCAACAUCACUGUUGGACAACUCCUCGAGAUCGAGCCCAUGCCUGUGCUUAGAGAGGAUGAAAUAAAACGGAAAUAUGUCUGGGGCCAACCUUUGGUCGAGCCAGACAAGGUCAAGAACCUCCCAACGAGAAUGUAUGAAUUGCAUCAAUGGUACAUGAAAAUUACCAAGAUUUCAGAUCGAUUGUCCCUCAUGGUGAAUGUCAAGGAGGAGCAUUACUUCCAUGAGAAAGCUCUGUCCGUUGAGUAUUCUGAACUGUUUCAGUUAUACAAUCAAGACGCACUCGACAAAUCUAUCGUCAGUUGCUAUUGCCUGUAAGUGAUUCCUUUCUGUAAUUUAAGUCUCAAGCUAGCUGUAGUGAUCCUUUUGAUCAAUCAUUACCUGUAAUUAUCCUCACUAUAUUCUUUUCUGUGGUAUUAUGCAUGAUGAAGAUGUAUGAAAUGAGAAAAGGUGGAUGCUAUGGCAUUGGGUUCAUUGACCCAAACACCGUUAAUGAAUACACAUGGCAGAUAAAUCCACAUCAUCAAAAAAACGUAGAGGACAACAUGCUAGAGUUCUUGAAGCGCCUCAAAUACAAUGAAGAUAUACUACUUCCUUACAACUUCCAGUGAGUCACACUGUCUUGUACUACAAAUUCUCUGUUUUUGUCUACUAGCUAGCUACAUGUUUUUGCUUACAUAUGCCCGCUUAAUUAAGACAUGCAAACGUGUGUGCAUGCAGAUUUCACUGGAUCUUGUGUAUCAUUAAAGUUGACGCCGGAACAGUUGAAAUACUGGACUCACUACUCAAAGUUAAAACUGACUAUAACAUCUUGUUUGGGAUAGUCAACAGGUAAUUUCAAUCAUUAUUAACUAUAUAUCUCGUCCUAUUUAGUUCGUCAUUUCAUGAUAUGAACUAUUUAAUAACCCCUUUAUUCAUUUUCUUUGUCGGCGGGCAGGGCUUGGGCAAGGUUCAUCAGCGUCACGGAUGGCGAGUGGAAAAAAAAAGCUUCAAUGGUUUCGACCCAAGGUAAGUAAUUAAGUAGUACUAGCUAGCUAGCUAGCUGCCAUCUCUUUAAUUAUCAGGCUUGAUUAAUUAUUAUCUGAUCAAGUUCCGUUCUCGUAAAGGCCCUGAAGCAGGCGCAGGGGACUGGUCUGUGUGCAUUCUGCGUUUGCGAGAACAUUCGCAUGAUGGCGUCCGAAAGGAGCAGAUAUCAAAGACAGGAAUGGGUACGCUUGUCAGAACAUUAUUCACAAUUUUUACACCAUUAUCGAUAUCUAGUCACACAACUAAUACACAUGCAUAUUGAUCUUCUUCUUAACAGUUCAGAGAGGUGCGGGAGAAGCUCCUAGAAACGGAGCGCGUAGAAGCACUUCAAGAGGAAAUAGCGGGAUUUUUGCUCGACCAGGUCAUAAAUCCGAAGGGAGAAUACUAUUAUCCGCUACCGCCCCCAUGAAAACCAUUUCCAAUUGUCGUCGUGCUCCGAAGGCACCAAUUAGGCUAAUGCCACUGGCUCCGAAGGCAACAUGCAUAUGUAGGAGAAAUUGUAUAUAGUUAUACAUUUGUGUAUGUGUGAAUUAAUUAAUAUGGUGGUUUGUGAGACAUUGAUGAUAUAUAUAUGCAUGAUUGGUUCUACUAGAAAUUCUAUAUNNNNNNNNNNNNNNNNNNNNNNNNNNNNNNNNNNNNNNNNNNNNNNNNNNNNNNNNNNNNNNNNNNNNNNNNNNNNNNNNNNNNNNNNNNNNNNNNNNNNNNNNNNNNNNNNNNNNNNNNNNNNNNNNNNNNNNNNNNNNNNNNNNNNNNNNNNNNNNNNNNNNNNNNNNNNNNNNNNNNNNNNNNNNNNNNNNNNNNNNNNNNNNNNNNNNNNNNNNNNNNNNNNNNNNNNNNNNNNNNNNNNNNNNNNNNNNNNNNNNNNNNNNNNNNNNNNNNNNNNNNNNNNNNNNNNNNNNNNNNNNNNNNNNNNNNNNNNNNNNNNNNNNNNNNNNNNNNNNNNNNNNNNNNNNNNNNGUACAAUCUGUAGUAUCGUAAAAUACCAGCAAACGAAAAAGAAUUAAAAUGAAAACACAAAAUUAAAUGAAAAAAAUCAUAAAACUAAAAAAACCCCAAACCUUAUAGUACCGGUUGGUAUUAACAACCGGUACUAAAGGGCUCGAGGCCCCCGGAGCUGGCUCGUGCCACGUGGUUGCCCUUUACCACCGGUUCGUGCUGAACCGGUAUUAAAGGGGGGGUCUUUAGUGCCCACACUUUAGUGCCGGUUAUGGAACCGGCACUAAAGGGCCUUACGAACCGGCGCUAUUGCCCGGUUCUGCACUAGUGGUAGUUUCCUGGUUGGUCGCGACAGAUUGCCGCUGCUACUCCCCGCAGACCAUCGAGGGCAACCGCACCGUCUGCAUUGAGUUUGACCAUAUUCCCUGGAGGAGGAAGCCAUCGCUGCACCAUAUUCCCCUGUUGUCCCUCAGUCGGUCUAACCUGCCUUGGCGUCUCACACACGGACAAAUCAUGCAGAUAAGAUUCCACAAAAGCAUUAGUUUUUGGGGCUUUGGAAUAUUGAUUCAUGUACUGCCUUCCUUAUCACAUACCAGAUCGCCCAAAGUGUAACCACCAUCCUAGUGAACUGAUGAUGACUGAGCUCCUCAUUUAAAUCAAAUAUCCAAUUUUUUGCAACUGGUUGUCUGUUCUCUGUCAUUGUUACUACCAAGUCAUCAUCUGAAAGGGCCCAUGUGCACUGGGCCAUUGUAUGUUGUAUAUUUUUUUCGUGCAUGUUGUACAUUUUUAAAUACAACAGGAAAAAGAUUUAUACAUGUUCAAAUAAAUUCAAGUAGAUGAUUAACAAAAAACUCAAAUAUUGGUUGCAAUUUUAAAAAAUAAUCAUAAUUUUUUAAAAAAUGUUAAUGCAAUUUUAAAAGAGAAAAGAAGAAAGGAAAAAAGAAAUAGAAAAACCAAGUAGAAACCAAAGAAAAAAUGAACAAAAAAACAUGAGAAAAAACCAAGCAUAAAGAGAGAAAAAAAAGGGAAAAUCAGUGUGGAAGCUUCUGAAAACCGAGAAAAGAAGCUUCUGAAAGUUUCAAAGAACAUUUAGCUAGAAUUACACGUGCGGGGGGUGCGAUCGUGAUCGAUCGAGAGCCUUUAUUAGGCCGGCCCACUUGAUAACUGACAAAAUAGCACAUAGGUGCCGCGUAAGGGAUGACUUAUAUUCUGCACCUUAAGUGUUAAAGAUCAUUUGGCCCACACGCGGCAUGGAAUCACCUAAUAUGUGUCAUGGUUUUCUUGGGGAAAUGUCAUCUGGCAUCUGUUCACAUUUUUGCACUUUCCAAUGAACCACUCCCCUACAGUUCAAUCUCGUCUCACGGACCUUGGCACGAUCUUGAAGCGACAUCAGCUUCACAGAUUUGUUCAUGUAGGCACCAAUUGCAGUGAGCGACCUUAGCUAGUGUAUCCCUUACCCGCUCUAUCUUCACCACUCUCUCAUAUCCCUCCUCCCACUUGCAGAGACAUCCUCUCUCGUCGUAACUAAGGCUCUCCCGACGAGGUGCCCGACGAUUGCUAGUAUUUCCCGGCAUUUCUCCAUGUGUGCGGUGCGAGCGGAGGGGGGUUGGGCUCAAGGCGGUCUUGAUGAUUGGGGGCAUGGUUGUGGUGGCGGGGGCCACGCAUUUUCGUUAUCUCCGUGGGGACUGCAUGUCGUGGUCACUGGGGAUACAUGGUGGUCGGGAUGCGAUGUGCGUGGACUAGCAAAAGGCCUCGCCGUUAUCUCCUGGGUGUUUUUCCCUGCGUGCGCUGCCGGUUCUAUGCAAGCACCUGGUCAUGAGUUCCGGGUGAACGCCUAGGUUUCCGUGCUGGAUAUACCUGGCAAUGGCUAUGUUUUAUGUCGUUAACUUGUUGAAGGCAUUGCUCGGAUAUGCUCGGAUUGGUUCUUUAGGGUGAAAAUCUAGAUUCCGACCUCGUGUGGUUGGAUGCGGUGACGGCGACGCUUAAGCGUCGCUUCCGUUGUAAAGGCGUUGUUGUUGAAGAAUCUCGUCGUUGGUGUGAUGUCAUGAGGUGGUUGGUGCGGAUAUGAUAAUUUAUGUAGUUUGCAGAUCACGGAUCGGAUUGCUUUGGUUUUUUUCCUAGCCUAUGCAUAGUUUUGGUAUUGUAUGAUUUUACUAUUAGUGGGUGUGUGUGUGUGUUUUUGUAUGUUUGUAAUGGUUGUGUGCAUCUUAGCUAUGUAGAGAUCGGGUAUGUGCUCAUUAUGUCUUGUAUAAUUUUGAUGCUCCAUUUAAAGCAAAUAAAAUCCACCAUUUAUCGAAAAUGUGGAUAAACCACCGCCAGUCGUUGGAGUGGCACGGUGUGGCUGGUGCACCAUGCAGGACACCAGGGUAUUAUCAUGGUUUUGGGUACCGCCCGAGAAAAACGGAUACCGGGCGGUUACCGCGUUUCUCGCCGCCCCACGAGAAAUACCUAUCCCGAGCAAAAAAUACCGAAAUUUUUGAAUGAAUUAAAUUUGAACGCUACAAAUCUAAUAAAUUACCUUUGGUUCUCAUUUCAGACAACGCCUUUAUUCUGGCGUAGUGGUAACCAUCUGUUAUGCGCCUCGAGAGGUAGCUGGUUCGAGUCCUCUUCCCGCACUUUUUUCUGUUCUUUUUGUUAUUUUUCAGAGUAGGCAGUAAAAAAAUGACGGUCCAGAGAUUCGAACUCGCAACGUCAACAUAGCUAAGGGAGCGCGUAGUUGAGGUACUCCCUCCAUUUUUGUAUAUAAGGCCAAAAAUGACAGUCCAGAGAUUCGAACUCGCAACGUCAACAUAGCUAAGGGAGCGCGUAGUUGAGGUACUCCCUCCAUUUUUGUAUAUAAGGCCACAAACUCGAAUUACAUGUAUCAAUGUAAAAUUUAAUGUCUGCUUUAAAAGUCAAUUUUUCUUUUUUUUACUGGGAUCAUUAAUACCCCACAUGCAUGCAAGAAAACUGAGUGGAGGAAGUAGCUGACUGUCAUUAUAGUUGCAUGCAUGUAACUAUUAAACAGGUUGCUAGUACGAGAAAAUAUAAUUAAUUUUACCUUGACUAUUGUUAGUGGCCUUAUAUAGAUGCAAAACGUAUAUUUUAUAGUGGCCUUGUAUAUAAAAAUGGAGGGAGUAGCACUGAGCUAGUAUCUCUUUUCUGACUUGAAUCAGUUCAAGGUAUUAUUAUAUCUAAGUUAAAAUUGUUUGAAUUCAAAAUUCAAUAGUAAAUUUCGUCCGAAAUUUGUUCGGUAUUUCUCGGUAACGGUAACCGUGGUUACCGGGAAUAUCGCCCACCCACGAGAAAAUUUGCCUAUUUGGGAUCCAAAACCUUGGGUAUUAUUACAUGCGUAUGCAGUAUGUUGUCGUGGUUUUAGUUUAAAUUACACUAAAACCACGACGAGUAAUUUGGAACGGAGGGAGUAGCUACUAGAAAUCGCACUAGUUUGAAACUUAAACUGACCGUGCAGCUAAUUCGAAAGAGCAGGCUAGCUAGCUUUUCACUGCCCUGUAUGCAUGUGCGCGUGCUACGUUCAUUCACGUUUUUGUCAACCUGCAAAGAAACUGAGUGUGCCACCUCGUUGCCAAAGAGGGUAUGGGUGCUUCGCGGACGCAACUUCGCGGUAGUUUCCUUUCUCACUGCCAUUGCCAUGAGAUGAACCGGACUCUCCUCCCUGUGUGUGUGCGCGCGCGCGCGUGUGUGUGCAGCUCAGGCCGCGGCUGCUCGACACGUAGUGGGUGUUGAGGCAGGCCCACGCCGAUCGAGUUGCUUUGCUUCUCUCUCGCUGCUGCUGCGCUCCUCGCGGCUCGGGCACUUAAACAGGAGCCGCUCCACCACCAGCGUGGUCGUUGCGCUCUGUAGUUGUAGGCUUGUAGCUGGAGCCCCUUCAGAAGGAAGCACAGCAAGCUAGCAAGCUAGGAAGAACCUCCCUCCCGUGCAUCUGACCAGCGAGUGACGGUGACUCGGUGAGUCCCCUCCAUCUGCGGCCGUCUUGCUAUGGUUUUUUUUUUCUUCCUCUUCUUCUUCUUCUUCUUUCAUGUUGAAUGGGGACAUGAAAUUAGAGAAGAGGAACCUAACCAUAAGUUGUUGCUGAUCUCGUGAUCUCCUCCUACUGCUACUCCUACCUAGCUUGGAUCGAUGUCCAUGGAUGGCAAGACCCCUGAUCUGCUGCCUCUGAGCACGGCCAAGAAGAAGAUCCGCGAUGGCGUCCCGCUGGUCUGCGCAUGGGCGCUCAUCAACACCUUCAGCACAGCAGUCAGCUACGUAGCCGCCGACUACAUCCCCGUCUCGUGCAGCCAGGUAACCACCUACCCGUGUACUACCCUCCGAUCCUUGACAUUUCGACCGAUCCAUCAUGCGCCCUCUGCACUGCAGUCCUCCUUCAUUCUGUCGUGCAUCGAGCUGACGGGCGCGGAGGAAGCCAGGGUAAUCGCCCUCUGCAUCGGGAUUCUGUGCUGCGCCCCAUUGCAGGCGGUCCCAGCGGCGCUGGCGCUGCUGCUCCCAUGCCGUCGUCGCUCGGCCCGCCGAGCCCUCUGUAAGAAUUAUGGAAGCGUUCCUACUCCUCGAGGGAGCACUAGUAGAAAAAGGGUCAAAUGUGAGACACAUUAGUCCCGGUUUGUAACAGAACCGACACUAAUAUGUUCAUUAGUGCCGAUUCCAACGGCUAGGCGGGAGGAGCUCUUUAGUACCGGUUCGUGGCAAACCUUUAGCACCGGUUCGUGCCACGAACCGAUACUAAAAAAAGUGGUGGCAGGAUGUAAGUGAUUUCUUUCUGUUAUACAAUCAAGACGCACUCGACAAAUCUAUCGUCGGUUGCUAUUGUCUGUAAGUGAUUUCUUUCUGUAAUUUAAGUCUCAAGCUAGCUGUAGUGAUCCUUUUGAUCAAUCAUUAUCUGUAAUUAUCCUUACUAUAUUAUUUUCUAUGGUAUUAUGCAGGAUGAAGAUGUAUGAAAUGAGAAAAGGUGGACGCUUUGACAUUGGGUUCAUUGACCCAAACACCGUUAAUAAAUACACAUGGCUAAUAAAUCCACAUCAUCAAAAAAACGUAGAGGACAACAUGCUAGAGUUCUUGAAGCGCCUCAAAUACAAUGAAGAUAUACUACUUCCUUACAACUUCCAGUGAGUCACACUGUCUUGUACUACAAAUUCUCUGUUUUUGCCUACUAGCUAGCUACAUGUUUUUGCUUACAUAUGUCCGCUUAAUUAAGACAUGCAAACAUGUGUGCAUACAGAUUUCACUGGAUCUUGUGUAUCAUUAAAGUUGACGCCGGAACAGUUGAAAUACUGGACUCACUACUCAAAGAAAAUACUGACUAUAACAUCUUGUUUGGGAUAGUCAACAGGUAAUUUCAAUCAUUAUUAACUAUAUAUCUCGGCCUAUUUAGUUCGUCAUUUCAUGAUAUGAACGAUUUAAUAACCCCUUUAUUCAUUUUUUUUGUCGGCGGGCAGGGCUUGGGCAAGGUUCAUCAGCGUCACGGAAGACGAAUGAAAAAAAAAAGCUUAAAUGGUUUCGACCCAAGGUAAGUAAUUAAGUAGUACUAGCUAGCUAGCUAGCUGCCAUCUCUUUAAUUAUCAUGCUUGAUUAAUUGUUAUCUGAUCAAAUUUCAUUCUCGUAAAGGCCCUGAAGCAGGCGCAGGGGACUGGUCUGUGUGCAUUCUGCGUUUGCGAGAACAUUCGCAUGAUGGCGUCCGAAAGGAGCAGAUCUCAAAGACAGGAAUGGGUACGCUUGUCAGAAUACUAUUCACAAUUUUUACACCAUUAUCGAUAUCUAGUCACACAACUAAUACACAUUCAUAUUGAUCUCCUUCUUAACAGUUCAGAGAGGUGCGGGAGAAGCUCCUAGAAACGGAGCGCGUAGAAGCACUUCAAGAGGAAAUAGCGGGAUUUUUGCUCGACCAGGUCAUAAAUCCGAAGGGAGAAUACUAUUACCCGCUACCGCCCCCAUGAAAACCACUUCCAAUUGUCAUCGUGCUCCGAAGGCACCAAUUAGGCUAAUGCCACUGGCUCCGAAGGCAACAUGCAUAUGUAGGAGAAAUUGUAUAUAGUUAUACAUGUGUGUAUGUGUGAAUUAAUUAAUAUGGUGGUUUGUGAGACAUUGAUGAUAUAUAUAUAUAUGCAUGAUUGGUUCUACUAGAAAUUCUAUUUAUAUAUAUAUAUAUAUAUAUAUAUAUAUAUAUAUAUAUAUGCAUAACGUGUACAAUGUGUAGUAUCGUAAAAUACCAGCAAAUGAAAAAGAAUUAAAAUGGAAACACAAAAUUAAAUGAAAAAGAAAUCAUAAAACUAAAAAACCCCAAACCUUAUAGUACCAGUUGGUCUUACCAACCGGUACUAAAGGGCUCCAGGCCCCCGGAGCUGGCUCGUGCCACGUGGUUGCCCUUUAGCACCGGUUCGUGUUGAACCGGUACUAUAGUGGGGGGGGGGCUUUAGUGCCCACACUUUAGUGCCGGUUAUGGAACCGACACUAAAUGGCCUUACGAACCGGUGCUAUUGCCCGGUUCUGCACUAGUGGAGCCGCGUGGUCUGUAUAUAUUGAGACGAGAAGAAGCCCUCGUCGUGGUGUACAAGAAGAGGAUUUGAUUACAGGAAAGAGAUUCAAACUACUACGGGAGAGAGAUAGAAUAUGGUUGAGAUUACAUGUGGAGAUAAACAUAAACUCUAACACCCUCCCUUAAUCUCAACUAUCCUACAUUCAAAUUCCUCUUGAACUCUUCAAAUAGUUUUGCUGGAAGUGCUUUGGUGAAUCCAUCUGCCACUUGAUCUUUGGAAGGGAUGAACCGUAUCUCAACUUUUUUUGCUGCCACCCUUUCUCGCACAAAAUGAAAGUCAAUCUCUAUAUGCUUAGUCCUUGCAUGAAACACAGGGUUGGCAGACAAAUAAGUUGCUCCCAAGUUGUCACACCAUAAACAUGAUAUACGGUUCUGUUUAACUCCCAUCUCAUCCAAUAACGACUCAAUCCAAAUAAUCUCUGCAGUGCAUUGGCCAAUGACUUGUACUCAGCUUCUGUACUUGACUUAGACACAGUAGCCUGUUUCCUGGCACUCCAUGACACAAGAUUAGGACCAAAAAAUACUGCAAAGCCUCCAGUUGAUUUUCUGUCAUCACUGCAACCUGCCCAGUCAGCAUCAGAGAAAGCACUAACAAGAGCAGAAUUAGAACGUCUGAAAUGAAGUCCUAUUCCCGUAGUAUGCUUGACAUAUCUUACAAUUCUCUUGACAGCUGACCAGUGUGCAGUAGUGGGUGCAUGGAGGUAUUGGCAAACCUUAUUAACCGCAAAAGAGAUAUCUGGACGAGUGAGUGUCAGGUAUUGUAAUGCACCAACAGUACUUCUAUACCUUGUACUAUCUUCCUCCUGAAGUGACUUCCCUUCAUAUGCUGACAAUUUCUCUGAAGAAGACAAAGGUGUGGGCACAGGCUUGCAGUUUGUCAUCCCCAUGCGAGAUAGAAGCUCAUUCACAUAUUUCUCUUGACUUAACACUAUGCCAUCUUGAGUCUUCUUGACUUCAAUGCCUAGAAAGAAGUGCAAGUCUUCCAGAUCCUUCAAAGCAAACUCUGAGCUCAAAUCAUGCAGGAGAGCAUUAGUAGCACUUUGUGAUGAACAUGCCACUAUAAUAUCAUCUACACAAAUGAGCACAAAAAUUGCUACUUUUGCCUUGUUAUAAAUAAACAGAGAUGUAUCAGCUUUGGAAGCAAUAAAGCCAAGACAUUUUAAUUGUGAGCUCAACCUGGAAUACCAUGCUCUAGGUGCUUGUUUCAAGCCAUAGAGUGCCUUGUCAAGUUUGCACACAUAAUGUGGUGUUUUCUUAUUUUCAUACCCAGGUGGUUGUCUCAUGAACACCUCCUCUUCAAGAACACCAUGCAAAAACGCGUUCUGUACAUCUAGCUGUCUUAGGCUCCAUCCUUUGGACACAGCAAUAGCCAACACAAAUCUUAUGGUUGCAGCUUUGACAACGGAACUGAACAUAUCCUCAUAGUCUAUGCCAUACCGUUGUUUAAACCCCUUUGCAACUAGACGUGCCUUAUAUCUGUCAAUGGAGCCAUCUGCCUUUUUUUUUGAUCCUGUACACCCAUUUACAGUCAAUAAUAUUUUUACCUCUUUGAUCAGGCACAAGACGCCAAGUCUUAUUUCUCAUCAGUGCAGAAUACUCCUCAUCCAUUGCUUUUCUCCACUUAGAGUCACCAAGUGCAUCUUUUAAUGUUGUUGGUUCUCCUGAAAUACAUAACAUGCCAUAUGGUAUAGUGCCAUCUUUCCUUAUUUUCGGAUUGCGUAUACCUUUCUGUAGCCUGGUCAUGACUCGAGAAGCAACUGCUGCUGGCUGCUGUACAGGCGAAUGCACAGAAUCCGCAGAAGAUCCACCAGCAGCUGACCCAUCAGGUGAUGAUGCGCCAGGGUGCACAGAAUCCGCAGAAGAUCCACCAGCAGUUGACCCAUCAGGUGAUGAUGCGCCAGGGUGCAGAGAAGAUCUAGUGGUCCACGAUGUGCCCCCCUGGCCACUGGACGCUCGGGAACCCGCAUGGUUGUUGGGCGCAGAAGAUCCACCACCCGCCUGCAGUUGCAUGUGCGCGGGAUGCGAGGCCGAUCCGCCUACGCGGCUGACCCAGCGGUCGGGUGACGUGGCAGCGUGGGAGAGGCUGGUCCCGAAGCCUGGCCCGCUGUCUACUGGAGCGGGAUUCGAGGAAGAUGCGGCGACAGGAUGCGACGCCUGCAGACGCGCAGGGGUGGCAGGCGCCGCCAAAUCAGCUCCGGGAUCUGCGCCAGCUUCGUCCCCUUCUGGAGCAUGAAAUAACACCUCGUUUUGAACCAAAUUUUCAGGAUUUUGAUUGUUUUGACCACCGUUUUCGCCAGCAACCUGCACAGGCAUAAUAGUGGAACUAGGCACAGCAGAAUCAUCAGCAUAUUGGUUAGUACAAUUGUCAUCCCCGUUGUCAAAAUUUCGAAGAUUUGAUGGGAGAAGGAGAAUUUCCUUGCGAAGAAGAGCACCUGCAUUUGGAUGAAGCAAUGCAAAAGGGAACACAGAUUCAUCAAAGACAACAUCUCGGGAUAUGUAGACCCUACCGGUAGGAACAUCUAAGCAUUUUACCCCUUUAUGCAUAGGGCUAUAGCCUAAGAAGACACAUUGUUUUGAGCGGAAAGCGAGUUUUCGUGUGUUGUAGGGUCGAAGAUUUGGCCAACAUGCGCAACCAAAGAUACGAAGAGAUAUGUAAUUAGGUGUUACCCCAAGAAGCUGUGUGAUGGGGGUUUCAAGCUUAAUGACUUUGCUUGGAAGCAAGUUGAUGAGAUAGGUAGCAGUUAAAAAGGCUUCAUCCCAAAACUUGAGUGGCAUAGAUGCAUUUGCUAACAAUGCAAGUCCUACAUCGACAAUGUGACGAUGCUUUCUUUCAGCUGAUCCAUUCUGUUGGUGAGCAUGAGGGCAAGAGACAUGAUGUGAGAUGCCAAGUUUUUGAAAGAAGGAGUUUAGUUUCUCAUACUCACCACCCCAGUCGGUUUGCAUAGCAAUGAUCUUAGAGUUCAGUUUGCGUUCAACAAGAUUUUGAAAGUUGAUAAAAACUUGGAAGACAUCAGAACGUUUCUUUAACAAGUAAAUUCAAGUAAAUUUACUAUAGUCAUCAAUGAAACUAACAUAAUAGGAAAAUCUACCAAGCGAAGUGGGGGCUGGUCCCCAUACAUCUGAAAAUAUAAGUUGUAGUGGAGCAUUGGAUACACUGGUAGAAAUAGGAUAGGGUAACUGAUGACUUUUGGUCUGUUGACAUGGACCACAAACUGACUCAACACUGGACUCAUAUGAGAGUUUAUUUUUGCUAAGAAUAUAACUAACAAUUACUGAGGAUGGAUGACCUAAACGACUAUGCCACUUUGCUGAAGAUGGCUUGGUGACGACAUAUGCUUGUUUGUUGAACCAGGAUGAUGAAGAUGAUAUGAGUGGGUAGAGGCCUCCCACGCACCGUCCUCUAAGAAUGAUUCUCCUUGUUGCUAGGUCCUUAACCAAGAAAAAGUGAGGAUAAAACUCUAUAAGAAUAUUGUUGUCAAGAGUGAAUCUAUGUACAGAAAUAAGAUUUUUGGAUGUUUCAGGAACAUGUAAGACAUCUUUUAAGUGUAAAUUUUUCACGGGGUUUUUAACAAUUGUGCUGCCAAUAUGUGUGAUCUCCAUACCUGAACCACUUGUCGUGUGAAUUUGAUCGCCUUCAUUGUACCUUUCCCGCAUUGUCAGCUUGUCAAGUUCACCGGUGAUAUGGUUUGUAGCUCCGGUGUCGGCAUACCAAUUUGUAUCCACACAGUAGGAGACAUCAUGUGCCGCCUUCUCCUCCUGAUCGCCAUCUUCAUAUCUGAACCAGCAUGAGUGUGCACCCCCUGGAUGAUGUUUAAGGAAAAUCUGACAUUCAGGGUAGUCAUGCUGUUGAUCACGCCCGUACUGCUGUUGUUGUCGAGGACGUCCUCUGUUGCCACCGCCUCCACCAGCAGGAGAGGGCUGUCGGUCGCUGCGACCGCGCCCCCUUCCUCCUCGCCCGCGGUAGGAUCUGCCACGACCACGGCCUCUGUACACCGCAUUAGCUGAAGUGUGGAAGCUGCCUGAUGAUGAAUCGCCGAGCAUCUCCAUCCUCUGAUCAAAGGCGGAGAUUUGCGCAAAAAGAUCAUCCGGAGUAAUCUGAUUCUUGACAGCACCAAUCGCCGCAACCACUGGAUCAUAGUCACGGUCUAGUCCUGCCAGAAUAUAAUCCACCAUCUCUGGAUCUGACACUGGACGGCCAGCAGCAGCUAGCUCAUCUGCAAGAUUCUUCAUCUUCGCCAUGAUAGCAGAGCUUGACAUGGAGCCCUUCUUGGUUGUGGUGAUCGCAAUCCUCAAGUUUGUGAUCCUGGACUGCGAUUGGGACGCGAAGAGAGUUGUCACGGUUGUCCAUAGCUCAAAGGUGGAGUCCUUCCCAACAACCUGUCCAAGAAUUUCUGGUGUCAUAGAGUUUAGCAAAUAUGAGAGGACCUGUUGAUCCUUUGUGAUCCAUGGCCCAUAUAGCGGGUUCGGCUCCAUGGCCGAAGUCUUGUCCGCCUUGGUGAUCUCCACGGUCUUGGGUGGAGCAGCGUCAGAAUUGUCCAAGAGUCCUGUCACCUGCGCUCCUCGCAGGGCAGGCAAGACUUGCGUCUUCCAGAGGAUGAAAUUCCCUCUCGCAAGCUUCUCUGAUGGAGGGGCGCUGAGGUUGAGGGCGACUCCUGUUGAUGAAGACAUGAUGACGACGCCGGCGUGUUUUGGGGUGUGGUUUUGUGGCUAGAUGUAUAUGGAAGAGGAUGCUCUGAUUACCAUGUAAGAAUUAUGGAAGCGUUCCUACUCCUCGAGGGAGCCGCGUGGUCUGUAUAUAUUGAGACGAGAAGAAGCCCUCGUCGUGGCGUACAAGAAGAGGAUUUGAUUACAGGAAAGAGAUUCAAACUACUACGGGAGAGAGAUAGAAUAUGGUUGAGAUUACAUGUGGAGAUAAACAUAAACUCUAACACCCUCGCCUACCUCGGGCUCGCGGUCACCGUCCUCUUCCAUUGCAUGUACGCCGGUGCCGUCUGGAUCUUCCUCGCCGCCGACCCAGGAUACAUCUUCGGCCGGAUCUACUUCACCGCCAUCUUCUGCUUCAUCGUGGUGUGCGACCUCCUCAGCUUCCGGGCCCUUCUGGGAGGUGAUGGGUGGGGCAUGCAGUACGUGGCCUAUUUCUUCUGAUCAUGUUCGUGGAUCAGCUCACCAGGUACUCAUGAGAGCGUAGAGUAUGCAUUCAUUCUGCUGUGACGAUUGAUGGAGUAGUGCCGUAUCUAGUGCAGUGUUAAUAUCCAGAUCGAGUCUACUAG
Molecule: long non-coding RNA, 283841 nt
Filed under: Triticum aestivum (bread wheat)
Lineage: Eukaryota; Viridiplantae; Streptophyta; Magnoliopsida; Poales; Poaceae
Description: long non-coding RNA (TAES_LNC027588)
Rfam family: tRNA (bases 123907-123975)
Source: RNAcentral